RNAcentral lists this long non-coding RNA (293360 nucleotides) under Coffea arabica (coffee). The record is from RNAcentral. Lineage: Eukaryota; Viridiplantae; Streptophyta; Magnoliopsida; Gentianales; Rubiaceae.
GCGAGACUAAGCCUAUGAAGGGAGAAUCCAGGGCUUGUGCCACAUCCUACGAGUCAUUGGUAGAUUUUGCACGAAAGAUCUUGGGAUUGAAUACCGAUAUUGAAGUUUUAUCAACGCAUCGCCUCGCAAAAUCUAAUGCUGCUAGAUUACAGAACUAUACGAUCACAGAAGCUCCUAAACGAAUUUCAACUCUAAAGAUGGUUGGCUGUCACAACAUGCCAUAUCCUUUCAUAGUUUUCGGUUGCCACUAUCAGCCGGGUGAUAAUAAUUUAUACAGGACUGUUCUAUCUGGAGAGAAUGGUGAUAGGGUUGAAGCUACUGCAAGAUGUCACAUGGAUACCUCCCAAUGGAGCCAUGAUCACGUUUCCUUCCGGGUGCUUGGUAUCGAACCGGGCACUGCACCUGUUUGCCAUUUCUUCCCGGCAGAGGACUUUGUAUUGGUUCCAUCUACUUCUUCAAUCUAGUAAUAUCCAAGAGCUCAAGUGCUUUCAGCAUUUUAGUUGUUUAGCUUAAGUCGCCUUGUCUGAAUGUGUAAUACUAGAAAUCAAUAAAUUCGUGUGCCUCAUGUUUGAUUAUCUGUAUUCGAAUAAAACUCCGUGGAGUAGUAGCGCUACUUUUGACAAUCAAAGUUUUAUAUACUUCAUUUUACACGUAUGUUACAAGAUUUCAUCAUAUAAUAUACUCUUCUUCAAGAUUGCAACUUUGACAUCUUUCAGAUCUUUCAGCCAAAGCUUUUAAGUUUCCUGCAAAUUCAGAUGGUCUUGAUUUCUUCUGAUCAUCAGAAACUCGAGGAGGUACUGUGUGAAGUGAAUAGUUCCAAGAAAACACCACUCCUGUUGUAUGAUUCAAGGACAAAAGAACCGCAUCCAUCCAUCUAGAAAAGCUGCAGAAACCUUCCGUCCUUGCCGUUGAGAAAAUUUUAUAGAUAACUCUUCGAUUUCAAGUCUAGGAUCCAUUGGACCGUCUUUGAUCUCAUUGAGAUCAACUUUUGCAGAUGCAGAACAACUUUUGCAGACCGUCUUUAAUCUCUAGAAAGUGGACGGCUGAACAAGAUGAAAUCUUGACCUAGUACAUGAUCUGAAACCUGAAGAAUAAUGGGAAGAGCCCCUUGCUGUGAGAAAGUGGGCAUAAAGAGAGGGAGGUGGACGGCUGAAGAAGAUGAAAUCUUGACCGAGUACAUUCAAUCUAAUUUGUUUCGUCGGUUAAUUGCAAAAGAUUAAACCAGUGUGACAAUUAUACCCCCGUUAGUCCACGCAAAUUGAGUAAAAUGUAGUGAAAAGUCCUACAUUUGAAGUAAAAAACUAAUUCAAGGACUAAAUUUGUUAAAAUAUUUCAUCAAGGACGAAAUUGAUUUAAGUGAAAAUGUUUAGGGACCAAAUUGACGAAAUUCCCAACAGCUAAUCCCAAAAGUUUUUCUUAUGUAGUAGCUGGACUUCUUGAUCGCAUAAUUGUGGCUGUCCAUCUCUUUGAUUUGGAUUCCGAUCUUAUUCAAAUACUUUUGGAGGGGUAUCCUAUAAUUAGAGUGUCAAUCACAAACUCAAUUAUGUUGAUUCGCCCAAACUCGCUCACCAAUAACCCCCGUUCAAAUCCACCCACUAAUUUUAAAUAGGUCUAAAUGGGUAUCCAAUUAAACUCAUUUAAUUAGUAGACAGUGGAUUAACUCGAAUCACUUAUUUAUACCCAUUUAAAAUAAUUAUACAUUUAAACUCAAGUAUUAAACAAAUAAAUUUAAAUUUAUUAUCAAUGUAAUAAUAAUAAAAUGCUAUUAUUUUUUAUCAGACAACAUGUGAAAAAAUAAAAAAAUUAAUUAUAACUAUUUAAAUUCGUUUAAAUCACUUAUUUUGACACCUUUGACGACCAUUGUCUGCUCAUUGGACAUUCCACCGCCACUUGUUCAGCCGUUCCUUUCUUCCUUGCCGUUGCCAGUGUCUAUCAUUUCCGAUUACCAGGUAAGGCUCUGACAUAACCACUGGGCCUUUGGCUUGGAGAAAUCAUGACGUCGAAGAAGCGACUUGUGAGGCAGAAUAGGAGAUGCAGAAAAAGUAUCCUGAGUUGUUCGCUUAGAAAUGUGAGAAUUUUGAAUAAAGACCUCAUCUUUUGAUCGCAUCAAGCCUCAGCCGGAAAAAAGAAACCCAAAGGUAACAGCUUUCCACUUUGGAGUUUGUUUAUGAGUUGCCUCCCACCAAAAAUGCCACAUUUUUGUGGCUUGUCUUCAAAAAAUUCAGACGGGUGUGCUGUGCACCCGUCUGAUUCGGUGGUGGUUCAGUCCUCUCUGGCUUAUCCCUGGGUCUCCUUAGGCCCGUCUCCUUCCCCUUAGUGUAGGAUAGAUUAGAUUUAUCAUCUUCGAAAAAAAAAAGAAAAAAGGUAAGGCUCUGACAUUAGUGUCCACCUGCCAUAGUGCCAUCCCAUUGAUUAACCAAGUUACAGCGCUGUCAUAUUUGUCAAGCCAUCCUUCAUUAUUGGAUCUUUUAUUCUAUGUAUGGGACCGUCCUUACUGUUCCCAUGAAAGAUUGGUUCAGAAAUGUAUGGCAGCUGUGAAAUACGUUAGCUGUCUGAAUCUUGUCUCAUAAAGAUAUGUAGCUGAAAAUCCGAACGCAUUGGUUUCACGAGAGUUUUCUUAUCCACCGUGCCUGCCAAUUUUCUAUCACCAUAUAACAGCGUUUUUAAACUAUACGGACUGACCGAUUCUAAACAUUGAACCGAGGGUCCGGUGGUUCAGUCCGAAUUAAUCAAUUGAGUUGAACAGACAUUUACUGGACCUGCUCAGAUAUUGGGUUUAAAUAAAGAAAAUUGAGUUUUUAACUAUAUAUUUUGUGAGACUAUGAGCUGGUUUAGAUUAAAGACUUGUGCAUUUCAAUCGUUGUAAUUUAACAAUUAUUUCUUAGAUUGGAUUUUGAUUCUUUCAGAUUAUGUCUUCUUGUGCAUUUCAAUCUUUGUAAUUUAACAAUUAUUUCUUAGAUUGGAUUUUGAUUCUUUUAGACUAUGUCUUUCUUGUGCAUUUCAAUCUUUGCAAUUUAAUAAUUGUUUUUUAGAUUGGAUUACAUGUUUAGUUCUGGAGAGGCCCCCUAAUCUCGAUUCGAGGCCUGACAUGUUGUAUUUGUACUCGAUUUCGGGAAGUUAGCAAUUUCAUAUUUUAUUACACCAUUGUUUCUUUGAUUGGAUUUUGAUUCUUUUAGGUUAUGUCUUUCUUGUGCAUUUCAAUCUUUGCAAUUUAGUAAUUGUUUUUUAGAUUGGAUUUACAUGUUUAGUUCUAAAGAGGUCCCAUGAUCUCGAUUCGAGGUCUUCCAAGUUGUAUUUCUAGUUGAUUUCGGGUAUUUAGGAAUUUCAUAUUUUAUUACACCAUUUUUUAACUCAAUCAAAUCAUAUUUCAACUUUUGUCACACUAUUUUCCAACUCAAUUACAUUAAAAGCAAACUUGUGAGAAAUAAAACUUGUGAGACCCCAUCAACCCCUGCUCCUACUAAUAUUACACAUGUAGAUUAUAUUUUAUUUAAAAGGAAAAUUGCCAAAUUAGAAUUAGUCAAAAUAGUCCAUCAAAUAUAACAAAAGAAAAGUAUCCUUUUAGUUCGCGAGCUCAUUUUUUGAUCGGUUUUCUAGCCAAAAAGUGUGUGCCUUUCUUAGGUACCCACAAUUUAAAUAGCAAAAUGGGAAAACAAUUUAUUUUCUUCCACAAAAAGCACAUGACAAUCAUAUGAUCACCUCCUGAAUAGGGAAUCCUAAUCGAAGAAAGAGUAAACUACAGGUGACCUUUACACUUUCUUGUUUGAUUAUGGGUCUGGUGGAUAUGAAUUAAGGUCCUUUGCUAGAAGUGUGGUUAUGUCCUUUGCUAGAAGUUUGAUUAUGAAUUAAGGUUCUUUUAUUUAAGAGAAACAAAUUGCGUUUCAAUUUUGCCGUUGAAAUUGUGGGAACCAGAGAGAUGGUGCACUUUUAGGCUUAAAAAUUGAUUGAAAGUGAGUUUUGGGACUAAAGGAGCAUAUUUUUUAUAAUUAUUUUGAUGCUUAUAUCAAAACCAUAUAAAUUUACACCGAAUGUAUUAAAAAUUAUACAAACUGAUAGAAUUUACCUUGCUGUAAAAAAAAAAAUGGCUACCAAACUAUUUCUUGUCUCAAUUUAAUCACUCAACUAAUUAAUCAAUAUACCGUUGGUUAUUUCAUCGGAUUUUGCUCUUAGUUUUACAAAUAAACCAAACACAUGCAAAUCAAGUGCCAAAAUUUAAGGGUAAUCAUAUCCACUGAGUUUAUCAAUCCAAAUCUAAAAAGUCCAACAGCCACUAAUCUAUUCCCUUCGUACUCUUUUGGCCAUUCAAAUAUUUUUUGUUUCAAUAUAAUCACUAAAGUCUUAAAUCAAUAUACUAGCAGUCAUUCCGUCAAAUAUAUCCGUUAAUGCUAAGGAAUGAGUUCUAUGUGCAUUUCACAUACCCAAAACAGGACAAUUAUGUAAGGUCAAUUUUUUAGAUUUUUUUCCCGUUAAUAUUACAAAUGCAGGUAAUAUUAUAAUAAAGGAAAAAUUGUCAAAUUGGUCCUUUUCAUUUUUGAUAAAUUUUUUAGCCCCUCGCAAUUAGAAUUAGCUAAAAUAGUCCCUUAAAUAUUAAAAAAAAUGCAUCCUUUUGGUCACAGAGCUCCUUUUGGUAAAUUCCUUCUUGUACCUUGACAUUAAAUUUUAUUUAAUAUGAAUGACACAUAUUAUCUAGACGUCCAAAUAAAGGAGAUCAUUGUAACUUUUCAAAAACUUGAACGGAGCAACAUGAAAUUGUUAUAAACCUCAAAGGAGUUUUACAUAAAUACCCCACACGUUUACAAGCAGAUUUUAUCAUGCUAGUACCUUUAUAAUCGAAGAAAGCCAGUACACUCAGUGCCACAUUGUUCCCUCUCCCUCUCUCUCGUUCUUCUCACAAGUUGUCUUGCGUGCUGCUUUGCUUCUCAGGACACGUUGAAGCUUUUGUUCUUUGCUAGCUAGGUAAUUAUUGUAUGCCUGGCUCUCAAUUUCUCUGGUCCACUUUAUUAAUUGAUUUUUUUUUUUUUUGUAAAAAUUUUAGUGUAUCAAUUUCAGACGUUUGUUUUUCUUCGUUAUUGGAAAAUCCAGCAGCUGUUUGCAUGCUAAUAUAUGGGAUUUCUCUUUUGCUUAGAUCUGGAACACUUGCCGUCUAGCAGGAAAAAAUUAGCACCUGCAUAUUAUGUGACCCUGAAAAAAAAAAACAUCUUUCUUUCUGUCCUCCAUUAGUUUGGCACUAAAACUUGAGUAAGGUUAACAGGAUUGUGCGGUACAACCAACAAUAAUGGAGGGGGAGAAGACGGAUACAGAGGGAAAGGUGGAGACAGAGAAGAUGAACAAGGAAUUUGCCAUGGCAUAUGAUGUCCAAUCUAAAAUAGUAGAGGAUCUAUUUGGGGAUCACCUCCAUUUGGGCUUCUAUGACUCUAGCUCCGUUAUCCCUGGUUCUGAUGUCAAUUCUGCUCAGACUCGCAUGAUCGAGGCGGCCCUCCGUUUUGCCUCUGUAUCAGGUAUAAUAUGCAUUCGCAGUUUGUGUGGAGUUUUCUUCUCUUUCUCCAAGUGCAAAUGCUGCAUGUGGGUGUAGGGUUUAAAGUUCCGACGUACAAUCUAAAGAGGAAUUUUAAAUCCCUUACUUUGAAUUGACCAAAUUCUACACUCAAUAGUACAUGCAUAUGUAAACGGGGAUAAUCAAUUCGGGAAGGAUAAAAACAGAAGCAGCAUUUUGUUUUUCUUUUUUCUUUUGGUCUUUACUUUUCUUUCUCAUUUUAGUAGCUUUAGUUUUUCUUUGGCUACAUUUGGAAUGGAUUUAGGGGUAUUUGGCUAUUCAAAAGGUUAGAUUACAAAUUGGUCAAAUUACAGGAUUAGUUCUAUAAUUUGGACAAGCCUUAUGCAAUGUGAAUAUACAUUAAGCAUAGAAUUUGUUUUUUUCUGGGCAAUCAUGUGCAAUUUCUGUAAUUGGUACUCUGGGUUUAGGUCAUGCACACAUUGAAAAAAGAAAUGGUUUGAUUGCUUUUCAAUGUGUCUAUUUACUUUCCUAGUGAAACAUCCUCCUCAUAAUUUCUAGUUUUUUCUCCUCUCCAACUUUGUCAUUUAAUAGUCAACCAACCGGCAUUAUUUAUCAUGAAAUAAUAUGCAGAGGAUCCAUCUAAGAAACCAAGAAACAUACUUGAUGUUGGAUGCGGUAUUGGUGGCAGCACCAGGUACCUAGCAAGUAAAUAUGGUUCUCAAUGUAAAGGCAUCACCCUUAGCCCUUUUGAGGCUGAAAGAGCUCGUGUUCUAACAGCUGCCCAAGGAUUAGAAAGCCAGGUCUGUAUGAACUCUCCGUGUUACAAUUUUGAAAGAUUUGCAAGAAGUUAUCAAUUGUUAAAUCACCCUUUAUGCAAGUGCACAAUGAGUAAAAAUUUUCAUUCCUCCAUUUCUUAAGGAAUGAUGACAGAGUGCAUACAACUACUAUGCUUUCGAAAAAAAUUGUCAACAUUUUGCAGUAUAAAGACACACUUCUUAAUUAGAUUUUGAGUAUAAAAGAUCCUUGUAUUGACUUUUGGAUAUCAUGUAGACCUUGUUGUGCACAUUUUGCAGUAGAUUUUGUUAAAAAAGCUACUACAAUUAACGUUCUUAGCGAAUAGUUUGAAUCAUUAUCAUUAGUCACAAAUUGGACUCGCCCUUUUUACAUAUUUUCCCCAAUCUUUUAAACCAUAUAAAGCAAGAGAUGCAUUUUCAUAGAAUACUAGAUGCUAACCCAUGCACAUGCACAUAUUUAUAUUACCUGUUUAUUUCUAUGAGAAAGAUAAUAGACAAUGAAUGAAGUUACAUAUGAACUAAACAAAUUGAUCUGAGGAAAGUUAAAGCAAAAAUAUUUCAACAACAACAACAAACAAUUUCAAAGCGUGGAAGAAAAAAAGAAAAGUUUCAGCAUUCCUGAGGCUAGCUCGUGAAUGGUCCCAAAGCCUCCCCACUUUUGGUUCAAGAAAGCGAAACUGAUACUCCAAAGUUUCAAGAAUCCUAAUUUGUGAUAGUUUUGUUUUGAUUACCCAUCCUCACCUUUACUUUUAUACACUAAAAAUGCAAAAUUUUUAAAUCCUAAAUUUUAGCGGAUAAAAUUAUCUCAUGAUAGAAUUGAAUUCAAAUAUGUAUUAUCAGUAAUCUUAGGUAAUGAUGAUAACUCUUGGAUUUGGAUACACACGUAUGUGCAUUCAUAUAUAUAUAUAUAUAUAUAUAUAUAUAUAUACAUACAUACAUAUACAUAUAUAUGUGUGUGUGUGUGUGUGUGUGUGUACACAUAUGCACAUAUACACACAUACAUCUAACUAUAUAAAAGCGGGAGUUGGGUUAUGAGCAAUGUUUUAAAACCCGGACCGUCAAUUGAACCGGUGAGGUGAAAGGGUCGAGGUUCAACCGAUUGGACCCGUUCAACCUCGGUUCAAUGAAUUUUUUUAAAAAUAAUUUAUAUAAAUAUAUAUAUGCACAAAAUAAGACAUGCAAUGGACUAAUUUAAAACUGUAUAUGAUGAAAAGUUCACUAUUUUUGAAUAAUUUGGAUUUUCAAAAAUGAAUUUUUUAAGUUAUAAGUUAAAGCAAAUAAAUUUCAUCUCAAUUUCAAUUAUAUCUACCCAAAAAAAUCUUAAAUCCAAUCCAAAAUAUCACAAUAUUUUGAAAUUAUACAAAAUUCACUUCUAUGAGAAUUUGACAUUGUGAACUUAAAUUUUAAUUUACGUCUUUGAGAUUUAAAGAUUGUAAUUUAAAAAAGAAAGUUUGGAGUUCGAAAGAAGUUAAGAGAAUUGAAAAUAGAAAUGCAAACUUGAUAAGAAACAAAAAAUGAGAUAAAAGUGAGUGGUUGUGGCAUUAAAUAAUUUGGGUUAAAGAAAAAUAAUUCUUUUUUAACUUUUUCCAAUUUAAUGGACAAAAACAAAAUUAAAAGAUAGAAGAAAAUAUCAAUAAAUUAAAACUAAUGAGGUUCGAUUAAAAAUGAAGUGACAAAAGAAAAGAUGAGAGAGAAAGAAAGAAAGAGUUGAAGAUUAAAAAGAAAAAGUCAUGAGAGGAUGGGGUUUUGUAAGAAAAAUGCAAAAAUAAAAUAUAGAUGUUUGUUUUAUAUAAAUAAGUUAUCAAAAAAAGCAAAUAAGAUGUGAUGGUGCAAUGGUUACUACAUUGAUUUUCUAUUGCAAAGGUUUUGAAUUCGAAUCUUGAUAGAAGCAUUUCGCAAAAAAGUAAAAAAAAAAAAAAAAAAAGGAAAACUCAAAACCGGUUCAACACGAUUCACCGGUUUUCACGGUUUUGACCGGAUUUGACUGGUUCUCUGGCAAAGUCAACCAAAGCAUAGAACCGGACCAGUGCCAUGGCCGGUUCACGGUUCAACCGGUCGAACCGGCCGGUCUGGUCCGAUUUUCAAAACAUUGGUUAUGAGUAGUAAUUCUUUGUCAAGUGGUUAUCAAGUAAUUUUCAGCAACUUUGAUGGCUUUUGUAUUUGUUGGUUUUGUUGACUUUUCGGGAACUCCAUUUGCAUCCGUCAUUGGCAGUUCCUCAUGUCAUUAGGAUUAGUCUUAGUAGUCCUUCAUUUUUUGCUAAUGCCAUUUCCUGUUUCUGCCUUACUCGGAGGCCAGAAGAAGAUGCAUGUUAUAGUUGUAUGGUUUAUUUGUAAUUUAUUUGUUCUUUGUUCCUCUUUGUUUGCAUCAUUUUCGCCUAUUGUGAUCCGCAGAGAUAGGCCAUCUUAGCUAUUCUUGACUAUUAGUUUAGCCUUAGGUUUGUCUUAUUUUUCAGUUAUGCCAUUCCUUUUUUCCUUCGUUCAAGCUGCAUGCUAUAGUUGCUUGAUUGUUUGGUAAUUUUGUUGUCUUCUGACCCUAUUUUUUGUUGACUCAUUAUUCACUUUUGUGGAUGCCUCACUUUUUGUUUCUACAUGUUUCUUUGAUUUAGCGGAUAGUGAAAUAAAUUUGUUUGGAAAAGAAUGCACGCCUAAGUGGAUGCAGUGUUCAAUUUUCAUGUGAUAACUAUUGCUGUGACUAUGCAUGUAACCAUGCUCCGGACUGUCUUCCAUGGAAUUUCCAAAAAUUGAGCUGGACGGAAAAAAAAGGGCCGGCAUUUUCAUCAAAAGUUAAUGAAAUAGUUUAAAGUGUCAAAAGGUUUUAACCAAAAAUAGUUUCUAAUUUUGCUGAUUUUUAAAAUGUACAAUUAUAAAGAUAUAUUAGUCUAUAUAUUUAUAUUUAGUGUGCAUAAUUAUUAGAAAAUUUUUAGUACCCUUAUUUUUAUUAUUAUAGUUUUCAUUCUAUUUAUAUGUGUGUGCUAAUUUAUGAGCUUAUUUUCUUUUUAAAAAAGACAAUAUCUAAGGAUAUAAAAGGGGAGAGUUGGGUUAUGAAUAGUGCUUUUUGGUCAAGCGGUUAUGCUGCAAUUAUUGUUGGAUGUGGAGGCUAUUUUCGUCAAUUGGCUGUUUUGGUUAUUUCACGUUGGUGGUUUACUUUGUGCGGCGAUAAAUAAAAGUUGUGUGUGUGCUUGUUUUUCUAUGCAAUUUAAUACUCAUUGCAUUGGGUGAAGUGGUUGUCUACCAUGUUGACAAGAAACUUCUAAUUGCAUGAUUUUCAAAAAUUGAACCGAAAAAAAAGUAGAAGUCCAACAUUGUCAUCACAAGUAACGAAAAUUGGCUGUCAAGAUUUGGGACUAAAAAUGGUUUAUAAUCCUUCUACUAUUUAAGAUGCACAAUUAUUAAAAAAAAUAUUAGUCUAUAUAUACAUAUUAAAUGUAUAUAAUUAUUACAAAUUUUUUGAUGCCCCUUAUUUUUAUUGUUAGUUUUCCAUUCUAUAAGCAUAAAGUUAUUUCCGUCUUGUAUGUGAGCUAGAUGGUUAACUUAUUUCCUUUUUAAAAAAAUUAAUUUGUUAUUUUUCUAACAUAUUCGUAUUUAAUAUAUAUAAUUAAUAUAAAUUUUUUAACACAUUCAUUUUUCCUAAUGACUCUAAAUUGAAAAGCAAUGUGCUAUUUUUUUUAUUAUUUUAGUCAAACAUGUAACAUUAAUUAGAUUAUUUCUUACAUUAAAAAGCUAAAGUACUCUAAAUUUCAAACAAUAUAUAAUAUAAUUAUAUAUAUAAUACAAAAGGGAGAGUUACCCUAUGAAUGGUAUUUUUGGUCAAGUGGUUAUCCUGCAAUUAUCUAAUAAUAUAAAAUGAAGAGUUGUCCUAUGAGCAGUGUUUUUUUGUCAAGUGGUUAUCCUGCAAUUGUUAUUGGAUGUCGGGGCUAUUUUCAUCAAGUUGCCUGUUUUGUUUGUUUAAAGCAGGUAUAGUUUUGGUGCAUUUACGAGACAUGUUGAUCAAAUUAGUAAUUGGUGGUGUAAAAAGUGAAGCUUUUGAAAGUUGGUUUUUUGUGGUUAAUUAUUUGCUUUUAAAGUGUCCUUUUUUUUACCUAUGAAAGAAUUGAUAAAUUAUUGCUAGCUUUAGUGACUUUAAAAAUGGCCUUUAUUACUGUGACAUGAAAUAAAAUUGUUAAAUGUUCUGUAAAUGCACAAUUAGCGAGGAAACAAUGAAUAAAUUAUUGUUGGUUUGACAUCAUAUAAAAUUGUUAAGUGUUCUGUAAAUGCACAAUUAUUGAAGAAACAAUUAAUAAACCAUUGUUGGCUUUAGUAACUUUAAAAAAUGGAUUUUAUUACUGCGAUAUGUGGUGAUUAAUUUAACAAUGCCAAGUUCUAUGGUUUAAGUGCUUAAUUGACUUGCCAAGUCCCCCUUUUUUGUGUCAACAAUGAUUAAUACUUUUUUGGGAAUGAUUCACUUCAUAAUUUUCUAAUUAUGCUAAAUCAAAUGCAAAAUAACCUUAUACAGUUUUCUAAUUUACGCUUAUGCAUUCUAUAUAAGCGCCCUCAUGCAUUCUAUAUAUUAUUGUUCUCAUGUAUUCUAUAUAUUUCAUAAUUGUCAACCUUUAAUAAAAACGAUAAUUCUCUAAUGAUCUGCAUGAAUUAGAUAAUAACAUAGAUGUAUACUAAUAAAUCACACAAUAAAAAACAAUUAGCACGGAAAUAUUAGCCCAUGCGCAGGCCGUCUCACUAGUAUAUAUAUGUGCAUAUGUGUAUAUAUAUGUAUGUAUGUAGAAUUAAUCUUCUAUGCACUAACUAAUAAUUUAUACACUAUUAGAUUUAGAUGUUUCGCACACGUGCAAUACAUAAAUUUCAAAUUCAAAUUAAGAUUAAUUAUUAUGCAUGUCAAUAUAGAGAAGAUUAGCCAUAUGUUAUUGAUUAUGCCAAGUUUUAAAUUCAGAUCAAGUCACAUUUCAAAUAAACUUUGUAGAAUGACUCGGGACUUUCUUUCAAAUUCAAGUAAAAGCCACCACAAUGCUAGCAAGAGAACUAAGAAAGAAGAAGAUGUAAAAUCAUUAUGCAGAUGUAUAGUAGUGCUGCUUUCUUUUCCUAACAGCUACUAAAAUGUACAUAGCAGGUUUCCUUUGAAGUGGCAGAUGCAUUGAAUCAGCCAUUUGCAGAUGGGUCAUUCGAUUUAAUUUGCUGUAUUGAAUGUGAAAAUCACAUAAGCGAUAAAACAAAGGUUAUUUUUCUUCUUCUAUCCUUUACAAUUACUAUUUCUCUUUAUUUUUUUUUGUUUUUAUCAUUCUAUAAAAAAGAUUAUCUACCCUACUUGUUGAACGUAGGUAUCACGUAUAUGCAUUAAUAUAAAAUUCUGCUGAUGCUAUUUUCUUCUUGAUGAAGUUUGUUCAUGAGUUGAGUCGGGUGGCUGCCCCUGGUGCUACCAUCAUUUUACUCACUUGGUGUCAUAGGGAUCUUUCCCCCCUUGAACAAGAUUUGCAUCCAGAUGAGAAAAAGUUACUGACCCAUGUGCUGAGAAGAAAUCCUCUUAAGUGGAUUUCUACUGCUGAUUACAUAAAUUUAUUCAAGUCAUGCUCUUUUCAGGUAUUUAAUCGCGUUUACUUUUUGCGGCUUAUUUAUUCGAUCAGAAUCAUUAUUUUUCUUCAUCCCAAUAUUUUCCCCCAUUUAUCCAUGUCUCCUGUUGUUAAUUAGGAGAUCAAGUAUGCAGACUGGUCUCCACACGUUGCUCCAUUUUAUGCAGAAAUGAGGAAGAUAACGUUGUCAUGGAAGGGAAUCAUGUCGUAUGUUAGACAUGCUGGUAAGCAUUGUGUAUUUCACUCGCCUAUAUAGCCGAUUCAUUACCAUUAUCUACCUUGUAAUUGUAUGCUAUAAUUCUUAACCAUUUCUCCAUCUUUUCUCAAUUUCAAUUAAUAGGAUGGAGCCAAAUGGGCAUCAAGUUUCUGAUGAUGCCGUCAGUGUUCGACAGAUUCAAAAAUGGUCUGCUUAAGUAUUGCAUUCUUACGUGCCAGAAGCCUCAGUAGUUCAGUUCCAGUGAUGUUUAAUGUCCAUGCAUAAAUAUCACUCCACAGUCGAGUGAUAAUUCCUUGUUUUUCUUUCUCAAAAGCUAAUUUGUACUUGUAUUGUUCCUCAAAACGUGAGAAUUUUCCUUUUUCUUUUCUUUGGAAGAUCUACUAUAUUGUGCAUAUGCGUUGCACAAGACUACAGGUAAUUUGGAGUUUCCAAUAUCAGAACUAGCAGACUUGGUCCACCUAAAAUUGAUAUAAAAAGAAAAGUUCCAGUCGAGUUGUCAAAGCUGAGGUGUAACUUUUAGUUGCAUAUUAAUCCAAGUUUUUUUACGUGUGUGUUACUGUCGUUUACGAAAAAAAAAAAAUCCAAGUUUUUUUACUUUUCUUUUAAGAAAAGCAAAUUGGUCUAAGUUGAACUCUCUUAAUUUUCUCAAAAUCUGGUCUCCAACGGCUGGAGAGGAGAAAACCAAAUAAAAAUGUAGAAAAAUUAAGAUGCCAAGAUAAAUGAAAAGAGACAUACCCACGGCCACGGAUGGUACACAGCAGUGUCGAAAAGAGACAUCCAAUAAACUCUUGGGGUUAUUGCUAUUUAUACAGAAAAUGUGACGUUGGAUUGAAGUUUUUCUGAGAAAAUUUUUUACCUUUUUAGUGAUCACAUUUUCUAAUAAUCUUUUCCUCAUAGAUACUAAACAUAAAAAAGAACUAAACUAUGAUAUUUAUAAAUGAAAAAUAGUAAUAUAAUAAAAAGUGGGAAAUGAGACAGAAGAUCCGUUGUGACCAUUAAUUGUAAUCAGACAAAAACAUAAUUAGAUUACAAAACAAUUUGGUUUUGUUAGGAUACUUUUGUUCGGCUUUCCUUUACAUGUUAGGAAAAAACACAAGUGAUAAAAUCCAAACGUGUAAUUAGCAAAUAUGUUAACUUUUUUAUAAAAAGAAUUUAUAUUGAAGUAGUUUAGAGUUGACUAUUUGUCUAUCUAAAAUGUAACAUCUAAACUACUUUAAAUUAGGCAUUUACAUAUUAAAUCCGAUUUGGUACAAAGGUGAAAAAAUUUGAGAAAAAAAUAAGUAAAUAUAAAGAGCCAUGAGUCAAGAAUUUCACAAAGAUGACUUAUCUUUAAUUUCUUUCCCAUUUUCAUGAUAAAAUUACCAUUUUAUUGGUAAUUAAUCCACUUUAAUUCCAUUAUUUAUUAAACUGUUCUUGUCUAAUUAAAGUUUUCCGUUUGCUCUCCAAAACUCACUGUAUAAAUGUGAACUUAUAUUUCAUUGGGCGUUGGGCUCUCUUGCAAUUACUUUGCUUUCAUAUUUUAGAUAAUUCCUUACUUUCAAUUACAAACUUAAGUUAAUUUUUAACAGCACCAAAUGUUGCAUGACAUUAUUAUGUAUAAGGCAUUAUUUUGAAAAUCUGGCGGUUCCAAUUUUUUGUUGAUUGGGCUUGUUAACGUUACUUCAUUGCUGGUUUUGUUGUUCCAAUUUUUUCAUUUACCAAGUUAAAGAGAACUAGGACAUUAGGGAACAAGUGAAGAAAAGAAUUGGUUAAUAUUUAGACAGUGACUCCACUAUCUCCAUUUUUCUUCCGUUAAAAUUUUUAGUUUGCAUACUAACCCUUCAAUUUCUUAACAACUUACUUUCCUAAAAUCUCAAAGUUUUCCAUAUUUAACCUCAACAUCCCACAGCAUAGAAUUAAGCCUAGCUACUUUCCAAAUUCUUGAAACAGAAUUUUGCUGCACAUUGAUUGCGCACCUACUUUCUCCAAGUAUAUAUAAAUAGUGUAUGGCUGUGGCUAUCAAAUCUCUCACUGUUUGUUCCUAACAAAGAGACAUAGAGUAAGUACCUAAUGGAGGCAAGAAAGAUUAAUACUGUUGCUCCUAUCAUGGUGUUACAGCUUCGGGCAAUUGAAGACUCAACAGCAGACAAAGCCAUAAAAGAGCCACCAGCGGCUUGCUUUGCCUUUUCUUUUAAGAAAAGCAAAUUAGUCUAAGUUGAACUCUCUUAAAUUUUAUAAAAAAUGUAAAUUAGAAAAGAAAGUAUUGAUUAUUCAAUACUUGGAAUAAUCAAUACCACGUAUAAUAUAUGCAAAAUGGGCACUUAUAAACUGAGUACAUAGAAAGCUUAAGGGUAUUUUUGUUUUCAAGUAGAUAUUGAUAAUAGAAUAUAGUGGCAAAAUGGCCAGCUGACCAAGGCUCUCCCAUAUACCGAAUAUAUCGAAAGUUCAAGAAGUCGAAGGGUAUUUUUGUUUUCAAGUAGACACUGAUAACAAAAUAUAUACUAAUUAUCGGGAAGGUAAAAAAAAAAAAUCACUAAAUCUUCACGUCGAGUAUGGAAUCAGGCUUUCACUCGAAAGCUUCCAUAUGUGGUUUCUCCCCCUUGAAGUUAGCGUCAUUACCAUAGUAAAAGAACGUGCAUUCAAGCUUUGACUCAAAAUCUUUCAUUUGAAGUUUUUCCUUCUUCUCAUUUGUGUCAUCGCCAUUGUUAAUGAGUACGGAUUCAUGUUUGGACUUGAAGUCCUACAUAAGCGAUUUCUCCUCCUUAUCACUCUGCUAAAUGAUUAAUAUGGAUUCAGGCUUUGACUCAAAGUCUCUCAUAUGCGGUCUAUCCUUCUUUGAAUUGGCAUCAUCUGCGUGGUAAAGGAAGGUGGAACCAGGUUUUGACUUGAAGUCUUUCAAUGUAUUAGAGUGAAGGUGCUAAUUUUGUUCAGUAAAGUUCUCAGGGUUGAUGGCGGGUUCAGAAUGUCCCUGGGAUCCUUUCUUGCUUCCAUGAAGCAUGCAAGCGGCACAUUCAGGGCAAAUGACAUAAUUGAAGAAACAAGCAUCAUUGUGUAUAGGUACCUAAACAAAUAAGGGAGGUAUGUUGCACACCAAAUUAUAGCCUUGUUGGUCUUGCUUAUCUUAAAGUGUCAUUCUACACAGGUGGACCUGCUUAAAAAAUUUUUACGUAAAUCUAGGACCAUUAAUUUCUUGCUCGUCAACCUUACCUACUAUACCAACACCUUCUCAACCUAUCUCUCUACCUCUAUAGUGGAGACAUUGGAGAUGAAUUCCUCUAACCAACGAAAGUAAACAGUUUCAAAAGUCAAGUUACAGGACAUUUAAGUUUCUUAUAGCCCACAUCGGAAUGUUUUGAAAAGGAAAGCUUUAUGAACAUACAACUACAGAGCCACACGUCAGUUUUGCUCUCCUUAAUCUGAAGAGUUUCCGAUACCUCGGUCGGGAUAGUUAGAGUUGAGGAUUAAUGCGUGAAAAGGAAGAAGAAGGCAUUUUCUCAGGUAGAUAGUUUUAAUUGAGAGGAUCAUAACAAUGCCGAAUAAUUAACGUGAUUUAAGUGGGCGUAAGUUCUAACAGUCAAAGAAUCAUUGCUUAUGAACUACUACUUCAAGUAGAGGAUUGAUGUUUGAGAAAUCUUACCAGGGCAGUUGUAAAGAAUGCGACGAGAGCAACAUAUGAACCCAUCCUCCCUUUGAAUAGCCUCAAAAUGUGACUUUGAUAGUGGAAAACUCUUGGGGUUAUUGCUAUUUAUACAGAAAAUGUGACUUUGGAUUGAAGUUUUUCUCAAAAAAUUUUUUACGUUUUUAAUGAUCACAUUUUCUAAUAACUUUUUUCUUACAUACACUAAAUCGCUACAGUAAUUUUUCUAAAAAAAAAAACUCUAAAAAUAGCAAUCCAAACGGCAAGAGUAUAGCAUUGAUGACGUGUCUAGUUGGAUGGCUUCCACAAUUUCCUGUCUUGGUAUUCGUACACCAAUCCAUUACCAACAAUUUUGCAUUUGUCUCUACGGGCCGAAAUUUCCUCAAGUCAUCCGUCCAUUUGAAAUAACACUACAUUGUUAGUGUUUUUAAGACUCAACUUAGCUCAUAGAGAUAUUCGCCAGGUAAUGAUGGAUAAAAACCUUUGAACCCUCCUAUUUGGCCCUUCUCCCUGAUAGAAGCUCUCCUAUGGAAAAGAAAAAAAAAAGACAGAAGCAAGUGGCUAUUUUGAAAAUUUACAGGUGCGUGAAUUUUACAGCAACGAAUAUUGACGUGCAGUUGGAGCCAUCACAAUUUUUCAGUGGGAGCACAAUUCUCUCUGGCGCUAUUACUCAUUAGAAAACAAAUUUAGGCAUCAAAAUACGCACCACCAAACUAUUGGAACAUUACUUGUCAAGGGAGAAUGUGUUCGCUGCCAAAAAUCUCUAUUUUCAGAAGACAAAAAUUGACUUCAAGUGUUUUUAAUAACAUCGCUCUGGCACAAUUAGAUGCCCAUAGUUGACGAUCCAGACAAUUGAAAUGUCAUUUGGGAGUGUAUGUUCAUCUCAUUGAUUUGAAGCACAUAAAUGGCUUGCCUUGCUCUACUUUGCUCGAUUAAUAUGGUUUUCUUUUUACCGGUACUUCGAAAUUCGAACCAGACCAAUUGGUUUAAUUGCUUGAACUCAGAACCCUUUAUUCCCUUAGAUGUUCAGUUCAAGUUUACUGGAAAAAAAAUCAAUUUUUUCUUCUUUUUUGUUGCAUUCUCUCUUUCUUUUUUAUGAGCUUUUAAGUUUAUUAAUUUCUUUGCCUUGAGUUUGAUACUCAAAAAUUUUCACCAUAAUAGUUCUUUUUGAGCUAUGGAUAAAUUCAACAACAAUAAAUGCUCUCAUAAAUUUCUUCUAAAUUUGAUUACAGUCUUGAUUUUUGCCAAAUAAGGCACAUGGAUUUAGUUCUAAACCCGUCUUUUUUAUUUAAAAUUUUAAUGUUGUUAUGCUAUUUUAUGUGACAUAUAAUUCAGGCAUAAUUAUGACAUCUUCCUAGAAUUUAGCGCCAUUAGAUGCUCAUAAUUGAGGAUCCACACAAUUUGAAAUGUCGAUUGGGAGUGUAUGUCCAUCUCAUUAAUUUGAAGCGCGCAAGUGGUUGCCUUGCACUACUUUUGCUCGAUUAAUAUGGUUUUUGCCAAAAUUUUGAAAUUCGAACCAGGCUAGUUGUUCAAUUGCUUGAAACAAGAACCCUGUACUCUGUUAGAUGCUAAGAUCUUUUUUUUUGCAAUAAAAUACAAACAAUUUCUUCUUCUUUUUUGUGUUGCAUUUUCUCCUUCUAUUUUAUGAUCUUUUAAGUUUUAUUAAAUUUUAGGGAAAAUGGCCAAUUUAAUCCUCAAACUUUUUUACUUAAAUCAAUUUCAUCCUUCAUUUUUUAUUUAGAUGCUUUUAGUCCUUCAACUUAAAUUUAGUAGCCAAUUUCAUUCUUUUGUGGCGGUACUACUUUUUGACACAAAAAUCAUCACCUAAUUAAGGGUAAUAUAGGAACUACAAGUUAAAGGUCAAAACAAAAAAACAGAAAAUUGCUAAGGAGUAAAGCAGAAAACAUUUCAUCUUCUUCAAUAAGCAGCUGCAUCUCUGAUUCUUCUUCGGUUAGCUCCUGCCAAACUUCCAAAAACCAUAUGUUUUUUUCUUCUUUAAAAAAAAAAUCUUCAUCAACAUUGUUUUUGUACAUCAUCAUGUGUCUUGUAAUUUUAGUUUACAAUUAAGACUUAUCAACAUAUAAAAUCUUUUGGAUAAACUCAAGAAAAGUAUUCAAAGUAGCAAAUGGAUUAGCUGUUUUCUAAGCAUUCCCUUGUCGAUAGCUACCUCAUCAUCGUUGCAUCAAAGCUUGGAAAAUAACUUCCUUAAAUCAUUAUUUUAAAUUGCAUUUUCACUUUGAACUUUAGGCUUACAAUUCAGACUUUUUCUUCGACUUCUUUAUCCAUCCCCUCCUGCUGCAUAGCCCCUGUCGACAAUUAACUCCGAUGGCAGUAGUAGAUUUUGCUGGGGAAACGAGACUUGACAGUAUUGGGGUUCCAAAAAAUAAAUGAAUUAGCAGCUUUGAGUAAGGUUUCGGGGAUUUGGGUUUGGAAUUCCACUGGUGGAUUGGCUUUUGCAGUUUUGUGGGGCUUCGGCAUUAUCCAGAGGUGGAGAAGAAGAACAAUUUGGGUUAUUGCACCUUUUGUUUUACUCCCCAAAUUAAUGGAGAAUUGGUUUUCUCCCCAAUGUAACAAAAACUAUUUUGCAUUCAUUGUUUUAAAAGUGAUCCCUAUUUCAUAAUUCCUAUGUUGCCCUUAAUUGAUGGUGAAUUUUGUGCCGAAAACAAUUUUACUGGCGGCGAUGCUGCAAAAGGAUGAAAUUGGUUACUAAUUUUAGUUAAAGGACUAAAAUUACCUAAAUAAAAGAGGAAGGAUCAAAUCGCCUUAAGUUAAAAAGUUGAAGGACUAAAUUGGGCAUUUUCCCUAAAUUUUAUUGCCUAGAGUUUGAUACUCAAAAGUUUUCACCAUAAUUAGUUCUUUUUGAGCUAUGGAUAAUUUCAACCGCAAUAAAUGCUCUCAUAAUUUUCUUCUGAAUUUGAUUACAGUCUUAAUUUUUUAUAUUUUUUUCAAAUAAGACUUAUGGAUUCAGUUAUAAACCCAUUGUUUUUCUUUGAAAUUUAAAUGUUAUUAUGCUAUUUUAUGUGAGACAACGAAGCCCGACCUAAUUAUUAAGACGCUUUACCUAUAGUCGAAAAGUCAUGGGCUUGAGUUAUCAAGGAGGUAAGUAGAGAAUUAUUAUUUAUCCUCUUCUAAGAACAAGAAAAAAUGCUACUUUAUGUGAGAUAUGAUUGAUAAAUAUUUAUGACAUCAUGAUGACCUUAUGAUAAUUUUUGGUUUUUCAUAAUAAUGAACCCUAUGAGUGCCAUUCAAGUGGGAUAGAAACUCAAAUUGAUGGCAUUUACAAGUGCCAUUAAAAAAGUGAUAUUUUAUAAUAACUUUUCUUAGAUUGAACUUAAUCGCAUUAGAGAACUGCAUCCUCAUGCAACAAUUAUCUAUGCUGAUUACUACAAUUCUGCAAUUUGAUUCUAUCGCUCACCAAAAGAAUUCGGUAUUGCACUAUCUUUUUACUUCCUAAUUUUGUCACAACUCAAAAUAGUACUCAAAAGUUUUAUUUAGAUACUUUGUCCUCUAGACUUCACUAGUUUAUGUCAUAUCAUCACCUAAUCCGCAUGACCCUCAUGCACCUUUUUUUUGAUAGAAAGAUCAUUUCAUUCAAUAAAUCCGCACUAAUAGUAGAAAAUACAUUAAACGUAACACAAAUACAUAUGGAUUUGAAAUCAAUAGAUAUAACAGGUCUAAAAAAUCAAUACAAAUAAAGAUAACAUUGAUGCUCUUAUAUAUCUUCCAUCCAGAUGAAUUAUUGUAGUUCAAUACAUCUAUAUAUGUCUUUUGACAGUCAGAUCUUAUUAAAACUGGUUCAAAUUCAAAGAAAAAUUUAGAUCUUAUAAUAAUGAAGAAAUUGCAUAAAUGCGAAACUAAAUUCUAGAUCUAUAAAAAGUAGAUAAAGUUGAAUUAACAUCUGUGCACCUUAAAGUGCAAAGUACAUCUAACGUAAAGUUGAUUAACUCUUGCAGCCUCUUGGGGAGCUGGUGGUCCACAUUAUUUUAAAUCAUCUAUGGGUUGUGGCGACCAACAAACAACUGGCUGUGUUGAUAUCCUUUGGCACAUAUUUGCUGGGACGGUAUGCAUUAGACAGAAGCAGCCAACAGAUUAAUAGUUAAGGCUCUAUUUGAAGGACCAUAUUCAACUCCUGUCAUUGAUUUACAACAAAAUAGGUUAUUAGUGUUAACAAGAGUUGUCACUUAAUUUAAAUAUCGUCACUGAAACAAAUCAGUGACAACAAUUCAGUCGUUAUGCUGCCGACACUGAACCAUUGUCAUAGAUGACACCUAUUGAUAUGUUACAAAAAAAGUUGUCACUUCUAUAUAAUGACGACCUCUUAUUGUCAAUAUUGCAAAAGUCUUUAGUGACUAUUGUUUUUGCAAUUAAAUCAGCUAGGUUGUGACUGUUGUUGACCUAUUGAUCAUCACUAUUAGAAAGUGACAUUGACAAGAAGUCAUCACUGUGUUUGAAACAGCAUUAAUGAUGACUUGGCCUCGUCCCAUUUGUCCUUAACAAUAAUAGCAAGUGAAAGGUGCUCUGUUGUCACUCCAUGUAUUGCUGAUAACUUCAAAGCUGUCAUGCAAUCCCUGUUUUCGGUGACAACUCAAUUUUUGUCGAUUAUGCAGUUGUGUUUCAGCUACAUUUGCACCUUACUAGAAAAACCAAUAAACCAAGUCCAAAUUUAUAGGGACUAACAUGAAACCAUAAAUGUGUACUAAGAAAACUAGCAAUUUAUUAGUGAAUUAACACGAAUCCAUGAACCAAAUUCAUAAAAACAUCUAUUUCAUCAAAGCAUCCAAAUCGAUGUACAACAUUGAGUUAUUGAUAUUCUAGUUUUUAGGUAGUUUUUGAAUAGUUGAAAAAAAUAUAUUUUUUUAUGUUUAAAAGAUAAGGUUCAAUUUCACAAACGUUUCUCUUAUUUAUAAAUUGUAACAAACUUUUAUUUCCUGUAAAAUCUAUAAACAGAAAAGAUAAACACAAAGCAUAAAUGUUACCAGUGACCCCCUAAAAUUGGCUAUCAUAUCUGGAUAGAAAUUAACCUUCAACCAAGUUUGAAAUCAAACUGUUCAUUGGUCCAAAAAAAUAAUUGGGUCAAGAAUUAUUGGUUCAACUAUUCAGCUGAACAUAAUUGACUCGUGAUGACAUGAAUAUGUCAUAAAUGUUUUUCUUCUAUAUAUAUAUAUAUAUUCAUUAUUACAAAUUUGCAAGUAUUUGUAGAUAGUUCACUCUGAUGUAAAAAAUGUUCACUUCAAUCCUUUUUGCAUCUUUUAACCAUUGAAACUCAAAAAUAACUUUUUAAAAACUUUUUUAAGCAAAAAUUAGAGUUAUAUAAAGCAUUUUGUCUAAAUUUUGACUAAUUAAAUACAUAACAGUAUAAAAGAAAGGUAUUAAAGAAAUUAAAGCCAAUAAAAAAAUAAAAUACAUUAAAGGGUUACAGAAGAUAUUGUAUUAGUUAGAGGGAGGGUUAAGUUGGGUGGUAAGGUGGGAGGAGUUGUAAGUAAAAGAUUUUGGAUUCAGUCUUCUGCCUUACCAAAAAAAAUUAUUGUAUUAGAUGUAUAUAUAUGCUGAGCAAUAAUUAAGAUGUAAUAAUAUUCUUUUCAACCCUCACUUUUAAAACGAAACAAAUUCAUCCCUGACAUUUAAAAUUGAAUCUAUUACAUCCCUAAAUCCAACUUUCAAUUUGAAUCAAACCAUCCAGUAACUCGGUAACAAAUUUGGGGGAUAGAAUUGAUACAUAACUUAGUCAAUUCCAUCAUAUUCACAUGACAUUUAUUGAACCAAAAAAGGAAAAAACAAUUUAAAAAUUAUAAUAUAAAAAGCCGUUCUUUGUUUUGGAAUAGUAUAGUUUUUUUUUGGAUAAAUCUUUUCAUAUGUAUACCACACAUACAAAAUUUGGUGUUUAAAUUUAAAUUGAAAUGAUGUGACUGGUAUCUAGACCCAUCAGUGUAUAUAAUAACAAUGUAGAAAAGAUUAAUUCUUUUUUUUUAUUUUAUAAUUUUUAUUUUUUAUUUUUGGAUUUGUUAAAUUUCACGUGAAUAUCAAGUUGAGUUAAUCAAGUGAUCUACCAAUUGUAACCCUGAAAUUUGUAAUCGGAUUGUUAAUCAAGUGAUCUACCAAUUGUUGAAUUCAGGGAUGUAAUAGCUUUAGUUUUUAAAUGUCAAGAACGAAUUCGCUUCGUUUUAAGAGUGAGGGACAAAAAGAAUAUUUUUGUGAAAUGUAAGGGAUGAAACUAAUCAUUUUCUACUAUUGCCUAAUUGGUGGAGACAAUUAUGUACAAAAAAUUGGUAAGGUUUAAAUGCGGAACAUAACAUUAAUUAACCAAAUUUGAAAGUUUUUUUGGUCUCAAUUUAAAUUGUGCACUGAAUUGGCUCGGUCAUUAAAAACUGCACUAGUUCAACUAUUAGUUGGCUGAACUCAAUAAUUUUUCUGAUUUAGCCAAAAUUGACCAUUUUUGUAAUAUUACUGGGUUUUAGAGGCUGUUCGGUCUGACAUGAAGACUGAUCGACAAUUAAACCGAUCCAAUUGGGCGGUCCGGGCAGAGUUUUAAAACAAUGCCUUAAACAUGCCUGCCAGCUGGUCUCGAACUUUCCCACAUUUGAUAGUGCUGGGAGCUAAUAGAACCGCAGGAUGACGCAAGAGACUUAUUUCAACUUAAACGAGAGGAAAUCUGGUAGGUGUCGAACCUGUGCAAUAAUAAAAAUAAAUCCUAAUUAUCAUCACAAGUCGUCAAUAAUCAAUUCUAGGUGCUGGAGUAGGGACUUUAAAUGUGCAUUGGGUUACUUAAUCCAUCCUGUUUCUCAAGAGUUUGCUUAAUUCGAUAUUCCAGAAUUAAUUAACUGACAAAAUUUACUAACUAGUAGACAGUGGCAAGUAGGGUCGACUUCUCAGGAACUGGGGAAACGUUCGUUUCCUUUCGAGUCAAGAUAAAAGGGGGGAUUUAGAAUUUUGUACUAAUGAAUUGCUAACUGAAUAAAUUAAAUACGAAAAAGCAAUUAAUUGAAAGAAAUAAUUAGGAGGAUUCUAGUCAAGGGUUGACAAGUCGUCAGCCUGUGCAAUAAUAAAACCUGCUCAAACUAAAGUUAAUUUCUGUAGAUAGUGGUAAGCAGGGUCGAAUCCACAGGGAUUGGGUGUAACUGUUUCUUUUCAAAUCCACAGUAACAAGGGGGGUGUUUUUGUGCAGAAGGUGACAAUCAAAGAAAUUCAACUAAAAUCUAAGAAGCUACUAAAAAUUAAAUAACAAAUUACUAAAAUCAAAUGGGUGAUAAUUAAGGAUCUAACCAAGAAAUAACUUCAAGAAUGGUUCACCUAAUUGAUCAUCGAAACAAAGGCAAUUCUAAUUAUUUAUCAAUAAAUAGCUUAUAACUACCAAACAAACGAUGACAGUCAACCCCUCCAAACUGUGUCGGUGAUUAAGGUACGCCCGUUAAUCACAACUCUAAUUGAGAAAUAAUUCUAGGUACGCCCAUAAGAUUUAAUUUCUCAAUUGCCUUACGUAUUAGAGGAGCCCUAUUCUAACCAAAUAACGCACUACCAGGGUUAUUUUAGAUUAACCCGCGUAUCCCCCUGACACGAAUCUAAUCGUGCCAGUUGUUACUAUUUCAAGGCAAUUAAACAAUUACGGAUUUAACACCUCAAUUGACAAUAGAUUAUUAAAUUAACUAAUUAUCCGGAUCCAAGACAAUCAAUUAAUUAAACAACCAUAAGCACUGCAAUCAGGGAAUAUGCAAAUACCAAUAAAUAAAAGAAAAAAGAUAAAAUUAAAUCGAUCUCACAAUUUUUAGGCGAACCAGAGCCUCCGUUGUCCUUUGACUAGAGUGAGAAAAUUAAUUCAUAUUGGAUGAACAAAAUCCAUCGGAAAUUGGAGAGAAAGUCGCAGUCAUCAAUUGGAAACUGGGUAAACUUAAUUCGAUUGACCACUGACUAGAAAGAAAAGCUACAAAAUACUUGAUUGUUUGUUUGCUUCUGCUCCAUACGAAUGAAGAGAAAACUACCACUAAAAGCUAAAAAGGAGACAAGUCAAAAGCCAAGCUAAAGGACAAAAAAAACUAAGAAGAGAGUCAGUGCUCUUCCUCUGCGCAAUUCCUAUUCUAAUUAGCCUACUGCUCCUGUGCGGCGUCUGCCGCACUAGAGGAAGAAGACUCCCCGAGGUUUGCUUUCUUUUCCUUUUUUCUAAUUGCUGUCUUCGAUCAAAAUUACCAAAAAGGUCUUGCAUCUCCUUGUUCUAAGAAUGCCCUUGAUUGCCUGCUAUUUGAACUCUUUCCCGAUGACUGUCAAAUUGGCUUUGAUUGUGAUAUUUUUAUUAUACUCCCUGAAAUAAAUGCAAAUUACGAAAAGUGAGUAGAAUUUAAUAAUUAAUUCACAUUGGGUUAGGUAAUAAAGGAAAUUAAUAAUAAAAUAAAUGAUAAAAUUGCACCCUAUCAAUUCCCCCCACACAUAAACCAUGCUUGUCCUCAAGUAUGAGAACAACAAACAAACACCAAUAUUUGAUAGUGGCUAUUGCUCUAUCCACCAAAUUGCCAAGAUACCAAGAAAGACAUAGAUCGAGCCUCAGUGAUCAAGAUCCAAGAAACAUCACUCCGGUUAGUUUCUAAAUCACAAACUCCUUCAAUUCCAGGUUAACUAAUCUAAGAAGAAGGAAUGAUCGCUUAACAUCACUAGCAAAUGGUCCAGUUAUUAACCAAAAUCUCAACAUUAAAUCUAUAAAUCGGCAAGCUGACUAUUAUUAUACACUAACACCACCUUCACUUUUUAUCACAUUUUUCUUUUUUCUUUUUUUUUUUGAUUUUUUUUCUUUUUUUUCUUUUCUCAAUAGUAACAAAAGACUUAGUCGCUAGCCAUUGGAGCCUUUUGACGGGAACUCCAACAUUUUUAGAUGAAGGAGCCUGGUUACUCAACUCUUAUCGGUAUACGAUCACAUACUCAUAGAAAGUACUAUCUUUUAACGCGAGAAUCGACACUUUUAGGUGCAGAUCCCCGGUUACUCAAUAGUAACUAAUAGCGGAGUACAGUCAAGUUUAUUUAUAGCUACAAAUCAAAAACUCACUAUAACACAAGAACCAAAAGAGAACUUGCAUCAGCUAGCCUCAUUUUCAAACAUGGAGAACUAAAGUUAAUAACCGGACCACUCCACAUGAAAAAUGCCAACAAUUAUUCCCUAUACCUAGAAAAGUUAAUCAAAAAUUAGAAAAGUCAAUCAAUUACUGAAAUUCACCAGAGGGAUAUUUCUGAACUCAACCACAUUAACUUGAUACCCUUUUAUUACUAAAACUCGGUAAUAGCAGAAAUAGAGACAACAAUCCAACAUCAAACUUUGGCAUCACUUACGAGCUAAUCACUAAAAAGGAAGAAAGAAAUUGAACGAGAGGUGGACAAAUAGCAAAUUAAAAAGAAAGCAAAAACAUCUAAAAAACUAAAAAGCAGAAAAACUAGCACAGCUGCCCCCCACACCUAGAUCCUACAUUGUCCUCAAUGAAGGAAAUAAAGCAAUUAAAGUGAAAAGGACAAUGAAACUUCCCUCUCGAGUGGCUAAGGGGUCGGCAGGAACGGCGGAAGGGAACCGAUGUGGUGAGACAUCAAUUCAACCAGCAAAUGCAAAACUCUGUCCACCCAAAAUCUCAACAAAGUCUCCAAUAAUGUGCUAAAUCCAGCAAUAUUAGUUCAGGACUUUAGUAAUAGUAGCGCAGUCACAAGCCCUUGGCAGUCAAUCAGAUCUCUAACCAAAUAGAGUUAACAAGUACUCGCACCCUUACCAUUGGUGCAAAUCGCAAUUCAAAAUCAAUGAGAUUUCAAUAGCAGAGCAGAUCAGUAGUAAAGCAAUAGCCCCAAGUAUUAAUCUAGUCAGAAGAAAGAUUCUAAACCUCUAAAGAAGAGCAACAGGCGACUAGAAUUCCAAUGAAUAGAGCAAGUAGAGGAACCGUAGGUGGGAACCCAGUCCACCGAAGUCAAUAAACAAACCCAGGAAACAAAUAAGUCCGCAAAUGAGUCAACAAAUUGCACAAAUGAUCAGACCAAAAUCACAGACACUGCUCCUCCAAAUCAGCAAUAUAAACCAACAUCCAGAAUGUCCUUAAAAACUCGAUUAAAAACUACUAAUGCCAACAAGGAAUGCAGUUGCCGAAUUAAAUCAACGAAAAUUUCAACAAGCACAACACUGGCCAAGAUUCUUCCCAAAAUAUCACAGACAAUUGUUAAAAUUCUAGCCCACCCAAGAACUUCAACAAUUCCCCCCAAAAGUUUGAACAAAUGUCCCCCCCCCGGCACUGUGCUAGAGCACAACCAAUUUCAACGAAUGUGCUAAUCAAAGAGGCUAAGAGCAGGGCAACUGUCAAACACCCAAUAACCCAAAACAAUUGAACUCAAAUCCACAAAAAAAUGCAAUAAAUAUUCCCAAGAAUUUGGCCGACCCGAAAUAGCAAGUCAGAAUAUAGACAGUAGUAACAUAGGCACCAUCUCCGCGCUCUCAAUUAGGUAGGCAACAACAGAGAAUGAACAAAUCCGGAGUAAAACACACAGCUGCUAAACGAUACCAAUCAACACCAAAAAAUUUUUGAGAUCGAGGUUGAAAUACCUCUACUGGCCGCCAAACAAAGAACUGGAGUGGUAGUGGCUGGCGCGGCGGCGGCCUGGUGGUGAGAGGCGCGGGAGAGAGGUAGAGUUGCGGGUGGAGAGCUCAGGCUGCAGCUGUGGCGACUGACCGCGGACGGCGGAGCUGCUGCUGGAGUUGCAUGAUUGGGUGCGGCGGGCAGUCGGCGUUGGUAGGAGCUGUGGAGUGGGUCUGGUGGUCGGCGGACAAGCUGGAGUGGAGGCGGCGUGAGUCGCGGUGGCGUGUUGCUAGCGGCGAGCAAAGAAAGGUGAAGUUGGAGCCGAGGUGGAGAGGAGCUGGCAGCGUGGGCGGUGCGCGCGACAGCAGCUCGCGGUGAAGGUGGUGGCGGCGCGAGGGAGGAAGCGGCGUGCGCAGGUGGAAGAAAAGAAGAAACAAGGGAGAAGAAAGAAAGAAAAGAGAAAGAACAAGAAAGAAAGAAAGAAAGAAAGAAAAAGGAAGAAAAGAAAGAAAAGAGAGAAAAAAAAUGUUUUUUUUUAAAUUGAGAAACCGAGCUACAGUUGAAAAAUUUUUCUUCUUUCUUUUUUUUUAAAAAUUUUUCGUUUUUUGUUUUUUUUUGUUUUAAAACUUUUUUUUUUAAAUAAAAAUUUUUUGCAAAUGUUAUUUUCGAAAUUCAAAAUUAGAGAUUAACCGAAAAUCAAUAACCGUUCUUGAGUUUUUUUUUUGAAUACUUACCUUUCCCGCGAAUGUGAAACGGGCGCGUCAUGAGAACAAGAGAGUUCUCUGACCAUGAGCUUUUCAUGGGACUUGACGCGGGCACGUCAUGAGGAUUGAAACCCUUUCUAACGAUUCUGAUCGUGAGCUCUCUAUACGUCAUGACGCGGGCGCGUCAUGACAGAGGGACACCUACAAAUCAUCAAAACGAAAAUUGAAACUUGAAAUCAGUCAAAUUCAAGGAAAAUAUAUUUAAACUAUCACACAAAAUCAAACAAACAAUUAGAAGAAACAAUUGGGUUGCCUUCCAAUGAGCGCCUUUCUUUAAUGUCUUUGGCUAGACAUUAUCAUAUUUUGUUAAUGGAGGAUAAAAUCUUGUGGCUCGUCUCAUUGCUUCCUUCUCUAUAUAGUCUUGAUAACCCUUGUAAAUAGAGUAAUUCUUGGGCACACGAACUAUGGGGCUUCCAUGGACUAGUAAAUGGCGCUAAACAAGUCAACAAUGAUCUGCAUUCUCCACUCACUCCUCCCUCACUUGCAUUUACUGGUUCAAGAUAUUUUGCCAUCGCCACUCUUAAUUUAUUCCUGUCAUGAAAUUUAAAAUUUUCUGGUAUAAUAAAGUCAAUUUCAUUAACAGGAAUUGAAGAAUAAGAGUCAGGAGAAUAUUGAUGAAGGAAUGGAUGAGAUGUCACCGCAUUUGAAGAUUGUUCACUGAAUUCAUUCUCUUGAACAAGUUGAUACUGGGGUUCCAUUUCUUGCACUUCAGCUUCCUUUUCAACUGCAUCUUUAGAUCCGUUUCCUUGAAACUCUUGCAGUUCCAUGUCAUUUGGCGGGAUAACUGCACUCUCAUCCUCUUCAAGGUUGAUAUUGGUUUGUGAGGGCAAUUCUUCAAGGUGAGAAGCUAACCGCUCUAUCCUGGAUGUUAAUUGAUUCAUUUGAUCCGCCAAGUCGCGAAGGCUCGCUCGUUUCUCCUGAUGAAAUCGAUAUGCAUUAGCAGCUAGUAAUUCCAUCAUCUCUUCAAGAGACAUACUUGACACAGAUGAUGGUUGUUGAGACUCUUGCUGUUGAAAAUUCAUUGGCCCGGUCAUAUAAUUAAAAUUGGAAUUGUCCCACCAUUCUUGAUCAUACCCGUUUGAAUAAGGGUCAUACCACGUUUGAUAUUGGGGUGGAAAAUCUCCAAAAGUAUCAAUUGGAGCACUUAGAUUAUCUUGAAAUGCGGGGCAUGUGUCGGUUGAAUAACCUGAGGCAAAAUAAGUUCCACCAUUUGCAACAGCCCAUUGAUCAUUAGGGAAAACAUGAGUCUCAUAACUCCAUUCAGGAAUAACAUCCAGCCUAUCAUCAAAAUACGGAAUGUUAGCAGCCAUAAACUAUAUAAAAAAAAUAAGAGAAAAAUAAAUAAAAAAAUAAAAACAAGAUGAACUCAAAAAGAAACAAAUUAAUCUGGCACCAGUCUCUGGCAACGGCGCCAAAAAUUGACAGGUCGUCAGCCUGUGCAAUAAUAAAACCUGCUCAAACUAAAGUUAAUUUCUGUAGAUAGUGGUAAGUAGGGUCGAAUCCACAGGGAUUGGGUGUAACUGUUUCUUUUCAAAUCCACAGUAACAAGGGGGGUGUUUUUGUGCAGAAGGUGACAAUCAAAGAAAUUCAACUAAAAUCUAAGAAGCUACUAAAAAUUAAAUAACAAAUUACUAAAAUCAAAUGGGUGAUAAUUAAGGAUCUAGCCAAGAAAUAAUUUCAACAAUGGUUCACCUAAUAGAUCAUCGAAACAAAGGCAAUUCCAAUUAUUUAUCAAUAAAUAGGUUAUAACUACCAAACAAGUGAUGGCAGUCAACCCCUCCUUACUGUGUCGGUGAUUAAGGUACGUCCAUUAAUCACAACUCUAAUUGAGAAAUAAUCCUAAGUACGCCCAUAAGAUUUAAUUUUCCAAUUGCCUUACGUAUUAAAGGAGCCAUAUUCUAACCAAAUAACGCACUACCAGGGUUAAUUUAGAUUAGCCCGCGUAUCCCCCUGACACGAAUCUAAUCGUGCCAGUUGUCACUAUUUCAAGGCAAUUAAACAAUUACGGAUUUAACACCUCAAUUGACAAUAGAUUAUUAAAUUAACUAAUUAUCCGGAUCCAAGACAAUCAAUUAAUUAAACAACCAUAAGCACUGCAAUCAGGGAAUAUGCAAAUACCAAUAAAUAAAAGAAAAAAGAUAAAAUUAAAUCGAUCUCACAAUUUUUAGGCGAACCAGAGCCUCCGUUGUCCUUUGACUAGAGUGAGAAAAUUAAUUCAUAUUGGAUGAACAAAAUCCAUCGGAAAUUGGAGAGAAAGUCGCAGCCAUCAAUUGGAAACUGGGUAAACUUAAUUCGAUUGACCACUGACUAGAAAGAAAAGCUACAAAAUACUUGAUUGUUUGUUUGCUUCUGCUCCAUACGAAUGAAGAGAAAACUACCACUAAAAGCUAAAAAGGAGACAAGUCAAAAGCCAAGCUAAAGGACAAAAAAAACUAAGAAGAGAGUCAGUGCUCUUCCUCUGCGCAAUUCCUAUUCUAAUUAGCCUACUGCUCCUGUGCGGCGUCCGCCGCACGAGAGGAAGAAGACUCCCCGAGGUUUGCUUUCUUUUCCCUUUUUCUAGUUGCUGUCUUCGGUCAAAAUUACCAAAAAGGUCUUGCAUCUCCUUGUUUCAAGAAUGCUCUUGAUUGCCUGCUAUUUGAACUCUUUCCCGAUGACUGCCAAAUUGGCCUUGAUUGUGAUAUUUUUAUUCUACUCCCUGAAAUAAAUGCAAAUUACGAAAAGUGAGUAGAAUCUAAUAAUUAAUUCACAUUGGGUUAGGUAAUAGAGGAAAUUAAUAAUAAAAUAAAUGAUAAAAUCGCACCCUAUCAAGGGUACACUUCAGAGAUGAUUCAUGCAACUGAUCAUCGAUUUAAAUAUAAUUCUAACAUUUAUUAAUAGAUUGAUUAUAGCUGUCAUACACGCGAUAAACAGUCAGUUUUUCUUUACUUUUUCGAUAGUCAAGGUAUGACCGUUAACUAUUUCUCUAACUAAGAAAUAACUCUAAGUACGACCGUAGGAUUUAAUUUCUAAAUUGUAUUAAGAAUUAGAAAAACUCAAUCUUAACUAACAAACACGCUACGAGAGUUUGUUUAAAUUAGAUCGUAUGUUCUCCUGAUAUAAACCCAAUUACGCUAGUUGCUACUGGGAUGGAGGUAACCGAACAAUUAUGGAUUCAACUACCCCUAAUUAUCAAAAUAGACUACGUGAAUAAUUAAAUAUUAUGCACUAUUCAAUCAUACACAAUAACUAUAAUAAUUAAAAGCAGAGAACAUAUAAAUACCAAUAAAUAAAAGAAACAGUUAAUUAAUUUAGAUCUCACAGUAAUUAUUGAACCAAAUUUUCAGUUGUCCCCUAGACUAGAAUUAGGAAGUUAGUCCUUCAAUAAUGGAGAACGUGCCAUGUAAAGCAAUUGAGAAAAACUGUCAGCCCUUGUCUCCCCAAAUUCGGUCAAUUGAGAAAGAAAGAGCAAGAAAAAUCGUUGCUUUGUAUUGUCUCCCACAAAAAGCAUAAAAAGAGUCUACUGUACCAAUUCGGUCAAACAAAGGUAAAGAAGUAGGACAAGUCAACAAUUCUGGCCCUCGCGUUUGUUUGCUUCUCAAUUGUGCUGAGAAGCAAAAAGUCAAAGACAAGAAUAAGUACAAUCCCCACUUUUCUGCGUUUCUUCCAACCACAAAAAGGUGAAUCAAUUCCUAGAAACUCUCCUGUUUCCUAAUUUUUCUCCUAAUUAGUUGGUAGCCAAAUACCAACUACUUCCUAAAUAGCAAUUCUAUUACAAUUCAAACUUCUUUAGCUUCUGCUUUCCUUUUUGGAGCGACCCCACUGAUUUUCCAAUUUUAAGCCAGCUACUUCACUCAUAUUUCUGAAGCUUCCCACGCGUGAAUAAUCCCGAGGAUCCGGCUUUGAAGGUUGGAGUUAGGCGUGGGCACACCUAAUUGUCAAAAAAUUUUCUAGAAUGUUGAUUUUCAGCACCUUUUCUUCACCACUUCCUACAACUAACACCAAACACAGAACCUGAGUAGAAUCCCUCAAAUAAUGCAAUAUUUAGUCAAAACAAUUAUGGAAUAUUGGCAAAAAUCCCAUUAAAACGCUCCCUAUCAAAAUUAGAAGAAAAAUUGUAUUAAGGCUUAACUAAAGGAUACUCCUUAAUCCCAUAAAAAGUACAUGACUCUUUGACUUAGCAGCGCAUGCUAUGGUAUGUGAUGUGAUGAAGGUAAAGAGUCACACACGUUAGAUCUAAAUUUCGAUACGCAAAAUUCAAGUUAGAUGACUAUAUAAACAUUUAUAUGACAUUCAAACAUCGUCUCUUAAAUUACCCAUAUGCAUAUAAAAGAAUGUAAACUAAAAAGCGAUCUUUUUUUUUCCCUAAAACUCUAUCUGUUGGUAAAUCAAUUUUAACUAUUAUAAUACUGAAACUACACACUUUGAGAUACCAUGCAUGUAUUGAGUACCCAAACCAGUUUGGGUUUAGGUCUAGGUUAGGUAUAUAUCCUUUUUUUUUUCAAACCAAUAGGGUGUGGAUUUAGAUUGGGGGCCAAAAAAAUUUGGGAGAUAGGAGAUUUGGUUUUGGAUUUACUAGAUCUAACUUAGUGCCGGGCACUAGACCUUGGCCUUCCUACCAUUGUUGGUCGCUCUAAGUCUGAAGUUUUUUCAUCAGUAAAAGUGAGAAUCUGGCAGAAGAUACAAGGAUGGAAUGAACAAUAACUCUUAAAGGCAGGUAAGGAAAUCAUGAUCAAGGCUGUUGCCCAGGCCAUUCCAACAUACUCAAUGUCUUGUUUCAAGUAUCCAGAUUCCUUGCUUUCAGAUAUCUAAUCUAUUAUGAGUAACUUUUGAUGGAGUGAUGGUACAGAGUAGAAACCAAUUCAUUGGGUAAGUUAGGAUAGAAUAUGUUUGUCCAAAAACAAAGGUGGCAUGGGCUUCAGACAACUUAAGGCUUUUAAUUUAGCUUUACUAGCUAAACAGGCAUGGCACAUUGCAACUCAACCAUCUACUCGUCUACAUCAGGUUUUUAAAGCUAAAUAUUUUCCUAAUUCUGACUUUUUUCAUGUCAAGCCUACUUCCAGGCCUUCUUUUAGUUGGAGGGGAAUGGGCAAAGUUCGAAAAUAUUUAGUCUCUGGUAGUAGAUGGCGAGUUGGAAAUAGGAAUCAUAACAAAAUUUGGAAAGAUAGGUGGAUUCCGUGUCCUUCUACUUUCAAAAUUAUAUCUCGUUCUGAUGCGCUACCAGAUGACCCUACUGUAGAUUGUCUAAUUGAUGAAAAUAGCAGCAAAGGGAAAUAUGAGCUGCUUCAAAGCUUUUCUGGCCGGAUGAGAUUGAUAAGUAUAUAUUUUACGUGUUUUAAGUGUGUUUUAUUAGUUAGUUUUGGUGCGUUUUUAACUAUUUUUAUAGCUAAUUAACUUAGAUUCUAGUGAAAAUAUACAUUUUAUAAUUUAAUGUGUAAAAAUUGCAUUUUUAUAGAUUUUAAUGGCGAGUUCAUGUUUUCAUAGGUUUAAGGAUUCAAUCAUCAAAUAGAGUUAUUGGAGAAGAUAAUUGGAUGAUUGAUGAUAGUUUCAAAUGAUAAAAAGAGAAUAUGAAAUGCAAAAGAGGAAAUGCGAUCAAGAAUAAAAGGAAGCAAGUUUCAUAACUUUGACACCUUGUGGUAUUUGGCAAUAUCUUGAGCUACAGGCAUGGAUUGAGGUGAUUGUUAAACCAUUUUGAAUCUAAGAAAUAGAUCUACAUUUGGUAUGGAGACAUCAAAAUCUAGUUCAGUCAUUUUCCUUGUCAAAAAGUCGAAAUACAGAAGUGUAACUCUGUUGUCGGAAGCUGAAAUAGAGCUCUGACUAGUUGAGGGUAUUUUGGUUAGUUCUCAGUCUAUAGAGCUCCAAAUUGAAUGAUUGUUAAGGUAUUGGAAAGCUAACUCAAAGGACUACAACUUUCAUGUUUUGCAGAAGAGUUAGUUCAGUCUCCAUCAUUGAGAAAAUAGCAGUUGAAGUGGUGUUAAAUGCACAGAAUUAAAAAUGCAAGCUACAAAUACGCGACUUGAAAUCGCGUAUUUUUGAGGCCAUGUAUUCUCUUCUAUUUUUUGCAACUUGCUCAUCAACUUGUUUGCUUUCACACAACUUUUUCAACUCAAUUCUAGCUAUCAAUUCAGGCUAUAUCUGAUCAAGAAAAGUGUGGAAAAUUGGAAAGAUAACUCACAAGAGUUUCAAGACUCAAAUAACAAUUACCAGCCUUUGGAGGACAUUUUUACAACUUUGGAAGGCUAGAGAAACUCACCAAAAAUAUAGUCCUCACUAGAAUUUCCUUAAUUCAUCAGUUAGAGCAGUACAGUAUAGUUAGUAUAACUUUUCCUUCUUAUAUUUGUGGCUAGACUUGGAUAAAGAUUUGAAAAGUAAAAAUGGAGAGUUAGAACUCAUGUGACAAGGGUGACUUUUCUCCGUUCACUUUCUCUUUUAUAUUUAAGUUCAUGUCCUAUAAUACAAGUUUGGAUUUGUUUUUCUUUAUGUUUAAUUAAAAUUUAAACCUAGAGUUAUGAAUGAAUUUUUUAUAUUUUGUUAGUGAUAUUUACUUGGUUAUUUGAUGAUAUUAUUUUGAUCAAAUUAUUUAUCACUUUUGAUUAUCUAAUCAUGAUUAACCAGCCAUUAGUUGUAAUUAUUUAAAGGUGUUAAGUUUGCAAUAAGAAUCGGAGUUUAACACUAAUUUAAGGAAGUGAUAAAAUGAAAGUAGAGGGGCACCUUUGUGGCAUAAGUGACUUUUGUCAUGUAAUUUCAUAAAAGAAAUGAACUUGUAGUUAAUUUCAUAACCAUAAGAGUAGGUAUGUCUUAAUUACAAGUACAGUUGAUUCACUACGAAAGUAGGUUUUACAUACAUUAGAAAAUUACGCCAUGACUAGCCAAGAUAAUAAUAUUCACUUAACUAGUAACUUCAUUUGCAAGAGUAGUAAGGAAUUUCAUACCUCUAGAAGCUUUCUAGUGUUAUUUUUAUUACUUUUACUUCAUCUUUAUAGUGUAGAGUUAAUUUCUAGAACUUGUGAUAGUAUAAAUAAUAAAGGAGUUUGAAAAUCUCUGGUAAAUGAAAAUCUUCCCUGUAGAAUCGACCCUUAAUACCCUAUACUCAAUCACGACUCGUAUAUUUGCGAAAAAUCACGUGUGGAGUAUUUAGGAUGUUGUAUAUGCAAAACUUGACUGUAGAUAAACUAAUUGUUAUAUGUAUACCCUGCGCUGGCCAAGUUUUUGGUGCCUUUGCCGGGGAAGGUUUGUCAAUAUCUGUGCUAAGAGCAACUUUAUUAAUUUAGGCAUUUUUACUUAUUUUUCUUAGUUUUGUUAUGUCUAGUGUCUUAAUUGCAGUGUUUAGUGUUUUAUUCAGUCUUUAUUUAUAUGUUUUCAUUUGUGUGUCAAGUCAUCUAUUCUUCUUAACUAAACUUGUUUUUAAAUUAUUUUGAAGACAUAUUUAGGGAUUCAAGAAGAGUAAAAAACAUGAGAAGACGAUGCAUGAGAAGUGGAAGAUUCGCAAUGGAUGUUUAAUACGUACAAAGCUCCUUGAAUAGAGGUAACCAAGAAAUUACCGAAGGCAUGUCAUUUAAAGAUGGUUUAAGGAGUUUAAAGGUUAAACUUGAUGUUAUAACAUUAAAAGUUCAAUUAGACACCAUUAUGCAUGAGAUUGAGUAAAAGAGGAAUGUUAAUGCUUUUAAUUCUUAUCAUAUGAUUUGUGACUUGUGUGAAGAUUAUCAUGCUACUUAUACAUGUAGACAAGCACAAAAUAUAGAUAAUUAUGGUGCUAAUAGGGGCAAUUCUUUUAUACGGUUGGGAUAAUCAAUGUGUAUAUGGUGAUUCUCCUUGUUUACAUGAUUACCAAUCCGAAUGUGUCCAAUUUGAAUCUAAACCAUCUUGAAAAUUGGCAAUAGAAAGGUUAGUUAAUGCACCUUCACUUUUGGAAUUAGAAAGUCAACCAUUAGUUAAUGAUUCUAAGCCAUCUUGAGAAUUAGCUAUAGAAAAAUUAGCAAAUGCAACAUCCGACCGUUUUUAUAGGGUUGAGAAAAGAUUAAAUGAAUUAACUUCUUACUUUGGUAGAGUAGAAGACCAAUUACAUGCAUUAUGUGAAGUUAUUUCUUCUACUCAUAUACAAAAUGAUCCUAACAUGAAUGGUGAGCAUGUUGCAAGUGAAAAUGGAUUGCAUUUUGAUGAAAAUGAUGAAUCUCAAUUAUGUUUUAAUGAGAAAAUGUCCAUUUCACAUGAUAGUACCUUUGGACCUAAUCUUGAACCUUAAGCGGUGAGUCUUAACAACUCAUUUUCACCUCUUGAGGAAUGUAUUGAGAGUAUAGGUUUUAAAGGUAUUAUUCCUCAAGAAAGCCAUGUGGACGUUCCUUUGGUGAGUUCUCUAGUGAUGCAUAUUUAAGGUAAUAUCUAUGAAACACUUGAGAUAGGUAAGCCACUUCUACCUCUCAUAUCAUUAGAACAUGUGGCUAUUGCGAUUGAGCCACCGUUUACUGAUCCAUCAUGACCUAAAAUAGCGGAUUAUUCUUUAACAAAGACUUUUUGAAAAAUGAGGUGAAAUAGUCAAGCUAAUGACUAUAAAGAAGUGCUUUUUGGGAGGUAACCCAAUAUUUUGGUAUUUUAUUUCAAUUUAGUGUGAUUUUAGGAUUUUUGUUAUGUAUUGAUGUUAUUUUGUUUUGUUUGUUUUGUAGGUAUUGGAAAUGGAAGCAAAAGUGACCAAAUGAGAUAAAAAAGUCAAAAUUCGAUUAAGGAACUCCACCCCUUGAUUUGAGUAAAAGUUGUUUUUAAUUUGUUAAAAAGGGUUAAAAUACAUGUUUUGAUCAUUUUACAUGUUCAUGCAUUGAUUAUUUUGACAAAAGAAUGAUCUAAGAUACAUUUUGAGUAAUUGGGAUACCAUGUAUAAUUUUGAAAAGUUAACAUUUUGCAAAAUUUGCAGAAGAAAAUGCGAUGCCCAAAAAAAUGCAACUACAAGCUGCAUAUUGCAUUCUGCAACUUUUGCACUAAAAACUCGAUCAUCAAAACGCGACUUCAGGUCGCGUAUUGCUGAAGUCGCAUAUUCCUUUCUACAUCAUUAAAGCAGAAAAUGAGCAUCGAAAAUGCGAAUUCAUGGUCACAUUUUCUGCAGUCGCGUUUUUAGGGUUUUUUUUAAAGAAAAAAUGCAGGCUCCUUGUUCAUUCUCUUCCCCUUCUUUUCCUCAUGUAUUUCAUUGUACCUUGUGUAAUUUCUUGUAUAUUUUCUAUGGGUGCAUCACCAUGACAAAGGCGUAUAAGUUACGGAUUGCCGUUUUACGUUUAUUAAUGCCUUUGUUAUGACUUUUGUUUCUCAUUUUCCAUUCUUAGGUUGUAUUAUUAAUGGUUAUCCAAUGGAACUCAUGAAGUAUUGGAGAUAAGUGGACAACUCUGCGAAACUUCAUAAUUGCGCGCUUUAAUCACAUCAUUAGGAGAGUAUUAUUUUCUAUAUCUUGGUUUCCCUUUUUACACAUUAAAGACAAUGUGCAUAUUAGUGUUGGGGGGAGGGGGAGAAUUGAAAUUAUAUAUGUUGGUUGUGAUGUGAUUGAAAUAAUUUGGACUUGUGUUUGGAAAUGUUAUUGUGCUUAGAAAUUUUUCAAAUUUGGGUUUGUUGGCAGGGAGUUUCGUCUAUUUAUAAGAGGAAACUCUGUCAAAAUUUUUCUAAAAUCUUGUCCAAAUUGUAAAAUUGCCCCACAAAGUUUCAAAUUUUUUUCAAUUCUAUCCAAAGGGCAACAAGUUCCACACCAUUAGUUAUUCAAAUGCCUUUUACUUUUGAGAUAAAUAUAUAUGAUUUGACAAUUUCUUUUCUCAUUUAACUUGAAAAUGACUAUUAUGUUAUUAUAAUUUGUACAUUAUAGGGAAGUAUAUCGUGUAAAGUGGAGAAAAUUAUGCCUACAUUUUGCAUAUUUGAUGAAAUUUCUUCUAUUUACUUGAUUUUUCGUAGUUAAGUGAUGAAUAUGGUCACUAAGUGUAAUACUCUUCUCAUGAUUAUUCUUUUGAGGGAAUAAUUAUUAUCUUUGCUUCAAAAAAAAUAAAAGUAAAAAAAAGAAAAAAGAAUGAAAAAAAUGAAAAAGAAGAAAAAGAAAAAAAAAGAGAAUAAAAAUUGUUCUACUCCAAUGGUUCUUGUACUUACUAACCGGAAGUCUUCAUCUACAAAUGUCGAAUUUCACAUAAAAUGGUAUUUGAAUUAAGAGUAUGCAAGGCAACUUGAGAUUAUGAAAUAUUGAAUAACCGGUGAUUUGCAUCUAAAAAUAUCGACCGUCGGGUCAAAAUAUAUUUUCACAAUUUAAGUAUAUAUUUUGUUUUGUUAUAUGAAUAAAUCCCUCUUCAAAUAUGAAUAAGAAGAUGAUCACGAGUUUAGGAAGCAUUUUUAUUGACCAUAUGACUUACUUGCUUGUAAAAUUGGAAAAGGAUGAGGAAUUGAAUUGAACUAGUUAAAAUUAUGAUAUAAUUAACUCUCCUUUACUUGAUAUUAUGAGUAUUUGACCUUAGUUGAAUGAUUGCAUAAUAGUUAUUUACCUUGUUUUUGAGGAAACAAAGUUGAAUGGUGCGCAUAUAUUUAUUUUAGAAAUUUUGGAUCAUUCUUGGUUUGUAUUUCUUAUUGUUUGAAGAGAGGAAAUGGUUCAAGUGUGGGGGAGUUUGAUAAGAAUAUAUGUUAUGUGUUUUAAAUGUGUUUUAUUAGUUAAUUUUGGUAUUUUUUAACUACUUUUAUAGUUAAUUAACUAGAAUUCUAGUGAAAAUAUAUAUUUUAUGGUUUCAAGUGUAAAAAUCACAUUUUUAUGGAUUUUAAUAGCGAAAACUUCAUGUUUUCAUAGGUUUAAGAAUUCAAUUAUCAAAUGAAGUUUUGGAGAAGAUAAUUGGAUGAUUGAUGAUGGUUCGAAGUGAUAAAAAGAGAAUAUGAAGUGCAAAAGAGGAAAUGCAAUCAAGAAUAAAAAGAAAUAAGUUUCACAGCUUUGACACCUUGUGGUAUUUUGGUAAUAUCCUAAGAUACAGGCAUCAGAUUGAGGUAAUUAUUAAACCAUUUUAAAUCUAAGAGAUAGAUCUACAUUUGAUGUGAUAUCAAAAUCCAGUUCAAUCAUUUUUCUUGUCAAAAAGUCGAAAUAUAGAGGUGCAACUUUGUUAUCGAAAGCUGAAAUAGAGCUCUGACUAGUUGAGGGUAUUUUGGUUAGUUCUCAGUUUACAGAACUCUAAAUUGGAUGAUUCUUGAGGUAUUGGAAAGAUAAUUCAAAGGGUUACAACUUUUAUGCUUUGUACAAGAGAUAAUUUAGGCUCUAUCAUUGAGAAAAUAGUAGUUGAAGUGGAGCUAAAUGCAUAGAAUUGAAAACACAAGCUACCAAUACGCGACCUGAAGUCGUGUAUUCCUGAGGUCGCGUAUUCGCUUCUAUUUUUUGCAACUUGCUCAUCAACUUGCCCUGCUUUCACACAACUUUUCCAACUCAAUUCUAGAUAUCAAUUCAGGCUGUAUCUAAUCAAGAAAAGUGUGAAAAGUUGGAAAGACAACUCAUGGGAGUUUAAAGAAUCAAAAAUGACAACUAGAAACAACUCAUUUGACUCUUGCAUCUUUUAUAAAUAUCAACUUUUGGAGGACAUUUCACAACUUUGGAAGGCUAGAGAACCUCACAAAAAAUGUAGUCUUCACUAGAAUUUCCUUCGUUUAUUAGUUAGAGUAGUAUAGUAUACUUAGUGUAACUUUUCCUUCUUGUAUUUGUAGCUAGACUUGGAUGAAAAUUUGAAAAGCAAAGAUGGAGAGUUAGAACUCAUUUGACAAGGGUAAUUUCUCUCCUUUCACUUUCUCUUUUGUAUUUAAGUUCAUGUUUAACUAUAAUACAAGUUUGAAUUUAUUUUUCUUUAUAUUUAGUUAAAGUUUAUGCCUAAAGUUAUGGAUGAAUUUUCUAUAUCUUGUUAGUGAUGUUUACUUGGUUAUUUGAUGAUAUUAUUUUGAUCAAGUUAUUUAUCACUUUUGCUUACCUAAUCAUGAUUAACUAGCCAUUAGUUGUAAUUAUCUAAAGGUGUUAAGCUUGCAAUAAGAAUUAGAGUUUAAUACUAGUUCAAGGAAAUAAUAAACCUAGAGAGUUCACUCACGAAAGUAAAGGAGCACAUUUGUGGCAUAAGUGACUUGUUUCAUGUAAUUUCAUAAAAGAAAUGAGUUUGUAGUUAAUUUCAUAACCACGAGAGUAUGUAUGGCUUAAUUACAGGUAUAGUUGAUUCACUAGGAGAGUAAGUUUUACAUACAUUAAGAAAUUACGCCAUGACUAGCCAAGAUAAUAACAUUCACUUAACUAGUAACUUCAUUUGCAAGAGUAGUAAGGAAUUCCAUACCUCUAGGAGUUUUCUAGCGUUAUUUUUAUUACUUUUACUUCAUCUUUAUAGUGUAGAGUUAAUUUCUUGAACUUGUGAUAGUAUAAAUAAUAAAGGAGUUUGAAAAUCCCCGGUAAAUAAAAAUCUUUCCUAUAGAAUUGACCCUUAAUGCCCUAUACUCAAUCACAACUCGUAUACUUGCGAAAAAUCUUGGGUGUGGUAUUUAGAAUGUUAUAAAUGUAAAACUUGAUUGUGGAUGAACUAAUUGUUAUAUUUAUACCCCGCGUUCAUUUAGAUAUCGAGCUGAUUAUGAGUUUUUCGUUGGGUGACAGUCGAAAUCAAGAUAAGCUCAUCUGGCAGUACUCUAAAAAUGGCUUCUUCACAAUGAAAAGUGCCUACCAUCUUGUCAAAACACAAUCUACAAACUAGCAGGAUGUAGCUUCAAGCAGUAAUGGCUCUGUGCAUGAUAUUUGGCCUUGCUUGUGGAAAUUCAACAUACCAAGUAAAGUUAAAAUAUUGUUGUGACGAAUUUGCAAAGGUAUUCUACGUACAACUUCCCAGUUAAAUAGCCGUGGAGUUUAUUUUGAUCCUACCUACUCUUUAUGUAAGGCCCCUGUUGAAGAUGUUAAUCAUAUUUUUUUUAUGCUCUCCAAUAGCAAUUCAAGCUUGGGCCCUCAGCUUUCUUACACUGAAGAUAAGAUUAGACUUUGUCGAUCAAAUUUCGUCUUGGUUGCCUGGCCUUCUUCGUCUUUUGAAAAUGUCAAACAUGGAAUUGGUAGCCAUAAUUCUUUGGAAUAUAUGGCUUAACCGAAACGGUGCAUUAUUUGAUGGUUCCUAUUGUGAUCCUCUUAGUCUGGUCUCUCUCUAUCUAUCAAUUUCUUACAGAAAUACCAUGAAGCAUACACAUUUCCAAACAUCCCAAUAUGCUCUUCCACUACUCAACUUCAUUGGAAAAAGCUCCCUGUAGGUUUUCUAAAGCCAACUUCAAUGGUGCAAUAUUCUAUGAAAACGGCUACUCUGGAGUUGGAGUUGUUGUGAAGGAUGAAUGAGGCAAUUUUGUUGCAGGUAUUUCUCACAAAAUCUUAGGUAUCCUUUCUCCUAAGGUAAUUGAAGCCUAUGCUGGAAAAUUUGCGAUUUCCUCCUCACUUAAGUUAAAGAUUCUCAAGAUUAUUUUGGAGGGUGACUCUUUGAAGAUCAUCAACAUGCUUAAAAAUAUGAAAGCUGAUGAUUCAGCCUCGGGGGUCCUAUUAGAUGAUAUUCUUAUUAGUUUACAGAAUUUCAUCACUUGGGAGGCAAAUUGGGUCCCUAAGAAUCUAAAUGUGCUUGCUCAUUUAUUAGUUAGGAAUGCUAGCUCUAUUUCAGAUAUUUGUAGUUGGAGAUAUUUUCCACCAUAUUUUCUUUCUUCCACAAUUACUGCAGAUCUAUCUUCACCAUAAUAAAAUUUUCCAAUUUUUUUCUAUCAAAAAAACUCAACGUCAGGUUCUACCCCAUUGACAUGCUAUAAAUAGAUGUAUUUUUCAAAGGAUAAAAUUGUAUUUGUUUGUUAAGAACCCGUUUGGGGUUGCAAUAGUUUAUCAAAAAAGACUUCACCUAAUAGAACUUUUAAUAAAAGUCCUUGUUAAGUAAUUAAGUAUUUUUAAGUAUACUGUUUGAAUACAUAGUUCAAUAAAUACUUAUUAUAUUCGAUAAUGUGUAAUUUGAAAAUUUUAAAUAUAUUUAUCUCUUUAUUUAGUUCAUAAUAUAGGAUAAAAUGAUUAAAUUUAAUAUUUUAUUUUUAAAAAUUCAAAAAUUAUUUUAAAAGCACUAAAUUUAAACUUUUGCCAAAAGUACUUUUAAUACCAAAGUCUCCACUCCGGAUUUUAUAAAUUGAUAUUCACCAAAUGCCUCAAAUGUACCUUUGGCAUCCAAAAGUACUUUUUAACCAAAACCACCGCAACCUCAAACCAGCCCAAAAGAAGAAUCUUUUAAUCGGGCACACUUUAUUGUAUCCAUUUGCAUUAUUUGCUUAUGCUUUUGUAAGAACCAUCAAAGCGGAGCUGCAAGGGAAAUAAUACCUAGCAACUGAUGGAUUCCAAAGCAUUUGCUUCUUGUAUUCUCCUCCUUCAUCUGUUGAUUGCUCUAGCAAAUUACUUUGCCAUUAAUUGUUUUUCGUGAUAUAUAUGUCAUGGACUUGAUUCUCGCUGUCUUACAACAAUAUACAACCUUUACAGGGAGCUUGUGAUAUUAUAACCAAGGAUAGUACUAAUGCAAUCAGACUUCAGGGCAUAGAUGUUAAUAAUUCUGACCGAAAUGAUAAAAGACAUGAUAUUGCUCACGUCCAUGAAAAGAAUUCAAUGCAUGAUCCUUCUCAUUCCUCAUCCCACAUGAUGCAUCAGAUGGAUCCAAGAACAAAUCUCAAGUUAGGCAAAAGAAUAAGUAUCUUUUUCCUGACGGAGAUCCUAGUCCCCUAUCCUCUCCUUAUCUCUGGCCUAGAGAACAAGCUGAUGCUAUCCCCUUUUCAUUGGCAAAACUCCCACAAAUUCUUCAACACUUUUCAUUCCCUCAAGGAUCUCGCAAGGCCCAAGUGAUGGAACAUACACUCUGAGCAUAUGAGACUAAGCCUAUGAACGGAGAAUCAAGGCUUGUGCCACAUCCUAUGAGUCAUUGGUAGAUUUUGCGUGAAAGACCUUGGGAUUGAAUACCAAUAUGGAAGUUUUAUCAACACAUCGCCUCUCAAGAUCUAAUGUUGCUACACUACAAAACUAUACAAUCAUAGAAUCUCCUAAAAGAAUUUCAACUCUAAAGGUGAUCGGCUGUCACACAAUACCAAUGGGGCGGGCGCAUGUUGCCCUGCCCCCCACCCCGUUUUAAGGCUGGGGGAAUUUGCCCCCGACCCCGCCCCAUUCCCCGCCCCAUUUCUACCCCUACAAGCACCUGCCCUCGUUGCCACCCUUAAUCUCAACAUAUCGGCUGCAGUAUCGACGAAAUGCAAAUUUUGAAGCAUCUAAUAUUCUAAAAAUUGUGAAAAAUAUUUUUUAAAAAAACUAUGCUAAACAAAAAUAACAAAAAAAGUUAAAAAAAUGAGUUCAUGAGCUACAUUUGUGAGAGGGUAAGGUCAAGAUUUUAUCCUCAAAUACUGCUCUACACCCAAUAAAACCGAUUGCAAGUUUAACUUUAUUCUUCUAAUUUUAAGGAAAAAAAUUAAUUUAAGCUAAAAGCAUAACAUGCAUUUUAAUUACUUAAAGUAGAAUAAAACACAUAAACAUAGCAUGAUAACUAGAAAAAACCAAUAAGAAUGAGAUAAUUAGUUCCAAAGCUUCUAUUGGAAAAGCCACGAAACAAUGCUUUCAUAUCCCAUUAUAUCACAUUCGAUAACAAUUAAAAGUAAUUAAGAGAAAAAUAAAAAAAUGAAAGAAAAAUAUAAAAAUAAAAAUACAAUAAUUAAAUGCACCUAUGCCCUAUAUCGGUGACAUCAUUUCCAAAAGGAAAAAUAAAAUUAAUUACAACUUAAUUUGACAAAUGACAAACUAAUUAAACUAACAGCCAACUAGUUAAUUGCUAAGGACCUAAUUGAAAACAUUAAGGUAAUGUUUUGGAGUCGAAUUAGAAAGUACAAAAACUCGGGAGCAGAAAUUAAAAGUGAAAGAAACUAAGGGGGCUAAUUCUGGAAUUUCAAACACUGAGUCAUCUUUCCCACGGGAAACUCCUGCCCGCUACUGCACUGGUUCCUUCUUCACUGACGAAGUUGUCGGAAGCUGGAAAUCAUCAACUCUGGCCAGCAUUAGACCGGCCGGAAUUUUCCCUCUCUCCCUCAUGCACGAACACACAACACACACACGCUGAAAUUCUUACAAAAAGCGCAGCAAAAUAGGAAACGGCAAAAAAGAAACAAAAGCUGGGAAAAAAUUGGGGAUGACUUGGUCAACUCGCCCGUUUCACUUGGUCUCAGAGACAAUUUGGUCUGAAUCAGUCGAGUUUUUCUCCUAUUCUCAGUGAUUCUUUCAUCUCCAAUGUGACGUGAACAAUCGCAGAGUGGAGUCCUCCGUUCCAUGACAACUCGGCCAAGUCAUUUCGGACUCUCCCUAGUGUUUGAACCAUGGGCCUACUGCCUAGUACCGAGAACAAUAUCCUUUUUAGUCACAGUUCUUUAGCAUUAUGCAAAAGAUGCAGUCGAAUUUCAGAAUAUCCCUUCCAAAUCUUGUCUGCUUUUCCUUCCCAUGGAUGCUGCAUAUGAGAAAUUCAUUGAGUAAUUUUCUACUACGUCUCUCCCAUAUACCGAAUAGAUCGAAAGCUUAAGAAGUCAAAAGGGUAUUUUUGUUUUCAAGUGGACACUGAUCACGAAAUAUAAUGGCGAAGCCCAAUUGACCAGGACUAUUCCAGACUUUUUACCAAAAAAAAAAAAGAAACAAGAAAAAAAGAGAGAGAGAAACAAAGAUGCACUAAACACAACUAAAAGUUUCACCGUCCUAAAUCAACACAGCAUUUAUUUAAUAGAGGAAUUGCAUUACACACGAGACAUUUUCACUCCAACACUAAGAAAAUAAGACCAACUACAUUUAUUCUUGACAGAGCAAAAAUCCAGUCUCAAGCAAAUUGAAUUUCUCUCAUUUGGGGGCAACAUCACGACAAUGUUACAAAAGCAGCGAUAUAGACCUUCACUUCACUUUGAGUCUUUCAUGUUUGGUUUAUCCUAAUUUUGCUUAGCAUCUGAUAAGGAUUUAUUUUACGGAUUUUUAAGUGUAUUUUAUUAGUUAAUUUGGUUUGAUAAUUUAGUUAUAUAACUAAAAUAACUAAGGUUUUGGUAAAAAUCUACAUUUUAUGUUAAAGUGGCUAACAUUGCAUUUCUAUUGAUUUUUUAUGGUAAAAACUUUAUAUUUUGUAGGUUUAAUGAUUCAAUCAUCAAAUGAAGUGCAUUGAGAAUAUAUUUGGAUGAUUAAAGAUGGAUUAAAGUGGUGAAAAUAAAAUAUGAAGUGUAAAAGAAGAAAUGCAAUUUGAAUCAAGAAAAGUCAGCUUUGACAACUCUGACACGUUUUGGUAUUUUAACUAUAUCUGGAGCUACACAAAUUGGAUUGAGGUGAUCUUUAUACCAUUUGAAGGUAAGAGAUAGAUCUAAAUUUGGCAUGAAGACAUCAGAAUCCAAUUCAGCCGUUUUCUCAGUCAAAAGGUCAAUACACCAAAAUUCAACACUGCUGUCCAAAGUUGAAAAUACAACUUUGACCAGUCUUCAGUAUUUUGGUCAUAUCGUGACCUACAAAGCUCCGAUUUGGAUGAUUUUUGAAGCAUUGAAAACUUAAUUCAAAGAGUUAAAACUUUUGUAUUUUGUACAAAAGCUAGUUCGGCCUCCAUCAUAGAGAAAAUUGCAUUGGAAGCAAGGCCAAAAAUACAGAGUUGAAAACGCGAGUUGACAAAACGCGACUCCAAGCCGCAUUUUGUGUAGGCGCGUUUUGUAGCCGAAAUUCUGCAAUUUGCUCAGCCAUUUCUCUUGUGUUCAGACUACUUUCCAGCUAUAAGUUGCAAGGGAAUUCGGUGCACAUGCUUCAGAAGACAAAAGGGCAAGAAAGGUGGCUUAUUUUCAAGUUAAAAACACUUGUUAUUGACUAUCUUAACAAUUUCAGAUUUGGGAAUCAAGUGUGGAAAGUUUGACCAAUGGAAAAUGAGCUUUGGAGUAGUUUAUAUGCAGAGACAUUUGGGAGGUUAGAAGAGGAUACGGGGAGAAGCUUGAAAUUGGCAGAAAUGUAGUUCUUCCAUUUCCUUAGUGUAGGAUAGUUUUAGCUAGUUAGUUCAUCCUUCUUUUAUAUUAGCUAGAUUAGGAUAAAGAUGAAGGAUGAAGAAGGCAAGGAGAUGAACUCAUAUGACAAGGGUUACAUUCCUUCCAAAUUCUUUAUCUUUUGUACUUGAUUCUAUUGUUGGUUAAUAUAUAAGUCUGGAUUUUAUGUUAUUUAUGUGUUUGUAAAGUUUAUGCCUUGGGUUUGGUUGAACUUUCUAUAAUUGUUAGUGUUUAUUAUUUGGUUAUUUGAUUGCUAUGAUUUGAGCAAAUUAUUUAGCACUUUGGCUCUUUAAAUCAUGAUUAAUCUGGUACCAUUAAUUGUGAUUAUCUAAGGUGUUAUUUCUGCAAUGAAAAUUGAGAUUUAACAUUAGUUUAAUAAGUGCUAAAUAUAGGGAAUACACUCACGAAAGUAGAGGUGCACCUAUGUGGUUUUUAGUGAUUCAUUUCAUAUAAUUUUACUGAAAAAAUGAACUUGUAGCUAAUUUCAUAACCAUAAGAAUAGGUAUGGAUCAGUUAUAAGUAUAAUUGAUUCACUACGAAAGUAGGAUUCAAAUGCAUAAGGAAAUUACACCAUAACUAGCCUAGAUGUAGUACUCAAUGAUUCAAAUAUAGCACUUGCAUGAGUAGUUAGGGAUACCACAACCUCAGGAGCUUUUAUUUGUUAUUUUGUAUAAUUUCAGUAAGUUAAAUUUGUUAUAAUUCAUUGAUAGUCUAAAUAAUAGAGAAACUUUAGUAAUACCGGUAAUUGUUCACUCUUCCCUGUGGGAUCGACCUGAUAUAUAUCCUAAACUAUUAGUUGAUCUGUAUACUUGCAGUGAACGGGUGUAAUUCGGUUUUUAACUUGUACAUAUAUGUAAAAUACCCGUCAAGUUUUUGGCGCCGUUACCGGGGAAGAUUUGGCAAUAUCGGUGUGAAGAGCAACUUUAUUAGUUUAGACAUUUUAUUAGUUAUAGUGUAAAUGUUAUUUUCUAUUAUUUUAGUGUUUUAAAUGUGUAUGUGUUUUAUCACCAAUUCUUCUUACAAAUUUUGCUCUUAAAUUGUUUAAAAGCAAUUUUAGGUGAUGAGAAUGAUAGGUCAAUUUGGAGGACAAUGCUUGAGAAAUGGAAGAUUGGCAAUGGAUGGUUACCAAGUGCAAAGCUCCUUCAACAGAGGCAACCAAGAAUUUAUUGAAUGUAUAUCUUUUGAAGAUGGUUUAAGGUGUUUAAAGGCUAAAUUUGAUGUUAUGAUGUUACAAGUUCAAAUGGACACAAUUAUGCAUGAAAUUGAGCAAGAGAGGAAUGUUAAUACUUUUAAUUCUUAUCAUGUAAUUUGUGACUUGUGUGGAGGUUAUCAUGCUACUAACACAUGUAUGCAAGUACAAAAUAUGGAUUAUUAUGAUGAAUUAGAGCAUUAGAAUCCCUGUUUUGAUCGAUAUAGUGCAAAUGCUUAUGGUUGGAAUAAUCAAUAUACUUAUAGUGAUUAUUCAUAUUUUUAUGAUUACCAACCUGAAAGUGUCCAAUAUGCAAUAGAGAAGUUAGCUAAUGCACCUCUACCUUGGGAGUUAGAAAAUGAACCAUUAGCUAAUGAUUUUAAUGCAUCUUGGGAGCUAGCUGUAAAAUUAUUUUUUAAUCAAUUUGAUUUAGCAAUAGAAAAGCUAGCAAAUGCAACUUCCGACCGUAUUGAUAGGAUUGAGAAAAGAAUAGAUGAAUUAGCUUCUCACGUUGGUAGAAUACAUGAGCAAUUGAAUGCAUUGUAUGAAGUUAUUUCCUCCAAUAAUUUGCAAAAUGAUCAUAGCAUGAAUGGUGGGAAUGUUGUAUGUGAAAAUAGGUUGCAUUUUGAUGAAAAUGAUGAAUCUCAAUUGUGUUUUAAUGAGCAAAUAUCCAUUUCACAUGAUAAUAUCUUUGGAACUAACUUUGAGCCUCAAGAGGUGAGUUUUAAUGACUCAUUUUUCACCCCUCCUAAGAAGUGUCUUGAAAGUAUAGGUUCUAAGGGUAUUGCUGCCUAGGAUAUUUUCAUGGCAUUUCCUUUGGUAAGUUCUCAAGUGGUGCAUACUCAAGAUAAUAUCUAUGAUUCACUUGAGUUAAGUAAGCUAUUUCCACCUCUUAUAUCAUUAGAACACGUGACUCAUGUGAUCGAUUCACCUUUUAAUAAUCCACCACGUCCAAAAAUGGUGGAUUAUUCGUUAACUAAGCCUCCUUGAAAAAUGAGGUUCAAUAGUCGAGCCAACGACUAUAAACAAAAGCGUUUGUUGGGAGGCAACCCAAUGUUUUAAUACUUUAUGUUAUUUUGGUGUGAUUUUAUGUUUAAAUUAUAUGUGUGAGUUAUUUUAUUAUUUUUCAUUUGUAGGUAUUGAAAAUGGAAGUAAAAGUGACCAAAUGAGGUGAAAAACGCGAAGUUUGAUCAAAGAACUCAACCCCUCGAUUUGUGUUAAAGGUGUUUUUGAUCCGUUAAAAGGGAGUAAAAUGCAUGUUUUGAUCUUUUUACAUGUGCGUGCAUUGAUAAUUUUGACAAAAGAAUGAUCUAGAAUGCAUUUUGAGCAUUUGGGGUAAUAUGUGUAAUUUUUUAAAGUUGGCUUUUCUGCAAAAAUUUGCAGCAGAAAACGUGGAUGAAAACGCUCCAUCGGCCACGUUUUGGAAACGCUCCAUCAGCCAUGUUUUACACUAGCCACGUUUUCAAUUCUGCAAAUUUUGUAUAGAAAACAUGGAUGAAAACGCUCCAUCAGCCACGUUUUGAAAACGCCACGUUUUGAAAACGCUCCAUCAGCCACAUUUUACACCAGCCACGUUUUCAAUUCUGCACCUUUUGUACAGAAAACAUGACUUGAAAACGCUCCAUCAGCCACGUUUUAUACGAGCCACAUUUUCAGUUAUGCCCAAAAGGAAGAAAACGUGCCUCACACAAAACGUGGCUCGAAGGCACGUUUUGUCAAAUCACGUUUUCCCUUCCUUUUUCGAAUGCUAAAAACGUGAGACCUGAUUCAUUCUUUAUUCUUCUUCUUUUCCUCAUAUAUUUUCUUGUACCUUGAGUUGCUUAUUGUGUAUUUUCUAUAGGUACAUUACCACCACAAAGGUUUAGGAGUUACGGAUCGCCGUUAUAUGUUUAUUAAGCCUUUGUUAUCACCUUUGUUUUUCAUUUUCUAUUUUUAGGUUUACAUUACUAAUGGUUAUCCAACAGAACUCAUGAAGCAUGGGAGAUAGGUGAACAACAUAUCUUGAAACUUCAUAUUCAAUCCCAACAAUAGGGGAGUAUUACUUUUCUUUAUCUUGAUUUUCUUUUUUUACAUAUUGAGGACAAUGUGUAUGUUAAGUGUGGGGGGAGAAUUGAGAUCAUAUACAUUAUAUGUGAUUGACUUAUUAGUUGCAAAUAUUGGACUUGUGUUAAAAUUCAAAAUUUUUCUAACAUCUUGUCCAAAAUUACAAACUUGCCCCAAAAAUUUCUAAUUUUUUCGAUUUUAUCCAAGGGGUAACAAGUUUCAUACCAUUAGUAGUUCAAACUCCUUAUAUAUUUGAGAUAAAUAUAUGUGGCUUAAGCACUUAUUUUGUCAUUCAAUUUGAAAAUGACUAUUAUGUGAGUAUAAUUUAUGCAUUGUAGGAAAGUAUAUCUUGUAAAGUGGAAAAAAUUAUGCCUAUUUUUUUUCCAUAGCUAAUGAAAUUUCUUCUCCUUAUUGAAUUUUAUAAGUUAAGUGAUAAAUAUGGUUAAUAAUUGCAAUACUCUUCUCAUGAUUAUGAUUUUGAGGGAAUGUUAUUAUCUUUACUUUAAAAAAAAUAAAAAAAAAUGAAAAAUGAAAAAUGAAAAAAAUAAAAAAAGAAGAAAAAAGGAAAAAAGAAAAAAAAAGAAUAAAAUUUGUUCUACUCCAAUGGUUCUUGUACUUAGUAACCGGGAUUCUCCAUCUACAAAUGCCAACUUUCGCGUAAAACGGUACUUGAAUUAAGAGUAUGCAAAGCAACUUAAGUAUGUGAAGCGUUGAGUAACCGGCGAUCUUCAUCUAAAAAUGUCGAUUUUCGCGUCAAAAGACACUUUCACAACUUAAGUAAUAUUUAUCUAGAUUAUAUGAAUAAAUCCCUCUUUAAAUUUGAAUAAAAAUGAUAAUAAGUUUAGGAAGCAUAUUAUUGACCAUAUGAGUUACUUGCGUAUGAAAUUGGGUAAGGAUGAGAAAUUGACUUGAAUUUGUUAUAAUGGUGGUAUAAUUGGCUCUCCUUUACUUGAUAUUAUGAGUACUUGAGGAUUAAUGAAAGAUUGCAUAAUUGUUAUUUACCUUGUUUGGAGAAAAUGAAGUUGAAUGGUGCACAUAUAUUUAUUUUCAAAAUAUUGGAUCAUUGUUGGUUUGUAUUUCUGAUUGCUUGAGGACAAGCAAUGGUUCAAGUAUGGGGGUAUUUGAUAAAUAUUUAUUUUACGUAUUUUUAAGUGCAUUUUAUUAGUUAAUUUGGUUUGAUUAUUUAGUUUUAUAACUAAAAUAACUAAUGUUUUGGUAAAAAUCUACAUUUUAUGUUAAAGUGGCUAACAUUGCAUUUCUAUUGAUUUUUUAUGGUAAAACUUUAUAUUUUGUAGAUUUAAUGAUUCAAUCAUCAAAUGAAGUGCAUUGAGAAGAUAUUUGGAUGAUUAAAGAUGGAUUAAAGUGGUGAAAAUAAAAUAUGAAGUGUAAAAAGAGAAAUGCAAUUUGAAUCAAGAAAAGUCAGCUUUGACAACUCUGACAUGUUUUGGUAUUUUAACUAUAUCUAGAGCUACACAGAUUAGAUUGAGGUGAUCUUUAUACCAUUUUGAAGGUAAGAGAUAGAUCUAAAUUUGGUAUGAAGACAUCAGAAUCCAAUUCAGCCGUUUUCUCAGUCAAAAGGUCAAUAUACCAAAAUUCAACACUGCUGUCCAAAGUUGAAAAUACAACUUUGACCAGUCUUCAAUAUUUUGGUCAUAUCUCAGCCUACAAAACUCCGAUUUGGAUGAUUUUUGAAGCAUUGGAAAGCUAAUUCAAAGUGUUAAAACUUUUGUGUUUUGCACAAAAGCUAGUUCAGCCUUCAUCAUAGAGAAAAUUGCAUUGGAAGCGAGGCCAAAAAUACAGAGUUGAAAACGCGAGUUGACAAAACGCGACUCCAAGUCGCGUUUUGUAGCCGAAAUUCUGCAAUUUGCUCAGCCAUUUCUCUUGUGUUUAGACUACUUUCCAGCUAUAAGUUGCAAGGGAAUUCGGUGCACAUGCUUCAGAAGACAAAAUGGCAAGAAAGGUGGCUUAUUUUCAAAUAAAAACCAUUUAUUAUUGACUAUCUUAACAAUUUCAGAUUUGGGAAUCAAGUGUGGAAAGUUUGACCAGUGGAAAAUGAGUUUUGGAGUAGUUUAUAUGCAGAGACACUUGGGAGGUCAGAGGAGGAUAUGGGGAGAGGCUUGAAAUUGGCAGAAAUGUAGUUCUUCCAUUUCCUUAGUAGAGGAUAGUUUUAGCUAAUUAGUUCAUCCUUCUUUUAUAUUAGCUAGAUUAGGAUGAAAAUGAAGGAUGAAGAAGGCAAGGAGUGAACUCAUGUGACAAGGGUUACAUUCCUUCCAAACUCUUUAUCUUUUGUACUUGAUUCUAUUGUUGGUUAAUAUAUAAGUCUGAAUUUUAUGUUAUUUAUGUGUUUCUAAAGUUUAUGCCUUGGGUUUGGUUGAACUUUCUAUAAUUGUUAGUGUUUAUUAUUUGGUUAUUUGAUUGCUAUGAUUUGAACAAGUUAUUUGGCACUUUGGCUCUUUAAAUCAUGAUUAAUCUGGUACCAUUAAUUGUGAUUAUCUAAGGUGUUAUUUCCGCAAUGAAAAUUGGAAUUUAACAUUAGUUCAAUAAGUGCUAAACAUAGGGAGUACACUCAUGAAAGUAGAGGUACACCUAUAUGGUUUUUAAUGAUUCAUUUCAUAUAAUUUCACUGAAAAAAUUAACUUGUAGCUAAUUUUAUAACCAUGAGAAUAGGUAUGGAUCAGUUAUAAGUAUAAUUGAUUCACUACGAAAGUAGGAUUCAAAUGCAUAAGGAAAUUACACUAUAACUAGCCUAGAUGUAGUACUCAAUGAUUCAAAUAUAGCACUUGCAUGAGUAGUUAGGGAUACCACAACCUCAGGAGCUUUUAUUUGUUAUUUUGUAUAAUUUCAGUAGGUUAAAUUUGUUAUAACUCAUUGAUAGUCUAAAUAAUAAAGAAACUUUAGUAAUACCGGUAAUUGUUCACUCUUCCCUGUGGAAUCGAUCCGAUAUAUACUCUAAACUACUAGUUGAUUUGUAUACUUACAGUGAACGGGUGUAUUUCGGUUUUUUAACUUGUAUGUAUAUGUAAAAUACCCGUCAGCAUCAUCUCUGAAUUCUUUAUGGUAAAGGAGUAUUGAUCCACGCUUUGACUCGAAAUCUUUGAUAUGCAGUUUUCCCUCCUGCAAUUUAGCUUUGUCACCAUGGUAAAGGAGAAUGGAUUCGGGCUUUGAUUCAAAAUCCUUUAUGAGUGGUUUCUCUUCCUCACCGCUGUGGUAAGGGAGUAUGGAUUCAGGCUUUGACUCAAAAUCCUCCAUAAGCGGUUUCUCUUCCUUGUUGCUAUGGUAAAGGAGUAUGGAUUCAGGCUUUGACUCGAAAUCAUUCACUGGUGGUUUCUCCUCAUCGCUGCAGUAAAGGAUAAUGGAUUCAUGUUUUGACUGAAAUUCUUUCAUCUGUGGUUUCUCCUCCUUCAACUUAGCUUUGUCACCAUGGUAAAGGAGAAUGGAUUCAAGCUUUGACUCGAAAUCAUUUACAAGCGGUUUCUUCUCAUUGCUAUGUUAAAAGAAAAAGGAUUCAGGUUUUGACUCAAAAUCCUUCAUCUGUUGUUUCUCUUCCUUCAACUUAGCUAUGUCACUAUGGUAAAGGAGAAUGGAUUCAGGCUUUGACUCGAAAUCCUUCAUUUGUGGAUUCUCUUCCUUCGAGUUAGCAUCCUUUUGGUACAAGAGUAUGGAUUCAGGUUUUGACUCAAAAUCUUUCAUUUGUGGUCUCUCUUCCUUGCAGUAUGGAUUCAAGCAUUGACUCGAAAUCUUUCAUUUGCAGUUUCUCCUCCUUUGACUCAAAAUCUUUCAUUUGCAGCUUCUUCUCCUUUGAAUUAGCAUCAUCACCAUGGUAAAGAAGAAUGGGUCCAGGCUUUGAGUCGAAGUCUCCAAUAUGCGGUUUGUCCUCCUUAAAAUUGGCAUCAUCUGCAUGGUAAAGGAGUAUGGACCCAGACUUUGACUCUAAUUCUUUCAAUGUAUUAGACCCAAGGUGCUUAUUUUGUUUAGUAAAAGCAUCAUGACUAACAGUAGGUCGCAAAAUGUCCCUGGGGUCCUUUCUUGCCUCCAUGAAGCAUGCAAGCUACACAUUCCGGGCAAAUGACAUAAUUGAAGAAGCCAGCAUCAAUAUAUAUUACGUAAACAAAUAUAUCGGUGGAGAUAGGCUGCACAUCAAAUUAUAAGCCUUGUGGGGCUUGCUUGAGUGUCAUUCGAUGUAGGUGAACCUAGCAUAGCUUAAAAAGAUUUUUAUGUAAAUUUAGGACCUUUAAUUUCUUGCUCCUCAACCUUACCUAUUAUAUCAAGACCUUCUCAUCGUAUCUCUACCUGUAUAAUGGAAAUAUUGGAGAUGACUUCCUCUAACUAAUAAAAGUAAAGUGUUGAAAGUCGAGUUACAGUGACAUUUAAGUUUCGUACAGCCCACAUUGGAAUGUUUGAUAGGGAAGCUUAAUGACCAUAGAACUAGAAAGCCACCAAGUCAGCUUUGCUCUCCUUAAUCAGAAGAGUUUCCAAUCCCUUGGCGGGGAUGGUUAGAGUUGAGGAUAAAUGUGUGAAAGCAAAGGAGAAGGUAUUUUCCCAAGUGCAUAGCUUUAAUUGAGAGGAUCAUAAUAAUGCUGAGCAGUUAACGGAUUUAAGUGUGUCUAACAAGCAAAGAAUUAUCUCUUAUGAACUCAAAUAGGGUACUGAUGUUUGAGAAAUCUUACUAUGGCAAUUGAAAAGAACACAACGAGAGCAUCAGAUGAACGCACCCUAUCUUUGAAGUUUGAACAGCUCAAAAUGAAACUUUGAUGGUGUACAAACUCUUGGGGCUAUGGCCAUUUAUACAAGAGGAUAGCCAAGUGAAGCUAAUAAGACUAUAGCAUGGAUUAGAGAAGUUACUACCCUCGUACACCAAUUGAUAGGUCGCAAUUCUGUCAUUUAUUUUGUAAUUAAUUCCCUCAUAUUAUCUUACCAAUUGUGCGUUUUUGGGCAGAUUUUAUUCACUUUUGGAAAUCUGUGCUGAUUGCAGGGAGUUGAAACAAAAUAUGGUAAAAAGGCGCAGAAUUCCUCACUACAUUGGCUAAUUGAUGCGGGACAUCCAGAGUUGCAAAACGAGGUCACGAAGUUUGCCAACUGAUACAAUUGCUGGCCGUAUAUCUUCGGUGAGCAUGGGAUACACAGGAUUAAUUCUUGUGGCAAUAAGUAAAAGAGUUUGAGUAGUAGUAGGAAAUGGGAUACCAAGUUAGGAUUGUUUCCUUAUCUGAUGGUCACAAUACGGCAGGCUAAGCGCUAUUUUCUUGGACUCUCCCUUUUUCAUCCUUUGGUAGUUUUCAAAAGAGAGAAGUCAAUUGAGACUAGGAAACUACACUAGCUUUUCAAGAGCCGGCCGCAAUAAGCAAGAGAUAGACUUGCUAUUGUCUGGUUCCACGGGAGAUUCAUCACCCCAAUUAGGAGAUGGCUGGCUCUUGUGUUGUUCUUUUUAUUUUUAUUAUUCAAUCAAUUUCAUCAUCAUGGUUGAAGAAAAAGCAUUCGACAAUGGACUCUGCAAUAUUGCAUGAGAUUGUUUCGACCGAGAUGAACUAAAUCUCUUUUUUUAGUCAAGGAACAACAGAAUCUUUGGUUUAUCUAAAAAAUUAUUAGACCGAAUUAAUUUUAUCUAUUCCUCUUAUUUACUGGUAUUUGCCUAUUUUCUGAUUGUAGUGUUUAUGGUUGUUUUAUUAAUUGAGUAUCUUGGGCCCAAACGUUGAAUUAAUUUAGCAACCUAAUAUCAAUUAAAGCAUUAAAUCUGUAAUUAUUUAAUUACUCUAAAAUAAUAGCAACUGACAUUAUUAGGUUUGUAUCAGGGGAAUACGCGGUCUAAUCUAAAAUAAUCUUGGUAAUGUGUUAUUUAAUUAAAAUAGAACUCCUCUAAUACGUAAGGCAAUUGGACAAUUAAAUAUUACGGUCGUACCUAAGAUUAUUUCUCGAUUAGAGUAGUGAUUAAUGGUUAUAUCUUAAUCACCGACACAGUAAGGAGGAGUUGACUGUCAUGACUUGUUUGGCAGUUAUAACUUAUUUACUAGUUAAUAAUUGGAAUUAUCUUUGUAUCGAUGAUUAAUUAGGUGAACCAUUGCUAAAGUUAUUUCUUGGUUAGAGCUUAGUUAUUAUUAAUUUGGUUUUAAUAAUUUGCCAUUUAAUUUUUAGUUGGUUAUUUAUUUUUAUUUGAACCAUUUAAUUAGUACAAUUUUUAUAAAAAAAAUCCCUCUUUGUUAGUUUGAAUUUCAAAAGAGAUAAAUAUCCCCAGUCCUUGUGGAUUUGACCCUACUUAACACUAUCUAUAGAAAUUAUAUUUUAUUUAAACAGGUAUUUAUUAUUGCACAGGUUCGACAACCUGUCAAUUUUUGGCGCCAUUGCCGGGGACUGGUGUUAGUUAUUUUGUUUUUUUUAAAGUUCAUUUUCGUUUUAAUUUUUGGUAUCUUUUCUAAUUUAUGCCUCAUUCUUCUCAUAUAAGUGAAUUAAUUUUUGAUCAUAAAGUAGAUAAGACCGCGCGCCGAACGUGAAAAGAGACCAAAUAGCUCAGAGAAGAGCAAAUCUAGUGCUGCAUCUUAGAGACUUGAUCCAAAAGCUAAAUCAAUAAGUUCACUUGGUGAUAUUUCGAGCAACCUAGAUCGAGAAGAAGUCACUAUGGCUAAUGCACAAAAAUUAAGGAAGUUGACUGCUCCUAAUUUAAAUCAGCAGCUCUUAUGCAUUACUUUUUCAAAUUUAAAUGAUAAUACCCCAUUUGAGUUAAAAUUUGGUCUAAUUCAUCUUUUUCGAGAAGAAGACACUAUGGCUAAUACACAGAAAUUAAGGAAGUUGGCUGCUUCUAAUUUAAAUCAGCAGCUCUUAUGCAUUACUUUUUCGAAUUUAAAUGAUAAUACCCCAUUUGAGUUAAAAUUUAAUCUAAUUCAUCUUUUAUUAUCUUUUAAUGGUUUACCAAGUGAGGAGCAAGCAUUGCAAGAAUUUGAUGUUAUUUGCAACAGUAUGAAACCCUCGAGAAUUUGGAAGAAUAAAUAAAAAUGAGGGCAUUUCCCUUCUCUUUCGAAGACUCGGCAAAAGACUAGUUGUACUACCUACCUCCAGGUAGUAUCACUACUUAGGAGUAGCUGAAGAAAAAAUAAAAAAAAUAUUUUCCUGUGUCUCGAGCUGCGAGUCUGAGAAAGGAGAUAUGCAGUAUCAAAUAACAUUCAGGAGAGUCGCUCUAUGAUUAUUGGAAGAGAGUCAAGAAACUAUGCAUCAAAUGCCAUCAACACCAAAUAAGCGAGCAAUUACUCAUCCAGUACUAUUACGAGGGACUAUUUUUUCGAGACAGUAGUAUUAUUGAUGCUGCAAGUGGAGGGAUGUUGGUGAAUAAGACUCCUCGAGAAGCAUGGGAGUUGAUUGAAGGGAUGACCGAGAAUUUGCAGCAGUUUAAUACAAGGGAGAAUGUCCCGAUACGUAGAGUAAAUGAGGUAGAAACAUCCUUUAUCCAAUAACAGUUAUUCGAGUUAACAUUUUUUGUUUGGCAAUUGGCUGUAGGAAAUGCUCUACAAGCCAAGGUAUGUGGGAUUUGUACUACCAUGGGUCAUUUUAAAAAGAUGUGCCCAAUGAUUCAAGAAGAGAGUGCGGAACAAGUAAAUAUGAUUGGUCACGCUUCCGUGCCAAGAAAGCCAUAUGACCCAUAUUCGAACACGUACAAUAAGGGCUGGAGAGAUUACCCUAACCUCAACUAUAGAGGAAAUAGACAAUCAAAUUUUGUACCGAAAGAUAGCAAGAGUAUCAACAGCAAUAUCAACCCCGGCCGUCACCACCUCCUCCAAACUCAAACCUGUCUUUAGAAAAAAUAAUGAAGCAAUUAAUUACUAGUAAUACACAAUUUAAACAAAAGAUGGAAUCUGAUUUACCAAGUCUAAGGAAUCAAAUGGAACAAAUGCAAAUAAUAUAGAGUCAGAUGAAAAUAUUAAUCAACCGUCUAGAGUCUCAAGUUCACGAAAAAUUGCUAUCCCAACCUAAACUGAAUCCAAAGAAUAUAAGUGCAAUGAUCUUAAGGAGUGGAGAGAAAAUUCAGAAACCCGAACUCUUGAUUUCAAAGAACAAGAAUAAAGAAAGAAUUGAGAAAGAUUUUGAGGAAGAGGGCAGAAACAACAAAAAUUCAGUGAUACUUCCUGACCCAAUCAUUGAAAUUAAAACUAAUCUGCCUUUUUUUCCUAGCAAGUUGGAAAAAUCAAAGAAACAUGGCAAUGAAAAAGAGAUCUUGGAAAUAUUCCGCAAAAUAGAGAUCAACAUCCCCCUACUAGAUGCAAUCAAACAAGUGUCAAAUUAUGCAAAGUUUUUGAAGAAUUUGUGCUUCAAUCAAAGAAGGUUGAAAGAAGAUGAAAGAGUUAUUGUGGGAGAGAACGUAUCAGCGAUUCUAUAGAGAAAACUCCCACCAAAAUGCAGGGAUCUAGAUAUGAUUACUAUUCCCUGUAGGAUAUGUAAUACUUUGUUUAGAAAUGUCAUGUUAGACUUAAGAGUAUCAAUCAAUGUAAUGUCUAAAUCUAUCUAUACUUCUUUGUGUCUAGGUCCGUUAAAUGAAAUUGAGAUAAUAAUCCAAUUAGUUGACCGAACGAAUGCAUAUCUUGAUGGGUUGGUCGACCAUGUGUUGGUUAAAAUUAAUAAAUUGGUAUUUUCAACUGAUUUUUAUGUAUUUGACAUGGAUGAUGAUUAUUCCCCCGACCCCUCGUCUUUGCUAUUAGGCAGACCCUUUUUAAGUACAAUCCAGACUAAAAUUGAUGUUAAUAAGGGUACAUUGUUCAUGGAACUUGAUGAAAAAAUUGUCUAUUUCAAUAUCUUUAAAACCAUAAAAUACCUCUCGAACUCCAAUUUUAGCUUGACUUUUUCUGUGAGUGCUAUUGACCCUACGGUGCAGGAAGUAUUUGAAAUUAUUAGUAGAGAUGAGUUACAAAUUACUUUAACCACACAUCUCGAGUUAGAAACAACUUAUGAAGUAGAAUUAAGUGAAAAUUUGAAGUGUACGAUUGAGAUGUUGCAAUCGUUGCCAACCAUGACGACAAGUAUGAGCUCGCAUCUAUUUUCAUACCCGAACCUCACCAAAGGGUACUACCGUCUGUGGUGUAGGCACUUAUGCUAGAGUUAAAUCUCUACCGAAACACUUGAAAUAUGCAUAUUUGGACGAGAAGAAAACACUUCCGGUGAUUAUCUCGGCAGGAUUGUCAAAAACCCAAGAAGACAAGUUAAUCCGAGUUCUUAGAGAGUAUAAGAAGGCAAUAGGAUGGAUCAUCGCCGAUAUUAAGGGAAUUAGCCCUUCUGUGUAUAUGCACCGAAUAAGGCUCGAAGAAGAUGCCAAACCUAUACAGCAAAUUCAAAGUAAGCUUAAUCCCCUCAUGAUAGAAGUGAUGAAGAAAGAAAUAGUAAAGUUGCUAGAUGUGGAAAUUAUAUACGCAAUAUUAGAUAGUCCAUGGGUAAUCUCGGUACAGGUAGUCCUAAAGAAGUUAGGAGUAACAGUAGAGGCCAACCAAAAGGGUGAACUCAUGCUAGUGCGCAAACCCACCGGAUGGCGGCAGUGUAUCGACUAUCGAAAAUUAAACGCGGUCGCAAAAAAGGACCAUUUUUUUCUUUUAUUUAUUGACCAAAUGAUUGAGCGAUUAGUUUGUCGAGCUUAUUAUUAUUUUUUAGAUGAGUUUUCAGGGUAUUUUCAAAUCGCAAUCGUACCGAAGGAUCAAGAGAAUACCACCUUUAAGUACCCGUUUGGAACUUUCGCAUAUAGGCGAAUGCCUUUUGGAUUGUGUAACGCUCCUGCCACAUUCUAAUGAUAUAUGGUGAGUAUUUUCUUUGAAUAUGUAAAAAAAAAUUAUUGAGAUUUUCAUGAACGACUUUAGUGUAUAUAGUGAUAGUUUCGAUAAUUAUCUAGAUAACCUGAAAUUGACUUUAUUGAGAUGUAUAGAAGUUAAUCUCAUGCUUAACUGGAAAAAAUAUUAUUUUAUGAUUGAGCACGGGAUAGUUCUAGGUCAUGUUGUAUUCUCUAAGGAUAUUGAAGUUGAUCAGACUAAAAUAGACAUUAUAUCUGCUUUACCUUACCCUGUGAGUGUACGGGAAGUGCGUUUUUUCUUGGACAUGCAGGUUUCUACCUAAAGUUCAUCAAGAAUUUCUCGAAAAUUGGAGUCCCUCUGUUCAAACUCUUAAAAAAAGAUAUGGCAUUCAAGUUCAAUAAAAAAUGUGAGAGAGCAAUCGACAAAUUAAAUGAGGUAUUAAUAUCGCCACCAGUCAUCUAACCCCCUGACUAGAGUCUACUUUUUGAAAUCAUGUGUGAUGCCAGCGACCAUGCAGUGGGAGCAGUAUUGGGGCAGAUAGUAGGAAAAGUAGUCCAUGCCAUCUACUAUGCAUCAAGGGUUUUAAAUGGAGUCCAAUUGAAUUAUUUCACUACGGAGAAGGAGCUUUUAGCAGUUAUUUUUGCUUUAGAAAAAUUUAGAUCAUAUUUAUUAGGAGCUAAAGUUGUUAUAUAUAUAUAUAUAUAUUUUUAAUCAUGCAGCUUUGAGAUACUUGAUGAUAAAGAAAGAUGCAAAGCCGCGGUUGAUACGAUGGAUACUACUCCUACAGGAAUUUGACCUGAAAAUCAGAGAUAAAAGAGGAGUAGAAAAUCUAGUGACAGAUCACUUGAAUCGCGUACCAGUCGUCAAAGAAGAAUUUCCAUUAAAAGAAGCCUUUUCUGAUGAACAUUUAUUUUUUGUCAAUUUUUUUUUACCUUGGUAUGCUGAUAUCGUGAACUAUCUAGUGACUAAUAAAUUUUCUAGAGGAUGGUCUGAGGCACAAAAGGACAAGUUGAAGAAUAACGUCAAAUAUUUCAUGUGGGACGACCCUUACCUAUGAAAGAGAUGCGCAGACCAGGUAAUGAGAAGAUGCAUAAGUGAAGUUGAAUUUCAAUUAAUAUUAACUUUUUGUCAUACUUUUGCAUGCGAAGGUCAUUUUGGACCAAAACAAACUACGCAUAAGGUAUUGGAGAGUGGAUUUUACUGGCUUUUGUUGUUUAAAAAUGCAUAUCUAUUUUAUAAAUCUUGUGAUCAAUGUCAAAGGGUAGGUAAUAUAGUUCGUAGAGAUCAUAUGGCUCAAGUCCUGAUGUUUUUCAUAGAAAAUUUUGAUGUUUAGAGUAUAAAUUUUAUGGGACCUUUUCCAACAUCAUUUGGUUAUAUAUAUAUUGGUAGCAGUGGACUAUUUUUUCAAGUGGGUGGAAGCUAGAACCACUCGGACUAACGAUUCGAAAAUGGUUUCAGAUUUUAUUAAAUUCAAUAUUUUUGUGCAUUUUGGGAUGUCAAUGGCCAUUGUUAGUGACAGGGGGACGCACUUCUGUAAUAAGACCAUAGCUACUCUAUUUCGAAGAUAUGGUAUACUCCACAAGAUCUCGAUAUCGUACCACCCUCAAACCAAUGGUUAGGCGGAGGUUUUGAAUAGGGAGAUUAAGUCGAUAAUGAAAAAAAUGGUUCUUCCCAACCAUAAGGAUUGGAGUCUCCAAUUAGAGGAUGCGCUUUGGGCAUAUAGAACUGUGUGACCCCUAUCGGGAUGUCACCCUAUAGGCUGGUAUUCGAAAAACUGUGUCACCUCCCAAUGAAGUUCGAGCAUAAGGUCUUUUGGGCGAUAAAGCAGUGUAAUAUGAAUUUAGAAGAGACCGGUGUUCAUAGAAAGUUGGACUUGCAAAAAUUGGAGAAAAUCUGGAACGAACCAUAUGAGAACGCAUUAAUUUAUAAGGAGAGGGGUAGGACAUUCCAUGACCAACAAAUCUCUAAGAAGACCUUUGAAGUUGGCCGAAUGUUCUCCUAUACCAAUCCAGGCUUAAGUUGUUUUCAGGUAAACUACGUUUCCGUUGGAUCGGCUCUUUUAUUGUUACUCACAUCUUUUACCAUGGUGUAGUAGAAAUUCGGAGUACUAAAAUGGACAAAAGGUUUGUGGUGAAUAGAUAUCGUUUCAAACAUUAUUACGAGAAUUUUUCAAGUGGAGAUAUGGAGAUGAUACGUCGGGAUACACCAAAUUUAUCGAAUUGACGAUACCGAGCCAUGUCUAGCCAAAAACGUUAAUGAAAGACGCUUAUUGGGAGGCAACCCAAUUUAUUUUAGUUGUUUGUUCAAAUCCUAUUUGUUGUUUCAAUAUGUUUUCUUAGAAUUUUUUCAUAUUUCUUGGUUUAAUUUUUGAUUUUUGGUGAUUAAUAGGUGUUCCACCGACAUGACAUGCCCGAGUCAACAAGGCAUGUGGUAGUGUGCAACUCUUAGGUGCUUCAUCAGAAGGAUUUCUAACCACUUAACGUGCCCGCAUCAAGUCACCUGGAAAACUCUUUCUUUGAUUCUGGAGCGGACUAACUGACAUGAUGCAUGGUAAUGAGCAAUCCUCGAGUUCCUUAUCAGAAGGGUUUCUGCCCUUAUGAUGCGCUCGCGUCAAUAGGAUGCGUGAUAACUUUUAAUUCACCAGACCUCCAUCAGAAGGGUUGUCACCCUCAUGACGCGCCCGCGCCAUCAGGACAAAUGAUAAUGAACAAUUCUUAAAUUCUUCAUCAGAAAGGUUCGUACCUUCAUGACGUGCCCAUGUCAUGUUUGAUGGAAAGGUAUGUAUAAAAAAGGGGGAGAAAAAAAUACAAAUAAAAAAUUUAAUUUUCGUUUAAAUUCAAAUUUUAAAUUUCAAAUCUCUAAUUUUAAAUUUAAAUUUUAAAAAAAAAACUACAACCUAUUUCUUUUUUCCUCUUCUUUCUUUCUUUUUUUUUCUCUCUCUUUUCUUUCCUUCUUCCCCCUAUUUCUCUUUUUCCCUUUUGGCCGAAACUCCCCCAACGCACGCCACGGCCAUUUCUCUCUGCCCGCUGCAUGCCUUAUUACGGCGGCCCGUCUCUCUUAGUCGAGCACCCCAAGUGCCAUUUCCAUCACCACCGCAGCUGCCGUCGCCACUGUUGUUCGAUCAAUACAGCUCGCGAUUCCAUCUCGUGUGUCGCGACAUCCGCUGCAGCUGCUCCGCCAUCCGCUCGACCCAUGACCGCGAAACACCCACGACCACAUCAUGUGCCACAACUCUCUCCCCUCCUUCAACUUACGAACGCCGCCGUCACAGCCACAAUAGUUGUUGCGUCUCCACCUGCGACGUCGUUGCCUCAUCCUUCACUAGCACCGUCAAUCCUAACCGUUCACCGCACUUCAUUGCCCCUCUCCUUUCUACAUCUACGCAGUCUGCAACCACCCAGGCGUUGCCCUCCCAGUCACCAUCGCCUCUCUUUACCGCUCAUUCAUCGUCGAGAACUGUUGCCGGUCGAUGGUGUGACGGCAUUUCUUUAUCUCAAUCCCUUGGAAGACUCCUAGAGUGUUAAUUUUUGCAGUUGCAUUCUGGACUUCACUAAGAAUCAUUUUGCCAAAUUAUUGUGUUGAAUUGCUGGAGUCAAUUUCUGGACUCAACUGAGGAAUAUUUUGCUGCAUUAUUAAUUGAUUGAAUUGAAGUGAAUUGUUGGGCGUAAUCUACCUUGAGUGUCAAUUUGUUUGGGACAUUUGUUGAGAUUUUGGUUAGAAAAAUUCUGUAUUUGACUAUUAAAUUGGGAGACACCAGUGGCUAUUAAUUUGCUUGUUAACUUCACUAGAGAUAGUCCCAAGUUCUGGUUUACUUGGUUGCUAUGUUCGUUGGUAAUUUUGUUUCUUUUGGUGAUUUGAUUGACUGGUAGAGACUAUGGUUAAGCAAAAAUUCACCUCUAAGUCUAGAACUUCUAGAUCUCAACCUACCAUUUCUGUUAAUGAGCCUACCAAUCAACGAUUUUUUUCGGAUGUCCGAACACGUCUAAGUAGGGAUAAGAGUGUCCACGGUGCUACACCCUUGCACUUUGGGGAUCAUUUAAACUUCAUUAAGGCCGUCGAUAAGCAGCGAUAUGCUAUAUGUUGUGAGUGGCAAAUUAUCUCCUGUAAAUGUCUUGACAAUCUUACCAUGGGUGCACUGGGUAUCAGGAAAGAGGUUGAGCGAAUGUUUACAGCUAUCGGUUGGGGACCUUAUGCCAAAAUCUUUUGUCUUGCGUUUGUCGAACUGGUUCGAGAGUUUUACUCCACUUUUGAAUUUGACUUGCCUACGGGGUAUACUGUCGAUACCCUGAAUGUGAUUCAUUUCCGUCUAAUGGAUCAAGAGUUCAAUUUCUCUAUUACUCAAUUCAAUUUGAUAUUUCGAUUAAUUACUCGAGAAUAUGUUGAAACCAGGGAAUACGCUGAGAGUGCUUGUAACUACAUAGAAUCAUUUUUCUCUCACUAUCCCGAUAUUUGGAGGGAAAUGUCUGUUGACGGGGACCGUUACGACCCUUCUAGAUCCAGGAGUUCUUAUCUUAAGGACCCAAAUUCUCGAUAUGUUCAGCGAUUCUUAGCUUACAGUUACUCGGGUCGCAAGAAUAACUCCGGUAUACUUUCUAGACUCGAGUUCUUCUUUAUCUGGUAUAUAAAACACAAUAUUAAAGUGAAUUUGGAUUGUUGGUUGGCAUCUUAAUUUAAGACUGUCAUGGCCAAGAAAAAUAAACCGUUGAUACUUGGAUCCUAUAUCACAUACCUGGCAGUCCGGUUAGACGUUCUUAAUUUUCAGAACCAUGAUCUCCAUUUGGCCUUUGACAUAAAAUAUUUAGAUGCGAUUGGUCUAGAAAAGAUGGGCGUUAUAGAGGAGGUUGAUGGCAUAUUUCAGUUUACACUUCCCGGUCCCAUUUGAGCACCAGAUCGACGCCCCCUACACGAGCAGGUCCCUCUUCUGCCCCUGGAUCAGCCGAGAAUACAAUUGGAACCUCUUCUUCUGUGCCUCCUCCACCGCUAGUCUCUGAUUCUGAGUGGCGAUACCUUUGGGUACAAAUUCACCAUGUGGAUGAGCAAGUGACGAAUAUCGUUGAUCAGGUUACCUAGAUGUCUCAGAACUUGGCCGCCUACUUCCACUAUGUUGGUUUCAUUCCACCUAUUCCCACCUAUUCCAUAGCCACUCAAUAGAGAAGUUUCUUUGUCCUACUUCUUUUAUUUGCUUUAUGACCUCCAUUGAGGACAAUGUCGGAUCUAAGUAUAGGGGAGGAGGGGGAGUUGUGGUAUAGCUAGUAUUUUUAGUUUUUAGAUGUUUUUUCUUUAUUUCUUGUUAUUUGUUCUAUUUUUUUCUUUUAUUUUAUUUUUAUUUUUAUUAGUGAUCAGCAUUUCUGUGACUACCAAGAAUUGAUGAUAGUUGAUUGACUCUAAUUCUCCUAUUGUCAAGUUUUAGUAAUAAAAGUGUAUCAAGUUAAUUUGGUUAAGUCCAGGAACAUCUCUUUGGUGAAUAUCGAUGAUUUUGUGUCUCUUAUAAUUUUUAAUUAACUUUUCAAGGCAUAGGGAAUAAUUGUUUGGUAUUUUCAUGUGAAUUGGUCCAAUUAUUAACCUUAGUUCUCCAUGUUUGAGAAAAUGAGGCUAGUUGCUGUUAUUUUAUGUGAUAUUUUGAGUUAUUUUGUUGCCUAACUGUAAAUAAAAGGUGGCUGUACUCCACUAAUUAUUACUACUGAGUAAUCGGGAAUUUUUACCAAAAGUGUCAAUUCUUGCGUCUAACAGCAGUAAUAUCUAUGAGUACGUGAUCUUAUAGUGAUAGGAGCUGAGUAAUCGGGCUUCUUCAUCUAAUAAAUGUUAGAGUUCGUGUCAAAAGGUUCUAGUGGCUAGAGGUCAAGUCCAUUAUUACUACUAUUGAAAAAAAAAAAAAAGAAGAAAAGCGCAAUAAAAAAGUGUGAAAGCUGUGUAAAUGUAUGAUUAAAGUUAGCCUGCUGAUCUAUGAGUUUAAUGUUAAGAUUUUGGUUAAUAAUUAGACCGUUUGCUGAUAAAUGUUGAUCGACCAUUCCUUUUUCUUAGAAUAGUUAGCCAUAAAUUGGAGGAGUCUACAGUUUAGAAGUUAACUGGGGUGAUGUUUAUUGGAUCUCGAUCAUUAAUGCUUGAUAUGGGUUUCCUCGGUAUUUUGGCAAUAAGGUAAAUGGAGUGAUGGCCAUUGUCAGGAAUUGGUAUUUAUUUACUGUUAUCAUGUUUGAUGACAAGGAUGGUCUAGGUGUGGAGAAAAUUGAUAGGUCGCAAUUCUAUCAUUUAUUUUGUAAUUAAUUUCCUCCUAUUAUCUUACCAAAUGUGAGUUAUUGGGCAGAUUUUAUUCACUUUAAGAAUUUGUGCUGAUUGCAGGGAGUUUGAACAAAAUAUGAUAAAAAGGUGCAAAAUUUCUCACUACAUUUGCUAAUUGAUGCGAGACAUCUAGAGUUGCAAAACGGGGUCACGAAGUUUGCCAACUAAUACAAUUGUUGGCCAUAUGUCUUCGGUGAAUAUGGAAUACACAUGAUUAAUUCUUGUGGCAAUAAGUAAAAGAGUUUGAGUAGUAGUAGGAAAUGGGAUGACAAGUUAGGAUUGUUUCCUUAUCGGAUGGUCACAAUACAGUAGACUAGGAACUAUUUUCUUGGACUCUUUUUUUUCUUCUAUUGGUAGUUUUCAAAAGAGAGAAGUCAAUUGAAACUAGGGAACUACACUAGCUUUUCAAGAGCCAGCCGCAGUAAGCAAGAGAUAGACUUGCUAUUGUCUGGUUCCAUGGGGGAUUCAUCAUCCCAAUUAGGAGAUGGCUGGCUCUUGCGUUGUUCUUUUUAUUUUUAUUAUUCAAUCAAUUUCAUCAUCGUAAUUGAAGAAAAAGCAUUCGACAAUGGACUCUGCAAUAUUGCAUGAGAUUGUUUCGACGGAGAUGAACUAAAUUUCUUUUUCUAGUCAAAGAACGACAGAGGUUUUGGUUCAUCUAAAAAUUAUGAAAUCGAAUUAAUUUUAUCUAUUCUUCUUAUUUACUGGUAUUUGCAUAUUCUCUGAUUGUAGUGUUUAUGAUUAUUUUAUUAAUUAAGUAUCUUGGGCUCGGACGUUGAAUUAAUUUAGCAACCUAAUGUCAAUCGGAGCGUUAAAUCUGUAAAUGUUUAAUUGCUCUAAAAUAUGGACAACUGGAAUGAUUGGUUUUGUGUCAGGGGAAUACGCGAGCUAAUCUAAAAUAACCCUGGUAGUGUGUUAUUUGAUUAGAAUAUGGCUCAUCUAAUAAGUAAGGUAAUUUGAGAAUUAAAUCUUACAGUCAUACCUAAGAUUAUUUCUCGAUUAGAGUAGUGAUUAAUGAUCGUACCUUAAUCACUAACACAGUAAGGAGGAGUUGACUGUCAUUGCUUGUUUGGCAGUUAUAACUUAUUUAUCAAUUAAUAAUUAGAAUUAUCUUUGCAUCGAUGAUCAAUUAGGUGAACCAUUGCUAAAGUUAUUUCUUGGCUAGAGCUUGUUAUUAUUAAUUUGAUUUUAAUAAUUUGUCAUUUAAUUUUUAAUUGGUUAUUUAUUUUUAUUUGAAGCAUUUAAUUAUUACCAUUUUUUAUAAAAAAAAAUCCCCUUUAUUAGUUUGAAUUUCAAAAGAGACAAAUAUCCCCAGUCCCUGUGAAUUCGAUCCUACUUAUUACUAUCUAUAGAAAUUAUAGUUUGUUUGAGUAGGUAAUUAUUAUUGCACAGGCUCGACAACCUGUCAUCAAUCCACAAAUUACCAACAAUUUUGCAUUUUUACCGAAGGGCCAAAUUUUCCUAAAAUCAUACAUCGAUUUCAAAUAACAGUAAAAAUUUGGCCCUUCGGUAAAAAUGCAAAAUUGUUGGUAAUUUGUGGAUUGAUGACAGGUUGUCGAGCUAUGCAUAAUCUGAAUAUUUUCUUUGAGAACUUUUUUGAAAUUUUCAAAACAAAAAUUCCCUUCCACGUAACAAAAAAAUAACCAAUUCACUGCAAUUUGAGAAAAAGAUACAAGAUAAUGAUUUGGACAGAAUAUAACUGUAACAAUAUGAACUUAAAUUCCAUGAUUUGAUUUUUCUUUCCUUUUCUUUUCCCAUGAAAUUUGAUGAUUUGAUUUUUCCUUCUUUUUCCUUUUCCCAUAUAAAAUUCGAUUGAAAAGGUUUGGCUUUUUUCAAAUCCUCCAAAUUACGAUAAAUAUGGUAUGUUAAAUUGUGCUUAACCAAGGUUAAGAUGCUGGUUAUAAGCAAAAGAAAUCCUGCACAUUGAAUUCAAAUUGAACACAUGUCAAAAUCGUAAUGCUAUAUCGAGGAGAACUAAAGAAAAUAAGUAACGAAAAGGAGCAGGAUCCGCUUGACAAUGACCCGUAUCCUAUCCUAUCAAAUCUUUCCGGUCCAAAAUUCAAAAAAAUUGAUUUAGGAUUUGAUAAGGUCUUGAAAUUUAUUUGGUGGCGUGUAAAUUAGCAUGUUCCGUCUUUUAAGUACAUAAUUUGUGAGACAAGAUUUGGGGACAGGUAGGCGUGCAUCUUUCAUAAGAGAAGAUUGUGAAAUUGCCAUAACUAUAUCGAUAUAUCCUUUAUGCAUUAAACAUAAAUACUCGCGAGUCUAGAUGCAUACCAUUUAUAUAAAAUUUAAUGUUCAAAUUUAAAUUUAAAUUUAAAUAAUGUGGCUAUGUCCAACCCCAUCAACAUAUAUACUCACAGUAUAAGAAAGAUUAAGAUUUUGUUUUGCUGAUUCUACAGGCUUAACAGGAGUAAAACAACUAGUAUUGCAGCCCGUGCUUUGCACGAAUUUAUGUUUAAUAUAAUAAUAAUAGAAAAUGAAUUAUUUAUAUUAGUUACAUGAAAAAAGAUUAAAAAAAUUAAAAGAAUGCUGUUUUAGUAUCUGAUAUAUAUUAUAUUUAUGUAUCUUAUCUAAAACCUUAACGUAUAUCAAAACUAGGGUUUGCUUCCCACGCAAGGCGUGAGAGCUUUAGACCUGUUAGUAAGGUUCCCUGCCAUGCAAAAGCAGUAUAUAUUAGUUGAUAAGAGCAGCUGAGUAUUGAUAGAAAAGAUGCUUGGUUAGCACGCAAAAGCAAUAUACAUUAGCUAUGUACUGAUACAAAAGAUGGAGGUACUGUAGUGAAUAUUUUCUCCUGAAUGAUAUCCUUUGGCUAAUAUUUUCUACUGAAUAAUAACUACAGUAGUGCGAUGCAAAGGCACAUUAAAAGGCAUAAAUCAAUAUAUCAUGAUGCAUGCUUCAUAGAGGGUCAUAGAAACCUAAAUAGCAAAGGAUAGCAAUAAAGAACAAUUAGGCUCUGUCUUCUUUAAAAAUUGUAAAUCAACAUAACUAAGGCUUUUGCUAAUUUUUUACUACAUUUUGACAUCAUCUCUCUUCUAAUAUACCACAGUGUACGUAGAUUAUCCAAAUGUGAAUGUUGAAGAUCUCGUAAUUCUUCGAAGCCGAUAUUUGUUGCACUUAGUAAAAUGCUACCAAAAUCCAGCAACAUAGAUCUCAGGAGAGGGGGAAGAGGAGAAACAAAGUACACCUGAUAUUUGAAGUUAACCAGAAGUUGUAGCGUCAAAGCCCAAAGUGCCCUAAAAAAUGUUCAUGUGAUACCCAUUGAAGCAAACGAUUAUAACAGCAGGGUAAUUAAAGCAAAGUCCAUGUCCAUGCGCAAAACCAGAGAAACAAAUAUAACAAAGAUAGCUGCAAAAUAAUUGAAGAGUGAGAUAUGUUAAAAGUCUCUAUCACUGCAAUUACGGUCUGUCUAGUGAAUAAUCCCCUUUCAAAGAACCAAGUUAUGGAACUUAGAAGUGCUUAUCUAUGCCAGAAAUUAAUCAGUGUAUGACCAGCAUCAACUUCCUAAAACCAAAAUUAAAACAAAAACCAAAUUAUAUCAACCAAAUGAUGAUUGACUGCAGAUUCUACUUAUUGAUCCCAAAACAUGUGAAAAAUUAAUACCAAGACAGUAAGAGCUGAGAAAGUACUCUUUAAUUGGUCUUUGGUCCUAACCACGAUAGUCACUAACAUGACAAUGCAGUAAUCGUCAAAAUUAAUGUUUCAUAAAAUAUAAUUGGUGCAUAAAAUUUCGUGGUCCCUCUUGGCUUAAUGAAAUUGAUGCUUCUAGGUCUAUCAAUAUAUUGUUUCCAAUGGAAUUCAUCCAACAAUAAAUCAACAUACCGCAAGACUGGAACAAAAACAAUCGAGUAAUUAAAAGAUAUAGAAAAGAUACACACAAUGAUCAAUCAGGCUCAAAUCUGUAAAAAGAAAAAGCAAAAUGGAGGGAGGCACCACCAUGGCUACAAAUUCCUAGUUGCAUAUGCGAAUGAAUUCCAUCUCAUCCCAGAAGCCAUCUGGGUUGCCCAGCUAAGAUAAGGGUUUGAAUUUAAUUUCGCCAUCAAUAACUCAAUAAAAGAUUUUCAUCAUCCUUGCCAGGACAUAUACACAAACCUCAAUGCCCAAGAGCAAAAAAGCAUGAAUAAUUAUGAUUAUACAGCAAAUACCAGAGGAAAAAAUACAUGAAACUAUUUAAAAAGAUGAAAUUGAAUUGAAUAUACCUCUCUUAGCUCUCUCUCUCUCUUAGUCAAAUGACACAAAUGUCCAGUUUAAAUGACAUGGCAGAUUGAGGUUUCUUGGGUGCUGAUAAGUAUGGCCACUAUAAAAACAAAUGCCAACCCAAAAGAGUUUACCAACAAAAUUCAAACUAAUAUAGAAAACAUUAGCAUCUAGAUGAAAUCAGGUGAAUACGGCAAACUUAGAGCAUGAGUUUCGGAGCUGACGCAAUCUACAUACCAUAUUCAUGAAGAGGAGCAUCAUAAUCAUAGCUAGUGGUAAUAAAUUGUCCACCAGCUAUCCUGCAAAAGUUUGUUCCUCCAUGAUAUUGCCAUAAAGAGAAGAAACUAAGAAGACAAUCACAACAGUAAUUUAGUAGCAAUUUGAGGAAAAAUAUUUUUUAAAGCACUAAACUUUACCAUGUAAUAGUUAAUUAAAAAGCCCUGUUUUCAAUAAAUUAUGUAAGAGAAAAAGCCAAGUCUUCAGCCGGAUGGUAAGGUAUUAUACCUCUGAAUUCAAUAAACUUGGAAAAAAAAUAGAUAAAAUAGGUCACUUUCCUGUCAUAAAACUCCAAGAAUUACGUGUCUCCCUAUAUAUAAAAAAAAAAGUAACCACUGACCAGCUUGUUCAAGCUUCUGUCCACAUCUUGGGUUUAUAAGCCUUAUUUGGGGAGUAGUAGUGCCAGUAGAAGCCGUUGCAUGUAUUUGCCUGGGCAAAAGUAAAACAGACAUAGUAUUAAGAUAUUCAUUAUCCUCUGCUUCUUGAACAUACUAUAAGGACAUUUAUAAAAGUAUAAGCUACAUUGUACUGGGCUGAUACAACUUGAAAAAUUUUAUUUUAUGCAAAUUGUGAUAUUUAAAUAAAUAAUCCCCAUUAAUUUUGGAUUUCACAUUAUCUACACUCUAAAUGAAGCAUAAGCUCAACUCAAUGCUAAGCUUAUAGGAAAUGUCUACAAGGCAUAAGCUAUUCAACAAAGUGCUUUUCAAUGUGCAAUUUCAUAAGCUAUAGUACUAAUCCUAGCUCACCACCCUGUACAUCACAUAUAAAUAAAAUACUAUGACUUACCAUCAUUUUUAUGAUAAACUAUUACUAUUAACCUAUUAUAAAAUGUGACUUACUAUCAUUAUCUAGUGAUAAGUUACUAAUGUUAUUAAUACACCAGGUAACAAUGCUAAGUAAUACACAUAAAGCAUCUAACAAUUUUCUUGUUAUUUCAAAAAGUUGUGCAUGGCCCAUGAGUACAAUUGCUGGAAAAGUAGUAGUUCAAUCUUAAAAUCGUGCCUCUCGCACACUACUUUGUCCGUUAAGGAACACUAAAUCAAAGAAAAGUUGUAGAGAUUUUUUUAUUUCGAGAAAAAUUAUUUAUGCACUUUUGUUCACUGAUUUGAAAAUGGUCUGGCUCUAUUUUACUGAGCAUUCAUCAUGGUCCACUUAAUCACUCAAUGGGAACUUAGAUCUACUUAAUUAUGCAUAGCUACACACAACUUAACAAAGGCAUUUUGUGAAGGUUCCAACAACAUUGGCUAAAUAAUGGUAGUUUUUCAUAUUAGUGUCAAAGAUUUAGGAAUCUUUCUUAUCUCAAAGGAUAUAAGGAAGGCUGAUCAAGGUGUUUCAUUCUAUUGUUGGGAAUGUAUUGACUAAUUCUAAUACUCUAUGUCAAAUAAUUGAUCCAUAACUUGAAAAUCAGUUUGUUGUGUUUGACAAAUAUGUUGAAAUAACUGUCUUGGAAGCUAAAAAAUAUGUGUAAUACAUUGAAGCAAGCAUAUGUCCAUUUUUAAAUGUGUGUAUCAGUGAAUUGAUCUCAAUCUGCUUUUGACAAAAAUAUAAUUUUUGAGGACCAAAUAGAGUCAUGAACAGUUGAACACUCCUAAGGUUGUGGUGAAAGUCUUUAAAGCUUAAAUUUCUAUGAAAAUUAGUCUAAAAUCCAAAAUGCAUUUCUAUUAGCCAUCAACGGAGAGUUUGAAGAUAGGCCUUUUGUUCCCCUCCAAAGAAAAACCAUCACAAAAAUAAGAAGUUAGAUAUAAGGGACUCUUCCAGUUUAGCAUAAUUUAAUGCAAAAUUAAUCGUAUGCAGUAUAGCCUUAUUAAGGGAGAAAUAAAAUCAAACCAAAUAUUUCUUUUUUCCUUAAAGAGCUAGUAUACGGACAUAGGUUCGAGAAGGCAAACUUAUAGGUUUGUGAAUAUGCAUAUCUGAUUCAUGAGUAUCGCUUCGGGUAGAAUUUCCAUAGCAGUAUAUAAAAGUUGGGGGAAACUUUCUUAUUUGCGACAAAUUUCCCAAAAUAACAAUACUAAUAAGAAAAGUAGAACAAGGACAAUUUACUUGAAUAGUAAAUCUUUUUUUUUCUUUUACAAAAAGAAAAAGGGAGGGAGGGUAGGAGAGGUAGAGAGGGAAACUAACAGAACUCUUGCUUCUUUUCGUGGAAGGUGCAUCAAAGGAAAACUGAAUUGGAAGAUUUAAAUCAAUUCAAACAGUAUAUGAUAUGACAAAAUGCAUAACUAAAAAUCUCAAAUACACAAAAAUAAAAUACUUGAAAGAAAUUGUAAAAAAGAAUUCAACUUCCUUAAUCUCACACGGUGAGAUUUUCUAUACCCUAACAUGGUAAAAGAGUGCGAAAUAUAUAGUGAAAAAAAUUAAAAGAAGAAAAAAAAUCCCGUUCGAAUCAUUAAACUCCAAUUUUUUUUUUUUAAAAAAAACUGAGACUAAUAGCUACCAAAAGUAGUCCAACUUAACAGCUACAAUUUAACUAUUCACGAAGUAGAGAUAUCCAAACAAACGAAAGCCAAAUAUUUACCUCUAAAUUUUCUAGUAAAGGUGUUUAAGUCCAAACCAUCUGCAGCAGAAAAUUAGAAUCCUAAACAUUAGAAACAAAGGAAAUCUGAUAGUAGCAAACUAACAAAACAAAUACCCAUUCAGCAGAUACAAGUUUUCUGAUAGGUCAUAAUUUGUUGCUAAAUUUAUAAUUAUUCUCUCCUUGAUUUUAACCAAAUAUUAUUUUAAUUGUCAGAUUCUACUUAUAUUUGGUAUUUUGUGCUUAUUUCAGGAGCGGGAAUGCAAAGUGCUUAAAUGAAGAUUUUCUAGUGAAAAAAUCUGAUGGUUUCACGGGAGCACACCUAAGUUCACUGCUCAAAACCGAAAAGUCGGGAUUGAUAUUGGGCAAUCUCCAAAUCUGAAUCAAUUUCCUAAUUUGAUAGUCAUCAGUCCAUCGCUUCACCUGAUGAUUGGUCUCCUAUCUCUAUUGGGACACUAGUCUAGUUUAUUUAUCUUAACUUUGUGGAAACAAUCUCUUAUCUAGUAGGGAUUUGAUUUCGAUUAGUAGAAGUAGUCUAAUAGUAUUAGGAAACAAAACAGCAGAGCAUCUUUAUCGUUUCUUUAUUCCCUCUUUUAGGAAGACUAGUUAGUAGUCAGUGGAUACUUUUUGCUUUUUAGUUAGUCGCAAGACACAAGAAAAAACUAUCUUAUCUUUUCUUUCACUUUCUUUGAAUAAAAAUACAUCACUUUUGGGGAAGAAGAGUCACGUCAAUUAGUUCGACUAAUUGGCUUGGGAUUUCUUCAACGAAGAUGAACUAAACCCCUAAUUCUAGUCAAGGGGACAACUGACGAUUUGGUUCGGCAAUUACUAUGAGAUCUAAACCGUUUUUAAUUGUUUCUUUCAUUUGUUGGUAUUUAUAUGUUUCCUACUUUUAAUUGUUAUAGCUCUUGUGUAUGAUUGAUUAGUGUGCAAUAAUUAAUUAUUCAUAUAGGCUAUUUUGCUAAUUAGGGAAAUUGAAUCCGUAAUUAUUCGAUUAUCCCUAUCUCAGCAGCAACUGGUAUAAUUGGGUUUAUGUCAGGGAAACAUAUGAUCUAAUUUAAACAAACCCUCAUAGCAUGUUUGUUUGUUAGGAUUGGGUCUUUUUAAUUAUUAAUGCAAUCUAGAAAUUAAAUCCUACAAUCGUACUUAGUAUUGUUUUUUGGGUUAGAGAAAUAGUUAACGGUCGUACCUUAAUUAUCGAGAAAUUAAGGAAGGGUUGGUUGUUUAUCGCGUGCAUGACAACUAUAACCAAUCUAUUAAUAAAUGUUGGAAUUAUUUAGGAUUCAAUGAUUAGUGUCUGAACCAUUUUUGAAGUGUACCAUUGGCUAGGGCUGUCCUAAUUAUUUCUUUUAAUUAAUUAUUUUUUGCAAUUAAAUUAUUUAGUUAGCUUUUAAUUCUAAAAUCCCCUAUUUGUUUUGAUUCAAAAGGAAAUAAAUUUCUCCCCAGUUCUUGAGGAGACAACCCUACUUGUCACUGUCUACUAGUUAGUGAAUUUAGUCAGAUAAUUAAUUCGGGUAUAUCAGAUUAAGUAAACUCUUCGAAAACAUGGUGAAUCAAGUAAUCUAUUGCACACCUAGAGUCCCUGCUCCAGUACCUAAAAUUGAUUAUUGGCUACUUUGGGUGGUAGUUAGGUUUUAUUUAUUAUUAUUGUACAAGUUCGGCACCUGUCAAUUUUUGGCGCCGUUGCCAGGGAUUGGUGCUUAAUUAAUUUGUUUCUUUUUUAGUUCAUCUUGUUUUUAUUUUUAUUUUUAAUUUUUUAAUUUUUCUCUUAUUUUUUUAUAUAUAGUUUAUGGCUGCUAACAUUUCGUACUUUGGUGAUAAACUGGAUUUUAUUUCUAGAAGGGGUUAUGAGACUUAUGCUUUUUUUAAUGAUCAAUGAGUUGUUGCAAAUUGUAAAACUUAUUUUGCCUCAAAUCAUUCAACCGACAUAUGCCCUGCAUUUCAAGAUGGUCUAAGUGCUCCAAUAGAUACUUUUGAAAAUUUUUCGCCUCAAUAUCAAACGUGGUAUGACCUUUAUUCAAACGGGUAUGAUCAAGAAUGGUGGGAUGAUUCCAAUUUUAAUUAUGAACAAAGGUCAAUAGAUUUUCAACAGCUAGAGUCUCAAGAACCGUCACCCAUGUCAGGUAUGUCUCUUGAAGAAAUAGUUGAAUCACUAGCUACUAACAAAUAUCUACUUCAACAGGAGACAUAUCUACUUUAACAGGAGACACAUCAAUUUCAACAGGAGGUACGUCAAUUUCAACAGGAGAUACAAAAGAUGAUUAAAGAGAUUGAAGAAGGAAGACGUGAAUGGGCAUCUACAAUGAGCAAAUUGAUUUUUCUAAUUUAUGAAGAAUUGCCCUCACAGACCAUCAACGAUCUUAAAGAAGAUGAGAGUACAAUUAUCCUGACAAGUGACAUGGAACUGCAAGAGUCUUAAAAAAAAGAAUCUAAAGAUGCAGUUGAAAAGGGAAUUGAAUUACAAGAAAUGGAACCCCAAUAUCAAAUGGCUCAAGUGAAUGAAUCCAGUGAACAAUCUCCAAAUGCGGUGACAUCUACUCUAUUCUUUGAUCAAUAUUCUCUUGACUCUUAUUUUUCAAUUCCUGUUAGUGAAAUUUAUUAUACCAGAAGAUUUUGAGUUUCAUAACAGGAAUAAGUUAAGAGCUGCAAUGACAAAAUAUUUCGAACCAGUAAGUAUUCGUGAUGGAGGACUAAGUGAAGAAUUAAAUCCUUGUUGACUUGUUUGGCGCCAUCUACUAGUCCAUGGAAGACUGUAGCUCGUGUGCUCAAGAAUUAAUCUAUUUACGAGUGCUAUCAGGAUUACAUAGAAGAUGAAACACUGAAAUGAGUUACAUGAUUUUAUCCUCCAUGAAUAAACAUGGCAAUGUCUAGUCAAAAACAUUAAAGAAAGGCGCUACUUGGGAGGCAACCCAGGGCCUUUGUUUUAGUUUUCUUAUGUUUUUGGAGUUUUUGUUAAGUGUUAGUUGCAUUUAGUGAUUUGUUGUUUUUGUGGCAGGAAUUUGGCAGUUAGACUUGCCCACGCCAGGUGGUCACGCCUAAGGAAGGCAAUUCACGUCCGCGGGCAGAAGACUCUCUAUUAGUUAAGCGUGCCCACGCCUGAUGGUCACGCUUAAGGAACUCAAUUUCCAAAAAUUGGUCAGAAGACUCUCCAGUAGUUAAGCGUGCCCACGCCUAGUGGUCACGUUUAAGAAACUCAAUUUUCGAAAAUUGGUCAGAAGACUCUCUAAUUAUAGGCAUGCCCACACCAAGAGGUCACGCUUAAGGAUCUUAAUUUUCGUGGGUUGGUCAGAAGAUUCAAGGGCAGUUAGGCGUGCCUACGUCUAAAGUAGUGGUUUCAAAAAAAAAAGAAAUUUCCUUUCUUUUCUUUUUCUUUUUCCUUUUCUUUUUCUUUCUUUCUUUCUCUCUUUUCUUCUUCUCUUCCUUUCCUUUUUAUUCCUUUCUUUUCCUUUCCAACUACAAGACCGUAACCAAAGGACUUCAAAUUCCACCGCCACCGUUGUGCUAUUCAACGUGGGUCGUCAGUUCCUGAUUAUCACUGCUCAUCGCUCGUAAUUCUUCCUCAUCCAUCGUGAGCCACCUGACAUCCUUAGCUGCCGAUCAUAGCUUUCAUCGUCAUCAGUUUUGCCAUCGAGCUCUACAUGUCUUUUGUCGCUCACCUACAGCUAUGCUACAACCUCCCUUGAUGAUCAGGAAAGUUUCGUUAUCCCUUUUUACUUUAAAUUUUAUUCUUUAUUACUUACAUUGGGGACAAUGUAAGAUUUAGGUGCGGGGGGAGUUGUAAUUUGGUAUUUUAUUGAAAAAAUGCAAGUGUAAGCAUUUUUUUGGAAUUUUUUUUGUUUAACUUUAUCGAAUUUUGUCCAAUUUUUGCCUAUCUUUGUGAAUAUUUGUGAUUAUUCCUGAUAAACGAUGAUUAGAUGUCUCAAAUUUUUCUAUUGUUAAAAUUUUACAAUUUAAGGUGUUGAGUAUAACACGAUUAAGUUUAAGGGUUUCUCUUUGGUGAAUAUUUGAGAUUUUGUGACUUUUACACUUUUUGGUUAAUUUCUCUAAGUAUUGUAAAUAUUUGUCUAACAUUUUUUAUGCAAAUUGGUGGUUCAGCUAUUAAUCUUAGUUUUCCAUAUUUAAGAAAUGAAGCGGGUUUGUGUGAUUUUUAAUUUUAAUUUGGUGCAUAUUUAUGAAUAGUAUUCAGCUAUACUCCGCUAGUAUCGUUACCUAGUAACCGGAGGUUUUUACCACAAGUGUCAACUUUCGCAUCAAAAAACGACGAUAACUAUGAGUAUGUAGUCUUUUAGCGAUAAAAGCUGAGUAACCGGACUCCUUCAUUGGGCCAAUGUCGGAGUUCGCAUCAAAACACUUAAAUGGCUAAAAACUAAGCAUUCCCCCCUGGAGAAAAAAAAAUCAAUUAAAUGUGGGGAUAUUUUAGAAAAAAAAUGCUAAUAGUAAAAAAUGUGAAUGAAUUGUUAGCCCGCUGAUCCAUGAAUUUUAAUGUUGAAAUUUUGCUUAAUAGUCGAACCAUUUGCUUAUGGAUGCUGGUUGAAUAUUUUAUAUUCUUAGAUUAGUUGGUCAUAAAUUGAAAGAGUUCUUGAUCUUUGUAGACACCAAAUUUUUGUCAAUUUUUAAUAUUUUCUCAAGAUUUUUCUAUUUAAUAAUUUAUUUAUUUUCUUACAUUUUAAUGUGCAUUUUUCUUAUUUUUUGCAGAAAAAAAAAAUCAACUAAACCCAUUUGACAAAAUCUCUUGGUUCCCUCCUUAUUCUCAGGGACUGAAAAAAAAAAAAAAGGAGGAACGGCACUUUUUUUGGGGCUCAAAAAACAACCUGACACAAAAAAAAGGACUCCCUCAAUUCACUCUCUCGAGACACACAAGAAAUCAGACAAGCAAAGACAAAAAAAAAAAACUAACUCCUCACUCUCUUACUCUCUCGGCUCUCUCUUGGAAGUCAGAGACAAGAAAAAACAAAGAAUCACUUUCCACUCCUCACUCUCUUACUCUCUCGGCUCUCUCCCACAGGACAGAAGACAAGCCAUAACAAAAAAAAAGAAAAACUCCUCUCUCCAUUCGGCUCCCUCUCUUUUCCUAAUAUACACACACAGAAUCAAACACAAGAAAGCAAGCAAUCGGACGUGAGGAGAUUGGAAUUUCAUCAACAAUUUUAACUAAGGUCACAAGAGGUAUCAACACUUCCAUUGAAUUAUUUCCCGUUUUUUUUUAUCAUGUUGAAUUCAUGUAUUAUUGGUUGUUCCUGCUGUUUUCUUGUUGUUGCUGCUGGUGUUGUUGAAAUUUUGGGGUAAAGCCAUGAAUAAACAUUAAGGAAAAGAUGAUUUCUGUGAAUGCAUGUUAAUUGUUUGAAAAAAUGCCAAAAAGAAUUUUAGGGACUGUUUUGCCUUAAUUCAGCCUUUUUAUGUUGUUUUCUUGUUCAACUUAGAGUAUAGUUGUAAUGUAGAAGUUAUAAGGAGGGUUUUGGUAUAAUUUUUAAGAUUUUUGGUGAAGAUUAUAGUGUUUUAAAAAUAAAAAAAAAACUGGACUGGCUUUUUGCUUUUCGGCCACCUUCGGGUCAUCUUUUGUAAAAAUUAACUCCGGAAAUGGAAUCUACGCGAAAAAUCGAGUGAGAGGGUGUGUUUUGAGAAAAAUUUGGUGACCGGAGAGGUCGCCGGCGGCUGCCGGCGGCGGCGGUCCGGUGACGGCGACGCCACCGGCGGCCACCAUGGCCGCCAGCUGAAGCUUCCUCAGCUGGCCGAAGAAGAAGGAAAAAGAAACGGCUGGAGGUGGAGGAAGAAGAAAAGAAGAAGAAGAGGAAGAAGAAAAGAAAGAAAAGAAAAAAAAAAGAUUUGGGCUAAUGUUUUAUUUCGGUUGGGCCAAGGUUAGUUUUGGUUGGGUUUUGAAAAUAGGUUUUGGUUUAUUUCUUUUGGGUUUCGGUUAGGCUAGAAGGUCAGAGCCCAUGCCUUUAUUUUUGGUUGGGUCUGAGUGAUAGAAGACGGGCUGGCCUUGUGUUUUGGCUUGGACUUUCGGUUGGGUUUAAGUAGUGUCCGGCCCAAGGAAAUAAAAUGAUGGCCUGGUGGCCCAUUUCUUAAGAAUAUCAUAAACCGAUUUUUGUACUUUAGCCCCUGAUUUUUGGAGUAGUUUCAUCGUGGCCUAGAACAUUUUUAAUCUCUUUCACUUAGGUCCUUAAAUUAAUUGCACUUUGGUCCUUGAAUUUUAUCUUUUAUUUAAUUUUGACCUCUAAACUUUGGAAAAAUAUAAUUUUUAUCCCCAAAGGUUUUUCAAUUUUUGCAAUUCAGUCCCCGAUGAAUUUUGACUCUCUUUAUUAUGAUUGUUUCUUUUCUUUAAUAGCUAAUUAUGUUACUUUUGAAUAUAUUUAACUUGCAAUUUUUAGAUGUUCUUAAAUUUCUUUGCUUUGACAUGUUAACGUGUAUUUAGUAUUUUAACAUUAUUAUUAUUUUUCAAUUAAAUUGGUGCCAUGAUCCUUUUGUUCAUUGUAAGUAUAAUUAGGACAAUUUGACUCCAUUUAGUCACCACUUCAAACGGGAGGUACUCCUAUUUUAUUAUUUCAAUGUCAAUUACGUGCUCUUAUGUGCUUCUAUGUGUUCCUAUGUGUUUAUAUAUCUUUAUAUGCUUUAUUUAUUUGAUUUAAAUAGUCAUUCAAAUUUUCUUAUAUAUAUUUUAGUUAGUUUUUAUAAUGAUUCGAGAGGUAUUUAAAUACCUCAAAAAUGUAAUAGAUAGGAUAAUUAGAUUUGUUUUAUUAUAUUUUUCCCUCCUAGAUUGUAGUUAGGCGCUCCCCGAUGUAAUAGAUAGGUUGCGUGUUUAUGUGGCUUAUGUGUUAAGUAUUUUAUCCGCUUUUCUUAGGAUUUUGGCAUCUAGAUAUUAUGCUUACGUGUUAUGUGUUACGUGCUCUUAUGUGUUUAUUUGUUUUAAUUUAUGCUUUAUUUGUUUCACUAUGAAUUGUUAAUGCAUAACGUCACCACACUAGUCCAACGCUAGUUGGGGCUUCUCUCUUCGCUUACUUGCUAGUCCAACGCUAGUAAGGAUUUUUAGAAAUGGGCUGGUCCAACGCUAGACCUUUUAGGCCGUCUUGCGUUAGAUCCAUCUUUGUGUGCUAUUCACUACAUCUUCAUGCAUAUUUUUAUUUUUAGGAUCUUUUCUCAUUUGCAUGAUAUUCCCUAUUAUAUUAUCCCCUACCCUCUAUAGGCGCUGAUCAUGUCAUUUAGAAUUACAUCUCAUUUAAGCUAGUUCAUUUGCUUGUUCAUGUUAGGAUAAUUGUUUUUCAAACAUGGAAAAUGGGUGAUUAUACCUUUUUAGUUUAAAUACCCAAUUGAUCCCUGUAUAAGAAAAUUAUGUCACGAGUUUUUGCCUCCCAUACCCUUUAUGUUGCAUUCCCUUUUUCUUUGAUCACUUAUAUAUGUAUAUAAUUUAAUUUCUUUUCUUUUAUUUUAAUUUCAUCAUUCGCAUACUCGUGACACUUUCAAGGAAUCAUUUUGGCAUUCGCAAUUAAUGCGAUUGGUUCAAUUAAAUCCUUGAAUGAACAUUGUGUCCCUUUCGAUAUUUUUAUAAAUUUAGAUUUGCAUCCAUGUAGGUAACAUCCAAAUAUGAUAAAAUUAAGGGUUAGAUUAGGAAAAUUUUGACUAAACAUCGCAACUAGCUUAGACUAGGUUGAAAGGGUGCCUUAGGUUUGAGUUAAUCGAACCUUUGCCUUCCCUUUCUUCAACCGUGACUCCCGAAUCCAUUUUCUCUUGUUUUCAAAAAUCUGGAGUUGUCAAAAAGGGUUUUAUUUUAUUUUACUUUAUUUUUUGGGUGACUUGGUACACCAAAACUUCAUACCAAGUGGCGACUCCUAUUUUUACUAAAAACCCUUUUGGACUAAAUUUUGGACCCAAAUUGUCGCAUUCUUUUUUAAGUCCCAUUCUAGGUUCUUUUUCAUUUAUCAUUAAUAAAUCACAUCUUUUUUUACAAACUCCUUUCUUUCCCAUCGCGAAAAAUGGGGCGCGACAACUUGGCGACUCCACUGGGGACGCUAGAGAGUCCAAGCACUUGGUUUAGUUGUUCUUUUCUCUUUUUAACCCUUUUACUUAUCAUAUUUGGAUGUUUAGGUUGCAUUUUUCUGUUUUAGGAUGUUUUGCAUUUCACACUCGUAUUCGUUCCUCGUAUUUCAUGUAUGUGAUGAAUGGAUUAUUUAUUUACUUAUUCGUAUCGCGCUUUGCAUUUGGGAUGGGGAUAUUACCCUAGAGUCUCGCAUUGGUUCUCGAUCCCUCCCCUCCAAACCUAGCACUAGCAUACGUGCAUACGUUCUAUUUUUUAUCCCUCAUUUAUUUUUUUCUUUUAGUGGCUUGUCACGCCACUCCACCCUAUUAGGAUUAGGCGACCCACUUGGACGUCUGAUCGUGACACGAUGUGUGCGUAGCAUGAUCCCAGGGGUCACUCAAUCUUCCGCUUUAAACUUUGGGUUAUAGCCUUUAGCUUUUAGUCGAAGGUUGAGAAUUUUUGAUAGAUUCACUCAAACACGUAGCCGUGGCACGAUGUGUGCGUAGCAGUGUUUGGGGAAUCGCUCGAGCCACCGACAAAGAACCUUGGGAUUGAUGACCUUUGAUUUCCAAGUCUGAAGGCUCGGGGACCUAAAACCUAUCGAGUCUAGAUGUAUUAGUGAGCCAAUACCUCAUGCAUCCAUGAUAGUUUACCUAAGGUAGAGUCUGCCUUACCCUAUUAGGGACACUAUCCACGAAGGGAGGGAUCCAACCCCUCUUUUCCUUUUAUUGCUUUAUCUCUUUGUAUUGUUUUACUACAAUGUGUUAUGUGUAUAUUGUCUGAUUGAACUAACUUUUCUUGGUUUUUCUCUCCACUGCAUUCAUAAGCCCUAGAAAAUAAGAGUUCUGGCAUGGUACUCUGUAGGAGUCUACCCUAUUUGAUAUGACACGUUUAAAUUCAAUACUUCGCAUUUGCAGCAUGAGUACAUUUCAUUUUAGGCUUACCUCGGCAUUUAAAUGGGGCACUUUUAGAUCAUAUGUCAAUUAUUUCAUUGCAUAUUUAACCGCUUUAAUAAACUGGCAUCAUGCAUCAACUAUAAAGGGAAUGCCGUAUAGGGAAUCCCGCGUUAGGAAUAAGCCACCUUUUGUCUCGGCUAUAUAAUCCAAUGAGACUUGCACGUUUAUAUUUUUUGUACAAUCCAAAGGGGUAGUGCACAAGGUAAGGUAGGAUUCGAUCCCUUUUGUGUGACGGCAUUGAGAAUGAUGGAACAAUUUUUACGCAUUAGAAUAUGAGCCUCUAAUAAUCACUUUUUGGCUAUUUUAUUAGAAUUGGUAAAAAUCCCUUGCGUAAAGGAUAUUAAGUUGAAGAAAUUCACAAAUUCCUCAUUGUUGAGAUGAUAAGUAUGUUAAGGCCAAAUCUUGAUUUCCGAAGGCUCAUAGACUAAUGAAUCACAAUGAAAUUUUUUGAAUCUACCAAUGGGCAGACAAUUCCAUCAAUUUUGAUAAAUUAUCAAUUUCAUUCAUUCCAUUUUUACAUCUAAGAUGAUUGAGUCGAUUUUUUUUAUAGAUCAUUCGAUCCAUACAAUUUUGCUCAUUUUUAAUUUCAUUUUCAUUCAAUUUCAUUUUGGAUAAAUCAUGAAUUUCAUUCUGUUCGUUUGGCCAGUGAUUCAGUCGAUUUUUGAAUAAACUGUCAAUUCUAUCCAAUUCAUUUGAUCAAUUUAUUCAUUUUUAGGACAAUACAAUCAAUUUUGAAUAAAUCAUCAAUUCCAUCCAAUUCACUAUUCAUUUAGUCAACUUUAUUUUUGUUGAAUAAAUUCUCAAUUUCAUCCAAUCCAUUUGAUCAGUUUUAUUCACUUUCAGGAUAAUCCAGUCAAUUUUUGAACUAACCAUCAAUUUCAUUCGAUUCAUUUAUUCUUUUUUUUGAAGUUUCGAUCUAUGGUUCGCCGAAGAAACUAGUCGAGACAUUUCAAUCAUUUCAAAAAUAAGUUUAUCAUACUUAAUUGAUUUUGUUUAUCACUUUAUAGGUCAAUCAGAGCAAUCAAUCCAUUUGGAUUUUGUCCUCAUUUUAUUAGGACAAUUUUUCUUUUGUCACUCUAAUUAGCCAAAUUUUUCCAAAAUUGUCUUUUAUUCGAAUCUUAAUGAGCUGAUUGGAUCCAUCAGGUAUUGUAUGGUGCCCACCCCAGAGGAUUGCAUUUUUCAUACUAGAGUAACCCUUGGCAUAAAAGGGUUUCCCCCAUAGGUCAUGCAUUCGAAUUUUUUGGAUAUUUACUAACUCUUAUCGUUUUUUUUUUCUUUCUUUAUUUUAUUGGAAAAUCUAAGUGAGAGCUAAAUCUAAAAGGCAAUUCCUUUCAACAUUCUCAGGUAAUAUUUAAACAUAACUUCUCUUUGAAGCCUCAUCAUAGCACGAUCCCGUAGUCAAACCCAGAAGAAUCGUAUAAACAUGAGUUCACAACCGGAACCGUCGGAUAGGUCCAUUACUACAGCUCAACCUGAAACUACAAAUUUGGGGGUCCAGCUAACCGAGAUGCUUGCUAAGUUUAGCGAAAUGACUACCGAGAUGGUGGCCCAAAGGAAAUUGAUUGAUGAGUUUAUCAGCAGCGAAGUUCAACCCGAACCUGUACCCGUCAGACAACCUGAGCAAGAACCAUUUGUCAUACCUUCGACUCAAACUACAUUUAUUCCAUCCUUCCCUAUUUCACCCGAAGAAACUCUCACUUAUGCCACCACAAAUUUGCCAUACACUUACCCUCCUAAUCCUUCUUUUCUUCCUACUCACAUGCGAGGUUCACACCCCCAAAUUACUUCGAAUAUACCUCCCGAACCACAUGGUUUUUAUCACACUACCGCAGAGCCCUUACUGCCAGACCAUACUGUCCAAGCUAAACCAGAGGUAGGAGAAUCUUCUGCUCUUGUUGAUAUGAAAUUGCUCAAGCGCCUAGACCGUUUCGACGAAUUUAUGAGGAAAAGUCAAGGGCUAAACAAGCAAGGAGUGCUGGACUAUGAUGAACUUUGUCUCUUCCCAAAUGUGCAGUUGCCUGUGGGGUUCAAAACCCCAAAAUUUAACAAGUACGAUGGAAUGGGUAACCCUAAGACACACCUCCGACUGUUUGCUAACAAGUUGGGAAGGCCCAUAGAUGACGAGAAUCUGCCUCUAAGGCUGUUCCCAGAAAGUCUGGAGGGUGAUGCACUCGACUGGUAUUCCAAUUUGAAACCCGAGGAAGUAAAGACCUGGCUUGACUUGUCCAAUGCUUUUGUGAGGCAGUACGAGUACAACUGUGAGUUGGCUCCGACACGAACCACGUUGGAAGGAACGAAGAGAAAACCCUCUGAGGACCACAAAACCUAUGCUAAGAGAUGGAGGAAAAUAGCUGCAAAGGUUGAGCCACCAAUGACUGAAGAUGAAAUUAUCAGCACUUUCAUUAAGGCACAUGAUCCACCGUACUUUGAAGAAAUUUUCCGCAUGACUGGAUGUUCGUUUGCUGCUAUUGUCAAUAAGCUUGAAGAGUACGAUGACUUCGUAAGAGUUGGGAAGAUCGUUAAUGUCUCUGUCCUCAAAUCGCAGUUGGAUGCUUUGCAAGGACAAGUGAGCAGUGGACAAAAGCCGCAGUUUAAAAAGGAAGAGGGGGAAGCUGCCUUCAUCUGGGAUCAAAACCCUACACCAAGACCCAGAUUUCAACAUAAACCAACAUAUUCACCGCCUUAUCCCUACUAUCCAAGUCUUCACCCUGUCUACAAUACCAAUAUCUCCCACCCCCGACCUCGCCUAAAUUACGCCAAAUCGCCCACAAUCCCUUUUCAAAUAUCUCAACCCAAUUUUCAACAAACUCGUUCUCGACUUUCUUACAACCAGAGAUUUCCCCCACCAAACGGACCCACCUAUAACUAUCCCCAACCCACUGAAACCUACAAUCAAAGUCGUACCCGAACCUUCACCAACCUAGGCAGGCCUUUGGACCGAGUGUAUGAGCAGUUAAGGGAUGCCGGUAAAAUAGGUGUGACCUUUAUGGCAUGCCUGCCGGAUACAAUCCGCAGUCCACUUGUGCCUAUCAUUCGGGAGCACCUGGCCACUCAACCGCUGAUUGUAAAGCCCUUAAGCACAAAGUUCAAGACAUGAUCGAGGCAGGGGAAAUAGUGCUAAGGAAAAAGGGUGAACAAAGACCGAGCAUAAGUACAAAUCCUUUUCCUGAACAUAAAGACACCUUUGAGGCAUCCACCUCCAAUGAAGAAAUUUGAAAAUCUUGAAGGAAUUUUGCACAAUUGGAUUGCCGAGUAUCUUCCCUCUUGAAGGGAAUUUCGAUAAAAUUUGGGGGUUGUCAUUUGCUAAAAUUCAUAAAAAUUGUCACUGGUUUUGUGUAAAUAGUUUUGGCUAAAACAAUUUUCGCAUUAUCAAGCUCCUGUGUUGCUUUUUGAAUUUUUCAACGGAGUGCAUAGUUACAUCUUUUCAUUAUUCUUGCUUGUUUGAUACCAUUUUGUUUAUAUUGGUUGAUUGUGUAUUGUUUUAAUUUCCUUUUACAUUCUUUUAGAUAGCCAAAAAUAAAAUUAUUUGACCUUUGGAUAUCACUGUUCUGGAAUCCGGUGACGGCAAUCUCGAUAUCACUCGCGACUUUGACGUUAUGGAAUCUGAAAUUCAAAACGAGAGUGAUAAUGAGGAAGUAUCUGGUUUUUUUCAAAAGGUUUGAACAAUAUGAAGAGAAAUCUAAACCGAACCUAGAAGAAACAGAGAUUGUUAACAUUGGCACUGAGACUGAGGUCAAAGAAAUAAGGAUAAAUAUACAUCUGAAUGAAGAGCAGAAAAGAAAUCCCCUUCAUUGCGUAUUCUAAUGGAAGCCAAGUUAGAAGAAGCUGAUUGGUUGAAGUAGAGACUUUUUAACAAUCGGCUCUGAUUGAUGAAAAGCGUCUGAAUGCUAUAUGUCGCGGCCAAUGCUACCAAAAACGCAUGUCCCGUGCUUACAACAAAAAUGUCCACCGGCGAUCCUCCGAAGAAGAAGACAAAGUGCUAAAGCGAAUUUUGCCAAUACAAAAUGAAGCCAAAGGCAAAUUUGCUCCAAACUGACAAGGCCCAUUUGUCGUUCAAAAGGUGCUACCGGGCGGAGCACUUGUUUUAGCAGAGAUGGAUGGACAGACAUUCCCUCAACCUAUCGACUUAGACAUGUGUAAGAAAUUCUUUAUUUGAUUAUGCGAAUUCCUUUUAGAAAUCACGCAAGGGACGAGACAAAAGUCAGGCCAUCUUCCUUUCCAAUCAAAACAUUUCAUCCCUAGUCAUCCCCUUUGAGCUAUCAGAACAAUAAUUUUCGUUUGACAGCCCCUGAGAAUUGCAAACCCCACACUGGGGCAAAUUCAUUUUGAAAAAGAUGAUCCAGAAGAGGAAAAGGAAAAGAAAAGCCCCCCACUGGGGCAAAUUUAUUUUGAAAAAAAUGAUCAGAAAGAGAAGAAAGAACCCCACACUGGGGCAAAUUUAGUUUUUGAAGAAAAAUGCAAAAGUGAGAAAAAUGCAAUGAAGAAAAUGCAAAGAGAGAAAAUUCCAAUCAAACUGGGGCAAAUUUUCCUCGGUUUCAUUCAAAAAUUGGAGAUUAUUUCAAAAUGAUGCAAUCUCAGAUUAUUUCACACCUCUCAUCAAAAAAAAGAAAAAUUACUUUCAAGCCUCAACUUUCUUGAAAAACACCCCACCUGACCUCAUUACAAAAACCCAAAGUCUUGGAUUUCGUCACUUGCUGUAUUUCUAUUAGGAAGUUCGCUAAUCAAUUGGCAAGUGAUGUCCAUUAUGCCUUCGCCUAACCUUGUAGGGGAAGCGUAUUUUACUGAUGCCAGCUAUCUUCAACUCACAUGCCGGAGUUGAUCAUGGUCGAGAUUUUCUAUUGUUCCUUAGGUGAAAACUUGAAAGGACACCUUAAAAAAAGGGAAAAGAAAAAAAGAAAAGAAAAAAAAAACGGUGGGGGCAACCUUGGUGAAAAUCCGAAAGGCGCCAAGGUAGGGUUCUGCAGUAAGCGAGCACGAGGAGAAACAGUUGGUGACUUUGGUUCAUUUGAAUUUCUCUUCGUUUUGUUAUACUUCUGCCAAUGUUGAAUUCCGGAACAAAGAUAUCCAGAGAUUCGAAUAUGACAUCCGUUGGCCAAAAGCUGUGUCACGUUGUAAAAAUGUUUUUUUGCAAUACAUUCUUAUGAAACUCAUCUUUUCUCAAUUGCUUGUAUUCAUGGCAUUUUGUAGGUUUAAAGCCCAAUUAGUUGCAUUUGCAUUCUUUUGCAUAUCCAUUUCUGCAUGAUAUGCGAAAUUACCUUGCAUACUUCAUUUAUUUAUUUAUUUAUUUAUUUUAUCAUUGAAUUUUGGUGAAUGACAAUCCCUAUGGUUUAUUCGAAACAUAUUUAGAUUCAGUCAUCUUUUGAAAAUGGUUGAAAUUCAGCAAAGCUGGCUACGCAGGUUUCACGAUAUGGCAAAAGGCAUACCUGGUUAGUCUGAAAAAAUGCCACAGCAAAAGUGGAUGAAUGCAUCAAAAGACUCAUGUUUACACGAUUCUCAAAGGGAAACGGAUUAAAUAAUGGUGGCAAUUUCUUUGUUCUUUCUCUUUUGCAGAAAAAUUUCAUGCAUAGAUGAAAACAAUCACAACUUGCACUGGAGUCGGUAUCGGAAGGAGUUCUCCAGUGAACAAAGGCGGAUCGAAAAAUAUUGCAAGCAAAUUUGAUCAAAAGGUGCAACAACAUGGCAAUGCAGAAUCAACUAUUGGCUUAGGUGCAUAAACUUAACCUCUACUGGGGCAAAAAAAAAAAUAUUGGGUUAUUUUCAGGUAAGUAUACUUAAAUUUCUCGUUCGGGUCAGUCCCAUGUUCAAAUUCUUGUUCGGGUCAGUCCCAUGAUAAAUUCUGGUUCGGGUCAUCCCGUGUUUAAUUACCUACUCGGGUCAGUCCCAUGUUUAAAUUCUUGAUAAAUUCUGGUUCGGGUCAUCCCGUGUUUAAUUUCCUACUCGGGUCAGUCCCAUGUUUAAAUUCUUGUUCGGGUCAGUCCCAUGAUAAAUUCUGGUUCGGGUCAUCCCGUGUUUAAUUUCCUACUCGGGUCAGUCCCAUGUUUAAAUUCUUGUUCGGGUCAGUCCCAUGAUAAAUUCUGAUUCGGGUCAAUCCCAUGUUUAAUUUCCUGGUCAGGUCAGCCCCGAGUUUAAAUUUUUGUUCGGGUCAGCCCCAUGUUUAAAUUCUCAUUCGGGUCAGUCCCAUGUUUAAUUUCUUAUUCGGGUCAGUCCCAUGUUUAAAUUCUCAUUCGGGUCAGUCCCAUGGUAAAUUCCUGUUCGGGUCAGUCCCACGGUAAAUUCUGGUUCGGGUCAGUCCCGUGUUUAAUUUCCUACUCGGGUCAGUCCCAUGUUUAAAUUUCUUAUUCGAGUCAGUCCCAUAUUUAAUUUCUUGAUCGGAUCAGUCCCGUGUUUAAAUUUCUUGUUCGGGUUAGUCCCAUGGUAAAUUCUCGAUCGGGUCAGUCCCAUGUUUAAAUUUCUGUUCGGGUCAGUCCCAUGGUAAAUUCUUGUUCGGGUCAGUCCCACGUUUAAAUUCUCGUUCGGGUCAGUCCCACGUUUAAAUUUCUGUUCGGGUCAGUCCCAUGGUAAAUUCUUGUUCGGGUCAGUCCCACGUUUAAAUUAUCGUUCGGGUCAGUCCCAUGUUUAAAUUUCUUGUUCGGGUCAGUCCCAUGAUAAAUUCUGAUUCGGGUCAGUCCCAUGUUUAAUUUCCUGUUCGGGUCAGUCCCGCGUUUAAAUUCUUGUUCGGGUCAGCCCCAUGUUUAAAUUCUCAUUCGGGUCAGUCCCAUGGUAAAUUCUUGUUCGGGUCAGUCCCAUGUUUAAUUUCUUAUUCGGGUCAGUCCCAUGUUUAAAUUCUCAUUCGGGUCAGUCCCAUGGUAAAUUCUCGUUCGGGUCAGUCACAUGUUUAAAUUCUCGUUCGGGUCAGUCCCGUGUUUAAAUUUUCGUUCGGGUCUGUCCCGCGUUUAAAUUCCUAUUCGGGUCAGUCCCAUGGUAAAUUCUGGUUCGGGUCAUUCCCGUGUUUAAUUUCCUGCUCGGGUCAGUGGUAAUUUCUUGUUCGGGUCAGUCCCAUAUUUAAUUUCUUGAUCGAGUCAAUCCCGUGUUUAAUUUCCUACUCGGGUCAGUCCCAUGUUUAAAUUUCUUGUUCGGGUCAGUCCCAUAUUUAAUUUCUUGAUCGAGUCAGUCCCGUGUUUAAAUUUCUUGUUCGGGUUAGUCCCAUGGUAAAUUCUCGAUCGGGUCAGUCCCAUGUUUAAAUUCCUGUUCGGGUCAGUCCCAUGGUAAAUUUUUGUUCGGGUCAGUCCCACGUUUAAAUUCUCGUUCGGGUCAGUCCCAUGUUUAAAUUUCUUGUUCGGGUCAGUCCCGUGUUUAAAUUUCUUGUUCGGGUCAGUCCCAUGUUUAAUUUCUCGUUCGAGUCAGUCCCAUGUUUAAAUUUUUGUUCGGGUCAGUUCCGUUUUAAAUUUUUUGUUUGGGUAAGUCCAUUUUAAAAUUUUGGGGUCAGUUCUCAUUUCAAAAGCGUCAGUCGUUCGAAUAGCUUGCAUUCGAACUAAGUUUGACCUGAUUCCCAUAGUGGGAUACGUAGGCAACUCUACAUGAGUUCGGUCACAUUUUCUGCAAUGUUAUUACAUCUUUUGUUCACUAAUUUCAGACAAGUGUUGCUUUUCUUUAUUUUAGCUCAGGUGCAGUUAGAAGAGACAGGUAAGUAAUUUGAUGUCUACGUCUUUGUCUUGAGUUUCUUUGAAACUCUAGACAAAGAGGGGCAAGCUGUAGACACCAAAUUUUUGUCAAUUUUUAAUAUUUUCUCAAGAUUUUUCUAUUUAAUAAUUUAUUUAUUUUCUUACAUUUUAAUGUGCAUUUUUCUUAUUUUUUGCAGAAAAAAAAAAUCAACUAAACCCAUUUGACAAAAUCUCUUGGUUCCCUCCUUAUUCUCAGGGACUGAAAAAAAAAAAAAAGGAGGAACGGCACUUUUUUUGGGGCUCAAAAAACAACCUGACACAAAAAAAAGGACUCCCUCAAUUCACUCUCUCGAGACACACAAGAAAUCAGACAAGCAAAGACAAAAAAAAAAAACUAACUCCUCACUCUCUUACUCUCUCGGCUCUCUCUUGGAAGUCAGAGACAAGAAAAAACAAAGAAUCACUUUCCACUCCUUACUCUCUUACUCUCUCGGCUCUCUCCCACAGGACAGAAGACAAGCCAUAACAAAAAAAAGAAAAACUCCUCUCUCCAUUCGGCUCCCUCUCUUUUCCUAAUAUACACACACAGAAUCAAACACAAGAAAGCAAGCAAUCGGACGUGAGGAGAUUGGAAUUUCAUCAACAAUUUUAACUAAGGUCAUAAGAGGUAUCAACACUUCCAUUGAAUUAUUUCCCGUUUUUUUUUAUCAUGUUGAAUUCAUGUAUUAUUGGUUGUUCCUGCUGUUUUCUUGUUGUUGCUGCUGGUGUUGUUGAAAUUUUGGGGUAAAGCCAUGAAUAAACAUUAAGGAAAAGAUGAUUUCUGUGAAUGCAUGUUAAUUGUUUGAAAAAAUGCCAAAAAGAAUUUUAGGGACUGUUUUGCCUUAAUUCAGCCUUUUUAUGUUGUUUUCUUGUUCAACUUAGAGUAUAGUUGUAAUGUAGAAGUUAUAAGGAGGGUUUUGGUAUAAUUUUUAAGAUUUUUGGUGAAGAUUAUAGUGUUUUAAAAAUAAAAAAAACUGGACUGGCUUUUUGCUUUUCGGCCACCUUCGGGUCAUCUUUUGUAAAAAUUAACUCCGGAAAUGGAAUCUACGCGAAAAAUCGAGUGAGAGGGUGUGUUUUGAGAAAAAUUUGGUGACCAGAGAGGUCGCCGGCGGCUGCCGGCGGCGGCGGUCCGGUGACGGCGGCGCCACCGGCGGCCACCAUGGCCGCCAGCUGAAGCUUCCUCAGCUGGCCGAAGAAGAAGGAAAAAGAAACGGCUGGAGGUGGAGGAAGAAGAAAAGAAGAAGAAGAGGAAGAAGAAAAGAAAGAAAAGAAAAAAAAAAGAUUUGGGCUAAUGUUUUAUUUCGGUUGGGCCAAAGUUAGUUUUGGUUGGGUUUUGAAAAUGGGUUUUGGUUUAUUUGUUUUGGGUUUCGGUUAGGCUAGAAGGUCAAAGCCCAUGCCUUUAUUUUUGGUUGGGUCUGAGUGAUAGAAGACGGGCUGGCCUUGUGUUUUGGCUUGAACUUUCGGUUGGGCUUAAGUAGUGUCCGGCCCAAGGAAAUAAAAUGAUGGCCUGGUGGCCCAUUUCUUAAGAAUAUCAGAAACCGAUUUUUGUACUUUAGCCCCUGAUUUUUGGAGUAGUUUCAUCGUUGCCCAGAACACUUUAAAUCUCUUUCACUUAGGUCCUUAAAUUAAUUGCACUUUGGUCCUUGAAUUUUAUCUUUUAUUUAAUUUUGACCUCUAAACUUUGGAAAAAUAUAAUUUUUAUCCCCAAAGGUUUUUCAAUUUUUGCAAUUCGGUCCCCGAUGAAUUUUGACUCUCUUUAUUAUGAUUGUUUCUUUUCUUUAAUAGCUAAUUAUGUUACUUUUGAAUAUAUUUAACUUGCAAUUUUUAGAUGUUCUUAAAUUUCUUUACUUUGACAUGUUAACGUGUAUUUAGUAUUUUAACAUUAUUAUUAUUUUUCAAUUAAAUUGGUGCCAUGAUCCUUUUGUUCAUUGUGAGUAUAAUUAGGACAAUUUGAUUCCAUUUAGUCACCACUUCAAACGGGAGGUACUCCUAUUUUAUUAUUUCAAUGUCAAUUACGUGCUCUUAUGUGCUUCUAUGUGUUCCUAUGUGUUUAUAUAUCUUUAUAUGCUUUAUUUAUUUGAUUUAAAUAGUCAUUCAAAUUUUCUUAUAUAUAUUUUAGUUAGUUUUUAUAAUGAUUCGAGAGGUAUUUAAAUACCUCAAAAAUGUAAUAGAUAGGAUAAUUAGAUUUGUUUUAUUAUAUUUUUCCCUCCUAGAUUGUAGUUAGGCGCUCCCCGAUGUAAUAGAUAGGUUGCGUGUUUAUGUGGCUUAUGUGUUAAGUGUUUUAUCCGCUUUUCUUAGGAUUUUGGCAUCUAGAUAUUAUGCUUACGUGUUAUGUGUUACGUGCUCUUAUGUGUUUAUUUGUUUUAAUUUAUGCUUUAUUUGUUUCACUAUGAAUUGUUAAUGCAUAACGUCACCACACUAGUCCAACGCUAGUUGUGGAUUCUCUCUUCGCUUACUUGCUAGUCCAACGCUAGUAAGGAUUUUUAGAAAUGGGCUGGUCCAACGCUAGACCUUUUAGGCCGUCUUGCGUUAGAUCCAUCUUUGUGUGCUAUUCACUACAUCUUCAUGCAUAUUUUUAUUUUUAGGAUCUUUUCUCAUUUGCAUGAUAUUCCCUAUUAUAUUAUCCCCUACCCUCUAUAGGCGCUGAUCAUGUCAUUUAGAAUUACAUCUCAUUUAAGCUAGUUCAUUUGCUUGUUCAUGUUAGGAUAAUUGUUUUUCAAACAUGAAAAAUGGGUGAUUAUAGCUUUUUAGUUUAAAUACCCCAUUGAUCCCUGUAUAAGAAAAUUAUGUCACGAGUUUUUGCCUCCCAUACCCUUUAUGUUGCAUUCCCUUUUUCUUUGAUCACUUAUAUAUGUAUAUAAUUUAAUUUCUUUUCUUUUAUUUUAAUUUCAUCAUUCGCAUACUCGUGACACUUUCAAGGAAUCAUUUUGGCAUUCGCAAUUAAUGCGAUUGGUUCAAUUAAAUCCUUGAAUGAACAUUGUGUCCCUUUCGAUAUUUUUAUAAAUUUAGAUUUGCAUCCAUGUAGGUAAAAUCCAAAUAUGAUAAAAUUAAGGGUUAGAUUAGGAAAAUUUUGACUAAACAUCGCAACUAGCUUAGACUAGGUUGAAAGGGUGCCUUAGGUUUGAGUUAAUCGAACCUUUGCCUUCCCUUCCUUCAACCGUGACUCCCGAAUCCAUUUUCUCUUGUUUUCAAAGACCUGGAGUUGUCAAAAAGGGUUUUAUUUUAUUUUACUUUAUUUUUUGGGUGACUUGGUACACCAAAACUUCAUACCAAGUGGCGACUCCUAUUUUUACUAAAAACCCUUUUGGACUAAAUUUUGGACCCAAAUUGUCGCAUUCUUUUUUAAGUCCCAUUCUAGAUCCUUUUUCAUUUAUCAUUAAUAAAUCACAUCUCUUUCUAAAAACUUUCUUUUUUCCAUCGCGAAAAAUGGGGCGCAACAAUCUUGAAAGCUAAUUGGGAGAUAUUUCUUGCAAAUUGCCAACUAAUACUUGACAUGUGUUUUAAUUGUAUCUUAACAAUAGAAGAUUUGAGUAAUACCAUUGUUUGAAUUUGAUUACUUGAUUCGCGUUCUCAUGCUUGAGAACAAGCAUGGUUUAGGUGUGGGGGAAAUUGAUAGACCAUAAUUUGUUGCUAAAUUUAUAAUUAUUCUCUCCUUGAUUUCAGCCAAAUAUUAUUUUAAUUGUCACAUUCUAUUUAUAUUUGGUAUUUUGUGCUUAUUUUAGGAGCGGGAAUGCAAAGUGCUUAAAUGAAGAUUUUCCAGUGAAUAACAUCUGAUGGUUUCACAGGAGCGCGCCUAAGUUCACUGCUCAAAACCAAAAAGUCAGGAUUGAUAUUGGGCAAUCUCCAAAUCUGAAUCAAUUUCCUAAUUUGAUAGUUAUCAGUCCAUCGCUUCACCUGAUGAUUGGUCUCCUAUCUCUAUUGGGACACUAGUCUAGUUUAUUUAUCUUAACUUUGUGGAAACAAUCUCUUAUCUAGUGGGGAUUUGAUUUCGAUUAGUAGAAGUAGUCUAAUAGUAUUAGGAAACAAAACAGCAGAGCAUCUUUAUCGUUUCUUUAUUCCCUCUUUUAGGAAGACUAGUUAGUUGUCAGUGGAUACUUUUUUCUUUUUAGUUAGUCGCAAGACACAAGAAAAAACUAUCUUAUCCUUUCUUUCACUUUCUUCGAAUAAAAAUACAUCACUUUUGGGGAAGAAGACUCACGUCAAUUAGUUCGACUAAUUGGCUUGGGAUUUCUUCAACGAAGAUGAACUAAACCCCUAAUUCUAGUCAAGGGGACAACUGACGAUUUGGUUCGGCAAUUACUGUGAGAUCUAAACCGUUUUUAAUUGUUUCUUUCAUUUAUUGGUAUUUAUAUGUUUCCUACUUUUAAUUGUUAUAACUCUUGUGUAUGAUUGAUUAGUGCGCAAUAAUUAAUUAUUCAUAUAGGCUAUUUUGCUAAUUAGGGAAAUUGAAUCCGUAAUUGUUCGAUUAUCCCUAUCUCAGUAGCAACUGGCGUAAUUGGGUUUAUGUCAAGGAACAUAUGAUCUAAUUUAAACAAACCCUAGUAGCGUGUUUGUUAGUUAGGAUUGGGCCUUUUUAAUUAUUAAUGCAAUUUAGAAAUUAAAUCCUACAAUCGUACUUAGGAUUGUUUUUGGGUUAGAGAAAUAGUUAACGGUUGUACCUUAAUUAUCGAGAAAUUAAGGAAGGGUUGGUUGUUUAUCGCGUGCAUGACAACUAUAACCAAUCUAUUAAUAAAUGUUGGAAUUAUUUGGGAUUCAAUGAUCAGUGUCUAAACCAUUUUUAAAGUGUACCCUUGGCUAGAGCUGUCCUAAUUAUUUCUUUUAAUUAAUUAUUUUCUGCAGUUAAAUUAUUUAGUUAGCUUUUAAUUCUAAAGCCCCCUAUUUGUUUUGAUUCGAAAGGAAAUAAAUUUCUUCCCAAUCCCUGAGGAGACGAUCCUGCUUGUCAUUGUCUACUAGUUAGUGAAUUUAGGCAGUUAAUUAAUUCGGGUAUAUCGGAUUAAGCAAACUCUUCGGGAACAGGGUGAAUCAAGUAACCCAUUGCACACCUAGAAUCCCUGCUCCAGUACCUAAAAUUGAUUAUUAGCUACUUUUGGUGGUAGUUAGAUUUUAUUUAUUAUUAUUGCACAGGUUCGGCACCUAUCAUUUUCACAGUAUGACAAUAAAGCAAAAAUUUCUUUUAGAAACAAGAAACACAUAUGACCUUGAAAAUUUUCUCGUAGCAAUAUAUGCUCAAUAAAACAACGAAUAUCAAGCUGAUGUGUGUACCUUCUCAGAAGUAGAUGCACAGGCUUGGAGCAGGCUACUUCGUUCUCCCAAACUCAUUGGGUUUUGUUUAUCUACUCUUCCACGUCCUAUUCCUCUGCUUCCUGCACAUCCAAAAUACCAAUAAGGAAAACUCUAAACCUUUUUUUUUUUUUUUUUUCAAAAUCAACAGCAUGAUUACAAAAUCAAGCCCUUUUUACAAAAAAGAGAAACAAAGAAAGUUAAAUUUCUUUAUCUACAAGAGGAGAAUCCAUUGAAAAAAUGAAUUUUUUUUGUCCAAGAAAGAAACCAAUAACAUAAUCAAAAUUUUUGAAAAAAAGGGGGACCCAAUGCAUUAUGCAUUAGAAUCUGCAAAGAAAUGAAGGAGAAAAUUACACUACAAUCAGAGAGGUAGACAAAAUUUGCAAGCCCAAAAAUAACAGGGAGAAAAAAUAGGGUUCUGUAAGGCAUUAAGGAAACCACCAGGAUAAAGUAGAAGCUUAUAGGUAGAUGCAGAAAACGAAAGUAAAGAACAAAAGUAGUGGUGGAAAGCUUACGUGGAAAUGACCCUCUUGAACAAGAAUUCAAAACAUUUAGUCCAUUCAACAAGCAUCUCUAAGGAGAAAAUUGUAAUUAAAUAUUGCAAAACACUAUUCACUGAUUUAACCUGAGCAUCAAAUCUCAUUAAUGCUGUACAACAACUGAUGCUCCACUAAUGCCUGCUACAGCCUUAUAGAAUGGGCAUAAUUGUAAUAUGACCAUAAAACAGAGCAAUAAAUACUCGUACAGAAGGCAUAAAAUCCGGUACAAUAGACUCAUACUGACGACACAACCCUUAUCCUUAGCAUAUAAAGGGCAGAAGUGACAUAUUCUCCAACAUAGAAGCAACAUCCUGUUGUACGAGCCCCAACAAAAGUAGCAGCUAGUAGGAUGAAAUGACAAACAGGCCCCCGGGGAGAGCAGAUGAAAUGCAAUGAACAAUAAUCCAAAAACGCCUUCUUAUAUAUUAUAAAGAAAUAUGAACAAAUGUCACAAAAAUAUCUAAAGAAAUAUUAAAAGCACACCAAGCACAAAUUGUUACCCCUUCCUUCCAUGUUUUCUUUUUUGUACCAUUUUCUGUUAACAUUCCUCUACUCUUCGUUACCCUAUUCCUCACCUUUCUAACCCAAACUUUUCACAUCCCUCCAAAUCUUCUCUUUCCUACAAACUCUACCUUUUGUUCACUUUACCCUACUUCUAUCAAAUUAUGCAAUCCCUUACCCAAUUUCACAACCUAUUUACCUCCUAUCAUGUUACUCUUCAUAUAUAAUUGUAAAUAAUGACCAAUUUUCAACCUGCUAUUCAACAAAUGAGUAUGGGUAUACAAUUUUAUUAACUUUAAAUGGGUAACCCAAUUAAACUCAUUAAUUAGUAGCUAUUAAAUGGAUAGAUUGGAACUACCUAUUUAGACCUAAUUAAAUUAGACAUAGAUUCAAAUUCAUUAGUAUGUAAAUUUAAAUCACUACAAAUUCAAUAAUAAUAUUCUACUUUUUGCAAAGGCAUUCUUUUCCUAUUCAUUAAUUUUUAUUUUUCUAAUUUUUGUUAAAUUUUAUCCAACUUUCUCCCUCCCUUCCAUCAAAGUUUUAAUUAACUCAUUAAGUGUAAAUUGAUUUUUUGCAUUCACACCUAAAUUAUUUUGAGAUUCUUGCAGAGUGACAAAAUUAAAACUCUUUAUGAUCACCACUACUGGUUUUCUAUGUAAUGUUUUAGGUAAAAAUUUAUUUAUUAAUGCAAUGUGUUCUUAGUUUUGUUGAUUACAAUGAUAUCUUAUUUUGUUGCUCAAAGAAUAUGGGAGAACAAAUAAAUAAAAGUUUUUAGUGGAUUGUAAAUGGGUAGGACAACCAAAACCAUGUAAAACUACAUUCAUUUAACCAACAUAAAUCAUCCAUUUUGAUAGUUUCAAUAUAACCUACAACUACCGUUUCCUUGACUUUCCUAUCUUUAUAUUCCUUUUACUAUUUACGAUUCAUUACCUUACUUUUACCCUUCUCAGCCCUAUAGUUCAAUCUUUAUAUUCCUUUUAUCAUUUAGGAUUCAUUACCUCACUUUUCAAAUUUUUUUUUCAAAUAAAAGUUAGAAUUAUAGUUGUGAAAGAAAAGUAAUUGUGUAUAACUUUGGUGAAAUACUACUAUUUUUUGUAACGAUCACCCAAGAUAAUCAUUUAAACAAAUAUUUGUUUUAAAAAUUUUUUGAUAAACACUAAAAAAAACCAUCUAAAUGCGCUUUUUAUUAAUUUAAAAUUCAUAUCAAAAUUUUAUUUUAUGUACACUUUCUGAUGUACGCGUUAUAUGCAAAAUUAUCUAGAUGAAGUUUUGUGCAAGUAAAAAAUAAUCUAGAUGACGUUGUAUGUCAGAAUGUUUAUUUCAUUGGUUGGAAUCAUCGUCUAAUAGAAUAAGUUUAAAGCUAAAAAAAUUAAUUUAGUUGCAAAAGGUAAAAUGGUUAAAGAAUGGUUAUAAUUGGAUAUGUUAUCUAAAUGUUUGACAAAUUUAUGUAUAUACCUAGAAGCAAAGUGCUAAAAAUAUUACUAUAUAAAUGAUUAAAAAUUCUGAGAUUUGACAAAUCAAUCUUAUUAAUCAAGGAAUAAAAUGGGCUAAAGUGAUAAAGAUGAAAUGGGGUGAAUGAUUUUAACACGGGACUAAUCAAACUAUCCAAAUUUAUAUUCUUUAUUUAUGGAAGGAAAAAGGGGUUAAAGUUUGAAAACAAACUACAAACGAUUUAUUAAGCACUCAUUUUAAGUGACAGAGAAAGUUUUAAAUUUUAAAUUUGAAUUGUCAUAGGAUUAGUUGUAAAUCACACUAUUUCAAACUUUUUAAUUGAAUUUAUGUAUUAAAAUAAAUGAAAAAUCUAGAAAAAAUGUAUGAAAAAUUUGGAAGUCAUCUAGGAGGCCUCUACAAAAACCUCCCCUGCAAUAUAUAUAGAUAUUUGAUUUAUUUCUUGUCCCUGUCUGGCAUCUUGCUCAUUUUGAUGCAGUCUUAACUGAUCCAAACAAGGUUAACAUGAUGCUUUCUCCACAUCAAUUCUUUAGCACCCAUAAUUUUUUUUCGAGCUCUGAGUUGGCUUAGUUGGUGGGUACUGCCUAGAAAUACCCAAGAGGAUUGAGGACCUAAUACAAAUUUGUUAUUGGGUAUUUUUACGUGGUAGUUGCAGUUGUUGACCACAUGUUUUUUUUUUUCUAAUGUAUGUGAGGGAUUCGAAGUUGAGACCUUUCAUUUACAAUUCUUUUUCCAAAUCAUCCAAUCAAUUCCUCUCUCUUAAUCACAUGGUUCUGAUAGCUUUCACGUGCAUGGAUUUUUAAUUUGGAUAUCUCGGAACGGGAUUCCGAUCUUUGGUAGUAUUUGAAAAGUUAUCAGAUUGUACCAAAAAAAAAGGUUAAAAUAUGCAAAAUUCUUGAGAUUAAUUUGGUUCUUCCAAUUUCUUUCGUUUUAACUCUUCUUUUUGUUUUCCAUUUCCUUUUUCCUAUUUUUUUUUAAAGAGUCCUUCUCUAUGUACUUUGAGGUGAAGUAACCAGAACGCAGCAAUGGUGCCGUGCCACCAAGCCCUCACCAGCAACUGCUGGCCACUACCAUUAGGUCCCCAAACUUAAGAAAAUUUUCAGGAUAAAAUAUUCUUUUUGUGUACAUUGUGAAUUCGGAGUCCAAUUUGGCCUCCGAAAUUAAUCUAGCCUCUUUUUCUGCAUAAAUCACUAGCAGUCCUCAUAAAAUUAACACGAGGACAAUCCUACGCAUCAAUGACUUCCUUUCCUCUCUACUUCUUCUCUUUUCUAAUUUUUCUCUAUUUUUCUUCUCUUCUCAAAGGCCUCCUCUUAGGGAGGAAGACCACGCCAUGAUCUCCCUACAAGAAUUUUGUUUUAUUUAUUUUUCUAAUAAAUCUCUUCUAAAUUUUUUUAUUGAGAGUUUUCUAUUUCUCUUAAGGGUUUCUAGUGAGAAUUUUCUAUUCUUCUAGUGAUUUGUAUGUAGAUUUUUAUAUGUAUUUUUUGUUGUUAGAACUAAAUUUAUUUCAAAUCUGAUUAUUAUAUCAAACAAUUUUUUUGUAUCUUGGAUUUAUUUAGACAGAUCUCAUCAUAAUUAUUGGAUUGGUGAUUGCAACAUGCACAGAAAGGAGCUGCAACGGUUUAUCUUAUUAGAAGAUAAUUUUAAAUUUUCUUAUAUUUUUCAAUUAUUCAUAACUUUUCAGAUCUAUUAUAUAUAUUAAAUUGCAUAUCUAUAAUUUUCAGUGCAUGUUUGACUUGGUAUCAGGACAAUACUAUACAUCAAAUUAUACUAAACGAUUUCUAACAAUUCGUUAAUGAAAUAUAUUUUUAUAUAAAAAAAAAAAAAACACAAGGACAAUCCUGAGAAGUCGUAGAACAUUUAUGUAGUACCAAUUUAACAUGGUAAAGCAUAGAUAAACAUGAAUUUAAGGCAAAAUUGACAUUCAUUUGAGAACCUCCAUUACCUCCUUUGACCCUCAAACCGUCAAACACCUCAAAAUUUUAGGCUGGGAACUCAUCUUUAAGGUGUACAUUGACUAAGCCCUCAGGGGCUUGGUCUGGUGGUUGAGGUUGCUGAAGAUGGAGCCUCAGGUUCCUGGUUCGAACCUUGCUGCCAGCAAGUUGCUGAGGGUGGUGAAUAGUCUGCGGGGUCCACUCCCUGCGGGACACACAAAAAAAAAAAAAAAAAAAAAAGGUGUACAUUGACUAGAUUCGUUUCUAAAUUGGACUAGACUCCUCUAUAUUGAAUUGGAGAAAAGUCGUCUCCAUUACAUCACCAUAAAUUUAAUUCAAACAUUAUUUUCAAAAAUUAAUAUCGUUCAUGAUAUAUUUCAUAACCUGUAUUAGUUAUACUUAAAAUUUUGUAUGAAAUUAACACAGUUUUGUCAUUUGAUAAGUCAUUACUAAUUUUCUUCCAAUUUUAGCCCAUUUUCAACAUUCAAAAUGUUUCAUGUAAAUUGAAUGCCAAAAUAUUCUCAAAAGAAUAUCAUUUUUUAAUAUAUUGAUCUAGAGAUCCAAAGAAAAGUAAUGAAAUAAUCAACUGAUUUUAUAAAAUUACAGUAACUUAGAUAUAAAUAAAUAAAGAGAUCAAUAUCAAGAGAUUCGACGGAAAGGGUCCUAACCCGUCUAAAUUGGCCAAACAACAAACCAAAAUCGCAUAAAAAAUCAAAUUCCUAUAUUUUUUUUUCACCUGGGUUUUUUCCUUUCUUCUUUGGGAUAUAGUGAUGGCAAACAGAAAUGAAGAUGGUGGUCACGAAAAAGAUUGUUAAGGGAGUCAAGGAGGCAGCGAUGGUUAUGGAAAUUUUUUUCAAAAAAACAAAUUAAGUUGCGGUGGAAAUCACCAGUUGUGAGUUACCGUAUUGAGGGGAUCGAUGAAGAUGAUCAGGUUAAAGGAAAGAAAUUUUCAAAAUUGUAAUUCUACCCUUCAACUUACUUUUUUCUUUAAUAAAGAAUAUAAAUUUUUUUGAAAUUAUAAUUAAGCCCCUUAAUUAACCUUUUUUUACCUAAAAGUAAAGGUAGUAUGGGAAUUUCAAACUUUUCUAUAUAUCAAUAUAGACUGUUUUCAUCCACCUUACCUAUCAGUUUAAACCAAUAAAGUCUUUUGGAUAUUUUUGAAUGAGAAGGGGGUUCAAUAACGUGCAAAUCAGAGGAAAUUUUUGUGCAUUUUACUCAAAAAGAAUCAAUUCCAUAUUGUCUAUAUAUAUAAAUAAAAAAGAUUGAUCCGUAUUGAAUGCGGAUCCAUAUUGAGGCUGUGGAAUUGAUGCAAUGACUCAUAGGUGUACCAGUUGCAAAAUUAUCUUUCUUGCGGCGGGAGGGGAGGGGAGGGGAGGGAGAAAGAAGGGGAUUAAGGAGGAGGAAGGAGGGAAGGGGGAGGAAUGGUGGUGGCGGUGAAGAAAGGGAAGUGGAAGUGGUGGUGGCUAGGAUUGCAUUCGAGUCGAGUCGAGUUCGAGUAGUGCACCACACAAGCUCGACUCGAGGUAAAAUAACUAAGAUCGAACUCGAGCUUCAGCUCGUCAAGCUUUUAGAAUUUGAGCUCGAACUCGAGUUCGACAUUAAUUUAUGUUACACGAACUCGAGUUUAAUUAAGUGUAAUCAAUUCAAAUCAAGUUCAAUCGAGUUUAUUUGAGUUCAAUCAAGCCUAAUCAAGCUCGCAUAAUAAAAAUUAAUAUUUUAUAUAUAAUUUUAAAUAAAGGAUAUUAUUGACAUUUUACAAUAAUAAAAAAUAAAAUUAUAUUAUAAAAAGCCCGAUUAGACUCGUCGAGCUUUCGAGUGCAAAAUAUUGAAACUCGAGCUCGACGCGAGGCUUCUAUCAAGCAGAGCUCGAGCUCGGUCAAAACGAGCUGCUGACCAAGUAGUUUGCGAGCUCGAGUCAAGCUACUCGGUUCAGCAACAGCUCUAGUGGUGGCGGUGGUGAUCGGUAGUGAAUGGAAGAAGAAAUGGCUGGUAGUUUUUUUUUUAUAUUUUUGUUAGGUAUAUUUGAGAUGUGUAUUUGUAGUGAUUUUGGGAGUAUUUUUGGAGUUUGUUACUAUAGAUUCCAAAUAUAAAAGCUAGUUUUCCAAAAAAUCUCAUUUUAAAAACAUAGACCAAGAUGAGACAUUACAUUAGAAAAUCAAGAUGUAAUUUUCAAGGGGUAAAAUUGUAAUUAUAAUAUGUUAAAAAGAAUCAGUUCCUCGAGCGCGCUUCAUUGUAUCCAUAUAUAUGUAUUAUUUGCUUCUUGUCUUGUGAAAACCUUCAAAAGAUGACUUGCAAGGGAAAUAAUACCUACCAACUGAUGGAUUCCAAAGCACUUGCCUCUUGUGUUCUCCUCCUUCAUCUGUUGAUUGUCCUGGUAAGUUACUUUGACAAUAAAUUGUUUUUUGUGAUUUAUAUGCUGUGGACUUAAUUCUCGCUGUCUUACAACACUAUACAACCUGUACAGGGAGCCUGUGAUAUCAUACCCAAGGCCAAGUAUAGUGGUACUAAUGCAAUCAGGCUCCACAGCAUGGAUGCUAAUAAUCCUCAUCGAAAUGAUAAGACACAUCAUGUUGCUCACGUCCAUGAAAAGAAGUCAAUGCAUGAUCCUUCUCUUUCCUCAUCCCACAUGAUGCAUCAGAUUGAUCCAAGAGCAACCGUGUUUUUCGUUUUAGAUGAUCUCAAGUUAGGCAAAACAUUGAGUAUCCUUUUCCCUGACGGAGAUCCUAGUCCUUUGUCCUCUCCUUAUCUCUGGCCUAGAGAACAAGCCGAUGCUAUCCCCUUUUCAUUGGCAAAACUCCCACAGAUUCUUCAACACUUUUCAUUCCCUCAAGGAUCUCGCAAAGCCCAAGUGAUGGAACAUGCACUCCGAGCAUGCGAGACUAAGCCUAUGAAGGGAGAACCCAAGGCUUGUGCCACAUCCUACGAGUCAUUGGUAGAUUUUGCACGAAAGAUCUUGGGAUUGAAUACCGACAUUGAAGUUUUAUCAACGCAUCGCCUCACAAAAUCUAAUGCUGCUAGAUUACAGAACUAUACAAUCACAGAAGCUCCUGAACGAAUUUCAACUCUAAAGAUGGUUGGCUGUCACACCAUGCCAUAUCCUUACAUAGUUUUCUAUUGCCACUAUCAGCAGGGUGAUAAUCGUUUAUACAGGACUGUUCUAUCUGGAGAGAAUGGUGAUAGGGUUGAAGGCCUUGCAAUAUGCCACAUGGAUACCUCCCAAUGGAACCAUGAUCACGUUUCCUUCCAAGUGCUUGGUAUCGAACCGGGCACAGCCCCUGUUUGCCAUUUCUUCCCAGCAGAGGACUUUGUAUUGGUUCCAUCUACUUCUUCAAUCUAGUGAUAUCCAAGAGCUCAAGUGCUUUCAGCAUUUUAGUUGUUUAGCUCAAGUCACCUUGUCUGAAUGUGAAAUACUAUAAAUCACUAAAUUCGUGUGCCUCAUGUUUGAUCCUCUGUAUUCGAAUAAAACUCCGUGGUGCAGUAGCGCUACUUUUGGCAAUCAAAGUUUUAUAUGCUUCAAUUUCUUAGAGCAUCUCGAACACGAUGUUACUAGAUUGCAGCCUACAACCUUUUUUUCCUUAUUUUCUGCUAAGGUAGAAUUUUUUUUCUUGGGGCGGAGGUUUGUUAGGAGAGUAUCAAUUCAAACAAUUUACUUAGAGGACUAAUUUUCAGGAGCCUGGAUUAGAAUGUUAUGUUUAAUUGGAGAACAAGUGCUUAUCUCUUCCUAAUUAGUCACCAAUUAGUCGCUUUAAGCAACUUCUAGGAGGAUGUUGAAACAAUUGAUAACUCUUCAUUAUAAUCUAUCAGUCACAAAAAAAAUUGUCUAAUGAAAAUCUCGCUUGUUAAGAAUAGUAUAUUAAUUCUUGUCUUCUCAACUUAUCUGGCAAAUUCAACAUCUGAAUGGUUACUACAUGUCAUCCACAAAAAGACAAUGAUUAAGAAUAGACAAAUAGUAAAAAUAACAAGCAUAUGAACCUUUUUGAAAUGACGAACAUUGUGGAGGAUACAAAAAUGAAUGACACUUUUACUGGAGGGAAAGAAGUUAAAAUUUAAUUUUGUGAUCGGCAUAGCUCUUAUUUUGAGUUAAAUAUAUAUUGAUUCCACCAAUAAUGUAUCCUAUUAAAAGUAAACAUUUUAUUCUCACUAUGGUAAAAUGGCAAACAUCCGUGUGUACAUUGAUUGAUAUGUAGACAAUUUUUGGGACUAAUACAUAGCAGAGUUUUGAAAUUCAAGUUGAGACAUCGACUCAAUCGAAUUUAGGUUAGGAGUCAAAAGGUUAAAGUGAGUGAUGUGAGUAUGAAUCCUUAGUAUGUGAGUAAUGAAUCCUUAGUAUCAUGCCCUUUCACAUGUGUGGUUAUGUGAGUAAUGAAUCCUUAGAAUCACCAGUUAUAAUGAAUCCUUAUCCACAUUUAAUUGACUUCAUAUUUCAUACCCACAGAUAAUCAAAGAUAUAACUGGGUGAUUCACGAGUUGAUAGAGUGUUUCUAAAUGAUAGUUGCACCUCUUCAUCACGUGAUUCUGGUUGCUGAUCAGAAUCCAAUCUUCUUCCAAUAGCUUCGUUUGGUUCAGAUUGUGUCUUUCUUGUGCCUUUCAAUCUUUACAAUUUAAUAAUUGUUUCUUAGAUUAAUAAUCGUCUUUCUAACACCAUUUUGUUGAAAAAGAGGUACCAAGAAAGACAAACAGAUAAUAGAGUAAAGCUCUGUUUGAAUGGGAGUGUUUUUCAAAAAGUAGUUUUUCAAAUACAAUAAAUUUUUUUAAAAAGUAUUCUAAAAGGUAAUCUAAAAAUUAGUUUAAUUUUUUUAAAAAUAUCUCAAAAUAUAUUUUAGAAAUUCUUCUACUCUUAAAUAUCCCAAAAUAUAAUCUAAAAACACUGCUACAGCAAAAUUUUUUAAAAACACCCCAAAAAACAGCUAAUCCCAAAAGUUUUUCUUAUGUAGUAGCUGGACUUCUUGAUCGCAUAAUUGUGGCUGUCCAUCUCUUUGAUUUGGAUUCCGAUCUUAUUCAAAUACUUUUGGAGGGGUAUCCUAUAAUUAGAGUGUCAAUCACAAACUUAAUUUAUGUUGAUUCGCCCAUACUCGCUCACCAAUAACCCGUUCGAAUCCAUCCACUAAUUUUAAAUAGGUCUAAAUGGGUAUCCAAUUAAACUUAUUUAAUUAGUAGGCAGUGGAUUAACUCGAAUCACUUAUUUAUACCCAUUUAAAAUAAUUAUACAUUUAAACUCAAGUAUUAAACAAAUAAAUUUAAAUUUAUUAUCAAUCUAAUAACAAUAAAAUACCAUUAUUUUUUAUCAGAUAACAUGUGAAAAAAUAAAGAAAAAAUUAAUUAUAACUAUUUAAAUUCGUUUAAAUCACCUAUUUUGACACCUCUGACGACCAUUGUCUGCUCAUUGGACAUUCCACCGCCACUAGUGCCGUUGCCAGUGUCUAUCAUUUCCGAUUACCAGGUAAGGCUCUGACAUAACCACUGGGUCUUUGGCUCAGUGACCACCACGAACCUUGCCUCCCACCAAAAAUGCCACAUUUUUAUGGCUUGUCUCCAAAAAAUCCAGGCGGGUGUGCUAUGCACCCGUCUGGUUCGGUGGUGGUUCAAUCCCCUCCGGCUUAUCCCUGGACCUCCUUAGGCCCGUUCCCUUCCCCUUAGUGUAUGAUAGAUUAGAUUUAUCGUCUCCAGAAAAAAAAAAAAAAAAGGGUAAGGCUCUGACAUUAGUGUCCACCUGCCAUAGUGCCAUCCCAUUGAUUAACCAAGUUACAGCGCUGUCAUAUUUGUCAAGCCAUCCUUCAUUAUUGGAUCUUUUAUUCUAUAUAUGGGACCGUCCUUACUGUUCCCAUGAAAGAUUGGUUCAGAAAUGUAUGGCAGCUGUGAAAUACGUUAGCUCUCUGAAUCUUGUCCCAUAAAGAUAUGUAGCUGAAAAUCCGAACGCAUUGGUUUCACGAGAGUUUUCUUAUCCACCGUGCCUGCCAAUUUUCUAUCACCAUAUAACAGCGUUUUUAAACUAUACGGACUGACCGAUUCUAAACAUUGAACCGAGGGUCCGGUGGUUCAGUCCGAGUUAAUCAAUUGAGUUGAACAGACAUUUACUGGACCUGCUCAGAAAUUGGGUUUAAAUAAAGAAAAUUGAGUUUUUAACUAUAUAUUUUGUGAGACUAUGAGCUGGUUUAGAUUGUAAUUAUUGGGAAGUUUUAUAGAAAAUAAUUGUAUUUGUGGUUAACGAGUGGAUAAAAGAAUCGAGUGUUUCCUAAUUGAUGAAGGAUAUAGUUAUUCUUACGAAGUGGCUGCACCUCUUGAUCACAUGAUUAAUCUGGUGGUUAUCGAUCUCUUUGAUUUGGAUUCUAAUCUUAUUCAAACAUUUUUUAUUCUUUCAGAUUAUGUCUUUCUUGUGCAUUUCAAUCUUUACAAUUUAAUAAUUGUUUCUUAGAUUGGAUUUACAUGUUUAGUUUUGGAAAGGCCCCCUGAUCUGGAUUUGAGGCCUGACGAGUUGUAUUUCUACUCAAUUUUGGAUAUUUAGUAAUUUUAUAUUUUGUUACACCAUUGUUUUUAAGAUUGGAUUUUGAUUCUUUUAGAUUAUGUCUUUUUUUUGCAUUUCAAUCUUUGCAAUUUAAUAAUUGUUUUUUAGAUUGGAUUACAUGUUUAGUUCUGCAGAGGCCCCCUAAUCUCGAUUCGAGGCCUGACAUGUUGUAUUUGUACUCGAUUUCGAGAAGUUAGCAAUUUCAUAUUUUAUUACACCAUUGUUUCUUAGAUUGGAUUUUGAUUCUUUUAGGUUAUGUCUUUCUUGUGCAUUUCAAUCUUUGCAAUUUAAUAAUUGUUUCUUAGAUUGGAUUUACAUGUUUAGUUCUAAAGUGGUCCCAUGAUCUCGAUUCGAGGUCUUCCAAGUUGUAUUUCUAGUUUUUUUUUUUUUUAAAUAGGGAUGCCAUCCCUUAAUUUAUUUAUAACCGAAAAAGAGUACAUCAAAUUAAAGAGAGCCAAACCUAACCUCUGUUAAAGGAAAAGAAACAUCUAAUGAUAAAAAAUAAAACGCACAUAUGAAGGAAUUUUAAAGACAUACUAGAUCAAUCCAAAGAAAUCAUCCACACGAAGGUGCCCCACAUUUGUGUGACUGCAAGUGAGCAUGGGGAUUUGGUUUGAGAUCUUGACGUGUUUGCAUUGUUUUACCUUUUUUUGAAAGUUGUUUUCUCGCUUUCUUUGAAAUCACUUGGGUAAAUUGCUCUUGAACUAGGCUCUGGUCUUGAUCUUUGUGUUUUUCGCGUUGUGAAUCGUCGUCUUCUUCUUCAUUUUUGUUGUCAUUGCAUGUUAUACUUGAACGAAUAAAAGGAAUUUGAUGUGGUCGGGAAACUGUACCAUGUAAUUUUUCCCAUUUAAUCUCAUCGAACACAUCUUUGAAUUGUGGCACUGGAUUUUGAGGCAUUGUUGUUUUCGUUUCUGUUCGUGUACUUGUACUCGUAACCACAAGGGGUGGUACAUCCACAACCCCACACAAGGCACCAUAAAGAAUUUCGGGCUCAGUGGUGUUGACCUUUUGAUGAUUAUCAUCUCCCAAAUUCUGCUCCUCAAAAGCUUGGGACCCCUCACUUUUGUUCCAAAUAGAAUUGUCGGCAUUUUGAUUUCUCAAUGAAGUAUUGUCGGCCAUUUGCUGCUGACCAUCUCCCAAUAUUUGCUCCACUAAAAUAUGGGACCCCUCACAAUCAUUCCCGUGGUCAUGGACUGCAAAUUGAUCGAAUGGUCCCUCCCUUUCAUCAUCAGCAACGGACUUUGCUUUUGCAACAGUUUCGGCAGCUUCUGUUUGUCGUCCAUCCUUGACAGCUUCUUCCUUGCAGCUCUCCCCUGGCACAACAGCCCCCUCUUGUAUGGGCUCCACCAUGCCCGGGCCAACUGCCACGUUCAGCUCCCCCAACACCAACUCUCCAGUAUUAACAGUCCCUUCCAGCACUUCCUCUGGUUCGCCAAUCACGCGGUCAGACAUAGCGUGAAGAAUGGCAUCAGCAGCAGCCUCUAUCCCCUUCUCCACGAGCGCAACCGAAGAUCCUCCAAGCUGGUUCAGUAAGCACGACGCAUCUCCCACAGCAGUAGUAGGGGUGUCAACGUGCCGUGCCCCCUCGGAUUGGCUCUCACCCGAAUUCUGUGUCGCACCAGAUUGCACCAUCUCCUUCAAUCACCACCCUUCGCUCCUCACCCUCUAUACCCAGGGUAUUAACCUGCGAGGAAGAAAUAUCCCCGCCCGAAUUCUGCGUCACACCAGCCUGCACCGCAGCGCCUUCACUCACCACCCUUCGCUUCUCACCCUCUAUACCCUGCAUGUUAGCCUGUGAGGAGCGAACCUUUGCGCCCAUCACCCCUGCGACCAGACCCCCCUGCGUCUUGGGCAAGCGCAGAUCAGGGUGCUUCACACGGCACUGAUCCUCGCCAUGCCCUUGACGAUAGUGUAGACAAUGGAAUUACCAUUGGUCUAUAAAAUAUUUUUGUCUAAUCGGAUAUUGCCAUAGGGCAUGUAUACUUGGAAAAUUGGUUAUUAAAUGACCAAUUAUAUUUUGCCACGUGUCAAGGCGAGGUGUUCCAAACCAAUUCAAAUCGCAGGGGUAUCUUCACCAACUAAAUCAUAUCAUAUCACAUACCUAUUGGAUAAAUAUCUAAGUAUUUAUUUCUUAUUAAAGGGAUAAUAUUUAGAGUUAUUUAAUCCAAGUAUACCUCUUAUAUACUGCAGUAGCUUGGCCAGUCAAGCGGUGCCACGUCACGUGUCCCCACAAGUUUGGCCAAUCGAUAAAUUACUUAUCUCUUUAUUAAUAAAUAUAAAAUGAAGAGAUAAUAGUUGACUAGCACAGUCCUAAUAUGACUGCACGUCUUGCAAGACAAGUGGAGCGGUACACAGGUUCUCAACCUCUACCUCUUACUACAACUAUAAAUAGAGGUCUCUUAACCAAAUCAAGGACACACACACGGACACACAGAGAUAUCAAGAAGCAUCUCAUACACUCAAGUAUUGAAGCUUCAAGCUACGAAGGUCUGGGUCUCAAAGCUCCUCAAGUCUUCCGCAUAUCAAGGCUUGAGCCUUCAAGUAUUUUCAAAUCCUUCAAAUCUUCCAUAUCAAGAUUUGAAGGAGUCGGUGGUUGAUCCAAGAACAAGCUGCGAAGCCCUUGGAUUGGUGUUCGAGGAGAAGAAUCGAAGGAAGCUCUCCAUAAGUCCGAGAAACUUCCAGAGAUUGUACCUACAUAUUUUUUCUAAGUUUAUAUAGUACAUAUUUGUCGUGUAUUUCUUUUUCUUGUCGUUUUGCAGACUUGAAAUUUUUAUCGCGUACAAAUUUUUGGCACGCCCGGUGGGACCAUCUCUGCCUUCCAUCUCUUCUCCUCGAAAAUUCGACUACGUAUAUCACCAAUGGCACCAAAGAGCGACAAAAUCAUGAUUGCACGUUCCAAGGCUAUUGAUGCUAAGCCUGUUCAGGAAGCUGCACAUGUCGCUACCAAUCCCGUGCUGUUGGUCCUGUAACAAGGAGCAUGACGAGGGCCUCCACCCGAAGUAGCAUGGAACCCUCGGCGCCAACUCCCGUUUUCGGGGCAACAUCACAAAUGAGCUAUUCCUCCACGAUGGGGGUCCAAGACGUUUUCACCUCGAUUGAGAAGACUCUUGCCAUGCUCGAAUUUGGAUCCGAACCCAAAUUUUAUAAGCAUGACAAUGAUUCAUCAAGCACUGGAUCAGCCUCUUCACAUGAAACUCUUCAUUCAAGAUUUUGUAUUGAAGAUUCUGCUGCUUCCUCCGCUGCAAUGCCUGCCAUGAUGACAAAUACGUUGAGUCUCGAAGAACAAGUUUCGAACAUGUCCAAGAUGAUGGAAACCAUGAUGAAACACAUCAAGGACCAAGAUGCUCUCAUUGCUCAACUGCUCACUCAGAAAGAUCACGCUGCUGAAGGAAGCCAUGCGAACCAAGAGCGUGAAAAUCCCUCAUCUAAAGGCAAAGACAAGGUGAAGAAAGUAUAUGUGACCGCCGAUGGAACUAUCCCCGUGGAACAACUGAAGGAACUUGUUGAAGGUGUGAUCAAAGAUAAAAAGGAGGGUGGUCCAAAGUCGAGUUUUACCUACUGCAAGCCUUACACCGCUAGAAUCGACAAACUAGCAAUGCCUGCUGGAUAUCAACCGCCUAAAUUUCAACAAUUCGAUGGGAAAGGUAGUCCAAAGCAACAUGUGGCUCAUUUCGUCGAAACCUGCAAUAACGCUGGAACCUAUGGUGACUUGCUAGUCAAACAGUUCGUCCGAUCCUUGAAGGGCAAUGCGUUUGAUUGGUACACUGAUCUCACUCCGGGGUCCAUCGACAGUUGGGAACAGUUGGAACAAGAGUUCUUGAAUCGCUUCUACAGCACUAGAAGAACCGUCAGUAUGCUGGAGUUGACUAACACUCGUCAAUGGAAGGAUGAACCUGUGGUCAACUACAUCGAUAGGUGGAGAAGUCUGAGUCUCAACUGCAAGGAUAGACUGUCUGAACCCUCUGCCAUAGAGAUGUGCAUCCGAGAAAUGCAUUGGAGCCUGAGCUAUAUUCUACAAGGUAUACGCCCAAACACAUUUGAAGAAUUAGCUGCUCAUGCUCAUGACAUGGAGUUAAGCAUCACGGCCAAUGCAACUGAUGGGCUUCCUAUUCAAAUUCCGCGAGUACAGCCACCUCGGCAAAACAAUGAAAGACAAGAAAAUAGAAAAGGGGGCAAGCCUCCUUCAAGAUUCAAUAAUAAGGAGUCUAUGGCAAUAAACACAGCUCCCAUGAAAAUUGCUACCAAAGUGAGUCGAAAGAUCACUGAGAAAUUAGAUUCCUCCCAGAAUAGAUCAGUAAGAAGACCCACUUUAAAAGAGAUGCAAGAAAGGGAGUACCCUUUCCUUGAGUCCGACUUACAAGAAAUGUUUGAUGAUCUUUUCAAGGAGAAGCUCCUUGAACUUCCCGACAUGAAGCGCCCAGAGAAAGCUGGUCAAGUCAAUGAUCCAAAUUACUGCUGUUAUCAUCGCUUGAUUGGUCACCCUCUCACUAAAUGCUUUGUCUUUAAAGACAAAAUUAUGGAAUUGGCCCGUCAAGGGAAAAUCCUUCUCGAGGAAGAUAAAGUAUCGGCAAAUCAAACAACCAUAAUGUUUGGGUCUGUGUGUUGUCCGAUAGAAGUUUCAUCCACAACAAGCGGUGCUUCGUCCAAGAAGCUUGGAAAAUCCUCAAUUGAAGAUGUUAUUGAAGAUGACAACAAAGGAUGGACUUUAGUCACUCGAAAGAGGACUUGCAAGCCAAAAAUAAAGAAGUACAUCUUUUCAAAAAGCAUUCGUUCGACAAAAUCUGAAGUGACAAUGAAACGACGAAAUGCAACAAAGAAACAAAAGGGAGUGGCCACAAAACCAAUUCCUUCAGAUUUUCAGCUCCUUCAAGAGGGUCGGCAGCCCGUGACACUGAGAGAAUUUAUACCCAAGGGGUAUUUAAGUGACGAUACCGAUGACUCCACCUCUUGUAAUGUCGUCAAAGUUGAAAAUUCUCAAGUCACACAAAUUGGCACGGAAUUUGAGAAAAAACUCAAAAUCGAUGAUAAACCACCAGUAGAUUGUGCAACGACUAUCAUUUUUGAUGAUGACGAUUUGACUGUCGAGUUCAAAACCCACAAUCGACCUUUGUUUGUUAGUGCGUAUGUCCGAGAGCAGAAGAUGAAUCGGAUACUCAUUGAUGGGGGAUCUGCUGUCAAUAUCAUGUCCGUGCGUGCUAUGAAAGAGUUAGGAAUCUCAAGCGAUGAACUCUCCCAGAGCCGCCUCAUGAUCCAAGGAUUUAAUCAAGGGGGCAAAGAGCAAUUGGUCUCAUAAGGCUUGAAUUGCUCAUUGGCGAGUUGUCUUCAAGUGCGUUAUUUCAUAUCAUUGAAGCCAAAACCUCUUAUAACAUGCUCUUGGGAAGACCAUGGAUUCACAAGAAUGAAAUUAUACCAUCUACUCUGCAUCAAUGCUUCAAAUAUUGUCGAGACGGUAUUGUUAAGAAAGUUACUGCCGAUGACAAACCUUUCACGGAAGCCGAAACUCACUUUGCCGAUGCCAAAUUUUAUCUUCACAAAGAAGCAAGAAAGGAAUCGGUAAGGGAAGAAAGUCAAGAUUCCAAAGUACCCAUUUUGCGGUAUACUCCAAGAUCAAAGAGAGAAGAAGGUCAGUCUUCUUUUAUCAGAAAUGACACAUUAAAUGUUCCGCUCACCAAGAUAGAGCCUGUUAAAAUUGAGAAGGUGAGCUUGCAAGGGUUUGUUCGUCCCAAAGAAGAACCGGCAGUGGAACAUUACUCGCUACCAACUAAUCGGACUCAAGAAGGUUUUGAUCCAAACGCCUAUAGACUUCUUGCUAAGGCGGGUUAUAACCCAAAUGAGAAGAAUACAUUGGGCAAACUCCCUCGUGAAGUGACUGGCGAGAGGACUCACGGAUUGACACCUACGCAGAAAAUAUUGAAAGAAAGGGGCUAUAAUGUUGAAAGUUCAUCGAUGGGUCUUGGUUAUCAACCGCCCUCUCCUGUUCGUAUAAUGAUCAAAAGAGCGAGUUGUAACUAUGUGAACGAAGAAAUGGAGGUCACAAGCCGAAAGAGAUCUGUGUUCGACCGAUUGGGAAAUAAGUCAAAACGUACUUCUGUGUUUGACAGACUUGGCCCGCAGCCGAAAAAUCUGAAGUCGCCCGUCUAUGAGAGAUUAGGCAGUAAGAAACAAGAGUACCAAGUUGUCAGGGAAGAAAGUCUUACUCCAAUAAAGAAGAACAGACCAAGGAAGCGAGUCUCCAAUUUCUUCAUGCACUAUGGAGACUUAUUCAAUGUAAGAAUUGAAACCAUUUUUGAAGAACAGGGUCAAGAAAGUACGGCUUCCUGUCACCAUAUUACGAUCAGUGAUCUUGAAGAAGAAGAAGAAGAAGAUGCAGAUGACGCUCCCGCUGAACUUGAACAAGGGAUAAAAAAUACGGUCGAUGAGCUAAAAGAGAUUAACCUUGGCACAAGCGAGGAUCCUCACCCAAUUUACAUAAGCUCUUGUAUGACUCUUGAAGAAGAAAAAGAGUAUGUUGAUUUGCUGCUCGAGUUCAGGGACGUCUUUGCCUGGAAUUACUCAAAAAUGCCUGGUUUGGAUCCAAGGGUCGCCGUUCAUAAUUUGUCCGUCAAGCGAGGAACAAAACCUGUCAAGCAAACGCAAAUGCGCUUUCGGCCCGAAUUAAUCCCUCUGAUAGAAAAUGAGAUAAAUCGAUUGAUUGAAACCGAAUUCAUACGAGAAGUAAAAUAUCCAACAUGGAUUUCAAGCAUCGUCCCUGUAAGGAAGAAGAAUGGACAAAUUCAAGUUUGUGUUGAUUUUCGCGACUUAAAUGAGGCUUGUCCCAAGGAUGAUUUUCCUCUCCCCAUCACAGAAUUGACGGUGGAUGCUACAACCGGGCAUGAAGCACUAUCUUUUCUCGAUGGAUUGUCUGACUACAAUCAAAUACGCAUGGCGCCCGAGGAUGAGGAGUUCACUGCCUUCCGCACCCCCAAGGGGAUUUAUUACUAUAAAGUGAUGCCGUUUGGCUUGAAGAACGCUGGAGCGACAUAUCAAAAGGCAAUGCAAAGAAUUUUUGAUGAUAUGCUCCAUAAGAAUGUGGAGUGCUACGUCGACGACCUCGUGGUGAAAUCAAAGAAGCGAGAGGAUCAUAUUCAAGACCUUCGAAGAGUUUUUCAACGCCUUCGAAGAUACCAACUGAAGAUGAAUCCUUUGAAAUGCGCAUUCGGAGUCACUUCUGGCAAGUUUCUCGGUUUCAUCGUUCAUCAACGGGGAAUAGAGGUCGAUCGAUCUAAAAUCAAUGCCAUUGUGAACAUGCCUGAACCGCGAAAUAUUCAUGAAUUGAAAAGUUUUCAAGGGAAGUUGGCUUAUAUCCGGAGGUUUAUCUCUAAUUUGGCCGGACGAUGCCAACCCUUCAGUCGACUGAUGAAGAAAGGGGUGCCCUUCGAGUGGGAUGAAUCGUGUAGGAAUGCUUUUACAAGCAUCAAAAUGUAUCUCAUGAAUCCCCCAGUAUUGGCUGCACCCAUCCCAAGAAAACCAUUGGUUCUCUAUAUUUCCGCUCAAGAAAGGUCGGUUGGCGCCUUACUUGCUCAAGAAAAUGAUGAAGGUAAGGAGAAUGCGCUGUAUUACUUGAGUCGGAUGAUGACACCUAAUGAGUUGAAUUAUUCUCCCAUCGAGAAGUUGUGCUUGGCACUUAUAUUUGUCAUUCAGAAGCUAAAACAUUAUUUUCAAGCACACACUAUUCGACUCAUAUCUAAGUCUAAUCCCAUUAAAUAUGUGAUGGCAAAACCUGUAUUGUCUGAUCGGCUCGCGAGAUGGUACCUCCAGUUUCAACAAUUUGAAAUUAUUUAUGUACCUGCGAAGGCUGUCAAAGGACAAAUAUUGGCAGACUUUUUAGCCGAUCAUCCCAUACCUGCCGAGUGGGAAUUGACUGAUGAACUCCCCGAUGAAGAAGUAUUUAUGGUCGAAUCCCCGUGGUCAAUGUAUUUUGAUGGAGCUGCUCACCGUGAUGGAGCUGGUGCGGGAGUUGUCUUUUAUACUCCUGAAGCAGAUGUAUUGCCGUACUCCUUCACUUUAACACGCCGAUGUUCAAACAAUGUGGCCGAAUAUCAGGCGUUGAUUCUUGGUCUGGAAAAGGCUGUAGAUAUGAAGCAGUUGCAUCUUAGAGUCUAUGGUGAUUCAAAAUUGGUGGUAAAUCAACUUCUUGGUAUUUAUGAUGUCAAGAAACCUGAAUUGAUCCCAUAUUAUGAGUAUGCAAGACAACUCAUGGGAUAUUUGGAUAGUGUCACUAUAGAACAUAUCCCUAGAAAUUUCAACCAACAAGUUGACUCUUUGGCAAGAGUGGCGUCCAUGAUCACUUUACCUUCUCAUCGAAAUCAAAUUUCAAUAUGUCAGAAUUGGGUCAUACCUCCGAUGUUUGACGAAGAAGGUGAUGGUGGGGAAGAAAAUAUUUAUCAUAUUUUUGUCCAUGAGAUCGAAAAAGAGGAUUGGCGUCACCUCAUCACUGAUUACCUUAAUCAUGGGAGGUUACCAGAAGAUCCUAAGAAAAGGGUUGAUAUACGUCGUCGAGCACCACGUUUCAUUUACUACAAAGGGAUGCUUUACCGAAGGUCAUUCGAUGGGGUGUUUUUACGAUGUCUUGGAGAAGAUGAGGCCAUGCAAGCAAUGGAGGAGGCUCACUCUGGGAUAUGCGGUGCUCACCAGUCUGGCCCGAAAUUACACUUUCGCAUUAAAAGAAUGGGAUACUACUGGCCAACAAUGGUAAAGGAUUGCAUUGACUUUGCUAGAAGAUGUCAAGCAUGUCAAUUCCAUGGCAAUUUCAUCCAUCAACCUCCGGAACCAUUGCACCCAACAGUGGCUUCUUGGCCAUUCGAUGCUUGGGGUUUGGAUAUAGUUGGACUACUCCCAAAGUCUUCUGGCGGACACAUUUUCAUUUUGGCAGCGACAGAUUACUUUUCGAAGUGGGUUGAAGCAGUCCCUCUACGAGAGGUCAAAAAGGAGAAUGUAGUAGAUUUCAUUCGCUUGCAUAUCAUUUAUCGGUAUGGAGUUCCGCGUUAUAUUAUCACCGAUAAUGAUAAACCUUUUUGCAAUGCAGCAAUGAACAAGCUUUGCGAAAAGUUUCAUUUCAAACAAUACAAGUCGUCCAUGUACUAUGCUGCUGCAAAUGGACUCGCUGAAGCAUUCAACAAGACCUUAUGUAAUCUAUUGAAGAAAAUUGUGGAUAAAUCGAGAAGGGAUUGGCAUCUUCUAAUUGGAGAAGCACUUUGGGCAUACCGAACUACUUUUCGAACUCCCACGCAAGCAACCCCAUACGCACUUGUUUACGGUGUUGAAGCCGUUCUUCCACUUGAGUGUCAAAUACCUUCGCUAAGAAUCGCAAUUCAAGAAGGGCUCAGUGAAGAAGAUAAUGUUCGUCUUCGCCUUGAGGAGUUAGAAGCACUUGACGAAAAGAGAUUGGAGACUCAGCAACGAAUUGAGUGCUAUCAGGCUCGCCUUUCAAAAGCAUUUAAUAAGCAUGUCCGGCCACGCUCCUUUCAAAUUGGAGAGUUAGUACUCGCUGUUCGGAGACCGAUCAUUCUCACUCAUGGCGGACAAAGAAAGUUUACCUCUAAGUGGGAUGGUCCAUAUGUUGUUCGGGAAGUGUAUACAAAUGGCUCAUACAAGUUGGUUGCUGAAGACGGGUUAAGGGUUGGCCCCAUCAAUGGCAAGUACCUAAAAAGGUACUAUGCAUAAUCGGAACCGCGCAACGCUCCUGGCCCGCAUGAGCUAAAACUGUGGAUGACAACCACCAAUAGUGUAGUAUGUGGUUAAACUGCUGAAACACUCCACAAAGUCUAAGGUGGUAAACAAAUAGAUACUCCUGGCCCGCAUGAGGUUAAAAUGUGAACGGCAGGAACUACGUGUGACUUGAUUCCCUUGUUGGGAUAUGUAGGCAGCUUGGAGGGCAACUUCUAAGUUCAGUUACACCACUCCAAAUCAAAUCCUUGUCCCUUGCAAAAAAAAAAAAAAAAAAGAGAGAUGAAAAAAAAAGGAAUUUCCUCUUUCCAGAAAAUAAAAAAACAUAAUAAAAUGCUCCAUUUGAGUUCUUUUCUCUUUUAAAAAAAAAACAUCAAGAGAUAAGAAAUGAAAAGCAUUUUAUUAUUGAAAAAAAAGAAACUCAUUACAUGGAAAAAAAAAAUGAAUGACAAAAGAAUUCAGGAAGAAGAAGAACAUGGUGGAAAGUCUAAACAUCAAAUUUGUAUUCCACUACAGCUACUUUAUAUGAUUCAAGUGCAGACUUCGUGUCCUCAAGUUCCUUCACAGAGUCAUCAGUCAAGAUGCUGGUCUGUUCAAUGGAAGAUAGCUCAUCAUGCGCUUGGGUUAUUUCGACCUGGAUCUCUUUGAAGGUCUCAUGCUUUUGAUCGAUAGUUGAGGUGAUUUCCAGACUUUGCUUCUCCAAACCGAUGAGUUUCUGUUGCAGAACCUUCUUCCUGGCUUCAAUGGAUUGCAACUCUUCUUCAAGACUUUGUAAAUGACGAGUCAGUUCUUCUCCCUUUGCCUUAAUUUUCUCGAGUUGGACGGUCGCUUUGGAAAGGAGUUCUGCAUGUGUUUCUUUGUUCAUCCUUUCCCACGAUGAAAAUGCUAGAACAUCAUAAGCCUCCGCCUUGGCAAACAAUUCCAUCAAGUGGUCUUUUAAAGGGAGACCUUUGGCGGGAUCUGUUCUUGUGAUUUCUGUAAUGAUUUCCUCUGCACACUCUUUUAAAGAAGAGAUCUGCUCAGUUGGAGUGUCCAGAAUCUGUCCGUGAAAAUCCAUCCACAAACUCUGCAAAUACUUUCUUCGAUGUGCCUGGAUCAGCUUUUGGCCAUGAAAUUCUGAAACAAGUACUGCCUUAGGUCUUUUUCGGAUUUCGUGCGAACUAAUCAGCUCCUUCUUAUGCAGUGACGAAGUAUCUCCAUUGGGGGCAAAUUGUCUGGGAGUACUGAUAGCUAUUUCGUCACUUUUGUUGUUGGAAAUUAUAUCAACUUCGAGUUCGGGUGGUGAAUUGUUACCAACACCUUCUUGACGGAAUUCAAGAAACGGGGGCUGAAAAGAAAAAGGUUACAACCAAAAGAAAAUUAUUACAAAAAAAAAAAAAGGAAAAAAGAUGGAGAGAUGAUUACCUUAAGUGGCGACACUUCAACCGACGGUGGUGUAAAGGAAAUCUCCUCCAAAUCAGAAGAUGUCCUCUUCUUUGAUCGGUUCCAAUGACGAUCUUGACUACUACUACCGCUCGCCAACGAAUGGGCUCCUCCCUGGGUAGAUCCGAUGCCCUGAACUUGAGUUCCUUCCUUUUCUAUAGCCUCGAUAGAGUCAUGAUCGUCCACCAUUUCAAUUUCGACAUCUUCUUCAGUGCGAGUUGCCGAUAAGGAUUUUGAAGCUUUGGGCGGCGUCUUCUUCGCUGGAACCACUGGUUGCGCCUCUUUGAUGGCCUGUCGAGAGUCCUUGGAAGACUUAUUUUUUGUGGCAAUAUUUUUCGAAUGACUGCUAGUAAUUUGGUUCUUUCGCAAGGUGGAUGAGGCAAGACUCGUUACAAUCUCUAUAACUCCGUUAGGAUGCACGGGCUCGUUGGCGGAGGUAACCUUACCCUUCUUCGAUGAUUGCUGAGUGAUCUUAACGGUGAAUUUAAAGGGAGUUGAAGAGACACUAUUUGAUCGAGUCGACCACCAGACAUCGUAGUCUUUUGUGAUCAACGGAUGUUUCCUGUGCGUGGGUAUAGUCAUCCGAGAUCGCGUUUGCAUGCGAACUGAGGAAUCCCAUAGUUGAAUAGCCUCGCCCAAAGUGUAAGUGUGAGUGAUUUCUUUCAAGUUGUUGGGGAUGUCUUGACAAAAGCCGAAUUGUCUGCUAAACCUGCAAGGGUUAUAUUUUUCAAUAAUGAAAGUAUUGUCCUUACGUAAAGUUAAAUGGCAAGAGCGUUGACUAAUGAAGUAGCUCGUAAGUCUUGAUGAUAAAGAUCCAUCAUCGAUCAAUACCUUUUCUUCAUUCUCAGUCCAGCACAAUUUAGGAAGCCUCAAAGGAUUCACUUCUUUGAAGAUUUCCUCAGCUUCUGAUCGACCAUAGAAUAUUGCCAUUUUCUCACCGCUAAAUCUCGUCAUGCGCGCAUGGUGGCUACUCACUUGAUUAUUCUCGUGAUAUACGUCGAAAUAUUGGCCAAUCCAAGCAUAGACGUAAUGGAUUGGAAAAGUUACUCCACAUUCUCCAAGGUUAGGGGCGUGGACGAUCUCCCUCAACCCGUGAUAUAUGCUCGCAAGGACGGGAAUUGCAAGAUAAAAUCUUUUCCCUGUAGCCAUUAAGCAUGCAACCUUGAAAACGCUUGGGCGGAUACGGUCGACCUUUUUGCUUGGCAAAAGGAACUUGCAGAUCCAACACGCUAUGAAUGCCGCAAUAUAGGUCUCCUUUCUUAGAGACUCUGGGAUACCCAGGAUGUCAAAAGGGACAUUGAAGUCAUUCGUAUCGGCAAGGUCGUAAGGCUCCACGCUUCCAGAAGGGUUGUAAGUCAUUUUUGGUUUAGAUGUGGUCUUCCUUCUAUUCGCUCUAUUCGGAGGAGCCCUAUACCUAGCCUCUCCUUUGAACCAGAAGCGAAUCCAGUCCUUCAUCCAUACCCCUUGGUCAUUCGUCCAAAGGUGGUAGUAGGCGGAAAAGAGGUGCCUGCAACUCUCGGGGAGAAGUGGCUUCCCUUCUUUGUCACGAGUGAGGAGCUCCCGUGCCGAAGGAACAACUUCAUCAAAAAACGUGCCGUCGAUCGAAAGGCCAUCAAGUCGAUAGAGGUCCCAAAGUGUAAUGGACAACUCCCCAACGGGCGUAUGGAGUGUGUUCGUCGAGGGACACCAAUAUUUGAAGAAGGCUCGCAAGAUAUUUUCACAGCGGUCGUAGGAGUAUCUCGACGUGUAGACGGCUUCAAAUAUACCAGCGCGUGUGAGUAUGUCUUUAUGCCUUCCAAGCAUGUCCUCAACCCACUCCCAAUAAUGGGAGGUGAAGCACGCCUCACCGAAGAAUGACGAAGGGGUUUUCCAUGUAGCUUUGUCAACAUUGAAUCCCACGAACGGAAGAGUGAAUUUGGCUAUUUCUGGAUCUCCAUUGUGAAGAGACGAGUUUAGCACGACCACUUCUUCUUCCCUUGACGUAGUGGAGAAAGUCGACGGUGCCACCACUUCCUUAGUCCACUUGCUAGCCCAGUUUUCGAGAUGAAAGCAUCCUUCGAGGGGUAUGAAAGAUUCAGCGAGCGGCCCGAUUGCUGGUUUGUAAACAUGUAGUGACAAGCUCUUUGAUUGAGUUCCUCCCCGUUCAUCCGUCAGUGAAAUAUGCGGCACUGGCACGGCGUAGUCCUUAAUUUGCAUGAUUGCUGGAAUCUUGUAAAAGAAAAUAUUAGAGGAUGCAGGAGCGUCGUGCAAGAAGUUUGGUAAUUAAAUUACCUAAUUGGUUGCCUCUUCUCAAAUCCCCGGAAUUAUUUCGAACCCCUCUUCAAGCGCAGCUUGAGUUGUCUACAAAGAGGCAAGUUGACAAAGUUUAGAUCAAAAUCAUGUAUAGUAAUAUUUGGAAAAAAAAAAAAAGGGGGCUCUCAAAUACCAUAUUUGAUAUUACCCUCAUACAUGGGAAAAAAAAAUAUCAUAUUUGGUAUUAUCCUAAUAGAUAAAAAAAAAAAACUAACUUUUGCUCAAAUAAGCAUGUUUAGUGUUAAGGAAAAAAAAAGGGGGUUCAAAUAUCAUAUUUGGUAUUAUCCUAAUAGAUUAAAAAAAAAAAAAACUUUUGCUCAAAUAAGCAUAUUUAGUGUUAAGGAAAAAGAGGGGGGUUCAAAUAUUAUAUUUGGUAUUACCCUAGUAAAUGAGCAAAAAAAAAAACAAAAAACAAAAACAAAACAAAACAAAAAAAAAGAAACAAAAACGAAAGAAAACAAAAACAAAAAUUGAAUUUUCAGCUCUGAGGCAUAGCUCAUAUGUAUGUUUUGACCUGAGCUUCAUUCUCAAAUAAUAUUUUGAGAAAUUGUUUAGUAAAGUCAUGGGGCUCUAAGCGUCUCAAACUUCUUGUAAUAAUUAAAUGUUGCAAGAAAGAAAAAAAAAGGGAAGCCGCAGGUACCUGAUGACGGCUGACUCUGGCGUGCGGCAAUUUGUUGAUGCGGCUUAAGAGAAAUAAAACUCGUUGAGAAGAAAGUGUUCAAACGCUACCAAUGGAUGACAGUUGAUGCUUGCGGCUCGGUGAAGAUCUCAAGGGUCAGACGCUGUCAAGACAAACUAAAGCAAGUAUGGGAACCGUCGAUACAAGAAGGUAUGAAUGUGUGUGAACGAGAAUUAGAGUGACUACCUUCAAAGCUAUAGUGGAAGAAGCGACCAGAUCCUUCAAACGGCUUGCAACAUUGACAACGAAAAGGUUGUCUCCGAAUCUGUUGUUGCACAGACUACAAGGGUAAGCCGCGGUUCCAUGCAAAGUAGUAGAACAAGAAACACAAGCAGGGUGGUACCAUAGCUUGGAGGAGUAGUGCGUACCUUAAAAAUAAUCCUAGCGUAGCUCGGCACGUUCUGACCAACUCCAAAUUGAUUCUAUUAGUUUAAGGGGCGGCAAGGCCAAGCAAACUAGUAAAUUGUGAAUGACGGCAGUAGCAAAAAUAGGGGACGUAGCAGCGGCACCUCAUGACAACAAUAUUCGGGAAUCAAAAGGGAAGAGAAAUUUUUUUUUUUGAGCAAGUUCACGGCUUUGGACUUGGGGGAUUUAUAGGACGAAUCUCUACUACAAAUCUGGGAGAAAGUUGAGUUCAAAUACAACUAGCUUCCUGGUCCGCUUCAAUCGUUUGAGGGAUAUCUUCAGGGGUCCUAGCAAUUAAGUCGGCUGUAUAUUGGGAAGUGGAUUCUACACUGGCUUCAGGGGGCUUGCUUCUAAAAAGGACCAGUUUAUUAUCCCAUGCGAUAUAGCUUCCAUUUAUGUUGGCCUUGGAAGGAAUUCUUGUCGCAACCAACCCCUAUACGCUGAGUAAGUUGUGUCGGCAUGGAAACUUGCGAAGCGGUGGAGUUUAUGAUUGAUCAAGGAGCAAGAUAUUUACCUCGUAAUUAAAGUUGAAAGUUCUCUAGGCCAAUUGAAAGGUUAUUUGCAUGCAAGGUGCUCACAAGACAGAUGCUUGCGAGAUGGAGUCCCACGUCAAUCGCCUGUAUGAUUCUUAUUCGGAUAUUGAAGGCUCUUGUGGGCAGCUCCUUACUUAAGUGGUCUAUUUUAGAAGAGAUAUUUCCGCAAAACUUCAGAACUCAAGGAGAGUUAACCUCUUCGAUCCAAAGGAUCGUUAAGGUGAGUUUGAAGUCAAUUACAAGUCUAAUGUGAACCUGGCUUCGGGACUUUCCAGAAUGGUCAGUCGAGAUUGAAGAAGGGUCUAAUCUAAAUCCGAAUGGGUCUCUACUCCUGCUGAAAUUCAAUAAGCAAGCUUGGGAUUGGUUCGUCCAGAUGUAGUUCCCUUCUUAAAGUGGAUCUCUUAUCUAUUGAGUCACCACCGAGAUAUUUCCCAAGUUCGCAGAGAUCGAAGUUGGUAGAAUUCACAAAGGGCAAGAAUUCUUAUGCAUAAGGUAGACAAAAGGAAAGCUAUUUGGGAUCUGGCCUCGGGAGUUACGGGACUUGCAGGACUUUCCUAAUCAUUUUGGAAUUCGAAUACUACAUGGAACUUGCGCUCAAGACUUUCUAAUUCGACUAUGCAUAUCUCGUAGGUUCCUAAUCAUCAUCAGAUGCUACCUGGUAUUCUCAGUGGUAAUUGAUCUCUAAUAUGGGUUGUGCGCAAAUCUUCUUGAUUAAGGUGGUGGGCGUGAUUUGCAGGUGAGUAAAAACAAGGGGCAAUUCUUUAUUGUAUGGGGUCGCAAUUUAUAAUUUCCUAUUUCGACUCCUGGUCAAGGGUUUGAUCCUUCCACGACUUGAUUUCUACAAGUCGUAAAGGACUAGCGAUUAAAGUUUUGGAUUGGUUCGGAAUUCAAAUUCACCGCCUACUUUGGCCAUGGUCCAGCAAAGGUGGUGUUUAUAGUAGAUUAAAUUAAGGGAUUCCUCUUGUUCAGUUUGAGAUGCAAAACGUUCAUAUUGUUUGCAUUCCACAAAGCAAAGUUUGUAAGAAAAGUGUGAAUAAGAUUAUUUAUUGUGGGGGAUUCAUAGCACAAGUCCCACGGCAUUGCAGAGCUUUGGAUAUAAGUCCAUGAGUUGAUAUUCCAAUUGUAAAGCUUUGAGCACAAGUCCCACGGCAUUGCAGAGCUUUGAAUAUAAGUCCAUGAGUUGAUAUUUCAAUUGUAAAGCUUUGAGCAAAGCCACGGCAUUGAAUAGAUUUUGCUUGGAUUGAUAUUCAAGCGGUGGACAUAAGGCUUCCAAAUGAAGUGAUCCGGCCUCGGGAAAUUGGAGGCACUAGUGGUCUUGGAAAUUGAGAUCAAUAAGGCAUGAAUUGGUGGUCUUCCACGUAGCUAUCCUAUAUGAUACAAGUCAUUGAUAUGAAGUUUGCAAAGCUUGGAGUUUAGCCCAUUUAUGAGUUUUGUUUGAAAAGCUAAAAUAUCAACGGUGUUCAAGUUGAAACAAAAAAAAAUGUGUCAAAACUUGUCCGAUCAAAAUUUGCUUCGGUCUUCAACAUUCACGAACAAGUUUCGAGGGGGCAUUUGUAGACAAUGGAAUUACCAUUGGUCUAUAAAAUAUUUUUGUCCAAUCGGAUAUUGCCAUAGGGCAUGUAUACUUGGAAAAUUGGUUAUUAAAUGACCAAUUAUAUUUUGCCACGUGUCAAGGCGAGGUGUUCCAAACCAAUUCAAAUCGCAGGGGUAUCUUCACCAACUAAAUCAUAUCAUAUCACAUACCUAUUGGAUAAAUAUCUAAGUAUUUAUUUCUUAUUAAAGGGAUAAUAUUUAGAGUUAUUUAAUCCAAGUAUACCUCUUAUAUACUGCAGUAGCUUGGCCAGUCAAGCGGUGCCACGUCACGUGUCCCCACAAGUUUGGCCAAUCGAUAAAUUACUUAUCUCUUUAUUAAUAAAUAUAAAAUGAAGAGAUAAUAGUUGGCUAGCACAGUCCUAAUAUGACUGCACGUCUUGCAAGACAAGUGGAGCGGUACACAGGUUCUCAACCUCUACCUCUUGCUACAACUAUAAAUAAAGGUCUCUUAACCAAAUCAAGGACACACACACGGACACACAGAGAUAUCAAGAAGCAUCUCAUACACUCAAGUAUUGAAGUUUCAAGCUACGAAGGUCUGGGUCUCAAAGCUCCUCAAGUCUUCCGCAUAUCAAGGCUUGAGCCUUCAAGUAUUUUCAAAUCCUUCAAAUCUUCCAUAUCAAGAUUUGAAGGAGUCGGUGGUUGAUCCAAGAACAAGCUGCGAAGCCCUUGGAUUGGUGUUCGAGGAGAAGAAUCGAAGGAAGCUCUCCAUAAGUCCGAGAAACUUCCAGAGAUUGUACCUACAUAUUUUUUCUAAGUUUAUAUAGUACAUAUUUGUCGUGUAUUUCUUUUUCUUGUCGUUUUGCAGACUUGAAAUUUUUAUUGCGUACAGAUAGCAGUGGCUGCAAUAACUAGGAAGGUUCUCAGGGAUAAGAGCCUGCCAAAAGCCAUCCCCAUCUCCCAUAUCAACCCACACCCUCGACGGAAUCGAUUUGAGCAGAUCCACCUCAACACAUACCCGUGCCACAUUCGGUCGCGAAAACGAAGACGUAGCCGCAUCCACGAAAAGCGGCGUACCCAAGCAGGAGACAAGAUGAAAUAGACAUGGCUUAGCAAAUAAGUGAAUUGGGAGUUUGGGCAAUCUAAACCAGACGGGAACAAGGGAAGACUCUCUGUCCACAUGGAACUUAGAUGUCCACUUAAAAACCCUCAUGGGGCAUCCAUUCACGUACCACAAAUUUCGACCACAAACGCGAAGGAAGUCUGCUUCACACUGAAAUUUCAGCAAAACAUGCCUAGCAUCUAACAAUCCCACAGUCGCCGUAUCCUUCAAAUCAAGAGUCGACAAGAACUUCCUCAGGUCAGGCAGCAGCGGCUGCCCCUUAGAGAACUUCCCAACCAAAGUGUAGCGGAAUGGAGCAGCAAUCGCUGCUAUUUCAGCCGCACUGAAGACCACUGCAGGCUCUCCACGGUGUGUUGUCAUCCUCGCUUGGACUUGCACUACCUCCGACGUCGGUUGCGGUUCAAACAACGCAGAAAAGGCCUUCUUCCUAAAGGUGGGGGAGGAAGAGGCCGACGGCCUCCCACCUGGAGGAGGGGGGGCAGUCUCGGCUGCCAUGGACUUCGUUGUAUUUCUUCAUAUUUUAUUACACCAUUUUUUAACUCAAUCAAAUCAUAUUUCAACUUUUGUCACACUAUUUUCCAACUCAAUUACAUUAAAAGGCAAACUUGUGAGAAAUAAAACUUGUGAGACCCCAUCAACCCCUGCUCCUAUUAAUAUUACACAUGUAGAUUAUAUUUUAAAAGAAAAAUUACCAAAUUAGAAUUAGUCAAAAUAGUCCAUCAAAUAUAACAAAAGAAAAGUAUCCUUUUAGUUCGCGAGCUCAUUUUUUGAUCGGUUUUCUAGCCAAAAAGUGUGUGCCUUUCGUAGGCACCCACAAUUUAAAUAGCAAAAUGGGAAAACAAUUUAUUUUCUUCCAAAAAAGGCACAUGACAAUCAUAUGAUCACCUCCUGAAUAGGGAAUCCUAAUUAUUAUCCAUCAAAUUCAUAAUCGAAGAAAGAGUAAACUACAGGUGACCUUUACAGUUUCUUGUUUGAUUAUGGAUCUGGUGGAUAUGAAUUAAGGUCCUUUGCUAGAAGUGUGGUUAUGUGAUUGUGAUGCAUUUUUUAUUUAAGAGAAACAAAUUGCGUUUCAAUUUUGCCGUUGAAAUUGUGGAAACCAGAGAGAUGGUGCACUUUUAGGCUUAAAAAUUGAUUGAAAGUGAGUUUUGGGACUAAAGGAGCACAUUUUUUAUAAUUAUUUUGAUGCUUAUAUCAAAACCAUACAAAUUUACGCUGAAUGUAUUAAAAAUUAUACAAACUGAUUUGAACUAGAUAGAAUUUAACUUUCUGUAUAAGACAAUUUAUUGUGCACAAACCAUGUUUUUCGUUUUACUUUUAUAAUUAAGGUUUUCUACUAAAAAUAAAAUAAUGUGUUAGGUACAGCGUUGGCUCGCAUGUGGUGGGUACAGUUUCCGAAUAAAACAAUUUAUUAUGUGCAAUAAUGGUUUCUGGAUAUAGAUUCUUACAUUUCUUCUGAGUUUUGAUUUGCCUCUUACAUGGUGGAUACACCCACUUGACCUCAUAGUUCAUACCUGCAGAAAAUAAUCAAAGACAUAAUUGUGGAUAAAGAUUUGAGUGUUUUUCUAAUUAAUAAAGAAUAAAGUGUUUCUUAAGUAAUAGCUGAACUCUUGAUCACAUGAUUUUGGUUGUUGAUGACUUUGAUUUGGAUUCUGACCUUAUUCAAAUUCUUUUGAUUCUUUGAGAUCCCAUUAAUAUUACACAUGCAGAUAAUAUUAUAAUAAAGGAAAAAUUGUCAAAUUGGUCCCUUCCAUUUUCGAUAAUUUUUUUAGCCCCUCACAAUUAGAAUUAGCUAAAAUAGUCCCUUAUAUAUAUAUAUAUAUAUAUAUAAUGCAUCCUUUGGUCACAGAGCUGAUUUUUUAGGCAAGCCUCUUAGGUGCCCAAAAUUUUGAUGGCAAAAUGGGAACACAAUUUAUUUUCUUCCAAAAAAAAAGGCAUAAGACAAUCAUAUGACCACCUCUUGAAUAGAGAAUCCUUAUUUUUAUCCAUCAACCUCAUAAUCAAACAUGAAAGAGUAACCUGCAAGUGACCUUCAUGCUUUCUUGGUCGACUAUGGGUUUGGUGGAUAAGAAUUAGGAUUCCUAGAGAAGUGAUCAUGCGAUUGUCAUCAAUUUUUGUUUUUCUUUUUUUUUUUCAAGUGAAAUGAAUGUUCCCAUUUUGCCAUUGAAAUUGUGGGGACCUAAGACACAGUGUGCUUUUUUGACAUGAAAACUAAUAAAAAAUGAGUUCUGAGACUAAAUGGGCACAUUUUUAUUCAAUAUCUAAGACACUAUUUUGAUUGAUUUUAACCGUGAGUGACUGAAAUAGUGUUUAUUAAAAAUAUGAGGGACUAUUUUGACAAACUUCGGUAUAAUAAAGAUUGACCACUUUUUAAAGGAGUUUGGACAUUAUCCAUUUGGAAGUAUUACUAUUUUGAUCCUUUAUUGUUAUAAUUUUAUUCAAUUUACACUAUUUAGCUCGCUCCCAUAAGGAAUAUUCUUUCUGCGAUCUGCAAGGAAAAUCAAGGGAGCUAAUGGACGACUUGCAUGUGUGAACCACCAUGCACGUCACACAACAAAUUUUGCUCUUUUAUUAUUGGGCAAAAAAAAAUGGCGACCACUAAACUAUUUCUGACAUCUACUUCUAGCUACCAAACUAUUUCUUGUCUCAAUUUAAUCACUCAACUAAUUAAUCAAUACACCGUUGGUUAUUUCAUCGGAUUUUGCUCUUAGUUUUACAAAUAAACCAAACACAUGCAAAUCAAGUGCCAAAAUUUAAGGGUAAUCAUAUCCACUAAGUUUAUCAAUCCAAAUCUAAAAAGUCCAACAGCCACUAAUCUAUUCCCUUCGUACUCUUUUGGCCAUUCAAAUAUUUUUUGUUUCAAUAUAAUCACUAAAGUCUUAAAUCAAUAUACUAGCAGUCAUUCCGUCAAAUAUAUCUGUUAAUGCUAAGGAAUGAGUUCUAUGUGCAUUUCACAUACCCAAAACAGGACAAUUAUGUAAGGUCAAUUUUUUAGAAUUUUUCCCCGUUAAUAUUACAAAUGCAGGUAAUAUUAUAAUAAAGGAAAAAUUGUCAAAUUGGUCCUUUUCAUUUUUGAUAAAUUUUUUAGCCCCUCGCAAUUAGAAUUAGCUAAAAUAGUCCCUUAAAUAUUAAAAAAAAAUGCAUCCUUUUGGUCACAGAGCUCCUUUUGGUAAAUUCCUUCUUGUACCUUGAGAUUAAAUUUUAUUUAAUAUGAAUGACACAUAUUAUCUUGACGUCCAAAUAAAGGAGAUCAUUGUAACUUUUCAAAAACUUGAACGGAGCAACAUGAAAUUGUUAUAAACCUCAAAGGAGUUUUACAUAAAUACCCCACACGUUUACAAGCAGAUUUUAUCAUGCUAGUACCUUUAUAGUCGAAGAAAGCCAGUACAGUCAGUGCCACAUUGUUCCCUCUCCCUCUCUCUCGUUCUUCUCACAAGUUGUCUUGCGUGCUGCUUUGCUUCUCAGGACACGUUGAAGCUUUUGUUCUUUGCUAGCUAGGUAAUUAUUACAUGCCUGGCUCUCAAUUUCUCUGGUCCACUUCAUUAAUUGAUUUUUUUUUUUUGUAAAAAUUUUAGUGUAUCAAUUUCAGACGUUUGUUUUUCUUCGUUAUUGGAAAAUCCAGCAGCUGUUUGCAUGCUAAUAUAUGGGAUUUCUCUUUUGCUUAGAUCUGGAACACUUGCCGUCUAGCAGGAAAAAAUUAGCACCUGCAUAUUAUGUGACCCUGAAAAAAAAAAAACAUCUUUCUUUCUGUCCUCCAUUAGUUUGGCACUAAAACUUGAGUAAGGUUAACAGGAUUGUGCGGUACAACCAACAAUAAUGGAGGGGGAGAAGACGGAUACCGAGGGAAAGGUGGAGACAGAGAAGAUGAACAAGGAAUUUGCGAUGACAUAUGAUGUCCACUCUAAAAUGUUAGAGGAUCUAGUUGGGGAUCACUUCCAUUUGGGCUUCUAUGACUCUAGCUCCGUUAUCCCUGGUUCUGAUGUCAAUUCUGCUCAGACUCGCAUGAUCGAGGCGGCCCUCCGUUUUGCCUCUGUAUCAGGUAUAAUAAGCGUCGCACCUCUCUCAAGAUAUGCAUUCGCAGUUUGUGUGGAGUUUUCUUCUCUUUCUCCAAGUACAAAUGCUGUAGUUAUGGCACAAAACUGUAUUUUGCUGCAGAGCUAAGCUUUUUUUACUGGGGUGCAGAUUAAUUCCAAUUAAUUUCGAUUGUGACUUCGUUGAGUCAUCUACGACGGUCAUCGUUUACCGUGAGAUAAAGGCACUUAUUUUAAAAUAUUUCUAAUAGAUUGAUAAAAUAUUUCUAAUAGUAAAGGCACUUAUGUAACUUUGCACCCAAAUGAUAUAAUUGAACACUAAAUAAGUGCUCUUGUCCGAAUCUCUACCACGUGAAAUACUUCUCAAUAAGUCGUCAUAAUCUUAAGGAUUAAUUUUAUAAACACUGUCAAUAUAUACAUUAUUAUUAUUAAAUAUAUAACACAUGUGUAAAAUUUAAAUUUAAUAAUAUAUACUUACAGUGUAUAUAAAAUUUAUUCUAAUAUUAAACAGGCACUUAAUAUUAAAGAAUUAUCUAAGAUGGAAUAUCAUUUCUCUGCCAAUUGCGCUAGUCAUGCAUCUUGUUCUUAACCUUCGAAAAAUCAACACAUAAGUUUAUUGGUAUCACUCAAGAUUGGGUCAAUUUCAAUCAUAUUUCCUGAGAUUUGACCUUUGACCUAAUUAAAAAGUAUGCCUUGUGAUUUGGUCAGAUUACAGUCGAAUACCCCAGUAGCAAAACAUUUGUCAAAUACCCAGCCUUCACUUUAAAUACAAUAUUGGCAAUUAAACGCAGCCGUCACUUUAAAUCUAUUAUUUCCUUUCAAGUUAAAUACUUCUUCACAUGUAGGAAAGAAAAUAAAACUUUCAGUUAAUGACCAAAAAACACCAUUUCAAAUUUUUUUUUUUUUUUUUUAUCAAUCAGCAACUUCUAUACUAUCCUACCCUACAGGAGAGAAAUUCAACUAGAUUGUAUAAGGGACUAGAGAACAAGCAAGUUCAUCUAAACCAAAGAGGUGCUCUGCCAUAUUUUUUGAAUUUUUUUAACUAUAAGGUGUGGGUGUAGGGUUUAAAGUUCCGACGUACAAUCUAAAGAGGAAUUUUAAAUCCCUUACUUUGAAUUGACCAAAUUUUACACUCAAUAGUACAUGCAUAUGUAAACGGGGAUAAUCAAUUCGGGAAGGAUAAAAACAGAAGCAGCAUUUUGUUUUUCUUUUUUCUUUUGGUCUUUACUUUUCUUUCUCAUUUUAGUAGCUUUAGUUUUUCUUUCGCUACAUUUGCAAUGGAUUUAGGGGUAUUUGGCUAUUCAAAAGGUUAGAUUACAAAUUGGUCAAAUUACAGGAUUAGUUCUAUAAUUUGGACAAGCCUUAUGCAAUGUGAAUAUACAUUAAGCAUAGAAUUUGUUUUUUUCUGGGCAAUCAUAUGCAAUUUCUGUAAUUGGUACUCUGGGUUUAGGUCAUGCACACAUUGAAAAAAGAAAUGGUUUGAUUUCCUUUCAAUGUCUAUUUACUUUCCUAGUGAAACAUCCUCCUCAUAAUUUCUAGUUUUUUCUCCUCUCCAACUUUGUCAUUUAAUAGUCAACCAACCGGCAUUAUUUAUCAUGAAAUAAUAUGCAGAGGAUCCAUCUAAGAAACCAAGAAACAUACUUGAUGUUGGAUGCGGUAUUGGUGGCAGCACCAGGUACCUAGCAAGCAAAUAUGGUUCUCAAUGUAAAGGCAUCACCCUUAGCCCUUUUGAGGCUGAAAGAGCUCGUGUUCUAACUGCUGCCCAAGGAUUAGAAAGCCAGGUCUGUAUUGAAAGAUUUGCAAGAAGUUAUCAAUUGUUAAAUCACCCUUUAUGCAAGUGCACAAUGAGUAAAAAUUUUCAUUCUUCCAUUUCUUAAGGAAUGAUGACUGAGUGCAUACUACUACUACUAUGGUUUUGAAAAAAUAUUGUGAAACUGAUGGUAGAUGAUUAUUUCAUGUAAAGAACACACGUCUUAGAUUUUCCCCAAUCUUUUAAACCAUAUAAAGCAAGAGAUGCAUUUUCAUAGAAUACUAGAUGCUAACCCAUGCACAUGCACAUAUUUAUAUUACCUGUUUAUUUCUAUGAGAAAGAUAAUAGACAAUGAAUGAAGUUACAUAUGAACUAAACAAAUUGUUCUGAGGAAAGUUAAAGGAAAAAUAUGUCAACAACAACAACAAACAAUUUCAAAGCGUGGAAGAAAAAAAGAAAAGUUUCAGCAUUCCUGAGGCUAGCUCGUGAAUGCUGCCAAAGCGUCCCCACUUUUGGUUCAAGAAAGCGAAACUGAUACUCCAAAGUUUCAAGAAUCCUAAUUUGUGAUAGUUUUGUUUUGAUUACCCAUCCUCACCUUUACUUUUUAUACACUAAAAAUGCAAAAUUUUUAAAUCCUAAAUUUUAGCGGCUAAAAUUAUCUCAUGAUAGAAUUGAAUUCAAAUAUGUAUUAUCAGUAAUCUUAGGUAAUGAUGAUAACUCUUGGAUUUGGAUACACACGUAUGUGCAUACAUAUAUAUAUACAUACAUACAUAUACAUAUAUAUAUAUAUAUAUAUAUGUGUGUGUGUGUACACAUAUGCACAUAUACACAUACAUCUAACUGUAUAAAAGCGGGAGUUGGGUUAUGAGUAGUAAUUCUUUGUCAAGUGGUUAUCAAGUAAUUUUCGGCAACUUUGAUGGCUUUUGUAUUUGUUGGUUUUGUUGACUUUUCGGGAACUCCAUUUGCAUCAGUCAUUGGCAGUUCCUCAUGUCAUUAGGAUUAGUCUUAGUAGUCCUUCAUUUUUUGCUAAUGCCAUUUCCUGUUUCAGCCUUACUCGGAGGCCAGAAGAUGCAUGUUAUAGUUGUAUGGUUUAUUUGUAAUUUAUUUGUUCUUUAUUCCUCUUUUUUGCAUCAUUUUCGCCUAUUGUGAUCCGCAGAGAUAGGCCAUCUUAGCUAUUCUUGAGUAUUAGUUUAGCCUUAGGUUUGUCUUAUUUUUCAGUUAUGCCAGUCCUUUUUUUCUUCGUUCAAGCUGCAUGCUAUAGUUGCUUGAUUGUUUGGUAAUUUUGUUGUCUUCUGACCCGAUUUUUUGUUGACUCAUUGUUCACUUUUGUGGAUGCCUCACUUUUUGUUUCUACAUGUUUCUUUAAUUUAGCGGAUAGUGAAAUAAAUUUGUUUGGAAAAGAAUGCACGCCUAAGUGGAUGCAGUGUUAAAUUUUCAUGUGAUAACUAUUGCUGUGACUAUGCAUGUAACCAUGCUGCGGACUGUCUUCCAUGGAAUUUCCAAAAAUUGAGCUGGACGGAAAAAAAAGGGCCGGCAUUUUCAUCAAAAGUUAAUGAAAUAGUUUAAAGUGCCAAAAGGUUUUAACCAAAAAUAGUUUCUAAUUUUGCUGAUUUUUUAAAAUGUACAAUUAUAAAGAUAUAUUAGUCUAUAUAUUUAUAUUUAGUGUGCAUAAUUAUUAGAAAAUUUUUAGUACCCUUAUUUUUAUUUUUAUAGUUUUCAUUCUAUUUAUAUGUGUGUGCUAAUUUAUGAGCUUAAUUUUUUUUUUUAUAAAAGAUAAUAUCUAAGGAUAUAAAAGGGGAGAGUUGGGUUAUGAAUAGUGCUUUUUGGUCAAGCGGUUAUGCUGCAAUUAUUGUUGGAUGUGGAGGCUAUUUUCGUCAAUUGGCUGUUUUGGUUAUUUCACGUUGGUGGUUUACUUUGUGAGGCGAUAAAUAAAAGUUCUGUGUGUGCUUGUUUUUCUAUGCAAUUUAAUACUCAUUGCAUUGGGUGAAGUGGUUGUCUACCAUGUUGACAAGAAACUUCUAAUUGCAUGAUUUCCAAAAAUUGAACCGAAAAAAAAGUAGAAGUCCAACAUUGUCAUCACAAGUAACGAAAAUUGGCUGUCAAGAUUUGGGACUAAAAAUGGUUUAUAAUCCUUCUACUAUUUAAGAUGCACAAUUAUUAAAAAAAAUAUUAGUCUAUAUAUACAUAUUAAAUGUAUAUAAUUAUUACAAAUUUUUUGAUGCCCCUUAUUUUUAUUGUUAGUUUUCCAUUCUAUAAGCAUAAAGUUAUUUCCGUCUUGUAUGUGAGCUAGAUGGUUAACUUAUUUCCUUUUUAAAAAAAUUAAUUUGUUAUUUUUCUAACAUAUUCGUAUUUAAUAUAUAUAAUUAAUAUAAAUUUUUUAACACAUUCAUUUUUCCUAAUGACUCUAAAUUGAAAAGCAAUGUGCUAUUUUUUUUAUUAUUUUAGUCAAACAUGUAACAUUAAUUAGAUUAUUUCUUACAUUAAAAAGCUAAAGUACUCUAAAUUUCAAACAAUAUAUAAUAUAAUUAUAUAUAUAAUACAAAAGGGAGAGUUACCCUAUGAAUGGUAUUUUUGGUCAAGUGGUUAUCCUGCAAUUAUCUAAUAAUAUAAAUGAAGAGUUGUCCUAUGAGCAGUGUUUUCUUGUCAAGUGGUUAUCCUACAAUUGUUAUUGGAUGUCGGGGCUAUUUUCAUCAAAUUGCCUGUUUUGUUUGUUUAAAGCAGGUAUAGUUUUGGUGCAUUUACGAGACAUGUUGAUCAAAUUAGUAAUUGGUGGUGUAAAAAGUGAAGCUUUUGAAAGUUGAUUUUUUUGUGGUUAAUUAUUUGCUUUUAAAGUGUCCUUUUUUUUUACCUAUGAAAGAAUUGAUAAAUUAUUGCUAGCUUUAGUGACUUUAAAAAUGGCCUUUAUUACUGUGACAUGAAAUAAAAUUGUUAAAUGUUCUGUAAAUGCACAAUUAACGAGGAAACAAUGAAUAAAUUAUUGUUGGUUUGACAUCAUAUAAUAUUGUUAAGUGUUCUGUAAAUGCACAAUUAUUGAGGAAACAAUUAAUAAACCAUUGUUGGCUUUAGUAACUUUAAAAAAUGGAUUUUAUUACUGUGAUAUGUGGUGAUUAAUUUAACAAUGCCAAGUUCUAUGGUUUAAGUGCUUAAUUGACUUGCCAAGUCUCCCUUUUUUGUGUCAACAAUGAUUAAUACUUUUUUGGGAAUGAUUCACUUCAUAAUUUUCUAAUUAUGCUAAAUCAAAUGCAAAAUAACCUUAUACAAUUUUCUAAUUUACGCUUAUGCAUUCUAUAUAAGCGCCCUCAUGCAUUCUAUAUAUUAUUGUUCUCAUGUAUUCUAUAUAUUUCAUAAUUGUCAACCUUUAAUAAAAACAAUAAUUCUCUAAUGAUCUGCAUGAAUUAGAUAAUAACAUAGAUGUAUACUAAUAAACCACACAAUAAAAAACAGUUAGCACGGGAAAUAUUAGCCCAUGCGCAGGCCGUCUCACUAGUAUAUAUAUGUGCAUAUGUGUAUAUAUAUGUAUGUAUGUAGAAUUAAUCUUCUAUGCACUAACUAAUAAUUUAUACACUACACUACAACAAAAAUGGCUUUUCCUGACAUGUCUAUAAGAACACUUGUUGGUUUGUGUCAUUAUAGCACUUUUAUUAUGACAUUUGUUAUCAACUCAAUAAUAUACACUCUAUUUUUUUUUAUUUUAUCUGAUAUAAGAAUAAUAAUGUGCCUUUAGACUACCUAUCAUGACACUUGAGAAAAUGUGAGAUAUAAAAAAAAAAAAAAGAAAAGGCACAAAACAACAUCAUAUAUAGUGAAUUGGCGGAAGAUUCAUUUGCUGUGAAAUAUUCAAACUUUCAAUUUGCCGGCCAAAACACUUAGUCAAAUUUUGCUUCUUUUCAUUUCUCUCACAAAAAACACUCUCCACAAACUAACUCUCUGCAAAUUAUCUCUCAGCCAAGUAGGGACGUUAAGACGGAGCUUUUUGUAGAUGGCGCAAGACGAUUGCAGAUGGGUAAAGGAAACCUGGAAAAUAAUAGACCAUCGAGGUACUAAAUGAGACUUUCUUCCACUUUCUUUCCUUUCACUCUUUCUGGCUCCCGUGACCAGUUAAAGUAAGGAAGAAUUAGCCACGGGAACUAUGAAAAGGGUUCCAGACUCUCCUUUCUAAGAGUAUCUCGCCUUUCCUAGCAUGGGGAGCGAUUACAACCAGGAUGUUAGAUGCCAAGAUCUUUUUUUUGCUAAAAAUACAAACAAUUUCUUCUUCUUUUUUGUGUUGCAUUUUCUCCUUCUAUUUUAUGAUCUUUAAGUUUUAUUAAAUUUUAUUGCCCAGAGUUUGACACUCAAAGGUUUUCACCAUAAUUAAUUAUUUUUGAGCUAUGGAUAAUUUCAACCGCAAUAAAUGCUCUCAUAAUUUUCUUCUGAAUUUGAUUACAAUCUUAAUUUUUUAUAUUUUUUCUCAAAUCAGACUUAUGGAUUCAGUUAUAAAGCCAUCAUUUUUUCUUUGAAAUUUUAAAUGUUAUUAUGCUAUUUUGUGUGAGACAACUAAGCCCGACGUAGUUAUUAAGACGCUUCACUUGUAGUCGAAAGGUCAAGGGUUUGAUUUAUCAAAGAGGUAAGUAGAGAAUUAUUAUUGAUCCUCUUUUAAGAACAAGAAAAAAAUGCUACUUUAUGUGAGAUAUGAUUGAUAUAUAUAUUUAUGACAUCAUGAUGACCUUAUGAUAGUUUUGAUUUUUCAUAAUAAUGAACCCUAUGAGUGCCAUUCAAGUGGGAUAGAAGCUCAAAUUGAUGGCAUUUACAAGUGCCAUUAAAAAAGUGAUAUUUUAUAAUAACUUUUCUUAGAUUCAACUUAAUCGCAUUAGAGAACUUCGUUCUCAUGCAACAAUUAUCUAUGCUAAUUACUACAAUUCUGCAAUUUGAUUCUAUUGCUCACCAAAAGAAUUCGGUAUUGCACUAUCUUUUAACUUGCUAAUUUUCUCACAACUCAAAAUAGUACUCAAAAGUUUUAUUUUAGAUACUUUGUCCUCUAGACUUUACUAAUUUAUGUCAUAUCAUCGCCUAAUCCGCACGACCUUCAUGCACCUUUUUUUUUUUUUUUUUUUUUAUAGAAAGAUCAUUUCAUUCAAUAAAUCCGCACUAAUAGUAGAAAAUACAUCAAACAUGACACAAAUACAUAUGGAUUUAAAAUCAAUAGAUACAACAGAUCUAAAAAAUCAAUACAAAUAAAGAUAACAUUGAUGCUCUUAUACAUCUUCUAUCCAGAUGAAUUACCAUAGUACAAUACAUCUAUACAUGUCUUUUGAUAGUCAAAUCCGAUUAACACUGGUUCAAGUUCAAAGAGAAAUUUAAAUCUUAUAAUAAUGGAGAAAUUGCAGAUAUGAGAAACUAAAUUCUAAAUCUAUAAAAUCUAGAUAAAGUUGAAUUAACAUAUGUGCACCUUAAAGUGCAAAGUACAUCUAACGUAAAGUUGAUUCUUGCAACCUCUUGUGGAGCUGGUGGUCCAUAUUAUUGCUAAUCAUCUAUGGGUUGUGGCGACCCACAAACAACUGGUUGUGCUGAUAUCCUUUGGCACAUAUUUGCUGGGACGGUAUGCAUGAGACAGAAGCAGCCAACAGAUUAAUAGUUAAGGCUCUAUUUGAAGGACCAUAUUCAACUCCUCUCAUUGAUUUACACUACAACAAAAUAGGCUAUUAGUGUUAAAAAGAGUUUGUCACUAUCAAUUUAAAUAUCGUCAUUGAAACAAAUCAGCGACAACAAUUCAGUCGUUAUGCUGCCAACACUGAACCAUUGUCAUACAUGGCACCUAUUGAUAUGUUACAAAAAGUUGUCACUAAUUGGUUUUAUAUAAUUACGACCUUUAUUGCAAAAGUCUGUAGUGACUAUUGUUUUUGCCAUUAAAUCAUUGGCUAGGUUGUGACUGUUGUUGACCAAUUGAUCAUCACUACUAGAAAGAGACACUGACAGGAAGUCAUCACUGUGUUUGAAACAGCAUUAAUGAUGACUUGGUCUUGUCCCAUUUGUCCUUAACAAUAAUAGCAAGUGAAAGGUGCUCUGUUGUCACUCCAUGAUAGGGUUCAUUUAGAUGGUAUAUUUUUCUAUAUUUUCUCUUUUUACUUAUAUCAAAUAUUGCUUUACUUGAUCGAUUCUACUCAAAAUUGGUAUUUGGUGUUAAUUUCAGGAAUUGGAACGGAAAGUGCUUAAAAUCAAGAAUUCCUAGUGAUUUGCACGUGGGCCGGAAGAUCGGGAAGAGUUUAGGCAGUUUCCUAGUCCAAAUCAAAUUCCAAACAAUUGACUGCUGAUGAAGAUUUCCUACCUUUUGGGCAGUCCACGUCAUCCUCAAGAAAAAGGAAAGCUUGAAGAACUUGACCUGUAAUAGGAAACCAUCCCUUCAAAUUAGUUAAUUUAUUCCUAGAAAAUAGGGAUGGAGGUAGACAUCAAUUCAUCAUCUUUUCGUGGCUAGAAAGGAAACAACAAAAUUGCUUUUGUUUCUAUUUUCUUCUUGGCCGAUUUUGAGAGGAACAAUUUUUUUAACUUUCGACUAGCUUUUUUCGCAUGGCUUGUUCUUCAUCAAUGGGGAACUAAUUUCAUACUUCUAGUCAAGGGGACAACUAAAGAUUUAGUUCAAUAAUAACGGUGAGAUCUAAAUUAUUUUAAUUGCUUCCUUCAUUCAUUGGUGUUUGUAUGUUUUCUGCUUUCAGUGGUUAUGACUAUUGUGUAUGAUUGAAUAGUUGCGCAAUAUUUAAUUAUUCACGUAAUCUAUUUGCUAAUUGUAGAUAGUUGAAUCCGUAAUUAUUUGAUUACUCUCAUCUCGAUAGCAACUGGCAUAAUUGGGUUUGUGUCAGAAAAACGUACAAUCUAAUUUAAAUAAACCCCCGUAGCGUGUUUAUUGAUUAGAGUAGGGGUUCUCUAGUUUCUAAUGCAAUUGGGGAAUUAAAUUCUAUGGUCGUACUUAGAGUUAUUCCUAAAUUAGGGAAAUAGUCAAUGGUUGUACCUUAAGUAUCGAAACUGUAAGAAGAGACUGACUGUCAGAUCGUAUUGACAGUUAAAAACUUACUUAUUAAUGAAUGUUGGAUUUAUUUGUGAAUCGAUGAUCAGUUGCAUGAACCAUCUCUGAAGUGUAUCCUUGGCUAGAGUCUUCCCAAUUAUUUCUCUCUAUUACUUAUUUUUCGCAGUUGAUUAAUUUAGUUAACAAUUCAUUAGCGUUAAAUUCUCAAACCCCCCAUUUGCCUUGACUUGAAAAGGAACAAAUUUCUCCCAAUCCUUGAGGAUACAACCCUACUUGCCCUAUAUACAAAUAAAAGAUUUUUUGUGAAUAAAUUCAGGUAUAUCGGAUUAAGCAAAUUCUUCAGAACUAGGAUGAAUCAAGUAAUCCAUUGCACAUCUAGAAUCCCUGCUCCAAUACUAGAAUUGACACGAAGCUGCUUUGUUGGCACUUAGGAUUAUUACUAUUAUUGCAUAGGCUCAACACCUGUCACUCCAUUUAUGGCUGACAACCUCAAAGUUGUCAUGCAAUCCCGGUUUUGCAGUGACAACUCGGUUUUUGUCGAUUAUGCAGUUGUGUUUCAGCUAUAUUUGCAUUUUACUAGAAAAACCAAUAAACCAAGUCCAAAUUUAUAGGGACUAACAUGAAACCAUAAAUGUGUACUAAGAAAACUAGCAAUUUAUUAGUGAAUUAACACGAAUCCAUGAACCAAAUUCAUAAAAAAAUCUAUUUCAUCAAAGCAUCCAAAUCGAUUUACAACAUUGAGUUAUUGAUAUUCUAGUUUAGAUAGUUUUUGAAUAGUUGAAAAAAUAUUUUUUUAUGUUUAAAAGAUAAGGUUCAAUUUCACAAACGUUUCUCUUAUUUACAAAUUGUAUCAAACUUUUAUUUCCUGUAAAAUCUAUAAACAGUAAAAGAUAAACACAAAGCAUAAAUGUUACCAAUGACCCCUAAAAUUGGCUAUCAUAUCUGGAUAGAAAUUAACCUUCAACCAAGGUUGAAAUCAGACUGUUCAUUGGCCCAAAAAAAUAAUUGGGUCAAGAAUCAUUGGUUCAACUAUUAGGCUGAACAUACUUGACCCGUGAUGACAUGAAUAUGUCAUAAAUAUUUUUCUUAUAUAUAUUGAUUAUUACAAAUAUGCAAGUAUUUGUAGAUAGUUCACUCUGAUGUAAAAAAUGUUCACUUCAAUCCUUUUUACAUCUUUUAACCAUUGAAACUCAAAAAUAACUUUUUUUUUAAAAACUUUUUUAAGCAAAAAUUAAAGGAGUUAUAUAAAGCAUUUUGUCUAAAUUUUGACUAAUUAAAUACAUAACAGUAUAUAAGAAAGGUAUUAAAGAAAUUAAAGCCAAUAAAAAAACAUAAAAUACAUUAAAGAGUUGCAUAAGUUAUUGUAUUAACUUGAGGGAGGGUUAGGUUGGGUGGUAAGGUGGGAGGGGUUGUAAGUAAGAGAUUUUGGAUUCAAGUCUUCUGGCUUACCAAAAAAAAUUAUUGUAUUAGAUGCAUACAUAUGUUGAGCAAUAAUUAAGACGUAAUAAUAUUCUUUUCAUUUCUCACUUUUAAAACGAAACAAUUCGUCCCUGACAUUUAAAAUUGAAGCUAUUACAUUUCUGAAUCCAACUUUCAAUUUGAAUCGAACCAUCCAGUGACUCAGUAACAAAUUUUGGGGAUAGAAUUGAUACAUAACUUGGUCAACUCCAUCACAUUCACAUGACAUUUAUUGAACCAAAAAAGGGAAAAAAAUUAAAAAUUAUAAUAUAAAAGCCGUUGUUUGUUUUGGUAUAGUAGAGUUUCUUUUUGGAUAAAUGUUUUCAUAUGUAUACCACACGUACAAAAUUUGGUGUUUAAAUUUAAAUUGAAAUGAUGUGACUGGUAUCUAGACCCGUCAGUGUAUAUAAUGACAAUUAUGUACAAGUAUGUAUCUAGACCCAUUAGUGUAUAUAAUAACAAUUAUGUACAAAAAAUUAGUAAGAUUUAAAUGCGGAACAUAACAUUAAUUAACAAAAUUUGAAAGUUUUUUUUGUCUCAAUUUAAAUUGUAUAGUGAACUGGCUGGGUCAUGAAAAACUACUCUAGUUCAACUAUUAAUUGGCUAAACUCGAUAAUUUUUCUGAAUUAGCCUAAAUUGACAAUUUUUGUAAUGCUACUGGGUUUUAGGGGUUGUUCGGUCCGACAUGAAGACUGAUCGACAAUUAAACCGGUCCAAUUGGGUGGUCCGGGUUGAGUUUUAAAACAAUGCCUUAAACAUGCCUGCUAGCUGGUCUUGAACUUUCCCACAUCUGAGAGUGCUGGGAGCUAAUAGAACCGCAGGAUGACGUAAGAGACUUAUUUCAACUUAAAAGAGAGGAAAUCAGAAGAAAAUUUGCAUUAAGGCUUAACUAAAAGAUGCACCUUAACCCUUAAAAAGUACGUGACUCUUUGACUUAGCAGGCACAUCCAAUGGGAUGUGAUGUGAGGAAGGUAAAGAGUCAUACACGUUAGAUCUAAAUUUCUAUACGUAAAAUUCAAGUUAGAUGACUAUAUAAACAUCUAUAUGACAUUCAAACAUCGUAUCUUAAAUUACCCAUCUGCAUAUAAAAGAAUGUAAACUAAAAAAUGAUCUUUUUUUCCUAAAACUCUAUCUGUUGGUAAAUCAAUUUUAAUUAUUAUAAUACUGAAACCAUACACUUUGAGAUACCAUGCAUGUAUUGAGUACCCAAACCAAUUUGGGUUUAGGUCUAGGUUGGGUAUAUAUUCAUUUUUUUCAAACCACUAGGGUGUGGAUUUAGAUUGGGGCCAAAAAAAUUUAGGAGAUAGGAGAUUUGGCUUUGGAUUUACUAGAUCUAACUCAGCGUCGGGCACUAGAUCUUGGCUUCCUACCAUUGUUGGUUGCUCUAAGUCUGAAGUUUUUUCAUCAGUAAAAGAGAGAAUCUUGUAGAAGAUACAAGGAUGGAAUGAACAAUGACUCUCAAAGGCAGGUAAGGAAAUCAUGAUCAAGGCUGUUUUCUAGGCCAUUCCAACAUACUCAAUGUCUUGUUUCAAGUAUCCGGAUUCCUUGCUUUCAGAUACCCAAUCUAUGAUGAGUAACUUUUGAUGGAGUGAUGGUAUAGAGCAGAAACCAAUUCAUUGGAUAAGUUAGGAUAGAAUGUGUUUGUCCAAAAACAAAGGUGGCAUAGGCUUCAAACAACUUAAGGCUUAUAAUUUUACUUUACUAGCUAAACAGGCAUGGCAUAUUGCAACUUAACCAUCUACUCUUCUACAUCAGGUUUUUAAAGCUAAAUAUUUUCCCAGUUCAAACUUUUUUCAUGUCGAGCCGACUUCCAAGCCUUCUUUUACUUGGAGGGGAUUGGCCGAAGUUUGAAAAUAUUUAGUCUCUGGUAGCUGAUGGCGAGUUGGAAAUGAGAAUCAUAUCGAAAUUUGGAAAAAUAGGUGGAUUCCAUGUCCUUCUUCUUUCAAAAUUAUAUCUCGUUUUGAUGCGCUACCAAAUGACUCCACUGUAGAUUGUUUAAUUGAUGAAAAUAGCAAGAAAUGGAAAUAUGAGCUGCUUCAAGAACUUUUCUGGCAAGACGAGAUCGAGCUGAUUAUGAGUUUUCCAUUGGAUGAUAGUCGAAAUCAAAAUAAGCUCAUCUAGCAUUACUCUAAAAAUGGCUCCUUCACAGUGAAAAGUGCCUACCAUCUUGUCAAAACACAAUUCACAAACUGGCAGGAUGUAGCUUCAAGAAGUAAUGGCUUUGUGGAUGAUAUUUGGCCUUGCUUGUGGAAAUUCUACAUACCAAGUAAAGUUAAAAUAUUCUUGUGGCGAAUUUGCAAAGGUGUUCUACCUACAACUUCCAAGUUGAAUAGCCAUGGAGUUUAUCAUGAUCCUACCUACUCUUUAUGUAAGACCCCUGUUGAAGAUGUUAAUCAUAUUUUCUUGUACUGUCCAGUAGCAAUUCAAGCUCGAGCCCUCAUCUUUGUUACACUGAAGAUAAGAUUAGACUCUGCUGAUCAAGUUUCGUCUUGGUUGCCUGGCCUUCUUCGUUUUUCGAAAAAGUCGGACAUGGAAUUGAUAGCCAUAAUUCUUUGGAAUCUAUGGCUUAAUCGAAAUGGUGCAUUACUUGAUGGUUCCUAUUGUGAUCCUCUUAGUUUGGUCUCUCUCUCUCUCUAUCAAUUUCUUACAGAAAUACCAUGAAGCAUACACAUCUCCAAACAUUCCAAUACGCUCUUCUACUACUCAACUUCAUUGGAAAAAACCCCUAUAGGUUUUCUAAAGGCCAACUUUGAUGGUGCAAUAUUCUAUGAAAACGACUACUCUGGAGUUGGAGUUGUUGUAAAGGAUGAAUGGCCAAUUUUGUUGUAGGUAUUUCUCACAAAAAUCUUAGGUAUCUUUUCUCCUAAGAUAAUUGAAGCCUAUGCUGCAAAAUCUGCAAUUUCCUCAUUAUGUAAGUUAAAGGUUCUCAAUAUUAUUUUAGAGGGUGACUCUUUGAAGAUCAUCAACAUGCUUAAAAAUAUGAAAUUUGAUGAUUCAGCUUAUGGGGUGCUAUUAGAUGAUAUCCUUUGACAGGUGUCGAGCCUGCGCAAUAAUAAAUACCUACUCGGAAAAAAUAUAAUUUUCUGUGUAUAGUAGUGAGUAGGGUUGAAUCCACAGAGAUUGGGGGGGGGGAUUUGCUUCUUUUCAAGUUCGGGACACGGGGGAAUUUUAUCGGAAUAAAAAUAAGAACAAUCAAGCAAUUCAACCAAGACAAACAAUUAACUAGUACGAACGUAGAUAGAAAUUAAAUCAAUAAUAGACAAACUCUAGCCAAGGAUACAACUACUCGGACACAGUCUAUUCAUCCAAUCAUUGAUGCAAGGGAGGUUCACUUAAUUUUAUUAACAUGUUAGUUAUAAUUGCCAACAAACUCUGACGGCCAACUUUUCCUUAAUUUAUUGAUAACCAAGGUACGACCGUUGAUUACCCCUAACCAGGAAACACUCCUAGGUACGACCGUAGGAAUUAAUUCCCUGAUUGCAUUAAAAACUAGAAAAACCUAACCCCACUAAUAACACGCUACAAGGGUUAUUUAAAUCAGAUUGUACGUUCCCCUAGUGUGUGAAAAUGCUAGUUGCCACUGAUAGUAACCGAUUAAAUAAUUACGGAUUUAAUUGAUUAAUUUGGCAGGAGAUUAGUAAGUCACAUUGAACAUCGGGCCCUUGAUAUCCAAUUAGCAAAAUAAUCCCAUGGAAAUUCAAAUAGAAACAGUGCAAAUAUUAACAAAUUAAAGAAUAUACGAAAACUAAUUCGAUCUCACAGAUAUUCGGGACUGCGUCGUCUCGUUGAUUCUUAACUAGAUGGAAAACUUAGCCACGCCUCAUGAGACAAUUUCCACACAAUUUAAUUGAUUUCGAAGGCAUCAUCUUUUUCACUAAUAGUCUCCAAGAAUAAUAAUACUGUGUUCCAGCGGUCUCAAUAGAAGGAAACAAAAGAAAAACAUAAAAUAAAGAAAAAGCAAGGAUGGGACAAAGCCCAAAAGAUCCAGCUGUUUUUCAUAAGAAGAAUUCCUCCUUUUAAACAAGAAAACCUCCGACCCCUUGUUUCCUAAUUUCUAUGGACUAAUUGCAAAGAGUCCUAUUUCUUUUUGGUUUCCUCUGCCAAUGCAACAAAUGGCUAUCAAAAUAGGAAACCUUUGUCCUCCAAUUGGAAUUGGCUUGUAACUCUUUGCGUAUUUGCACAUCUCAUUCUUCACUUUUCAGGAUUUUGUACUCUACCCCUGCAACUAUGUCCAAAUGCCAAUUAUAAGUAGAAUCUAACAAUUAACAAAAUAUUUGGCGCAAAUAAUGAGGAAAAUUAAUCAGAAAAUGACUAACAAUUAAUACCCUAUCAAUCUUUCCACACCUAAAUCAUGCUUGUCCUCAAGCAUGGGAACAACUAAACUCAAACAAUGGGUUGCUCUCACGUCAUCUAUUGCCAAACUGUGCUUACACCAAAAUCAAGAUUAAGUGGCUAAGUGUCAAGACAUAGUCCUCCCGAUUAGCUCCUGAAAUCACAAACUCAUCUAAUUCAUGGCUAACUCAUCUAGGAAAUCAAAAUAUUAAACUAGCAACAGUCAGCAAUUGGUUCAACUGGCAACCAAAAUCUUAACAUUGAAGAACAAGGAUCGGUAGGCCAACAUGAUGAUAUGGUUACAUAUUUUUCACAUCUGUUUUUUUUUUCUCUUUUUUUUUUCUUUUUUUUUUUAAUGAAUAGAGGCUUAGUUCCAAGCCAUUCAAGUCUUUUGACGUGAAUUCUGACAUUUUUAGAUGAAAGACCCUAGUUACUCAACUUUUCACAACUUCAGGACUACCUACUCAUAGAUAUCAACACUUUUGACGCGAGAGUCGACGCUGGUGGUAAAGGCUUCCUGUUAUUGUGUGACGACACUAGCGGAGUAUAGCCAUUUGUUAUUCACAACAAAACACCAAAAUACCAGACAAUUAAAUAUCAUGGCUCACGUCAUCUCAUAAACAUGGAGAACUAAGGUCAACAGGGGACCAAUGCACACAACAGUGGCUAGCAAAAUAUUUACAUUGCCUAAACAAGUUAGCCACAAUUUGUACCAAGUCAUUAAACUUAAAAUAUUCACCAACACAACAUGCUCUUACUUGCCACCGAAACUAAAUUUAUAGAAUAAACUACAGCUUGCAAUAGAAGAGUGAGUCGCCAGGCAAUUGUUGAUCACCAGGAUAAGUAAUAAGAAAAAUAGAAAAUUAACGAGAUACCAGUCAAACCCCCCUAAACCUGAAUCACACAUUGCCCUCAAUGUAGAAAAUAAACAGAAGAAGCAAGAAGAAGGGCAACAGGGCUUCCCUGAAGUCACGGGGGUCGAGGCGGGGUCAUAGCGAUGGGUGAGGUGCAAAGGGAGAUGGAAAACCCGCGUGGUGCAUAAACACUGUCAAAUUCUGCAUAAACGCUGACAAAACUUGCCCACCCCAAAUCUCAACGAAUGUCUCCAUUAGGACAGUCAAUUACACAAUUUAGCCAACUGAAAUUAGCAAAUGUCCCAAGAAACUGACAAUUCUAGCAACAGCAGUUCAAAAUGUGGACAACAGCUUAAUCACAAGAUUUUUAGCUUUCAAUCAGGCAGCCAACCAAAUAGAAUCAAUAAAUGUAGUCAAAGUACCCCAACCAGUACCACUGGUGCACCCCACAGAUAAUGAAGCAACUCAAACGGUCAACCCAGUCAACAGAAUGCACAAAGUAGUCACCCAAGUUCUAGACAAAUAUCCCAACAAUACAGCAAUAUCAAUCAAUACUCACUGGUGGUUCCAAUUGAGUCAAAUGCAGGAACAAUGCAAUCCAAAAGCGCAACAAAUGCUCCAAAGACUUAGCAAUUGAAAUCAAUAGGCAGAAUACUUCCAGCAAGUCAAUUAGACGCAACCAACAGUAAUAAGCAAUGGAAAUGGCACAGCAGCCUUCCAAUUCAACAAGCAAACGCAAAAAUUACCCAACCAAAGGCACGUCAAUGGACUCAAGACAGAAAUAAGCAAAAUAGAACUCAAGUGAUACCAAAAAAGACCCCAACAAUGCAGUGAAUUCAACCAAUUUGAGCAAGUAAAAUACGGUCAGAAGUGCCUUCCAAAUAUCAACAGGGAGCGACAAAACGUGCCCACCCAAAAUCUCUCCAAAUGUCUCCAAUUGGACAAGAACAACUCAGUCACCGAUGCCCAGCAGUCAAUUAGGCAGCGAAUCACAUAGGAUUAAUGAAUUAUAUGCAAACUACUACAACAAGUACCACUGGUGCAUGCACAGAUAAUAGAAUAACCCAAACGGCCAACUCAAACCAUUGAGAAAUACAAACAACAUUAAAUAGUACCCCAAGAGCCCACUCAAUUGACAAUUACAUCAAACUAGGCAAAUCAUGUUCAGGACAUAACCCAACACACUGGUCCAGUAUCACAAAUGUAAGCGAACAAAUUUACGCUCUUGAAAUCACAAUCAUCUAGAUUCCAUCAAAAUCAAUAAAUCAAAAUAUCACAAUAAAUCAAAAUAUCAGAUACCAAAAAAUUAAGAAAGAAAAACCUGGCACUAGGGAGGCUAGGCUACCGACGGCGGCAAUGGGUUGUGCGUCGCGCAUGGUGGAGGUGGAUGGUCACGAGGAAGAGGCGGUGCGGGCUGGCGGUGCAAGAGGGAGAUUGUUGUUGCGGAGAGUGACGAGGGGAGAGUGAUGGCAGUCGCUCGUCUGCAGCAGGAGAAAGCAGCAUCACGCUGCUAUCGCGCAAGAGGGAGAGAGUUGCGAGGGAGGCGCGGCUGCUGAAGAAGAAGGCUGGCGGUGGCGUGCGCGGUUGAGCAGAUGGCUCGCGGUGGAGGGAGCCAAGGGCGGCGACUCUCGAUGGCGCGUCGACUGCGUCGCGUUGUGGUCGUCGCUAGUUAGAGCACUGAUGGUUGGCAUGGCCGUGCGUGUGAGGUGGCAGCGGCGUGGGUCAGCGUGCGCCAGGGUGGCGGUCGCGCGAUGGAGAUGGAGGUUUGUGGUGGUGGCGUGGGCAGGGGCGGCGGACAAAGAGAAAGAAAAGGGAAUUGGGAAAGAAGAAAGAAAGCAAAAGGGAAGAAGGAAAGAAAAAAAGACAAAAAGAAAGGAAGAAAAAGAAAAAAAUAGUUUUUUUAAAAUUUUUUUUAGAAUUGAAUUGAAAUUUUAAAAUUUGAAUUUUGAAUAAAAAAACUGAAGGUGAAAACGAAAAAUAUUUUUAUUUUUAAAUUUUUUUAAGAAAUUUUUUUCUUUUGUUUUUGGGUCAUUAAACACGGCGUGUGUACGCCAAGAUUGGAAAACGUCUACUGAUCUUGAGAGUCACUUUUUGCACUUUAACACGUGUCCUCCUCGCGUGGGCACGCCAAGAUUCCACUUCCUGCUGACGUCGCGAGAUAUUGAGAUCUUACCAACAUGGCGUGGGCACGCCAUGUUUUACAAACGUCCACUGAUCUUGAAUAUAUAAACUUGUAAGAUUAACGUGUACCCUCCUCACGUGGGCACGUUAAGUUUCCCUGUCCUGGCCACAGUUGAGAAAAACAUCAAGUGCAAUCAGUAUCCAAGUGAGAAACGACGAAUUGAAAGAAUUGAACAACAAAAAAUAACAAAACCAAUAUUUGGGUUGCCUCCCAAAAAGUACAUUUUUUUAUCGUCUUUGGCUAGACGUUAAACAACACUCUUUAAUUUGGAUGUAAUUCAAAUUUUCUUGUAAUCUGUGGCCUUUCUCCGGGAUCCAAAUAGCUAUUGAAUGCAAUCUUUUUCCUUAAUUUUCUACUCAUUUUCACCUCAUGAAUUGCUUUCAUCCCAUGAUACUUAUUCGCAGCAACUUUGAAUUUACCCCUACAAGCAAACUUAGAAAAUUCUUGCACAGAAAGAUUAGUAGCACGAAUAGUGAACACAGAGUGAGAGUUAAUAGGAUAUUUCAUUGUAUCAAAAAUAUUAAAGUGGACUGUUUCUCUAUCAAAUUUCAUUGUGAGAGUACCCUUACUAAUAUCAAUCUUAGUUUGGGCAGUACUUAAGAAUGGGUGAUGGAUUUGGGGCACUUUCAUCAUCCAUGUAAAGUACAUAAAAAUCAGUAGAAAAAAUUAAUCCAUCUACUUGCACUAAAACAUCCUCAACUACCCCAUCCGGAUAAGCAAAUGCACGAUCAGUCAAUUGAAUUAUUAUCUCUGUUUCUUUUAAAGAUCCUAAAUUUAGAGAAUCAUAAAUUGAUUUAGGCAUCACAUUAAUUGAAACCCCUAAAUCUAGCAUGGCAUUUUUAAUCUUAGAAUGUCCAAUCUUACAGGGAAUAGUAAACAUAUUUGGAUCUCCGCAUUUAGGUGGUAGUUUUCUUUGUAAAAUCGUUGAAACGUUCUCACCUACCACAAUAUGCUCAUCCCCCCUCAACUUCUUCUUGUUGAUGCACAAGUUUUUCAAGCAUUUAGCGUAUUUUGGCACUUGCUUGAUCGCGUCCAACAAAGGGAUAUUAAUUGCCAUUUUUCGAAACAUCACUAGAAUCUCCUUUUGCUUAUCUUGUUUUUUCGGUUUCUCCAACCUGUUAGGAAAAGGAGGUGGGUUAGUCUUAACUGUAAUGAAUGAGCCCGGGAGUAUCUUUAGAUCCUUAUUGUCUCUACCCUCUUCUUCAAGCUCUUUCUCAAUUCGUUCCUCGUCCUUUUCCUUAAAAAUCACGAGCUCGGAUCCUUGGAUUCUCUUUUCACUCCUCAAGGUCAUUGCGUUCACAUUAUUCAGGUUCAGUUCAGGUUGAGACGGCAAUUUUUCAUAAACUUGGGAUUCCAGGCGAUUGAUUGCUAUUGCCAUCUAACUCAUCUGAUUCUGUAUUACUUGCACCUGUCCCAAUUGAUUCCUCAUACUUUGUAGGUCAGAAUCCGUUUUUUGUUGAUUAGUAAUCAAUUGCUUCAUCAUCUCUUCUAUAGACAAACUUGAGUUUGAAGGGGGUGGUGGCGGGCGAACUUGAUAAUGUUGUUGAUACUCUUGCUGUCUAUUUUGUGCAAAAUUUGACUACGUAUUUUCUCCAUAGCUGAAGUUAGGGUGAUCUUUCCAACCUGAAUUGUACGUAUUCGAAUACGGGUCAUAUGGCUUUCUUGACGCGGGCACGUGACCGGCCAUGUUCACUUGCUCCGCACUUUCUUCUUGAAUCAUUAGGCACAUCUCUAUAGAAUGAUCCAUAUCAGUGCAAAUCCCACACACCUUGGCCUGUGAUGCAUUCCUUACAACCAGUUGGCUACCAAAAGAUGUUAACCCAGUCAACUGCUAUUGGAUAGAAGAUAUCUCUACCUCAUUCACCUUGCGUGUUGGGAUAUCUUCCCUCGUACCAAACUGCUACGAAUUCUCAGCCAUUCCUUCAAUUAACUCCCAUCCUUCUCGAGGGGUCUUGUUCACCAGUGCCCCUCCACUCGCAGUAUCAAUUAUACUUCUAUCUCUGAAGAGUAAGCCCUUAUAGAAAUAUUAAAUGAGCAGUUGCUCACUUAUCUGGUGCUGAGGGCAUUUGGUGCAUAACUUUUUGAACCUCUCCCAGUACUCAUAGAGAGACUUGCCUGGGUGUUGUUUGAUGCUGCAUAUUUCUUUCCUUAAGCUGGCGGCCCGAGACGCAGGAAAAUAUUUUUCUAGAAAUUUUUUCUUCAGUUAGUCCCACAUGAUGAUACUACCUGGUGGUAGGUAGUACAGCCAGUCCUUCGCGAAAUCCUUCAAAGAGAAGGGGAAUGCCCUCAUUUUUAUCUGUUUUUCUGUAAUUCUCGGGGGUUUCAUGCUGUUGCAAAUGACAUCAAACUCUUGCAAAUGCUUAUACGGCUCCUCACCUAAUAAACCAUGGAAAAAUGGUAAGAGAUGAAUUAGACCAGAUUUCAAGUCAAAUGGAGUGUUAUCAUUUAAAUGUGGAAAAGUAAUACACAAAAGUUGCCGAUUUAAAUCAGGAGCAGCCAAUUCUCUUAGUGUUCGUGCAUUAGCCAUAGCGGUUUUUUUUCGAUUCGAAUCACUCGAAGAAUCACUAAACAAAUCUAUUGGUUCAAAUUUUGGCUCAGGUCUCUAAGAUGCAGCACUGGAUUGCUUUUUUCUAAGUUGUCUGGUAUCUUUUCUUGUUCUACGCGCGGUCUUCUCUCUCUCGGGGUCAAAAAUUAUUUCACCUGUAAGAGGAAAAUGAGGCAUACACUCAGAAAGUACCAGAAAAUUAAAGCAAAAAUGAACUUAAAAAGAAACAAAUACUUAACGUCAGUCCCUGGCAACGGCGCCAAAAAUUGAUAGGUAUCGAGCCUGCGCAAUAAUAAAUACCUACUCAGCGAAUAUACAAUUUUUGUGUAUAGUAGUGAGUAGGGUCGAAUCCACAGAGAUUGGGGGAGAUUUACUUCUUUUCAAGUUCGGGACACGAAGGAUUUUUAUCAGAAUAAAAAUAAGAACAAUCAAGCAAUUCAACCAAGACAAACAAUUAACUAGUACGAACGUAGAUAGUAAUUAAAUCAAUAAUAGACAAACUCUAGCCAAGGAUACAACUAUUCGGACACAGUCCAUUCAUCAGAUCAUUGAUGCAAGGGAGGUUCACUUAAUUUUAUUAUCAGGUUAGUUAUAGUCGCCAACAAGCUCUGACAGCCAGUUUUUCCUUAAUUUAUUGAUAACCAAGGUAUAGUCGUUAAUUACCCCUAAUCAGAAAACACUCCUAGGUACGAACAUAGGAAUUAAUUCCCCAAUUGCAUUAAAAACUAGAAAAACCUAACCCCAAUAAUAACACAUUACGAGUGUUAUUUAAAUUAGAUUGCAUGUUCCCCUAGUGUGUGAAAAUGCUAGUUGCCACUAAUAGUAACCAAUUAAACAAUUACGAAUUUAAUUGAUUAAUUUGACAGGAGAUUAAUAAGUCACAUUGAACAUUGGGCCCUUGAUCCAAUUAAUAAAAUAAUCCCAUGAAAAUUCAAAUAGAAAACGUGCAAAUAUUAACAAAUUAAGGAACAUCUGAAAACUAAUUCGAUCUCACAGAUAUUCGGGACUGCAUCGUCGCGUUGAUUCUUGACUAGAUAGAAAACUUAGCCAUGCCUCAUGAGACAAUUUUCACGCAAUUCAAUUGAUUUCGAAGGCAUCAUCUUUUUCAGUAAUAAUCUCCAAGAAUAAUAAUACUAUGUUCUAGAGGUCUCAAUAGAAGGAAACGAAAGAAAAACAUAAAACUAAGAAAACGCAGGAAUGGGGCAAAGCCUAAAAGACCCAGCUGUUUUUCAUAAGAAGAAUUCCUCCUUUUAAACAAGAAAACCUCCGACCCCUUGUUUCCUAAUUUCCAGGGACUAAUUGCAAAGAGUCCUAUUUCUUUUUGGUUUCCUCUGCCAUUGCAAGAAACGGCUAUCAAAAUAGGAAACCUUUGUCCUCCAAUUGGAAUCGGCUUGCAACUCUUUCCGUGUUUGCACAUCUCAUUCUUCACUUUUCAGGAUUUUGUACUCUACCCCUGCAAUUAUGUCCAAAUGUCAAUUAUAAGUAGAAUCCAACAAUUAACAAAAUAUUUGGCGCAAAUAAUGAGAGAAAUCAAUCAGAAAAUGACUAACAAUUAACACCCUAUCAUCCUUAUUAGUUUACAAAAUUUUGUCACUUGGGAGGCUAAUUAGAGUCCUAAGAAUCUAUAUAUUUGCCUACUUAUUUAUUAGUUAGGAAUGUUAGAUCUAUUUCAAAUAUUUGUAGUUGGAGAUAUUCUCCAUCAUCUUUUUCUUUCUUCCACAAUUAUUGCGAAUCUAUCUUCACUUUAAUAAAAUUUUCCAAUUUUUUCUAUCAGAAAAACUUAACGUCGGGUUCUACCCUAUUGACAUGCUAUAAAGUGAUGUAUUUUUCAAAGGAUAAAAUUGUAUUCACCUAAUAGAACUUUUAAUAAAAGUGCUUAUUAAGUAAUUAAGUAUUUUUAAGUAUAUUGUUUGAAUACAUAGUUCAAUAAGCACUUAUUAUAUUCGAUAUGUGUAAUUUGAAUUUUUAAAAUAUAUUUAUCUCUUUAUUUAGUUCAUAAUAUAGGAUAAAAUGAUUAAAUUUAAUAUUUUAUUUUUAAAAAUACAAAAAAUAUUUUAAAAGCACUAAAUUUGAGCUUUUACUAAAAGUACUUUUAAUACCAAAAUCUCCGCUCCUGAAUUUUAUAAAUUGAUAUUCACCAAAUGCCUCAAAAUGUACCUUUAGCAUCCAAAAGCACUUUUUAACCAAAACCACCGCAACCUCAAACUGGCCCAAAAGAAGAAUCUUUUAAUCGGGCACACUUUAUUGUAUCCAUUUGCAUUAUUUGCUUUUGCUCUUGUAAGAACCAUCAAAGCGGAGCUGCAAGGGAAAUAAUACCUAGCAACUGAUGGAUUCCAAAGCAUUUGCUUCUUGUAUUCUCCUCCUUCUUCUGUUAAUUGCUCUAGUAAAUUACUUUGCCAUUAAUUGUUUUUUGUGAUAUAUAUGUCAUGGACUUGAUUCUCACUAUCCUACAACAAUAUACAACCUUUACAGGGAGCUUGUGAUAUUAUAACCAAGGAUAGUACUAAUGCAAUCAGGCUUCAGGGCAUAGAUGUUAAUAAUCGUCAUCGAAAUGAUAAGAGACAUGAUAUUGCUCACGGCCACGAAAAGAAUUCAAUGCAUGAUCCUUCUCAUUCCUCAUCCCACAUGAUGCAUCAAACGGAUCCAAGAACAACCGUGUUUUUCGUUUUAGAUGAUCUCAAGUCAGGCAAAAGAAUAAGUAUCUUUUUCCCCAACGGAAAUCCUAGUCCCCUAUCCUCUCCUUAUCUCUAGCCUAGAGAACAAGCCGAUGCUAUCCCCUUUUCAUUGGCAAAACUCCCACAAAUUCUUCAACACUUUUCAUUCCCUCAAGGAUCUCGCAAGGCCCAAGUGAUGGAACAUACACCCUGAGCAUAUGAGGCUAAGCCUAUGAAGGGAGAAUCAAGGCUUGUGCCACAUCCUAUGAGUCAUUGGUGGAUUUUGCGUGAAAGAUCUUGGGAUUGAAUACCAAUAUCGAAGUUUUAUCAACACAUCUCCUCACAAAAUCUAAUGUUGCUAGAUUACAAAACUAUACAAUCACAGAAGCUCCUCAAGGAAUUUCAACUCUAAAGGUGAUUGACUGUCACACAAUGCCAAUGGGAUGGGUGUAUGUUGCCCUGCCCCCCACCCCAUUUUAGGGUUGGGCGAAUUCUCCCCCGAUCCUGCCCCAUCCCCCACCCCAUUUCUAUCCCUACGGACACUCAUCCCCGUUGCCACCCUUAAUCUCAACAUAUCGCCCGCAGUAUCGAUGAAACGCAAAUUUUGAAGCAUCUAGUAUUCUAAAAAUUGUGAAAAAAUAUAAAAAAUAGAAAAAACUAUGCUAAACAAAAUAACAAAAAAAGGUUAAAAAAAUGAGUUCAUGAGCUACAUUUGUGAGAGGGUAAGGUCAAGAUUUUAUCCUCGAAUACUCCUCUAAACCUGAUAAAACUGAUUGCAAGUUUAACUUUAUUCUUCUAAUUUUAAGGGAAAAAAUUAAUUUAAGCUAAAAGCAUAACGUGCAUUUUAAUUAAUUAAAGUAGAAUAAACUUGCAAUCCUAGUCCCCUAUCCUCUCCUUAUCUCUAGCCUAGAGAACAAGCCGAUGCUAUCCCCUUUUCAUUGGCAAAACUCCCACAAAUUCUUCAACACUUUUCAUUCCCUCAAGGAUCUCGCAAGGCCCAAGUGAUGGAACAUACACCCUGAGCAUAUGAGGCUAAGCCUAUGAAGGGAGAAUCAAGGCUUGUGCCACAUCCUAUGAGUCAUUGGUGGAUUUUGCGUGAAAGAUCUUGGGAUUGAAUACCAAUAUCGAAGUUUUAUCAACACAUCUCCUCACAAAAUCUAAUGUUGCUAGAUUACAAAACUAUACAAUCACAGAAGCUCCUCAAGGAAUUUCAACUCUAAAGGUGAUUGACUGUCACACAAUGCCAAUGGGAUGGGUGUAUGUUGCCCUGCCCCCCACCCCAUUUUAGGGUUGGGGGAAUUCUCCCCCGAUCCUGCCCCAUCCCCCACCCCAUUUCUAUCCCUACGGACACUCAUCCCCGUUGCCACCCUUAAUCUCAACAUAUCGCCCGCAGUAUCGAUGAAACGCAAAUUUUGAAGCAUCUAGUAUUCUAAAAAUUGUGAAAAAAUAUUAAAAAUAGAAAAAACUAUGCUAAACAAAAUAACAAAAAAAGGUUAAAAAAAUGAGUUCAUGAGCUACAUUUGUGAGAGGGUAAGGUCAAGAUUUUAUCCUCGAAUACUCCUCUAAACCUGAUAAAACUGAUUGCAAGUUUAACUUUAUUCUUCUAAUUUUAAGGGAAAAAAUUAAUUUAAGCUAAAAGCAUAACGUGCAUUUUAAUUAAUUAAAGUAGAAUAAAACACCUAAACAUAGCAUGAUAAAUAGAAAAAACCAAUAAGAAUGAGAUAAUUAGUUCCAAAGCUUCUAUUGGAAAAGCCACGAAACAAUGAUUUCAGAUCCCUUUAUAUCAGUUCGAUAACAAUUAAAAGUAAUUAAGAGAAAAAUAAAAAAUGAAAGGAAAAUAUAAAAAUAAAAAUACAAUAAUUAAAUGCACCUAUGCCCUAUAUGGGUGACAUCAGUUCCAAAAGGAAAAAUAAAAUUAAUUACAGCUUAACUUGACAAAUGACAAACUAAUUAAACUAAUAGCCAACUAGUUAACUGCUAAGGACCUAGUUGAAAACAUUAAGGUAACGUUUUGGAGUCGAAUUAGAAAGUACAAAAAAUACAAAAAGUCGAAUUAGAAAGUACAAAAAGUCGGGGGCAGAAAUUAAAAGUGAAAGAAACUAAGGGGGCUAAUGCUGGAAUUUCAAACACUGAGUCAUCUUCCCCACGGGAAACUCCUGCGCGCUGCUGCACCCGUUCCUUCUUCACUGACGAAGUCGCCGGAAGCUGGAAAUCAUCAACUCUGGCCAGCAUUAGACCAGUCGGAAUUUUCCCUCUCUCCCUCAUGCACGAACACACAACACACACACGCUGAAAUUCUUACAAAAAGCGCAGCAAAAUAGGAAAGGGCAAAAAAGAAACAAAAGCUGGCAAAAAAAUUGGGGAUGAAUUAGUCGACUCGCUCGUUUCACUUGGUCUCAGAGACAAUUUGGUCUGAGUCAAUCGAGUUUUUCUCCGAGUUCUCAGUGAUUCUUUCAUCUCUAAUGUGACGUGAACAGUCACAGAGCGGAGUCCUCCGUUCCGUGACAACUCAGUCAAAUCGUCUCCGAUGCUCCCUAGUGUUUGAACCAUGGGCCUACUGCCUAAUACCGAGAACAAUAUCCUUUUUAGUCAAGUUCUUUAACAUUAUCCAAAAGAUGCAGUGGAAUUUCAGAAUAUCCCUUCCAAAUCUUGUCUGCUUUUCCUUCCCAUAGAUGCUGCAUAUGAGAAAUUCAUCGAGCAAUUUUGUAUUACGUCUCUCCCAUAUACCGAAUAGAUCGAAAGCUUAAGAAGUCAAAAACAUAUUUUUUGUUUUCAAGUGGAUGCUGAUCACGAAAUAUAAUGGCGAAGCCCAACUGACCAGGACUAUUCCAGGCUUUUUGCCAAAAUAAAGAAACAGGAAAAAAAAAAGAGAGAAACAAAGAUGCACUAAACACAAAUAAAAGUUUCACUGUACUAAAUCAACACAACAUUUAUUUAACAGAGGAAUUGUGUUACACUAGACAUUUUGACUCCAACACUAGGAAAAUAAGACCAACCACAUUUAUUCUUGAAAGAGCAGAAAUCCAAUCUCCAGCGAAUUGAAUUUCUCUCAUUUGGGGGCAACAUCACGACAAUGUUACAAAAGCAGCGAUACAGACCUUCACUUCACUUUGAGUCUUUCAUGUUUGGUAUAUCCUAAUUUUGCUUAGCAUCAUCUCUGAAUUCCUUGCGGUAGAGUAUUGAUCCACGGUUUGACUCGAAAUCUUUGAUAUGCAGUUUUCCCUCCUGAAAUUUAGCUUUGUCACCAUGGUAAAGGAGAAUGGAUUCGGGCUUUGACUCAAAAUCCUUUAUGAGUGGUUUCUCCUCCUCACUGCUGUGGUAAAGGAGUAUGGAUUCAGGCUUUGACUCGAAAUCUUUCAUAUAUGGUUUCUCCGCAUUAGAUUUAGCAUCAUCACCAUGGUAAAGGAGUAUGGAUUCAGGCUUUGACUCAAAAUCAUUCACAGGCGGUUUCUUCUCAUCAUUGCGGUAAAGAAGAAUGGAUUCAGGCUUUGACUCGAAAUCCUUCAUUUGUGGAUUCUCAUGGUUCGAAGACUCGGCCGAGACCAAGACGUCUCGGUUGAGUCGUCUCCGUCUCGGCCUAGCGCGAGACGAAACGUUUCCGAGAUACGUGACAGACCGAGACGUCAUCGUGAAGGGUUAAAACGGUCACGUCACACUGAGUCACUCCGAAUCAUCCCGAGUCAAUUUGAAUUUUUAUUAUUUUUACUAAUUUUUAAUUAUUUUUAAUUAUCAUAUUUUUUACAAUUUUUAGAAUAUUAAAUAUUUCAAAAAUUCACGUCUCGCCGAAACCGCGACCGAUAUGCCGAGAUCGAUGUGGAACGGUCCAAGCCACGACCGCGACUUUGAACCAUGGAUUGUCUUCCUUUGAGUUAGCAUCCUUGUGGUACAAGAGCAUGGAUUCAGGUUUUGACUCAAAAUCUUUCAUUUGUGGUUUCUCUUCCCUGGGGUUAACAUUGUGGCCAUGGUAAAGCAAUAUGGAUUCAGGCUUUGACUCGAAAUCUUUCCCUUGCAAUUUUUCCUUCUUUGAAAUUGUGUCAUCACCAUGGUAAAGGAGUAAGGAUUCAGACUUUGACCCGAAAUCUUUCAUUUGCGGUUUCUCCGCCUUUGAAUUAGCAUCAUCACCAUGGUAAAGAAGAAUAGAUCCAGGCUUUGAGUCGAAGUCUCCAAUAUGCGGUCUGUCCUCCUUCAAAUUGGCAUCAUCUGCGUGGUAAAGGAGUAUGGAUCCAGACUUUGACUCGAAUUCUUUCAAUGUAUUAGACCCAAGGUGCUCAUUUUGUUCAGUAAAAGCAUCAGGACUAACAGCAGGUCCCAAAAUGUCCCUGGGGUCCUUUCUUGCCUCCGUGAAGCAUGCAAGCUGCACAUUCCGGGCAAAUGACAUAAUUCAAGAAGCCAGCAUCAAUAUAUUAGGUAAAUAAAUACAUCGGCGGAGGUAGGCUGUACACCAAAUUAUGAGCCUUGUGGGGCUUGCUUGAGUAUCAUUCGAUGCAGGUGAAACUGGCAUAGCUUAAAAAGUUUUUUACGUUAAUUUAGGACCUUUAAUUUCUUGCUCCUCAACCUUACCCAUUAUACCAAACCUUCUUAGCCUACCUCUACCUGUAUAAUGGAAAUAUUGGAGAUGAAUUCCUCUAACUAAUAAAAGUAAAGUGUCGAAAGUCGAGUUACAGUGACAUUUAAGUUUCGUACAGCCCACAUUGGAAUGUUUGACAGGGAAGCUUUAUGACCAUAGAACUAGAAAGCCACCAAGUCAGCUUUGCUCUCCUUAAUCAGAAGAGUUUCCAAACCCUCGGCGGGGAUGGUUAGAGUUGAGGAUAAAUGUGUGAAAGCAAAGAAGUUUUCCAAGUGCAUAGCUUUAAUUGAGAGGAUCAUAAUAAUGAUGAGCAAUUAACGGAUUUAAGUGUGUCUAACAAGCAAAGAAUUAUCUCUUAUGAACUCGAAUAGAGCACUGAUGUUUGAGAAAUCUUACCAGGGCAAUUGAAAAGAACGCAACGAGGGCAAUGAUAGGGAUAUAAUUAUGCAUUUUAUUUGUGGUUAUUUGGUCUUAAUUUUGGCAGUUUAGUAUGCAAAGUAUUGGAUUUCUGCUCAUAAUUAGUAUUUGUGUUAAUUACAGGCAAUUAGUGUUGAAAGUGACAAAAGGGAGGCAAAAUCCAGAAGACUCUUGCUUCUAAGGCGUGCCCACGCCAGAUAACGCGGAGCUGCGUGAUAAGGACGAAGUAUGCGAUCCUACUCCUUGGAGGCUGCCGCAAUUCUUGGGAAGUGAUGGUAGCUACGUGGGAUCAGGAAGUUUUUCCAAAGAGGACUUUUGGCAACAAUCCAAUGAGGGAAUUAAGGAAAGAAUUCGUUUGAGAAACUAACUUCUUAUAUUGGCUAGGAAAAAGACGGCGGGCAGCACUACAAAUUGGGGGGGAUUGCAAUAGACUAGGGAAAUCUUUUCAUUCUUGUGUUUUUUUCCUUUUACUUCUCCACGCAAGCUUUAGACAAGCCGCCACACCCUUUUACUUCUUCAAAGACAAAAUUACUUGGAAGCUUGGAAUCGAAUAAUGAUUAUGCAGCAAGGCUAGUUCUUUUAUCUAGUUGAGAAAUAAAUCAAGGAUUGGAGCACCAUAACUGUGAGAUCGUUUUAAUUGUUUUAUUUUUAAUUUAUAUGUUCAUGGGUAUUUGAUUAUUCUAUAUUUUUCCUUGAGUUAUUAUUGUUUAGAUUUAUUGGAUAGUUAGGCCUGUUAUUCGAUUGUCUAAAUAAUUGAUAGCCAAUUAAGAUGUUGGCGCGUAGCCUUUAAACAUCUUGAUUAGUGGCAAACGAGACAACUUCACCGCCUCGCACGCGGUCUAAUUUGGAUCAUGGGAAUAAUUAAUCUAGCCUAAAUAAACCCGCAUGUGUGUUUGUCAUCUAGAAUUGGGUCUUUCUAAUUCCUAAUGCUGUGGCUACAUUAAAUCCUGUGAGCGUUUCUGGGGUUGUCUAGUCACAAGAGGGUAGUUUAUGAGCGCCUCUUGACUACCAUAAAAUUAAGGAAAGAUUGGUGGUUGGGCGCGUCGCUUGACCACUAUAACCAGUUUAUUCGUGAGUAUAUGAAUUGUUCCGUGUAUCUGUGAUCAGUUGUGUGCUUCGGUGCCAAGAUUAAUUCCUUGACUAGGUUGUUUUGAUUAAUUGUUAUUUGUGUAAUUUGGUUCCUGCUAUCUUACUCAACUUUAAAUUUCAAUUUUUAUUCCUUUUUAAUUAGUUGGUACUACUGCUAAAAAUCCCCCCCAUUUUCCUGUGUGAUUUGCCUACCUGUUCCCUGAGGAGACGACCCUACUCACCAGUAUAUUCAUUCAGUUUUGGUAGUAGGUCUAAUAUAAAUUUUAUUUUUGGUGGUUUGACACCCACCAGGCAACAGAUGAACGCAUCCUGUCUUUGAAGUUUGAACAGCUCAAAAUGAAACUUUGAUGGUGUAAAAACUCUUGGGGCUAAGGCUAUUUAUACAAGAGGAUGGCCAGGUGAAGCUAGCAAGACUAUAGCAUGGAUUAGAGAAGUUACUGCCCUCGUACACCAAUCCACAAAUUACCAACAACUAGUGUGAAUACCCGUGCUACGCACGGUACUUACAUUAUUAAAAAAAAAUUACAAUCUAUGGAAGAAUUUAAAAAUAGUAAAAUAUUAUAAUCACGGGCAUAUGAAAGUAUAUUUUAAAAAAUGAAACUUUGUAACAAUAGUUCAAUAUAUGAUAAAAACAUCUCCAUUAUUAUAAACGAUCAUUUCGAUGAAGGUUGGAUCCUGAAAAAAAAAUAGAAAUCUAUAUCAUAAAUUGAGCGACAUAUGGGUCCAAUUAAAUAUAAUUGAAUAUUUAAUUUGAUAAGUAAAUGAAAUACUUACAGACAUUUUGCCUUUGAUUUGAUAAUCUUCUACGAAAGUGUGAACAUUCUUCACACCAAUCAACCUUGAGUACGAACGCCAGUAUUGGGGGUUUAAUUAACUCUGUUGUUUUUUGUGGAGUUCGCACUAUGAAUGAGAAUGCACGAUUUUUGCAUGAAUUAAUGUGUUGGUCGAACAAUGCACCUCCAUUUUUCUGACAAUGAAAAGCAUACAUAGUUCAAAAUUAUCUUUUAUUUUAGACAGUUUGUAAAUAAUAUUGUGUAAAAAAAUAUACAUAUAAAUAAUGUAUACCUUUGUUUUUAAAUCUCUAAGAUAAGAAGCAUCACAACGAAACAUGAAUCGUGCAUGUCUGUCUUGAAGCGCGAGGUAUAGGCUACCACUGGAAUCUCUAACUUCUAUGUUAACAUUAUAUCUGUUAAGAAAAAACUGUGAUGGAUGAUGCAACAAAUUAUAUUAAAAUUCAAAAUAUCUGAAAAUAAUUACCUGACAAUAGUGUCGACUACGUCAUUACAAUAGAUACACACUAUUUUUGUAAAAUGAGAUUGACAUGGUUGGCCACAAUUUUUGCAUAACUCAUGGAACAUAUUGUCUAGGUUGAUACUUUGAAUGUAAGCAAGUAUCCGAAAAUAUUUAACCUAAAACCAUCCAAAGAAUGUAUAGAUUACAAUUAUUAAUUUGAAACUACAUGUAAAUACCUGUUCAUUACUUAAUUAUUUGAGAGGAUGUGUACCGUGGGGAUAACAGCAUAUUCGGAUAUCCAUAUUCUCUUAGCAUUUGAUAUCAACAAUGCUUGGGAUAUUGUAAAAUUGCACGACCGCAACCACGUCACUAAUUUCUGAGCACAUUUAUCAUUUUCAAACCUGCAUAUUUUUCAAAUACAUAUUCGUAAGGGUAUGAAAUAUUUUUAGUAAUUUAAUAUUUUGGUAUUUGUAAAACUUACCAACUGUGUAGGUAUUGAGCAAAAUCCAAGUAGUGAUUGAUAUACAAUUUGCUUGCUCGAAUAGUAUAGAGUGACGGUCCUGCACAAUAUGAUUUAUUUAUUGAUAAAGUAUAAAAUUUGAAUAAAAUAAAGUGAAAAUAAAUUGAAUUACCUUUAUAAUUUCUCACACAAAUACCACAGGCUAGCAAAACAUUAUUUUUUGUAACAGUUUGACGCAAGUGUUCACCAUCAUCAGUUGCAAAUUUAUCACACAAAGUCAACCGAACUACUGUCAAACUUCAUUUAGACAAUUUUGGUAAGUAUUUUAUCAAAAUUUGUAGAAUAUAAAAUAUUUUAAAGAUAUUAAAUCUAGUAACUAACCUUUUGUCAACUAAAAGUAUGUCACACUUAGUUUUGUCAUUGAUAGACGUUUGAUAGUGUGAACCAACGGAUACAACUAAACCAACUACAUCUGCAAAAGAUCAAAAAAUAGAAGUAAUACCAGUUCAAAUAUACAACUUAAACAGAAGUAUGGCUAAUUAUGAAUGAAAUACCUAUCAAUUGCACAUCAUUGUCCAUGUGCUAUUCUGUAUCUCUUAGUUUGACCAGAUUAAACUUGAAACGGGGUUUGGUUCCACAAUCAUCUAAAAUAUUCACUAUCUUCGUAUCGUUUCCAAACGAUAAUUGGUACUGAUGUGGUGCAAGCCGAUAUUGAAGAUCUGCAGGAAUUACAUAUAUAUUUUGAAACCAGUAUACCUUGCCUUCAUGGAGAUGAUCUGCGAAAAUGUUUAUCAUAUUACUGCCUCUUAUAACUCCUUGCAUGACAAAUUUCUGAUAGUUUUCAACAGAUUAGUAAAUAUUCAAUAUUCAAUAUAAUAAUUAACAUACACUCUUAAUUAUUACCUGAUCAUCUAUAAAAAGCAUCUUGAUACAUCCCGAACGUUAAAGCACUCCAUAUAUGGUCAUAUCUAUUAAUCGAAACAAUCUAACCUUUACAUUCCAUCCGUAUCCGCAAGGAUCCAGAUAGAGUAAAGGUGUAUAUCGAAUAUCUGUAAAUUAUUAUAAUAUAGCAUGAAGGUUAAUUAUUUAAGCGCUAUAUUUGAUACAGCAAGUAACACAAAUUCAAAGAAAUACCAAUAAAAUGCCAAAGUAUGAAGCAUAUAUAGUACAUAUGGUCUGAUGUAAAUAUACUAUUUUUGUAAACAAAGCGAUGUCCAGAAUUUAUCAAAGGGAGUCAAAAAUCUCACGAUACACAAUAUUUUUUGUGUAAUCCCAUGGAUCAUCAUCUCUAUUAACAAUGAGUAUUUUCAAUCCAUCUGGCGAAGUAGCACGGGACAGAGCAACAUAAAGUUGACCAUGUGAAAACACAGGUUCAGGAAGGUAAACGCCAACAUUUUUCAAGGUUUGGCCUUGACUUUUGUUGAUAGUCAUUGCAAAUGCCAAUUUCACAGGAAAUUGUCUCCUUUUAAUUGGAAAAUGAGUCUGUGUACUCUGUGGUGUUAAAGAGAUCCGAUAUUGUUCACCGUGCACUAUCUUCGUAUCCUUUUAAAUAUUUUGUAAUCUUUGUUGAUGAUUUUUCCAGAGUUACAUGGCUUUAUUUAAUGAAAAAUCGUUCAGAAUUAUAUUCCAUUUUUUGUGCAUUUGUUACAGAAAUAAAGAAUCAAUUUGGUGUGCCUGUACGUAUACUUCGCAGUGAUAAUGCGAAAGAAUAUUUUUCCACUCCUUUUGAUAUCUUUAUGACUAAGUCCGGUAUCCUUCAUCAAUCCUCUUGUCCUCACACUCCACAACAGAAUGGAGUUGCCGAAAGAAAAAUUGGACAUUUAAUUGAAGUUGCUCGGACACUUUUGUUGCACAUGAAUGUGCCCAAACAAUUUUGGAGUGAUGCAGUUCUAACUGCAUGUUAUUUAAUUAAUCGCAUGCCAUCCAAUAUUUUUGAAGGCCAAUUACCUCACUCCAUUCUUUUUCGUCAUGAAUCUGUGUUUAAAUUGCCUUCUCGUAUUUUUGGAUGUGUGUGCUUUGUUCAUCAUCUUGCUCCCGGAGUGGAUAAAUUAGAUUCUCGUGCUAUUAAGUGUAUUUUUUUAGGAUACACACGAGCGCAAAAAGGGUGCGAUCAUACCAGCACUAAUGCACCGGAUCCCAUCAGAACUCCGAAGUUAAGCGUGCUUGGGCGAGAGUAUUACUAGGAUGGGUGACCCCCUGGGAAGUCCUCGUGUUGAAGAACUUGAUUCAGCUUUGUCAAUGGUAUCAGAGCAAAAGUCCUAGGGUUAGGGUUAAACAUCUAGCAAAAGUUUUGGCCAUCGCGACUGUUCACGCGAUACUGUUCAUCGCGACUGUUCACGCGGGGGGGCUGUUCACUGUUCAUCGGUACUGUUCACGCAGCGCUGUUCGCUGUUCACGGCACUGUUCACGCGGCACUGUUCACUGUUCACGCACUGUUCAUCUCGAGUUUUGACCCUUCAUUUGGUUUGGAGUGCUAUUCGCUAUGUCUGAAAGUCUAUCAAAAGGUAUUGUGACGUCUACUAAUAUUAUGCCAAUGGUGAUGUCUCAAAUCACAAAUUGGAAGUUGAAUGACACUAAUUAUCAACAGUGGUCAAAAGCCGUUAAGAUUUAUCUGACAGGCUUAGGAAAGGAACGAUAUCUCACAGAUGACUCUCCUACGGAGGACAACAAGAAACUAAUGUGGAUUCAAGAGGAUGCCCAAAUUCUUGGAGCAAUAUGGAAUUCUAUGGAGCCACGAAUUGCCUACAUGUGUUCUCAUUGUGAGACAACAAAAGAAGUUUGGGAUUAUGUCCGGUUAUUAUACUGUAGUAAUCUUUCACGGAUGUAUGAUAUUUCUUUGGAGUAUUUUCAGUUGCAACAAGAUAACAAAACAGUAACUGAAUACUUUGCUGAUCUUAAGCGAGUAUCAGAAGAAUUAAAUGCCGUAAUGCCUCUCUCAAGUGAUAUUACAGUUAUGCAGAGGCAAAGAGAACAAAUGCUUGUGCUCAAAUUCUUGGCCGGUCUCAAGCCAGAAUUUGAACCAAUCAAAUCUCAAAUUUUAGCAGGUGAACAAUUACCAUCCUUUACAGAGGCGUAUGCUCGGGUCUUACGUUCUGCAUCUAAGGACACUGCACAGGGUGAUGGUGCUCUAAUUAAUGACAAAUCUGCUUUAGUUGCUAACAAUGGUCGGAUAGAGCAACUUAACUUGGGACGUGGCUCUCGUGGAGGAAGAAGUAGAGGAGGUCGUGGGGGUCAUGGAGGUCGAGGCACCCGUGAGUGUACUCAUUGUGGUUUGAAGAAUCACACUCAUGAUACUUGUUGGGAUUUACAUGGAAAACCACCUCGGUUUGCUAAUGCAGUUACCAUUGACCAAGCUGAAUCAAGUUCUUAAGUGAAAUUGCUGAAACCUUUCCUUCACCAACAGACAGCAGCCAAUUUGCAAAAUCCAUCAAUUGCUGACGCGUAUUUUCAGGAAGACGUAAAUUCAUUACACGCAUAUUUAUUUUAAGAUGCAGAACUCUACAGUGAUCCCAAAUCAUUGACUCUUUUAUUGUAGCUGAUACUGUUGCUUCUCUCCUACCUUUAGAAACAAUCGGUAAUAUUUGUCGAAAAUCACCGCCCAAAACAACCAAUUUUCCUCCGAAAAUACGAUCCUCAGAAGCAUUUUCACUCAACUUUAAGAUAUCCUUUAAAGUUCUAUCCACCGCUUCAAAAUCAUGCCGAUGUGCCAUUGGAGUUUCGUCCCAAAUUAUCAAAGAUGUCUCCCUAAUUAAUUUAGCCAAGUCAGAAUUUGUAUUGAUUGAACAACUUGAUGACUCAUCCAAAUUAAUAGGAAUUUUGAAACGUGAAUGCGCUGUUCUUCCACCCGGUAAGAGUAUUGCAGCAAUGCCUGAUGAUGCAACUGAAAGAACAAUUUUUCUCUGCGAUCUGACUCGAGCAAUCAAUGUUCUCCAUAAAUAAGUUUUACCCGUUCCACCACUUCCAUACACAAAAAAUAGUCCUCCGUGAUUAUGUGUGUAUGAUUCCAUAAUAAGCUCAUAUGCUUUCAAUUGAUCCUCAUUCAAACCAGCAUAUAAAUUAUCAAAUAAUUGCUGCUCCGAUGUAAAAUCGUAAUCGAGCUCUUCUCUUAUAAGUCUGUUCAUGGAAAACUGAGCAUUUUCAAAUGACGGCAAUGGCAUUGGAGGAAAAUCUCGUAAAGAUCGACCAUUUUUGUUCAAAAUGAGUUCGAGUUCAAUUAAUCCCAAAUUUUGUAACUCACCAUCAUCUAUGCGUAUCUGAGAGUUUCCCAUAUCCCUUCUGAUCUGAUAUUGCAAAUCAUCUGUCAUACUUUUCCAGUGACGCUGCCAUAUAGCAUAAGGGUUAGUUACCUCAGAAUGCAUAAGUAUUGUACAAUACAUGCUGCGUAAUUUUCUGGCAGAUGCCCAUGUAGAUGCUUCAGCCAAAGCUUCAUUCCACUCAUUAUCAUCAUCCAGAAGACCAAGUGCUGCACAUGCAGCUUUGAAUGUUGGAUGCACAACUCCAUCAAUAGUUCUCAAAUGUUCAAAACUUUAUGCACCACGAAUUUUAUUCAGUAACAUUCUCAAAUAGUAUCGCUCACCGGAAUGAGGAUGUGCAUAUGGUAGCCUUCCGAUACACCUACCUUGCAAUCUGGACUCCCAUUGACGUUUAUUUUGCUUCCAAGUCCACUUACUCGGAAACUCCACAAACGUCAAGUUUCUAGCUGGAACAUGGCUCUGAUUUAUUUCAAACCAUUUCGUCAGCAUCGUGUCAUGUAUGUGAUCAUGAUCAAGAACGUCAUAAAGAUGAUUAUCAUCAUUAAAUAUCACAAAUUGAUGAUCAGGAAGAUGAUACUGCAAUCUAAUCACGGAUGGAUACUGCCUCUGCAUUUCGAAAUCAAAUAUCUUCCACCAUGACUCAAUUAGCGAUAAAUAUCGACAAUCUAAGUACUGUUUAAUCUCAUCAACGCUUCUCUAACGACGAUGACCACUUUCAUUUGCAAGUACAACGUUAUUCUCAAUCUGAACAUUUGCUCUAUCAACCCCCUUACUCAUGUACUUGUACAGAUAUUUAGUGAUUUCUGGACGUGCAACUUUGGUCACAUUAAUAUGACCAUCAAAUAUCACAAUCAAAUCUCGAUUGUAAGAAACAACCCAUCUGUUGUCAAAUGUAAAACCAUUAAUAGUUACCCUCUUACUUGGAUCAUCUCUACGUUUGUAUGAUACAAAUCCAUCUUCAUCGAUAGUGGUUUCACUACAAAAUCUCUUUGGAUAGUGUUUAGAGCACUUUCCGUUCACCAUACACGGAGCAUUUGGAUAAGCAUUACCACAGGGUCCGUGUAACAUGCACCUGAUGACCGUAUCAUAAGCUAGUGGAUCAGCAUUUUUGUCAGGUAUUUCGGCACAAAUGAUUUCAUCAAUAUGCUCUGUAGUAAGGGGCUUAUCUUCCGGAGCUAAUGUCAGAGUGAUAUGAGUAUGUGGUAAACCACGUUUUUGGAAUUCAAUGACAGAGAUGUCUGCAUAUUAUGGAAGUAAUCUUAGUGUGUGGCAGAAUAGGGAAUCAAAAAAGAAAAUAAUGAUUUGAAUAAAGUAAAAUUUUUACCUGCAAGCACUUUUCCAAAUAGUUGAGUAUUUUUUAAAACAUCCAUCAACUUUUUUUGUCUUAUCCGAAAAACUCGAGCCGUAAUAUCGGGUCUGUCCUCAACUUUCUGUCCCGAUAUUCUUGUCAACUCUUGUUUAAUUUUUGGUCAACUGGGAUUGCAAGUAAACGUAAUGAAAAGAUCUGGAUUUCCAAUUGUCCUACAGAUUGCCAUUGCGUCCUGAAAAUGUUGUAUCAUAUUUCGGGAUCCACCCGAAAACGAAGAUGGUAGAACAAAUCUCCUUCCAACAGCUGAUGCAUCUGUAUCUCCAGCAAGUACAGCAUCUGCUAAACCUUGAUAUACAUCAGCACAUAAUAGAGAUUGAUGGCUUUUCAUAAAAUUCAAUCUGUAGUGCUCAAUAGCUGCAUAACAAUCAACAAUGAAUUGUUGAAAUAGUUUGGCACCUUUCAAAAGUGUGUGGCCUUCAUUUUGUCGAAAUUGUAUACGAUACGCAUAGAAUUCACGCAUCGACACAAAUUCUCUCUUCCUAAUGGCAGAGGGUGAAAAUCUUAUUGUGCAAUGCCAUCCGUCUGUUCCAUAUGGAAAUAGUAAAGGGUAUUGAAGUGGCAUGUAUGAUGGAUGUGUCUCACUGAUUCUUUUCAAAUUUCCAUCUCGAGUGACAAGCACAAUAUCGCGGUGUGUGACAUGACCAGUAUCUUCACCGACAAUCAAAGCAGCAACUUUAUUUGCAGUUGGUUGGAUAUAUUGUCUGUCACCUCGAGCACUAAUUAUUUGUACUUGCAGAUUGGCAACAUUUUGAUUUCGAAGCAUGUCUCUUGCACUUCGAAAAACUUGUACGUAUGGAUUUAUUUCGUCUAGCAUAUUUUUCAAUCCUUCAACUAUUGAUGCAUCAAUUCCAAUUGGAUUGCCAUCAUGACUGUUCAGAAGAUUCAUACGAUUUUGCAACUCAUUAUCAGUGUCAUGGAUGUAUAAUUGUAUGAAUUUACCUAAUGCUCCAAAAGGUGGCAAAAGCGAUCCGAUUAGAUGAUAAUUUUCUCCACUAAUUCGAAAUGAAUAUGGUCCGGCAGAAUUGACUAUAGAAUGAUCUACUUUGCCUCCCAUGGAUGUAAACCCGAAUAGUGCAUUUAGCAAUCGAAUCUUCUCUUUCAGUGUUGGAGUGGUAAAUACAUGUUGUAAAACUUGGGGAGUUUGAGGCAAUAACGGCAAAACAACAUCGCCAUCUUGACAACAUAAAUUGAAUCUUGGAUUUUGUUUUGUACUACUUUGAAUUCUUUCUUCCACCCACAUUAGAGAUUGACAUUUCUGACAGAUUACUGUUCCUGGACCAAAUGUCCAUCUUCUUGUAAUUCGACGUCGUCGUCGCCUUCGGCCUAUUUGAUCUAAUUGAUUGAUGAAAUAAGUAUAAUAAGGUACAUACCUAAAACUGUCACUAUAUGUAAGGUAUAAAGCACAUAAUAUUUGUUUGCCCAAGAACAUAUAGCAAGAAAUAUUAAUUAUGAAAAAUUGAAUGCACAUGAUAUUUGUAUGCCCAAGAACAUAUAGCAAGAAAUAUGAAUUAUGAAAAAUUGAGAAAAGUAUAAAGCACAUAAUAUUUGUAUGCCCAAGAACAUGUAGCAAGAAAUAUUAAUUAUGGUAUUAAUUAUGGUAACAUGAGAAAAGUAUAAAGCACAUAAUAAUUGUAUGCCCAAGAACAUACAGCAAGAAAUAUUAAUUAUGAAAAAUUGAGAAAAGUAUAAAGCACAUGAUAUUUGUAUGCCCAAUAACAUAUAGCAAGAAAUAUGAAUUAUGGAAAAUUGAGAAAAGUAUAAAGCACAUAAUAUUUGUAUGCCCAAGAACAUGUAGCAAGAAAUAUUAAUUAUGGUAUUAAUUAUGAAAAAUUGAGAAAAGUAUAAAGCACAUAAUAAUUGUAUGCCCAAGAACAUAUAGCAAGAAAUAUUAAUUAUGGUUACAUGAGAAAAAUAUUAGUAGAUUACCGAUUUGUUCUGCUCCAGCUGCGUUAAUAGGCACAAUGUCUUGUGUAGCAGGAACAAAUUCUUCAGGUGAGCCUGUUUGUAUAAUGGUUUUUUAGAAGACAAAUGGAAAAAAUGAAUUGGAAGAAAUUGAAUUGCAUAAAUAAUAAUUGAUUACUUAGUCAAGAUACAUGAGAAAACUUGGACUUACUAUCAUCAGGACCAUUAGCUGAUGAUGUUGGUGUAAUAGGAACUUCAGUAGUUGGUGAGUCAUUAUGCAAGUCAUCUAUCAUUAUGUAAUAUAGAAAGUUAAUAUAAUAAUGUAGCACGUUAAAAAAAUUAAUGAUUAAGCAUGAAUUUUAAAUUGUGCAUAAAUUUGGAGUUACCAUGAUCAUGGAGAAUUGGGGCUGCGGUCGAUGGAUGUUGAAGUUGAAAAGAUGUUGAAUAAUCAUUUGUUUGAUCUAAAAGUAUAUUAAAAUAAUUGUAUUAAAAGACGUAUUAAAUUAAGUUACAAUUAUUAAUGUAAAACUCAUAAAAAUGUAAUAAUAUAAUAUAUUAUAUGAAUAUUAUGAAUGAGCAUGAGUGGUCUGAUGUAAAACUUUAGCAAGAUCUGAUAAACAUAACAAUAUUUGUUAACACAAAUUACGUUGUGUGCAAAGAUUAGAAAAAUCGCAAAGAAGUAUUUUAGUUUGAAAAAAUAUUUUUUAAUUAAUGAAUGGUAAUAUGUGUAUUUAAUAGUAAGAUUUGAGAAAAUCCAUCCUUAAUUUGGUAAUGUUUCUGAUAGUAGUUGGUAAUAUUUUAUGUUUGAGACAUUAUUUAGUGGGUGAACUCGAUGUGAAAUGUGAAGCAUGAUUUCGACCAUAUGAGUUUUGAGUCACUAUAUUUUUUAUGAUAUGUAAUUAAACAUUUAGAAUAAUAAAAUAUAUUUUUUAUUAUGUUAAUUAUUGCCUCAAACAAAUUGUCAAUUUUGGUAGUAAAAAUGACAAUAUAUUUAUGUGAACCUUUGAUAUUAGAUAAGAUUGUAGUGAUCCUAUUCAUUAUGAUUGACCACUGCAUAUGCAAUAAUAGGUUUUAGUACUAUUUGUUAACAUGUAACAUAUUAACAAAGCCAUUGGGGAGCUUUCGGUGGCAUUUAUUAAAGUGCUUAUAAACAAUUGGUACUAUUUCCACAUUCUUAUAAACAAUGAAAACAACAAUAAUAUUAUAAUAUUCGGAAUAUUAUUAAUACUUAGAAGUACAAUAAUAAUCCCAAUAAUAUUCCCAAAUUUUAAAGAAUACAUAAUACCUAAAUUUCUAACUUGAUUCUUAUAAACAAUGAAAACAACAAUAAUAAUAUAAUAUUGGGAAUAUUAUUAAUAAUUGAAAUAACAAUGGAAACACCAAUAUUUAAAGAAUAAGUACCAUAACUUCUAGCUUGAUUCUUAUAAACAAUGGAAACAGCAAUAAUAUUAUAAUAUUGGGAAUAUUAUUAAUAAUUGCAAUUAUAAUGAAAAUGGCAAUAUAUAAAGAAUAGAUAAUACAAGCUUGAUUCUUAUAAACAAUGAAAACAAUAAUAAUAUUAUAAUAUUAGAAAUAUUAUUAAUAAUUGUAAGUAUAAUGAAAAUACCAAUAUUUAAAGAAUAAAUAGUGGCGAAACUUCUAACUUGAUUCUUAUAAACAAUGGAAACCAUCUAAUUCUGGUUUGUGCCCAUGCAUAGCACAAUCAAGAUGUGACAUGAAUUUUAAUUUUUUUUAGAACCUCAUUCCUAGGAUCCAUCGACUACAACACACACACAAGCUGUUGAGACAAUUUUGCGACUAAAUAUAUAACUAAGGUUCGAGUAUGUUGGGGGAUUCAUUUUAUUUGAUGCUUAACAAAUAUAGGAUUUUUUCCAGAGUUCGAAAUUUUUUUUAAAAAAAAAAUAUAUAUAUAUAUAUAUAUGUAAGAUUUUAUCCGGAGAGAGUUUAGACACGGCAUGAGUUGGUGCUUGCCACAGGCCACUUGACGAAAAUGAAGGCAAGAAGACAGGAAAUGGCACUAACCCAGCGUCGAUCACAGCCACGGGCCAAAUAGAGACAUGCAAUCAUAAUCAUACGUAGCCCUGAACUGUACAUUGUAGAUUACUAAUGAAACUUGGACAUAGUUGCAUGACUGUCAACCGAAUUCCCAGCUUUUAAGUUUUCAAGUAAUAUUGACUCUUUAUUACAUGGUGAAGCGUCCUUUCUUGCUCCAGGCACAAACGGGGUACUGCCAAUUGGUAGUUCUCUUAAUCUGCCAAUUGGCUCAAGUAUACUUUACUGGCUCAAUCCUACUCCAGUAAUAAUAUUAUAAUAUAGGAAAUUUUAUUAAUAAUCUAAAUUGAUUCUUAUAAACAAUGACAACAGUAAGAAUAUUAUAAUAUGGGGAAUAUUGUUAGGAAAUUUUAUUAAUAAUUUUAAUUAAAAUGAAAUUUCUAAAUUGAUUCUUUUUUUCUUUUUUUCUUUUUUUGUAAAAAGUAGGUUUUAUUCAACUUGAACCGUGCGGAAGCAUACAAAACCCAGUCCCGGGCAAAUUAAGCUAUAACAUAAGGAAUCCCAAGGCUAUCUGAACGUAGAAUACGCCGACUCCUAUGUGGAAGUAACUCUUCCUCGGUGUACACCAAAUCUUGGCCCAGCUGCAAAGACGCUAGAGAAUCUGCCACCAUAUUAGCUUGCCGAUAGACGUGGCAAAGAGACGCCCCCAAUUCUGUCAUUAAGCCUCGUAUCUUCCUCAGAACGUUACAUACCGGCCAGCGUGCCAAAGCUCCCGAAUUGACCAUCUGGACGAGCGCCCCAGAGCCGCUCUCAACCAUAAUGCCAGUCAAUUGGCUGUCUCGACAUAGGUCUAACCCAGUCAUCAAUGCCAGGGCAUCUGCGUGAACCACUCCAACCUCCCCAAACUCCUUGUAAAAUGCAAAGAUCACCGUGCCCUCGCUCGACCGGACCACGCCGCCACCGAAUGCCCCGGAUGUUCCGACACUGGCAGCUGUAUUCAAUUUCAGAUACGGCAUGGGGGGCUUGGCCCAUGCUACAAGGAGUGGCCGCUUCACCGCCCCCGUUCCAUGAGUCCCUCUAGCCCAAAUACAGUCCCCGUCGCCCCGAAAUGACUGCCCCAAAUUCCGUGCACGCCCUAGGAGUUCAAUGAAAUUGCCCACUUGCCAUAUAACCUGGUCCGCAUUCAUCCUCCCCCCCUCAAACCUAGCGUGGUUCCUCGCCUUCCAAAUAAACCACAGGGACGCAACCGGAACUAAUACCCGAACAUGGUUCUCGCUCACCAUCGGGUGGGACAGAAACCACGACAUCAGUACAGAGGAUAUCCCCUCUUCCCCCCCCCCCGCAACAGCCCGAACUGUUGACCAAAGUGACCCCAAACGGUAGCUGCCACUGGACCGAUCACAAAAAGAUGCUCCGCAGUUUCGCUCGCCCCUUCGCAGCAAGAACACCUCGACCCCAACUUUACGCCCUUUCGCUGCAACUGAACGUCUAAAGGAAUAUAAAUAAUGGAAACAGUAAUAAUAUAUAAUAUGGGGAAUAUUGUUAAUAAUGGUAACUACAAUGAAAAUCAUAAAUGUUUAAAGAAUAAAUAGUACCAAAACUUAUAAACAAUAGGAACAACAAUCAUAUUAUAAUAUUGGAAAUAUUAGUAAUAAUUGAAAUUAUAAUUGUAUUAAAAUACGUAUUAAAUUAAGUUACAAAUUUCUAGCUAAUUAUUCCUUCAGCCAAUGUUGGUAUAUAUUUCGAAGUUAACUAUAUAACCAUAUAACCCUGAUAGGUAACAGAACAGAACAUAACCAACAGUUGAUCAUCCCUUCAGCCAAAGUUUAUAUAUACGAAAAGAGUUUCCUGUCCACUGGACUCGCACAAUCAGAUCAUCAUUCACACCAUAAGCUGAAUAAGAUAAACAAACUUUAUAUACACAUCCAUUGUGGCCAUAUACUUCCAAAUCAGCCAUUGAACAUUACCUCAAAAGCAAGGAUCUUUAAAGUAAUUUAAAUUAAAUUAACAUCAGUAGUCAACAUGAUAGUCGAAUUAUUUUAAUUAUUUAAUUGAAAUUAUAAUAUUGGAAUAAUUGAAAUCAGAAGCCAGAAAUUGCAUUCACAGACAAUUAUAAUAGUGAAUGAGCAAACCAUACCACAAAAACUGAUGUGAUUCUGAGUUCAUUUUUGGCACUAAAACAGAAUCUUCGUGAUUCCCACCACCUACUUUCUAGUCCCCUAAAAGUCUCACCCCCUGGUACACUACACCAGGACAGAGGUCAUCUAUAUUGCUAAAGCAUCUAUAGCCAUCGAUCUUAGGUGCCAUUGUCCCAUAUGUUUUUGCAAGAUCUAUUUUUUGAAUCUAUUUCCCUUUUUUUUUUGCUAUUUCUCUCAAGCGUCAACAUUUUUGUCUUGCACGAUUCCAACUUUUUCACCGCAAAAUUACAGCAUAAUCCCGAUUUGAACAGCCCAAGGACAUGUAAUGCAGUAAGACACAAAAUCUGCCAAAAAAAAAAAACCCAAAACACAAAAAACGAACCUACCCGCUAGUAGUAAUCUCUUAAUGUCAACCUUCUGAACAUCUUAUUUCAAAGUAACGAAGAAACUCCACAGAUCACAACUCAUAAUUAAUAGUAGUAUUAUUUUUCGUGAUCAAAAUUGAUGGUACUACAAUAUGUUACCAUAUUAAGAGUUUGGGGUAAAGACUACAUAAGUCACAUCAUGAGCACAACUCAUGAUAUGAUCAGGUUUUCAAUAUUAAAAGAAUAUCAAUAUUAAAUGAAUAAAUAGUACCGAAACUUUUAAUUUGAUUGGCGCGGCGUUUGAGUUGAUGUAGUCGAGAUUUUAUCCAUCGUAGUUGAUGUGAGAUUUCUCUUUUCUCGGCGCAAAGUUGUUGGAACUGUUCCAAUUCUUGUGCGGGACCGUGGUGGCGUCCUUUUCGUUUCAUUAGCAGAUGUUUCCUCCGUUGCAAUCUUGCGAGUUUGAAAUUCAGGUGUUGAUGACAUGCCUGUAAACGGCCAUGUUCUAUUGUGAAGCUAAUUAGAGAGGUUCGAGAAGGAAGUUGAUUGAAAGGGUUUUUAAUUGAAAUGGAAAUGUGGGUGUGGAGUGAAAUUGUAAGAGUAAUUCCCAAAAGUAGUAAUUCCCAAAAGUAGUACCAAGUAUAUUCCGUGGCAGUUGGGAAGAAAUCAGGUGCAAUCCUCAAUUCCGUUGGAUCAGGGGCCAAGUACCAACUAUAUUGUAAGUGGGAAGAGUUUUAAUGUAAGUGGAAGUUAUUUUUUUGUUUGAGGGAACGUGGGAGUGUUAGAGUUUUAAUGUAAGUGGAAGUUACAUUUUUGUUUGAGAGAACGUGGGAGUUUUAGUUGGAAUUAACUUCUUAUUUGAGGGAAACGUGGGGAUGUAAUGGGCCCAUGAUAUUUUUUACGAAAUAAGAUAAAUGUAAAAUGCUAGGAAAAUAGAGUUGAGAGUGGGAAGGGUUGUGGAGGCUUGUUCCUGAAAAUCCCUUCUCAAAUUUAUAUAGAUAUAGAUUUUACAUUUUUACCGAAGGGCCAAAUUUUCCUAAAAUCAUACGUCAAUUUCAAAUAACAGUACAUUACUAGUGUUUUCAAGACUCAACUUAGUUCAUAGAGGUAUUCACCAUGUAAUGAUGAAUGAAAACUUUUCUACCCUCCCAUUUUGCACUUCCGCUUCAUAGAAGCUAUUCCAUGGAAAAUUUAAAAAAAAGAUUAAAAAAAUGACUAAAAAAAGACAUAACUGAGUGAAUAUUUUGAAAAUUUACAAGUUAUUAUUUUGGUAUAAAUGUGUAGCCCGAUUUUAUUCAAUUGCAUUAACAAAAGAAGUGGUGGUAAAGAAUCCUAAUAGAGAGGGUUUUAUCAUGACCAACGUUCAAUUUUUGUAUAGGUUCUCUAAAGUGUUUACAAACCGAUUUCGUUUUUGCUUGCUGGCUCAUGAAUUUUACAGUAAUGGAUAUUGAUUAAUCUGAAUAUUUUCUUUGAGAACUUUUUUGAAAUUCUCAAAACAAAAAUUCCCUUCCACGUAACAAAAAAAUAACCAAUUCACUGCAAUUUGAGAAAAAGAUACAAGAUAAUGAUUUGGACAGAAUAUAACUGUAACAAUAUGAACUUAAAUUCCAUGAUUUGAUUUUUCUUUCCUUUUCUUUUCCCAUGAAAUUUGAUGAUUUGAUUUUUCCUUCUUUUUCCUUUUCCCAUAUAAAAUUCGAUUGAAAAGGUUUGGCUUUUUUCAAAUCCUCCAAAUUACGAUAAAUAUGGUAUGUUAAAUUGUGCUUAACCAAGGUUAAGAUGCUGGUUAUAAGCAAAAGAAAUCCUGCACAUUGAAUUCAAAUUGAACACAUGUCAAAAUCGUAAUGCUAUAUCGAGGAGAACUAAAGAAAAUAAGUAACGAAAAGGAGCAGGAUCCGCUUGACAAUGACCCGUAUCCUAUCCUAUCAAAUCUUUCCGGUCCAAAAUUCAAAAAAAUUGAUUUAGGAUUUGAUAAGGUCUUGAAAUUUAUUUGGUGGCGUGUAAAUUAGCAUGUUCCGUCUUUUAAGUACAUAAUUUGUGAGACAACAGCGGAUUGAGACAGUUAGGGGACAGGUAAAAGCCUUUUAUAUGAUCGAAAAAGGAGGCAACCCGAUUCGAGCAAUUUUGCGACCGGACAGAGUUCGAGAACUGAUCCACCUUUUAAGAGGGGUCAAGGAACAGAUGGUCUCCGACCCGCAGGAACCCUAAACCAGGGUAAUUUUGGAAGAGAUCAAGUAAGGCAAGGGCCCCAAAAGAGUGUCCAACGUGGAGGGGCAAGUGUGGGCUUUAAACCGACCUGUGGUUUCUGUAGGUGCAAUCACACUAACGAUAAUUGUUGGAAGAAUAGUUCAGUACGAAAGUGCUUUAAAUGUGGUAGUACAGAGCAUCUGAUUGCCCAAUGCCCUAAGAUGCAAAAAGAGAGACUUAAACCGCCGACUGAAGGGACCACAGCUAAGCCGUCAAAUACCGGGGAAAAUCGACCCAAAGGACCAGUUAGAGUAUAUGCAAUGGGUCAACAAGAGGUGUUAGACCCUUCGGCAGCAUCGAAGGUACGCCCUUUCUUAUCGGCGCGCCGUAAGUGUUUAGUAGACCCUGACGACACGUAUUCUUGUAAACCCUGCAAUAAUGAUUUACGAAUAAAGGCAUCAAUUUCGAGGACGAAAUUAUUCUAAGUGAGGGAGGUUAUGAGACCCCGGUCAGUUCUUAACUUUGAUAUUCGGUUAUAUUCAUUAUUGGUAUGGUAACAUUAGGUUUUGGAACUAAUUCGAAAACCCUAAAUUGGGGUUAGUAUUGAAACCCUAAUUUUUGUAUUAAUUAUAAGUUCGAGUGGUGAUUAAAGCUAGUUAUGCUAGUGUGUGUUUUAGUACAGGUACGUAUAAGAUUUGAUCCAUUUUAGAUAGGUUAAGUGAGUUUAAAAGUUAGGAAAACCCUAAACUAGAAAAGUUCUAGUGAUAUGAUUUGUUAGAAUUCUAAAUUGGGUUUAAAACCCUAAUUUUGCCCUUGACAAAAAAGUUGUUAUUUAAUUACUUUUAUGUGAGAUAAAAUAUGCUUAAGUAUAGGUGAUUAAGAUAGGAAAGUGAUUAGUGAAGCAAUUAAGUAUAAUUAUAUGUUUUGGACUAGAUUAAGUUAUCAUUUAUGGAGUAAAUUGAAAGCUUUGCAAAUGUUUAAGGGCAAGAGUUGAUCAAAUGCAAAGUUGAAGGUGUAAGGGUUGAGAGCAAAAAUGAAGCUUUUGUGUGAUUGGUGGAAAUAGAAAUAUCUUCCAAGGCUUUGGCCAUCUUGUAUAUAUCAUAGGAUUUCCAUAAAAAACAAAACAAAACAAGAGAGAGCAAGAGAGAGGUGGAGCCGUGGAGAAGGAAGAGAAAAAACCAAGGGAAGUUUGCAAAGUUCAACCAAAUUUCUGUUAUUGAUCUUUAUCUUGAAGCAUAAAGAAUCCAUCUUGGAGUUGGGUUGAGUUCAUUAGUCAUCAUAUAACCUUCAUCUUGAGGUAAGAAAGUUCCUAUGCAAAGCUAAGUGUGGUUUAUGAUGCUUGGGAUAGUGGAAAUGAUGAUAAUGGUUGUUAGUUGUGAUUGAUUAUGGUGUCUCUUAUGUUUAUCACUUGAUUUUAUGGAUUAAUUUAGUGAAGAAUGAGACCUUGAGGUUCGGCCAUAUGAAUCCUAAUUAGGGUUUCACGCUAAACAUGUUGGUUAGCCUUAAUCUUGUGUUAUUGAACUUGUAGUGGUUGUGUUUGAUGAUUGAUUUCAUUGGGUUGGUGAGUGAAUGGUAAAAACUGAUUUGGGUUAAGAAACCCUAAGCUUCCUUAGGUUAGUUUAACUUGGCUAAUGUUUAGUGAGUUAGGGUUUGGUUAGAAGGUUGAUAGAUUAAGUUUAGUGAUGCAUAUAAAGUUAGGUUAGGGAUUAUGGUUAGUUUUAGAUAAUUUUGUAGUGACUUAGAGGGGAAGUUUCGGACCAUUUGUAGGUCAUUUAGAAGUUAGUAUAUGUGUGUUUAUUUGGUAUGAAUUUGGUUGAAAAUUAUGUAUAAGAACCAUAGAAAUGAACCAUGCAUUUGCGACAUUUGAAACCGGCAAAACGGGUAAAUAGGGCAGCCCAGCACCUGAACUUGAGCUCCGUUUUUCUUGAUACUACGUAUUGAUUCAGAAAUUUAUCAAAGCAUGAAAGUUGUAUCCUCUUAAGUUCUGAAUAUGUCCGCAAAAUUUCAGGUCAAACGGAUCAGUGUAACCUGAGUUAUAGCCAAAAUACUUGCACCUGUUUUGUACACUGGAUUGUGUUACGUUUUUGAAUUCUGCUUCUGACCAUGCUCUGUCCAUUUUGAUAACAUGCGAACUGGGUGUUGACCUCUUCAUAAGAAAUUUAGAUCUUGAUCUUAACUUCAAAACGGUAUAAAGUGCAUCCAAAUCCGAAUCCCGUAGCUUCAGUUAUGACCAAAACAAGAUCAGUUGUCAGAACUGCCUUCGAAUUUGGACAGUUCUGAUAGGGACGUUUGAACCCCUUUUUUCCCUUGCUCCGUAUUGAUUCACUUUUGGUCCAAACAUGAAAGUUGUAGCCUUAUGAAUGAGCUUUCUAAUGCCUUUGGAAUUUUUUGAUUUUGAUUUCUGAGUCGUGAGUUACUAUCUUUCAAACAGGGCCUGUUUGGUAACCGAAAUGAAAUGGCUGGAACUAUUUUAUGCAGUUUUGACCAAUAUCUAUUGGGAUCUGGGUUGAGAUGUCUAAAUAAAAGUUGUAGCCCUUCCUCGUAGCUUCAAAACGGUGUCUCACCCAUCUUGAUCCGACAUUUCUAACCUAACUUUUGAUCAAAACAGUUUGGGAUGGUAAAUCUAGCCGUUUCCGUUUCUGUUUCCGUGUCCGUCUCCAUUUCCGUGUGUCGUUUCCACACUUGCAUGUGCCAAUUUUGUCAUUUUACUUGAGUUAUGCAUGUUAGUGGCUAUUUGUGAUAUAUUGUGAUGCAAUCUUCUAUUUCAGACGGUGACGGGCUAGACGGUGCUGAUGGGGCCUACUAGCUGUAUACGUGACAUGAUCCUUGCAUUUUUUUUUACGUACCUUUGGAGUAAGUAUUCAGGCUGUUUAUGUGUAUAAACUGCUUAUGUGUUUUGAUGUGAACAAAAGGGGGACUUAGGCGAGAGUGUACUUUAUCACACUCGACCUAAACCCUAGUUUGUACUAUGUUUCCUCAUGAAAUGUGUAUACAUGAAUUAUUUUGGUACUGAACCCCUUGAGCUUGAAAUUCCGGGUGACUUUCGUGAAUUUGUGAAAUACGAUGAAGUUGUGGGCCCGAUCUCAAGACCUAGACGGACCAUUCGAGCCGGCUGGGGUUUGGUCGAAACUAGUCCAACCUAGUCUUGAGGUCACCAAGUUCGUAGGUUCCAGUGGUGAACUAAGUUUGUGACCCGAGCUUGUGACUCAAGCUCAAGUUUGUGAUUUCGUUCGCUCGAGCAAGUUUGCGAGGUGAUUGGCCAGUGAGAGUGAUAAGGUGUUAGGUGGGAGUACAAGUGGAGUUCUACGGACCUUAUAUGUGGUCGACGGAGUGUCGGCAGGAGGUCAUGCAUGACCAAUGACUUGGCUUUGGAGCCAACCUGUAUCCUUAAUUUGUGAUUGUUACUUGGUACCUUUGAUUUGACAUUUUUGUGAUAUAAUUGUUCAUCAAUGUGCAAUUUACGCUUUUACCCCUGUUUACUUGCUACGCUUCUAACUACCCCGUUUCCUUUGCUUUCCUUAACAGGGGACGACGUGGGAAACUUUUUGGCACAUUCACUAGUAUAAUUAGGUCGCUUGUAAUAGUUGGGCAAUUAAGAUGAUUCUUUGUGUUUUGGUGGUUUGUAUAAGGACCCUCCUUAGGGUUUACUUUCUGCUGGUUGUUAUCAUAAUGUAAUGUAGUGGUCUGAGUAGCUACUUUUGAGGAUGUAAAUGAAACUUUUUUUUUGGGAUUGAAUAUUUUGGGAAUAGUACUCUUUGGUUUAUCUUGUUUUGUUGUUUGAAAUUUUGAGUCCUGGCACAAGGUAGGCAGGAGUCCCGACGAUACUCUCGGAUUCGUCCUUGGAGAAGUGGGGCGUCACAUGCACCAAUUCUAACGAAUUUAAUUUUUCAGAUGGAGAAAAAUUUUGAAAUGCAACUCUGUGUUAUUUCCCAUAAAUGUAGUCAAUACAGGGUUUAAGUGCAUUAUCUCUAAUUUUAGGUAGGAGUUGUUUGCGAACAAGUGUCUGAAUCCCUUUUUCACUCAUGUGCCCAAGUCUCCUAUGCCAGAGGUCAAUUGAUGAAUCAUGAACUGCAUUCACUUCUCCCUUCCCCAACUUGGCUUGUAUCAAGUAGAGGAUACUCUGCUUCUUUCCUCUAGCAACAACGAGAUUUUCUUUGCUAAGUUUCCAUUUGCCUCCACCUUGCAAGUUAUGGUAACCCUCAUCGUCAAGUUUUCUUGUAGAGAUAAGAUUAAGUCAAAUAUCAGGGACAUGUCGAGCAUUUCUUAAUAUUAGCUAGCACCCGGUAUCUGUAUCCAAAUAUAUGUCUCCCAUGCAACAACUUUGCAUGAGACCUCAUUUUCCAUCCUGACAUAUCCAAAAUCUCCUUCGGUGUAGGUUGAGAAGAAAUGCCUGUGAGGAGUAAUAUGGUAGGAUGCACCCAAAUUAACUACCCAAUCACUGUGAUAAUGAAUAAUAUUCACUUGACCAUCAUCACAGAACACAAACACAUUAACAUGAGCUGCCACAACAGCUGUAGUUUUUUCAUCACCUUUUUCCUUCGCCUUACCCCUUUUUUUCAGCUUGUUCCAUUUUAGAAUUCUGCAUUUUUUCAUAUAAUGCCCAUUCUUCUUACAAUAAUAGCAUGCAAUAUUUUUUCUUGACUCCGACUUGCCUCUGGAUUUGUCAUUUCUAUUGUGGGGUUCUCUACUUUUGCUUUUCCCUCUUCUUUCUUUCUUUUCUGUCACCGGGCCUAAAACUUAUAGACAAUUUCUUGUUUUUUCCUCCUGAACUUUUCAUUCAUCACGGCCUCUUUUGCAAUAGCCAUGGUCAACAUACUAUUCGGACCUGAAUUACUAACGGAGACCACCAUGGUUUCCCAACUAUGCGGUAGUGAACUGAAUAAUAAUAAAGCCUGUACUUUGUCAUCCAAAUUCAAAUUUAAUGUAGUUACCUAGUUUAUCAAUCCCCAAAAAUUACUCAGGUGUUCAGUCGUAUCUUCCCCAUCUUUAUAUCUCAUUCGAGUAAUCUGUUUCAGACAACUAGCCUUAUUCAAACCGAUCUUCCGUUCAUACAUACUUUCAAGUUUUUUCUAUAAUACAUUAGCUCUGGUGUCAUUAGCAAAAUAUUAAAAAAUAUUUUGAUCAAUCCAUUUUCUAAUAUUACCAACGAUUUUCCUGUGCAUAACAGCCCAUUUUUUAUCAAUCAUAUCACUUGGUUUACCUUUAUCUCCUAGAACAGGUUCAAAUAAAUCUCUACAAUACAGGUAGUCUUCCAUUCUAGGCUUACAAAUCGAAUAAUUAGUAGCAUUCAAUUUUAUCAUGCAACCAUUGUCCGAAUCAUCCAUUAUUAACUAGUACAACUGAACAGCCCAACCUGACUGUUUUGAUACCAUUUGUUGGGAAAGGGGUACUGGUACAGGCACACAAUAUCAGAGUUAGCCUAGGAUAAAUUUCUCUUUUCUCAAGUACCAGUUAAAAUAGGAAUAAAUCAAAUCACCAAAUAAUAAUACCAACAGUGAUAAUAAAAUGCAAGAAAAAGAAAAAUAAAAGACACAUGACACCAAGAUUUUUUACGUGAAAAAUCCAACUGGAAAAAAUCACAGAAUCUAGUCCAAUCAGAAAUCUCCACUAUCACAAUAACGAAAAUACACAGGUCUACCCGAAAUAUUCGAGUGACAACAAUAUCACCAAUAGCAACCAAGCCAAUCUACUACAAAAUCACUCCCCAAAAUUACAACUGUCAAAGAAGUAGGUUUCAAAAGUGUUACCAAACGAAGAGAAAAUCCAAAAUCUGAACCGGUAGAUGAGUAGAGCCUGACGAGAGGAUCACAUGGGUAAAAUUUCGUCUCAAUCGUUCCAAAUUACCCUCCAAUCAAGAUCUUGAAGUUUCUCUCUCUAGCUCUUUCUCUCUCUUCAUUUUUUCUCUCAACCAACAAAAGAUGGUGGCUGACUUUUUUCUCUUGCACCAGGACCGAAGAAUAAUUGCCUUAUGCGGCUACUUAAUGUUCCGUCACAUGAAGCCCUCAAAUCUUAGUGACUUGUGUUUUGGGUUGGCCCACAAAUGGGUUGGUCCACACAGGUCCAACAAAAGGGAAGUUUUAUGACCAUAGAACUAGAGAGCCACCAAGUCAGCUUUGCUCUCCUUAAUCAGAAGAUUUUCCAAUCCCUCCGGCGCGGGAGGGAGGGAUGGUAGGAGUUGAGGAUAAUGUGUGACAGCGAAGAAGAAGGUAUUUUUUCAAGUACAUAGCUUUAAUUGUGAGGAUCAUAAUAAUGCUGAGCAAUUAACGGAUUUAAGUGUGUCUAACAAUCAAAGAAUUAUCUCUUAUGAACUCAAAUAGAGUACUGAUGUUUGAGAAAUCUUACAAGGGCAAUUGAAAAGAACACAACGAGAGCAACAGAUGAACGCAUCCUAUCUUUGAAGUUUGAACAGCUCAAAAUGAAACUUUGAUGGUUUAAGAGCUCUUGGGGCUACGGCUAUUUAUACAAGAGCAUAGCCAAGUGAAGCUAGCAAGACUAUAGCAUGGAUCACGUGGCUGGUUGGUUCGAUUUGAGAAGUUGCUGCCUUCAUACACCAAUCCACAAAUUACCAAAAAUUUUGGAUUUUUACUAAAGGGCCAAAAUUUCUUAAAAUCAUCCGUCGAUUUCAAAUAUAGUACAUUGUUAGUGUUUUCAAGACUCAAUCUAUUUCAUAGAGAUAUUCACAUUGUAAUAAUUGAUGAAUAAAAUCUGUCACUAUUUUGAAAAUUUACAAGUCAUUAUUUUGGUAUAAAUGCAUAGCCCCAUUUCAUUCAAUCACAUUAACAGAAGAAGUGGUGAUAAAGAACCUAAUAAAGAUGGUUUUAUCAUGACCAACGUUCAAUUUUCGUACAAGUUAUCUAAUGUGUUUGCAAAUCAUUUUCUUUUUUGCUUGUUGGGUCAUGAAAUUUUUACUGGAGGCACAGUUCUCUCUAACGCUACUACUCAUCAAAACACAAAUUUAGGUAUCAAAACACUACCUGUUAAGGGAGAAUGUGUUCAUUGCCAAAAAAUUCUAGCUUCAGGAUAAAAAUUGGCUUUAGGUGUUUUUAAUAGCAUCUCUUUGGAAUUUAGCACCAUUAGAUACCCAUAAUUGACAAUCUAGACAAUUGAAAUGUCAUCUGGGAGUUUAUGUUCAUCUCAUUGAUUUGAAGCAUAUAAUUGGUUGCCUCACAUUACGUGAUUGAUUAAUAUGGUUUUAACGAGUAUUUUGAAAUUUGAACCAAACUGGUUGGUUCAAUUGCUUGAACCAGGAAAAAAAAACAAUUUUUUACUUCUUUUUUGUUGCAUUUUCUCUUUCGAUUUUAUGAUCUUUUAAGUUUUCAUAAAUUUUUUUGCCUUGACUCUGAUACUAAAAUCUUUCACCAUAAUAAUUCUUUUUGAGCUGUGGAUAAUUUUUACAAUAAUAAAUGCUUUCAUAAAUUUCUUUCGAAUUUGAUCAUUACAAUCUUAAUUUUUAUAUUUUGUCAAAUAAAACUUAUGGAUUCAAUUCUAAACCAUCAUUUUUUAUUUUAAAUUUUAAAUGUUAUAAUACUAUUUUAUGUGACAUAUAAUUCAUCCAUAUUUAUUGUGAGAACUUGAGAAUUUAGAAGUAUUCUAGAAUGGUGUAAAAAAAAUUAAAAUUAAAAGAAUGAAAUAACAUAUUGUACGUAUAUUGUAAUUUGUGUGAUUUGAAUAUAUUAUAGUUGAAUAAAUUACAUGUUUAGUUAAUUUCUUAUAGAAUCAAAUGUGUGAGAAUCUACAAGAUUAAGGAAAUACAAAUAAGGUUGGGAGUUAACGAGUGAAUUAAUAAAAAAUGCAGCCUUAGUAAACAAAUGAACUAAUGUUAAAUGACCUAGCUAAUCUUUCAUCUUAACUAAUUUACCAUUCAACCAGCUAACUAUCAGAAUAUUAGAAGCAAGAGUUAAGUGGAGGAACUUGGGAAUUAUCGUCCACCGAAUGAAGAGGAUUUGGGUGAUCAGCCGAGAGAAAGUGAGGAAGGCUUCAUUCUCUUGCUCCACUUCAGACCAACCGAGAGAGUAGAGAGAGAGCUCUGCAUUUUCCUAGGCAACUAACUGCUAAAUUCCAAGCGGUGGCUGAGGAAUCAAAUAGAAGGUUGCUUGCAAAGUCCAAGCAGUGACCGACCGAAAACAAGGAGAAGCUAUCUGCCAAUAUCUUUGGGCGGUGGCCGAGAGGAAAACAAAAACUUCAAUUCCUUUCCUUUUCAACCCAACACCGAGAGUAAAACUAAGAGAGUGGGAGAGAAAGGUUAGCUAGCUUCAUCACCAACUAACCAAAAACAAGAAGGAGUACAGCGAGGAAAGCAGGAGAAGCUCGAGCUAGGACCUUGAGGAACCGAAUCAGGGAGAGCUAGAGCAGUCAGCAAUUUCAGAUUCUAAGGAAAGAAAAAAAAAGGUAAAAUUUUAUGAACCUCCUGCUUAUUUAGUGUAAUUGAAUGUUUAAGCUGUGUAUAAACUUUAGCUAGGAAAAAAUGAGUUCUUGGUUGGAAAAAGAAACUUUGUGCAGAACCGAAUGGCAGCUGGAAUUACUUCCGGGCAUCCCACCAUGAAGUACUCCUUCAACCUUCUUCGUAAGUGCUGCUAUACUGAUCUUCUACUGAAUUUUAUCAAGUAACAAAAGCACUUAGAAUUCCUUUCAUACAUUUUCUUAUUUUCAACCUUUGAUUAUUGGCAAAAAAUUUUGGGCUUUAUAUUCGGCCAAAUUUCAAGAAACAUGUGAGCUAAAAUCAUGCCUUCCACAUGUUUGAGAAAAUGUCUUAGUUAAAUUUGUUUUUUAAAAAAAAGAUUUCUUAUAGUUUUAAAAAAUAGGAACAGCUUCGUUUGCGUCUUGUGCGUCGCUGGUAGGUUGUCUUCCACGACCAUGUCUGCCCUCUAGCUGCCUGCUGGGAGGCGUCCCUCUCCUUCUCAAACCUUUGAAUGCAAAUCCUUUGCUGCUUUAUUCUCAGCCGGUUCUUCACAACCGACUCUGACCAUUCAUAUAUCGCCUGCGACCCAUAAGAGGGAACCAGCUCUCAUGUUUUCACAGAAGGAUCUUAAUCGGCUAGCCACUCCUUACAAGUAUGCCCUAGUGGGGAAAUUCUCUAGGGAAAGACCAAAAAUGGAGAAGAUACGCAGGUUCUUCCUCCAUUAGAUUUACGAGAAGUUGCUUCGGUGGGUUUGCUUGACUUACGACAUGUCUUCAUAAAGCUGGGGAAUGAAGUUGAUUUUCAUAGACUCUGGGCCAGAAGCACCUGAUAUGUCCAUGGCUCUCCGAUGAGAGUCUUCAAGUGGUCGUCGGCGUUCCAUGUGGAUAAGGAACCGUCUAUCGCCCCCAUUUGGUUCCAGUUCCAAAAACUGCACCGCAGUGCACUAGUUCAAUAAGGAGGUUCUCUUUCAGAUCAUCUCAACACUGGGUAAUCCGCUAUUGAUGGAUGCGGCAACGUCAGAGACGACUUGUCCAAGUUGUACGAGAGUCUGUGUGGAGGUUGACCUGCUCAAGCCUCGGCCAUCACAUAUAUGGAUUGGAAACGGCGAAAACGAUGGGUUUUGGCAGUGCUUCAUUCUUGAAAAUCUCCCUCUAUACUGCUCCCAUUGUUUUCGUUGGGACAUGGAGUGGAGGGGUGCUAUGUCUUGCACGCAGACCUCCGGGUAUCUAAAACGGAGGGUGAGAAAGCUGGGAAGUUUCGCCUGCAGCCAAAGGAGGUGCGCCAACGCAAGGAGACUACCCAGGAUGAAGUGGGUGGGCAUUUGGCCAUAGUGGUCGCACCGCUGCCCGUGACAGUAGCUCCAGUGGAGGAGUCUUUCGCUACGGUAGUGGAUACCAGUUUGUGGCUGGUGCGCAGGCGGAGGGAAAAUGGUGCCACGGGCAUCACAGGUGGGAGAAGUAGACCUAGUAGAGGGAAAGGCAGGCGGGGUAGCGAGAGUUUGGGUAGGGAGAGGGAGGAACAUGAGUGUGUGACUACGCAGGCAGAAGAGAGGGCAUUUGAAGGACAGCUUCGUGAGACAAUGAAUGGUACAACGGCGGCAGCAUUUGCGUAGGAGGACCAACCACAGCAAUGUCUGGUAGAGGGGCAACCUGAUAGCUUGCGUGGGUGUGCAGAGAAAUCGUAACCCAGCAGCGAAUUGCAACUGGAGGAAAUGGAAGAUGAGCUGACCAUAGAGUUGCGGGGAGCGAGAGCAGCGGUAGUGAACAUAGAGGAGAGCGAUGCGAGUGAGGAAGAGAGAGGUAGAACUCCCUCUGGUGGCAAGCACUUUGUCACCAAGGAUAGUGGUCACAAGCAUUUCUUCAUCUGAUGUUAGAAGGGAACCAGCAGAUCAAUGUGCAGGGGGAAAUGAAUAGGCUUGCUGCCGUGGCAUCAGAGGACGAAGAGCUUAAUGAGUUGUAGGGCGGGUGGGCAAUUUGUCUCCAAGGGGAGAAUCUAAUAAAGUAAGGAUGAUUGGUGAUAGUUUAUCCUUUACUGCGUUCAAUCUAGACCUGUUAUCAUAUCAAACUCAACAUUGCGACAAGCUGGGUCGCUUGCAUUAUCUCAACCAAAGAAAAGAGGUUCUCAGCUGCCGUUUUAGUCAGACCGCACGUUACGCUCUAAGGUGAUUUCUUCACAAAAUUCUUUUGCAAUGUUAUCUAAUCAUUAACUUUAUCUUUUGGAACAUUCGGGGUGUCUCACGUGCCUCUAAUCUUAAGAGACUCCGUAAAUUAGUUAAAAUGCACUCUAUCUCUUUGAUAGCAAUUUGUGAACCUAAGACCUCGAUUGCAAACAUGGAUAUGAUUCGAAUGAAGGUGGGGAUGAAUUUUUCUGUUGCAAACCUGUGGGGUAGCAUUUGGGUGCUUUAUAAAUCUGUUUUUGAUUGCCAAACGAUAUGUGAGUCAGAUCAACAUCUCACUUUAAGCCUCCGAUCCCAAUUAUUGGCUGAGGAGAUCUACUUUUCAUUUAUUCAUUCGAAGUGUACCAUCCAGGAGAGGGAAGGUUUAUGGAUCGAGUUGUUGAAUGACAAGCCGGAGGUAAAACCAUUUUCUUGUGGGGGAUUUUAAUGUUAUCUUAAAUACAGAGGAAAAAAGGAGUGGCUACCUUUUAGACAUGCUCAGGGGAUAGAAUUAUCAUAGUUUAUGUCAUUGGCGGAAGGGUUCUUUUCUAGGUACACAUGGUGUAACAAUCGAUAGGCUAUUUUAAGAGUUUGGAAGCGGCUAGACAGGCUUUUGCUCAACUCAGCUACUAUGCAUAUGGAGAGUAAUAUUUUAGUGCAGCACUUGGGGAGAGACCCUUCUGAUCAUGCUCCUCUUUUGAUAUCGACAUCAAUGAGAUUAGAUGACAAGCCACGGCCAUUCAGAUACCUAAAUAUUUAGACCACAAAACCAGGUUUUAUGGAUAUGAUUGAGGAGAGUUGGUCUAUUUCCUCCCCUGGUUCCCCCUUUCAGUUUUGUCGGCUAAACUGCGACGGGUUAAACAGGCACUUAGACUAUGGUUAAAGGAAUCUAUUGGUGACAUCUUCUUAGCGAUUCAGACAGCAGAACAGAUGGUGCUAGAAGCUAAAAUAGAUCAUGAUAACCAUCCAUCAGAAACGUCGUUGGUGGCUUUACAAGAGGCACGUGCAAGAUUGAAGCAUACUUUGGUGAUUGAGGAAGAAUUCUAGAGACAGAAAACUCGUGUCAAAUGGCUAUCAGAUGGGGCAAGAAUAUGAAACUUUUUUCACGCUGUGGUGACAGAGAAGAGAAACAAAUCAGUGAUUCAUAGAAUUAGGAAGACAAAUGGUGACUGGGUGACUGACGAGUCGAGUAUUUGUAAUGAAGCUGUCUCGUUCUUCCAAAAAUUGUUUACAAACGAGGGGGGAAGUCCUUGAAUAACAUACUAAACAUUAUUCCAAGUUGAUCACUGAACAGGAUAAUGAGAUGUUGACUGAGGUUCCAUCUAUGCAGGAAGUAAAGGAAGUAAUUUUUUCAAUGGACGAGAGAGAGUGUUGCGGGUCUGGAUGGUUUCACGAGAAAGUUUUUCACGUCUGCUUGGGAGGUGGUCACUAAGGAUGUUCAAAGGGCUAUUGUCAGUUUCUUUUAUGACACAACGUUGCCAAGAAGUGUCUCAGCUACUUCAAUUGUUUUACUAUCCGAGAUACAAUGUCCUCAUGAUUUCACUCAAUAUCGCCUGAUAAGUUUAUGCAAUUUUAUUCAAUAAGGUUAUCUCCAAAAUUUUAUCUUCCCACUUGGCAAAGGUUCUUCCUCACAUUAUCUCACUACAACAGAGUAGUUUGGUGUAAGGGAGACAGAUGGCGGAUAAUUUUCUAUUAGCGCAAGAAUUAUUGAAUGAUAUUAAUAAACCUAAUAGGGAGGAAAUGUGAUGCUCAAGCUGGAUAUGAUGAAGGCAUAUGAUAGGGUGUCUUUUUUUAUACGAGUGCUUCGUCGGUUUGGGUUUAGUGAAGUUUGGAUCGAUAUGAUAUGGAGACUGAUAUCGAAUGUUUGGUUUUCUGUCUUUGUCAAUGGCUCGCCCCAGGAUUUCUUUAAGUCCUCACGGGAUUUGAGACAAGGUGACCUAAUUUCGACAGCCUUGUUCGUUAUUGGUGCAGAGGUCUUGUCCCGUUCACUCAAUACGCUUGCGGAGUAUAAAAGAUUCAGACCAUUCAAAGUCCCUAGAGGCUGUUCUAUGGUCACACAUUUGGCCUAUGCAGAUGACGUAGUCAUUUUCACUAGCGGCCUUAAGGCUUCAAUAACAUUGGUCAAAGGAGUAGUCGAUGAAUACUGUGCAUUUUCCGACCAGCGUGUUAAUUGUCAGAAGAGUUGUUAUUUGGUGCAUCCCACCUUGUCUUUGCAAUGACGUGCGAUGAUUGGAAUGGUAAUCGGCUUCUCGUACAAAUAUUUUCCAAUCAAAUAUCUUGACUGCCCCCUUUAUAUUGGAAGAAGGCGGACGCAUUAUUUUGCCGAACUCUGCGACAUGGUAAUAGUCAGAAUCCUAUCAUGGAAGAAUCGGGUCCUCUUAUUUGGGGCAAGAUUGUGCUAUUAAAGAGUGUUCUGUCUUCAAUGCCAAUCCACUGUUAGCAGUGGUUAUCUCAUUCGGGGAGUCAUUGCUUCCUUAGAAAGGGUGAUGGCAAAUUUUUUGUGGAGUUCGAUGAAUAUGGGCCAGAAAUUUCAUUGGUUAAGUUGGGAGAGUUAUGCCGUCCACAUCAGGAGGGCGGGAUUGAGUUCAUAGCUUGGCAAAGGUAUAUGAUGCUUUUUCCAUUAAACUUUGAUGGAACUUUCGGCAAAGGAGAUAUCCUAUGAAUUUUUAACAACAAAAUAUACUUGAGGGGUGCACUCUUGUUUGGUAGAAGAAGGCUAUUCGCUUUCUUACAUUUGGAAGAGGUUAUGUUCGAUUCAACAGUUGGUAGAAGAGCAUAUUUGGUAGGUCAUCGGUGAGGAAUCAAUGGAUUUCUAUGACAAUUGGAUGGGAACUGGAGCUAUAUGCCAUCAGGUGGAAAUUUUUCAUGAUCAUAUUGUGUCAGAUUUUUUCUUCCAAGCGCAAUGAAAUAUGCGACUCCUUAAUCAAGUUCUAGACCCUGAGUUGGUUAGGCAAGUUGUGAAGAUUCUCCCUUCAUUCGUUCAUAGUUCUGAUAGGAUGGUGUGGGUUUUAACGCAGAAUGGUUCAUUCUCGGUUUCUUCGACUUACACGCUUGUUUCGUAGGCUUCUAAUUAUUCAUGGGUGGUUUCGCAUGUGUGGCUGAAGCGUUUUCUAUCAAAAUCUCCUUCUUUAUGUUACAGUUGCUACGUUGUGCGUCUUCCCCAAAUGGACCUGCUACGUAGAUUUGGGUACAGGGUCCAUCUAAGUGUCAUUGUUGUUCUGAGCCAGCAGAUGACGAGGUUAAUCACAUAUGUUUAACAGGGGAUUUAGCUAAGGCUGUCUGGAAUAGAUUUGAGAGUGUCCUAGGAGAUUUGGAUAUGGUGUCCACGUUGAGACACGUGCUGUUAUGGUGGUGGCUGCGUAAGGGGCACAAUGUGUAUCUCAGGUCGUUUAUCGUACAUUACCUAUGCUCAUCUGCUGGAAAUUAUGGAAAGCGAGAAACAGGACUGUUUGAUGGAAGGAAGGUGGCGUGGACGGAGGUGGCAAAUCAGGUAUUUCAAUAGCUAUGUAAUUUACUACAUUGUAAUUUUCCGGAAAUAGCAUGUUCUUUCGUCUCUUGGGAUGUUCUUCACUUUUCAUUGAUAGCUCAGAAAAGAAGGGUUUAUAUUUUACCGAUUACAUGGUCGGCUCCUAGGGCAGGGUAUAAGUUGAAUUCGGAUGGCUGAACAAAGGGGAACCUAGGAGUUAGUAGGGGUGGGGGAGUUGUGCGAGAUGGGGAAGGGAGAUUUAUUGUCGGUUAUUCCUGUUUUUUUGGGUCAUUGACCAGUUUACACGCGGAGCUCGAGACCAUACUCUUUGGGGUGCAGCUCUGUGUUGCUUGAGGCUUACAAGACUUCCAUGUUGAAUCUGACUCACUUGUCUUGAUGCAAAUACUCCAAGGGACACAUGGUUGCUCUUGGAGACUCCAACGGGAGGUGGCUGAAUUAUUCAGUUUCAAGCAUCAUUUUCGUGAGAUAACCCAUUGCUAUAGAAAGCGAACAAACCUGCUGAUUAUCUAGCUAACCUUGGCAAAAUUCAGAGUAAGAGGAUGUUUUUGACGACUUUCGUUCUUUGCCAGCUACUGUCUGUGAGAGAUUAUCAUGGACACUUUAGGUUUCCUAAUUUUCGUAGAAAAUUUCUAUAGCUUAGCUAAAAAUUUGUAUUAAAUAACUGUCAUAUGGAUAUUUUCAUGAGAUUGGGUUUGUUGGCAGGGAGUUUCGUCCAUUUAUAAGGGGAAACUCUGCCAAAAUUUUUUAAUUAAAAAAAAACUCUUAGUUAAAAAAACAAAAAAAAGAAUGGCAGCUGGAAAGAAAAUUGCAGAAAUGGGGAAUGGAAACUAGAAAUUGUAGCUUGUUAUCAUGUUUCUUUGGAGAAUAAUGAUAGGAAAUGCAUGUUCUACAUUACCUUAAGUUUUAUAAGAGGUUUAAUCAGCUAAACAUGGGCUUUAUACAUUGGGUUUAGCUACGAAAUCAGUUCUGGUUCAAGGAAAACAUUAUACAUCAGAAAUGGUAACUAAGAGCAGAAACGAGCUAUGGUUCUGUUUAGCUCUUGAAAUCAGUCUCACUUUUGUUUAGUACUUGAGUUAUACCUUACAUGCUAGCUGUAACCUAAAACUGAAGGGAAUCCUAAAGAACUUACAAAUGAUAUCUUGUUGAUAUACGCAUGCGAAAGCAUGCAAAUCUGAUGCAUGCAUGGCACCAGAUUUGCAGCUAGCUGCAGAAAUGAAACCAAACUCAGUUUUUUUUUCUCUUUGAAUCCUGGUCAUGAACGACCUUGUUUAGCUUAGGAUAACCUGCAACAAACAAGGUUAAAGCAAAUAGAAAACUGAAGUGAACAAUGGACGACUGUCGACUGCACAAAAAGACCUCAUUGCUCCUGACCUGUUUUCAUGUGGUUCUGGUCGUCCACUUUUGACCUUGAAAACAUGAGAACUGGAUGUCAAUGUCUCAUAAGAAAUAUAGGUCUAUGUUUUAGGUUCGAAACGCUAUAAAAUUCGCCUCAAUCCGAUAAGCGUAGCUCCAAUUAUGAUCAAAACACCCAAGGAUGGUAAAGCUGCUUUUCCUUUUGUUCCUGAAUGCACUUUGCUAAAAUGCUCACCGUGAGGAACCAACUUUUAACUAGCAUUUUCUCUAAUUUCCAACUUUGUAAGAUUUCAUAAAUGAUAGCUACGGUUACUCUGAGAUUUAAUGGCUAUAUAUAGCUCCACAAGUAGAGUUAAAUUUGAUAAGAGUUUAUUUUACGUAUUUUUAGUGUGUUUUAUUAGUUAAUUUUGGUUUGAUUAUUUAGUUUUAUAACUAAAAUAAUUAAGGUUUUGGUAAAAAACUACAUUUUAUGUUAAAGUGGCUAAACAUUGCAUUUUAUGGAUUUUUAUGGUAAAAUCUUCAUAUUUUGUAGGUUUAAUAAUUCAAUCAUCAAAUGAAGUGCAUUGAGAAGAUAUUUGGAUGAUUGAAGAUGGAUUAAAGUGGUGAAAAUAAAAUAUGAAGUGUAAAAAGGAAAAAUGCAAUUUGAAUCAAGAAAAGUCAGGUUUUGACAACUCAGACACAUUUUCGUAUUUUGACUAUAUCUGGAGCUACACAGAUCGGAUCAAGAUGAUCUUGGUACCAUUUUGAAGCUAAGAGAUAUAUCUACAUUUGGUAUGAAGACAUUAAAGUCCAAUUCAGCCGUUUUCAUAGUCCAAAAGUUGAAAUACCGAAAUUCAACUCAGCUGUCCAAAGUGGAAAACAGAGCUCUGACCAGUGUUUAGUAUUUCGAUCAUAUCUCAGGCUACAAAGCUCAGAUUUGGAUGAUUCUUGAAGCAUUGGAAAGAUAACUCAAAGGGAUACAACUUUUGUGUUUUACACAAAAACCAGUUCGGCCUUUAUGAUAGAGAAAAUUGCAGUGGAAGUAAGGACAAAGUGAAUACGCGAGUACACAAAACGUGACUUGUAACCGCGUUUUGUGUAGGCGCGUUUUCUGGCCGAAAUUCUGCAAUUUGUUCAGUCAACUCUCUUGUGUUCAGACUACUUUCCAGCUGUAAGUUGCAAGUGAAUUUGGUGCACAUGCUUCAGAAGACAAAAAGAGCAUACAAUAUGGCUUAUUCCAAGUCAAAAGUCAUUAUUUUUUUGACUCCUUUAACAAAUUCAGAUUUGGAGAAUCAUAGCAGAAAUUUUGGACCAGUGGAAAGGCACCUGAUAUCAGUUUUAUAUAGAACAAUCAGAGGGAGAAAAAAAGGAGAAACGUACGGGAGAGAGCUUGAAGUGCAGAAAUGUAGUUCUUCCAUUUCCUUUGUGUAGGAUAGUUUAGCUAGUGUAGUUCAUCCAUUCUUGUAUAUUGCUAGACUAGGAUUAAGAUGGAGAUGAAGAAGGCAAGGUGAUGAGCUCAAGUGACAUGGGUUGUAUUCCUUCCAAACUCUUUAUCUUUGUAUUUGAUUCCAAGUUUAGUUAAUAUACAAGUUCUGGAUUUUGUGUUUAAUAUGUGUAUCUAAAGUUUAAGCCUUGGGUUUGGUUGAACUUUCUAUGAUUGUUAGUGUUUAUUAUUUGGUUAUUUGAUUGCUAUGAUUUGAGCAAGUUAUUUAGCACUUUGGCUUCUUAAAUCAUGAUUAAUCUGGUACCAUUGAUUGUGAUGAUCUAAGGUGUUGUUUCUGCAAUGAAAAUUGAGAUUUAACACUAGUUCAAGAAGUGCUAAACAUAGGGAGUACACUCACGAAAGUAGAGGUGCACUUAUGUGGUUUUUAGUGAUUUAUUUCAUGUAAUUUCACUGAAGAAAUGAACUUGUAGCUAAUUUCAUAACCAUGAGAAUAGGUAUGGAUUAGUUAUAAGUAUAAUUGAUUCACUACGAAAGUAGGAUUCAAAUGCAUAAGGAAAUUACACUAUAACUAGCCUAAAUGUAGUAUUCAAUGAUCCAAAUGUAGCACUUGCAUGAGUAGUUAGGGAUACCAUAACCUAAGGAGCUUUUAUUUGUUAUUUUGUAUAAUUUCAGUAGGUUAAAUUUCUUAUAAUUCAUUGAUAGUCUAAAUAAUAGAGAAGCUUUAGUAAUACCGGUAAUUGUUCACUCUUCCCUGUGGGAUCGACCCGAUAUAUACCCUAAACUACUAGUUGACCUGUAUACUUGCAGUGAACGGGUAUAAUUCGCUUUUUUAACUUGUACGUAUGUAAAAUACCCGUCAAGUUUUUGGCGCCGCUGCCGGGGAAGAUUUGGCAAUAUCGGUGUGAAAAGCAACUUUAUUAAUUUAGACAAUUUCACUUGUUUUUGUUGGUUAAGUGUCUUGUUUGUUUUGAGUCUUGUUGAGUCUUUUAUGUUUAAUGUCUUGUUUUUGUAUGUUUAAAGUCAUCUAUUCUUCUUGACUAAACUUGUUUUUGAGCUACUUUGAGAGCAUGUUUAGGGGAUCAAGGAGAGUAGAAAACAGGGGAGGACAAUGCUUGAGAAAUGGAGGUUUGACAAUGGAUGGUUACCAUGUGCAAAGCUCCUUCAAUAGAGGUAACCAAGAAUUUACUGAAUGUAUGUCUUUUGAAGAUGGUUUAAGGUGCUUAAAGGCAAAAUUUGAUGUAAUUAAGUUGCAAGUUCAAAUGGACACCAUGAUGCAUGAAAUUGAGCAGAGGAGGAAUGUUAAUGUUUUUAAUUCUUAUCAUGUGAUUUGUGACUUGUGUGGAGGUUAUCAUGCUACUAAUACAUGUAUGCAAGCACAAAAUGUGGAUUAUUAUGAUGAAUUAGAGCAUUACAAUCCUUGUUUUGAUCAAUAUAGUGCUAAUUGGAGCAAUUCUCCUGCUUAUGGUUGGAAUAAUCAAUGUACUUAUAGUGAUAAUUCAUGUUUUUAUGAUUACCAACCUGAAAGUGUCCAAUAUGAAUCAAAACCAUCUUGGGAGUUGGCAAUAGAAAGGCUAGCUAAUGCAUCUUUGCCUUGGGAGUUAGAAAGUGAACCAUUAGCUAAUGAUUCUAAUGCAUCUUGGGAGCUAGCUGUAGAAAAUUUUUCUAAUCAAUUUGAUUUAGCAUUAGAAAAGCUAGCAAAUGCAACUUUCGACCGUUUUGAUAGGAUUGAGGAAAGAAUAGAUGAAUUAGCUUCUCACUUUGGUCGAAUACAUGAGCAAUUGAGUGCAUUGUGUGAAGUUAUUUCCUCUAAUAAUUUGCAAAAUGAUCCUAGCAUGAAUGAUGGAAUGUUGUAUGUGAAAAUGGGUUGCAUUUUGAUGAAAAUGAUGAAUCUCAAGAGUGUUUCAAUGAGCAAAUGUCCAUUUCACAUGAUAAUAUCUUUGGAACUAACUUUGAAUCUCAAGAGGUGAGUUUUAAUGACUCAUUUUUCACCCCUCUUGAGGAGUGCAUGAAAGUACAGGUUUUAAAGUAUUCCUGCCCAAGAUACUUCAUGACAUUUCCUUUGGUAAGUUCUCAAGUGGUGCAUAUUCAUGGUAAUAUCUAUGAAACACUUGGAAUAUGUAAGUCACUUUCAUUUCUCACAUCAUUAGAUCUUGUGGCUUUUGCUAUAAAGUCACCUUUUAAUGAUCCACCACGGCCUAAAAUGGUGGAUUAUUCGUUAACUAAACCUCCUUGAAAAAUGAGGUGAAAUAGUCAAGCUAUUGACUUUAAAGAAGCGCUUAUUGGGAGGCAACCCAAUGCUUGUUUAAGUUAUGUUACUUUGGGUGAUUUUAUGUUUACAGUAUGUUUGAGUUAUUUUGAUGUUUUUCAUUUGUAGGUAUUGGAAAUGAAAGCAAAAGUGACCAAAUGAGGUGAAAAAGGCGAAAUUUGAUCAAGGAACUCAACCCCUCAAUUUGAGUAUUGUUGUUUUUGAUUGUUAGAAGGGGUUAAAAUGCAUAUUUUGAUCAUUUUACAUGUGCAUGCAUUGAGUAUUUUAGCAAACAAAUGAUUUAUGAUGCAUUUUGAGUGAUUGGGAUAUUAGUUGUAAAUUUUUAAAAGUUGAAUUUCUGCUAAAACGCAGCAGAAAACGCGUUUCUCAAGAAAACGCGCCUCUGAGUCGCGUGUUACAGAAUCGCGUUUUCAAUUCUGCACCUGCAGAACAGAAAACGCGCCAUUAAAACGCGACAUUAAGUCGCGUUUUGAAGGAAGUCGCGUUUUGUUGCCUGGAUCAAAGAUGAAAACGCGCCAUUGAAAACGCGACUUCAAGUCGCGUUUUCUCAUAGAACCGCGUUUUCAGUACUGCAACUUUUGGGAAGAAACGCGCCUUCAAAACCGCGAGUUAAAGGCGUUUCUACUCACGUUUUCUGAGCAUUUUUUUUAAAGAAAAAAUGCAGUUCCUUGAUUCUCUUUUUCUUCUUUUCCUCAUAUAUUUUCUUGUACCUUGAGUUGCUUAUUGUGUAUUUUUUAUAGGUACAUCACAAAACAAGGGCUUGAAGUUACGGAUAGCCGUUUUGAUGUCUUAAGCCUUUGUUAUCACUUUGGUUUCUCAUUUUCCAUUUUUAGGUUUAUAUCACUAAUGGUUACCAAAUGGAACUCAUGAAGUGAUGAAGACAGCGAACAACAUACCAUGAAGCUUCAUAUUCAAUCACAACAAUAGGAGUAUUACUUUUCUUUAUCUUGAUUUUCCUUUUUACACAUUGAGGACAAUGUGCAUGUUAAGUGUGGGGGGAUAAAUUGAGAUUAUAUACAUUGUAUGUGAUUGACUUAUUAGUUGCAAAUAUUGGACUUGUGUUAAAAUUCAAAUUUUUCUACAAUCUUGUCCAAAAUUGCAAACUUGCCCCAAAAAGUUUCAAUUUUUUCGAUUUUAUCCAAAGGGGUAACAAGUUCAUACCAUUAGUAGUUCAAAUUUCUUCUACAUUUGAGAUAAAUAUAUGUAAUUUGGAAACUUCUUUUUCAUUUAACUUGGAAAUGACUAUUAUGUGAUUAUAAUUUUUGCAUUUGUAGGAAAGUAUAUCUUUUAAAGUGGAGAAAAUUAUGCCUAUAUUUUUUUGCAUAUUUGAUGAAAUUUCUUCUCUUUAUUGGAUUUUAUAAGUUAAGUGAUAAAUAUGGUCAAUAAGUGCAAUACUCUUCUCAUGAUUAUUCUUUUGAGGAAUUUAUUAUUAUCUUUGCUGUAAAAAGAAAAAAAAGUGGAAAGAAAAAAAAAGAAAAAAAUAAGAUUUAUUCUACUCCAAUGAUUCUCGUACUUAGUAACCGGGAGUCUUCAUCUAAAAUGUCGACUUUCGCGUAAAACGGUACUUGAAUUAAGAGUAUGCAAAGCAACUUGAGUAUGUGAAGUGUUGAGUAACCGGUGAUCUUCAUCUAAAAAUGUGAUCCUCGCGUAAAAAGAUACUUUCACAACUUAAGUAAUAUUUAGCUAUAUUAUAUAAAUAAAUCCCUUUAAGUUAAAUAAGAAGAUGAUCAUGAGUUUAGGAAGCAUAUUAUUGACCAUAUGAGUUACUUACUUGUAAGAUUGGGUAAGGAUGAAAAAUUGAUUUGAAUUUGUUAUAAUGACGGUAUAAUUGGCUCUCCUUUACUUGAUAUUAUGAGUACUUGAACUUAAUUGAAUAAUUGCAUAAUGGUUAUUUACUUUGUUUUAGGAAAUGAAGUUGAAAUGCUACAUAUGUUUAUUUUCAAAUUUUGGAUCAUUGUUGGUUUGUAUUUCUUAUUGCUUGAGGACAAGCAAUGAUUCAAGUGUGGGGGUAUUUGAUAAGAGUUUAUUUUACGUAUUUUUAGUGUGUUUUAUUAGUUAAUUUUGGUUUGAUUAUUUAGUUUUAUAACUAAAAUAACUAAGGUUUUGGUAAAAAACUACAUUUUUGUUAAAGUGGCUAAACAUUGCAUUUUAUGGAUUUUUAUGGUAAAACUUCAUAUUUUGUAGGUUUAAUGAUUCAAUCAUCAAAUGAAGUGCAUUGAGAAGAUAUUUGGAUGAUUGAAGAUGGAUUAAAGUGGUGAAAAUAAAAUAUGAAGUGUAAAAGGAAAAAUGCAAUUUGAAUCAAGAAAAGUCAGGUUUUGACAACUCAGACAUAUUUUCGUAUUUUGACUAUAUCUGGAGCUACACAGAUCGGAUCAAGGUGAUCUUGGUACCAUUUGAAGCUAAGAGAUAUAUCUACAUUUGGUAUGAAGACAUAAAGUCCAAUUCAGCCGUUUUCAUAGUCCAAAAGUUGAAAUACCGAAAUUCAACUCAGCUGUCCAAAGUGGAAAACAGAGCUCUGACCAGUGUUUAGUAUUUCGAUCAUAUCUCAGGCUACAAAGCUCAGAUUUGGAUGAUUCUUGAAGCAUUGGAAAGCUAACUCAAAGGGAUACAACUUUUGUGUUUUACACAAAACCAGUUCGGCCUUUAUGAUAGAGAAAAUUGCAGGAAGUAAGGACAAAGUGAAUACGCGAGUACACAAAACGUGACUUGUAACCGCGUUUUGUGUAGGCGCGUUUUCUGGCCGAAAUUCUGCAAUUUUUCAGUCAACUCUCUUGUGUUCAGACUACUUUCCAGCUGUAAGUUGCAAGUGAAUUCGGUGCACAUGCUUCAGAAGACAAAAAGAGCAUACAAUAUGGCUUAUUCCAAGUCAAAAGUCAUUAUUUUUUUGACUUUAACAAAUUCAGAUUUGGAGAAUCAUAGCAGAAAUUUUGGACCAGUGGAAAGGCACCUGAUAUCAGUUUUAUAUAGAACAAUCAGAGGGAGAAAAAAAGGAGAAACAUACGGGAGAGAGCUUGAAGUGCAGAAAUGUAGUUCUUCCAUUUCCUUUGUGUAGGAUAGUUUAGCUAGUGUAGUUCAUCCAUUCUUGUAUAUUGCUAGACUAGGAUUAAGAUGGAGAUGAAGAAGCAAGGUGAUGAGCUCAAGUGACAUGGGUUGUAUUCCUUUCCAAACUCUUUAUCUUUGUAUUUGAUUCCAAGUUUAGUUAAUAGACAAGUUCUGGAUUUUGUGUUUAAUAUGUGUAUCUAAAGUUUAAGCCUUGGGUUUGGUUGAACUUUCUAUGAUUGUUAGUGUUUAUUAUUUGGUUAUUUGAUUGCUAUGAUUUGAGCAAGUUAUUUAGCACUUUGGCUUCUUAAAUCAUGAUUAAUCUGGUACCAUUGAUUGUGAUAUCUAAGGUGUUGUUUCUGCAAUGAAAAUUGAGAUUUAACACUAGUUCAAGAAGUGCUAAACAUAGGGAGUACACUCACGAAAGUAGAGGUGCACUAUGUGGUUUUUAGUGAUUUAUUUCAUGUAAUUUCACUGAAGAAAUGAACUUGUAGCUAAUUUCAUAACCAUGAGAAUAGGUAUGGAUUAGUUAUAAGUAUAAUUGAUUCACUACGAAAGUAGGAUUCAAAUGCAUAAGGAAAUUACACUAUAACUAGCCUAAAUGUAGUAUUCAAUGAUCCAAAUGUAGCACUUGCAUGAGUAGUUAGGGAUACCAUAACCUAAGGAGCUUUUAUUUGUUAUUUUGUAUAAUUUCAGUAGGUUAAAUUUCUUAUAAUUCAUUGAUAGUCUAAAUAAUAGAGAAGCUUUAGUAAUACCGGUAAUUGUUCACUCUUCCCUGUGGGAUCGACCCGAUAUAUACCCUAAACUACUAGUUGACCUGUAUACUUGCAGUGAACGGGUGUAAUUCGGUUUUUUAACUUGUACGUAUGUAAAAUACCCGUCAAAAUUAAAGCAAAUGAGAGGAAAACUCAUGGUACUUAUGUACCUAAAUUGGCUUCUAAUUACUUAAUAUUGUCUUCACAAAUAUUUUAAAAACUAUAAAAUUUGAGGGACUGGUGUAGUGGAAUAAAAUUUAAUUUACAAAUAACCUAAAGUUUAAUUGUUUAAAAAGGGGACCAAUGGAGUACUCCUAAGCCAUAACCUUAGAAUCUUGAGUGGAAAGUGAUUUAAUACUAAAAUAAAUAUUUUAUAAAUUAUUAACUUGAAGAAUACGUAUGUUCUUGAUUUAAAAUAAUAAAGUUAAUAAGUCUUGAAAUAAAUUGGGGAAUAAAUAUUGAGUAUAUUUUGUAUUUUAAGGUCAAACUUAAUUUUAAUAAUUUAAACGAUAAAGUAGAAUAAAUAUUGAAUAGGUUAUAUUUUAUAUUUUACAGUCAAACCUAAUUUGAAUAAUUUAACUAAUAGGUGAACAUCUACAAAUUGUAAAUUUACCAUGGAAUUAUAUAUUUAUCUCAGAAGUAGCUGCGAGCCAGGAAACGAACCCGAGGUUCGAGAGUAAAUUAUUUGGAUAAUUGGUGAGUGUUUUCCAAAUUUAUAUGUUUAAAUGUCUAUGUGUAUCUAAGUGAAAUAAUGUGACAAAUGUGCUUAUCAUGAAUCAUUACUAAAUGAUUUCUUGUGAAAUGCAUCUCAAUUGUCCCUCGUCUUCUAAGUUGAGGGUGUACUUUAUCGCACUCGACUUAGUUGAAUUUGAAGGUCGAUAAUUGACUGAAUGUUACUGUAAGUGUGCAUGAGUGUAAGCCGUCUGUGUGCCUCGCCGCAUCAGCUGAACUGCACCCCAAAACUCUCUGUUCAACGGACUAUUCGAGCCAGCAAAGGGUUUGGUCAAAUAGGACAGUAGCUUUGGGUAAAUGUUUCGGUAUACUCGAGUAUUACCAUGAGGUUGGGAAAUUAUUGAACUGAUUACUGAAUGUAGGGGAUUGGUUAUUGUUUUAGAAGACAUAAGAAGGCGAAGUGGCGGAAUAUGCAAUGAUAUUGAAAUGAAUGUACAAUGACAGUGAAAUGAGUGUCUCUUGACACUGAAAUGAAUACUCAAUGACAUUGAAGUGGCUCUAAUGCGAGUACCGUAUUCUUUUAAAAGUGAUUGUUUAGUGAAGUGUUUCCUCAAUUGCUUAAUGAAAAUGAUUGUACAGUAAAAUGUGCACUACUUGCUUAAUUAUACUGAUUUAAAUGUUUAUUAAAUGUUACUUGAUCGGCAAACCUUACUGAGUUUUAGCUCAACUUUUAGUUUUGUUUUCCUUACAGGGAUUAGAGGUCGGGGAUCGAACGAGGGAAUUUAGGGAUUUAUCAUGAAGACUUUACCAUUGUGAUUAGUAUCUUAAUAAGGUAGGCAUUUUGUAUCGAUCGAAGUAUUGUAAAAGAAUGUGAACGGUUGUUUUGGUUUAUCGAAAUGUUAUCUCUGGAGUUAAUGGAAAUUAUCAAAUGGUUAUCUUUGAAAUUAAUGUGAAAUCAAUGAGUCCUGAUGAGAGUCAGACAGACGAUCCGCUAACUUUUAGGGUAUACCCUAUAAAAAGUGGGAUCGUCACAUUUAUAACAUCAUGAUGAUCUAAUUAUGAUAGUUUUUCUAUUUUUCAUAAUGACGAACCUUGCAUUUGGCACCUCUCCAUUUCCCGGUUUUAGAUAUUUGACACUUGUCCUGCAGUGUUUGAAGAGAUAAGAUUUAUUUACUAAACUAGAUUUUAAACCUUAGUUAACUAACUUCAAAAUGCCCAAAUUAGUAGGAGCAAAAUUUUAGGCUUUCUUCCCGUGUUCAUCUAAUCAUCUUCUUGAUUUUAUUGUUCCACCGUAGAAAAACCCUGGACAUUGUCAGCUCUUCGAAAUUCUGAAACUCAAUAGCAAAAUUCAGUUUCACUAUAGUGCUUUUGAAGAUGUUAAAAAUUUUUAUGUGCAGAAUAUGUAUAUAUUGUGCAUCAAGAAACAUGUUAAUCGGCAGCUAUAUAAUUAGAAUACCCAGUCCUUUUGGAGCUUAUUCCAGAGACUCAAGUUCUAAGAUCAUCAACUGAUUAUAUAAGCAAGAAAACCGACAAUGAAAUAAGAUAAAAAGUUGAGAACAACAUGAUUAAUCUGAAUAUUUUCUUUGAGAACUUUUUCAAAAUUUUCAAAACAAAAAAUUCCCUUUCACGUAACAAAAACAUAACCAAUUCACUGCAAUUUGAGAAAAAGAUGCAAGAUCAUGAUUUGGGCAGAAUAUAACUGUAACAAUAUGAACUUAAAUUAUUUUUUCUUUUCCCAUGAAAUUUCAUGAUUUGAUUUUUCCUUCUUUUUUUUUCUCCCAUAUAAAUUUUGAUUGGAAAAGGUUUGGCUUUUUUUCAAAUCCUCCAAAUUACGGUAAAUAUGGUACGUUAAAUUGUGCGUAACCAAGGUUAAGAUGCUGGUUACAAGCAAAAGAAAUCCUGGACAUUGGAUUUAGAUUGAACACACGUCAAAAUCGUAAUGCUAUAUCGAGGAGAACUAGAGAAAAUAAGUAACGAAGAGGAGCCGGAUCCGCUUGACAAUGACCCAUAUCCUAUCCUAGCAUAUCCUUCCUAUCCAAGUUCAAACAAAUUGAUUUAGGAUUUGAUAAGGUCUUGAAAUUUAUUUGGUGGCGUGUAAAUUAGUAUGCUCUGUUUUCUAAGUACAUAAUUUAUGAGACAAGAUUUGGGAGUAGGUAGGCGUGUGUCUUUCAUAAGAGAAGAUUGUCAAAUUACUAUAACUAUAUGGAUAUAUCUUUUAUGCACUAAUAAGAUAUACAUUAGAGGGUCUAGAUGCAUGCCAUGUAUAUAAAGUUUGACAUUCAAAUUCAAAUUCAAAUUAGAUGAUGUGGCUAUAUCCAACCCCAUCAACAUAUAUACUUAGAGUAUAAGAAAGAUUAAGAUUUUGUUUUGCUGAUUCCAAAGGCUUAACUAUAGUAAUACAAUAUUUGAUUUAUUUCUUGUCCCUAUCUGGCAUCUUGCUCACUUAGAUGCAGUCUUAACCGAUCCAAACAAUUGUAUUUUUUGAUUCUUUAGCACCCAUAAAUUUUUUCCGAGCUCUGAGUUGGCUUAGUUGGUGGGUACUGCAUAGAAAUACCCAAGAGGAUUGGGGACCUAAUACAAUCCCCAUCAACAUGUAUACUUACAUUAUAAGAAAGAUUAAGGGUCUAUUUGAUAACAUAAAAAUGUGUUGAAUCUGAAUUGUUUCAGACAUUCAGAUGUUUUGAGUGUUUGAUAAAUGAAAAUCUAUUUGCUGAAUUUAUUAAGCAGUGCUGAACUUGUGUAUAUUUUUUAGCACAAGAAUCCUAACUGAAUGCUUAAUUUUGAUAAGAAUCAAUAGAAUUACUUCAACUACCUUAUCUUAUCUACCAAAUCUACCAUUGUUUGUUAAUUAUGUUCAAAAUUCUUAUCUAAUUAAACAACCUAAUAUUCUCUAUCUAACGAUUUUUAGCUUCUUUUCUCCCUUUUUAAUGACUUUCACAUCUUCUCCAUACUCCUCAUAUAAUAUAUUUCAUCUUUUAUAUUAAUUUGAUUUAAAAAUAAAUAUUAUCAUUUUCAUACCUAACAAAUUUAAACUAAUUAAAUUAUAGAUUCUAUUCUUUUUUGAAUGAAAGGAUAUAAGAGCAAAAUUGUCAAAUUAAACUUAUUAAGCAUUCAGUUAUAAAUAUUUAUCAAACAGUAUAAAUAGGUUUAACAUUAAAAUUCAGACAUUCAUAUAUUUUUUUCAGUGUUUAAAAUUGAACAAAUUAAUUGUUUCAGUAUUCAGAUUUCAAAAUUCAGAUUCAGUUUUAUCAAACGGAACUUAAGAUUUUGUUUUGCUGAUUCCAGAGGCUUAACUAUAGUAAUACAAUAUUUGAUUUAUUUCUUGUCCCUACCUGGCAUCUUGCUCACUUUGAUGCAGUCUUAACUGAUCCAAACAAUUGUAUUUGGUUAACAUGAUGCUUUCUCCACAUCGAUUCUUUAGUACCCAUGAAUUUUUCCAAGCUCUGAGUUGGCUUGGUGGUACUGCAUAGAAAUACCCAAGAGGAUUGAGGACCUAACACAAAUUUGUUAUUGGGCAUUUUUAUGUGGUAGUUGCAGUUGUUGAUCACAUUUUUUUUUCCUAAUGUAAGCGUUGUUGGAGGAGGGGGGUUUUGAAUUCGAACCCUUCACUUACACUCCCUUUUCCAAAUCACCCAAUCAAUCCUUCCUCUUAAUCGCAUGGUUCUGAUAGCUUUCACGUCCAUGGAUUUUUAAUCUGGAUAUCUCAGAGUCGGAUUCUGAUCUUUGGUAGUAUUUGAAAAGUUUUCAGAUUGUACCCAAAAAAAAAAGGUUAAAAUAUACCCAAUUUCUUUUGUUUUAACUCUUCUUUUUCUUUUCCAUUUUUUCCAUUUUUUUUUUCAUACAGUCCUCUAUGUACUUUGAGGUAAGUAACCAGAACGCAGCAAUGGUGCCGUGCCACGAAGCCCUCACCAGCAACUGCUGCCCACCGCCAUUAGGUCCCGAAACUUAAGAAUAUUUUCAGGAUAAACUAUCCUUUUUGCGUACAUUGUGAUUUCGGAGUCCAAUUUGGCCUCCGAAAUUAAUCUAGCCUCUUUUUCUGCAUAAAUCACUGGCAGUUCUCAUAAAAUUAACACAAGGACAAUUCUAGAAUCAAUGACUUCUUUUCCUCUCUACUUCUUUUCUUCUCUAAUUUCUCUCUAUUUUUCUUCUCUUCUCAAAGGUCUUCUCUUGGGUAGGGAGACAACACCUUGAUCUCCCUAUCAGCAAUUUUGUUUUAUUUUAUUUUUCUGAUAAAGUCUCUUCUAAUUUUUUUAGCGAGUGUUUUUUAUUUCUUUUAGGAAUUGCUAGUGAGAAUUUUCUAUUCUCUAGGGGUUUAUGUAUGAGAUUUUUAUCUUUUGUUGUUAGAACCAAAUUUAUUUCAAAUCUGAUUGGCAAAUCUAAUUGUAUAUCUAUAAUUUUCAGUGCAUGCUUGACUUGAUAUUAGGGCAAUUUUAUAAAUCAAAUCAUACUGAAUGAUUUCUGACAAAUUGUUAAUGAAAUAAUUUUUUUAUCCAAAAAAAAAAACACAAGGACAAUCCUGAGAAGUCAUAGAACAUUUAUUUAGUACCAAUUUAACACAGUAAAGCAUAGAUAAACAUGAAUUUAAGGCAAAAUUGAAAUUCAUUUGAGAACCUCCAUUACUCCUUUGACCCUCAAACCCCUCAAAAUUUAGGCAAGGAAAUCAUCUUUUAAGGCGUACAUUGACUAGAUUCGUGUCUAAAUUGGACUAGACUCCUCUAUAUUGAAUUGGAGAAAAGUUGUCGUCUCCAUUACAUCACCAUAAAUUUAAUUCAAACACUAUUUCAAAAAUUAAUAUCGUUCAUGAUAUAUUUCAUAACUUGUAUUAAUUAUACGUAAAAUUUUGUAUGAAGUUAACAAAGUUUUGUCAUUUGAUUAUUCAUUACCUAAUUUUCUUCCAAUUUUAGCCCAUUUUCAAUGUCUCCAAAUGUUUCAUGUAACUUAAUGCCAAAAUAUUCUCAAAAGAAUAUCAUUUUUUUCAUAUAUUGAUCUAAAGAUCCAAAGAAAAGUAAUGACAUAAUCAAAUGAUUUAUAAAAUACAGUAAUCAAAUGACAUAAUCAAAUUACAGUAACUUAGAUAUAAAUAAAUAAAGAGAUCAAUAUCAAGAGAUUCGACAGAAAGGGUCCUAACCGUCUAAAUUGGCAAACAACAAACCAAAAUCACAUCCAAAAUCAAAUUCCUAUCUUUUUUCACCUGGGUUUUUUCCUUUCUGCUUUGGGAUAUAGUGAUGGCAAAACAGAAAUGAAGAUGGUGGUCACGAAAAAAAUAAUGUUUUUAAACUUGGACCGGUCAGUGAACCGAGAGGGGGCAGGUUUGCGGUCUGACCGGUCCGACCAACUAGUUCAUCGGUUUUCUUUUUUUUUUUUUUUUUUGUUGCAACUUUAGUGUUAAGUAUUUCAUAGGUUUUCAUUCUACACUAGAACUUGACACCUAAUGUACAAUUUAACAUGGUUAUUGAUAACUUAAGUUUUUAAAAUGCAUUUGCAACAUAACUAAAUUUAAGUUGAGAUAAUAACAACUUUUCAAAAAUUAUACAUGAAACUUAGAAUGAUAAACAUAAUUAAAAUAUCAUAAUUCACCACAAGUUUUCAUAAAUUCAUUACAAACAUGAAUAGAUACAAUCUAAAUGUUCAGCAUUAUCACAAAUAAAAUCACAAAAUAAUAAAAUAAAUAUUGAAAUUCUUUUACAAUCCUUAAAAAAGUCCAACUCAUAUUCAAGACAAACCAUUUGAAUAACAACUUCCAUUAAUGGAAUGAUAAGCAAUAACACACCUUUACAAUUGCAUCAACUUAACCUGAAAAGUUAAAAUUUUAUUAUAUAAAUAUAAAUCUAAUUGCUCAAUGAGGGAUUUUUAUAUCAAUGCAAGUUUAUUUCCGAACUUUACCCGUUGGACUGCAAGUAUACAGGUCACUUAGUAGUUUGGACAAAUAUCAGGUCAAUCCCACAAGGAGAAAGUUAAACAAAUACUAGACCCUUAUUUUCUCUAUUAUUUAGAUUUAAAAUGAAUCUGAACAAGAAGAUUUAUAAUGCCACUGUCUACAAAUCCAAUUUAAUAAAUGCUAAAUACAAAUGGAGAAAUUUCAUCAAAUUGAAUUUAGGGAUUUAGAUUCCACUUAUGGCAUAAACAACACAAAUGAAUAGAUUUACCUCUUGUUAUUAUUUUUGUUUAACCAGGGAUUCAUUUCCAAUAUUACAAAAUCUCAUUCUCAUGAUAAAAUAGCCUAAAGCAGUCCAGUUUUCCCUAUUUUCGUGUGUGAAAUACUAGUUUUACUCUGUUUUCCUUCAUGAAUGCUAGAUAAUCCACUUAAGUGUACCUCUAUUUUCAUGAACAUACAACUCAAGCUCUACUCAUGUUUUUUCAUUGUUACUACUAAUUCUCAUUGACUAAUAAAACUAUAAACAUGCUAUUGGUGAUCAAACAACAACAAGUAAUUACAACUGCACAAAUAGACAAGUUAAUACAAAAUACAACAAGUGUAAAUCACAUUCAAUUCAUACACUUAAUCAUAAGUUUCAUCUACUCCCUAGAUAAAGAAAUUUAGCUACUCAUGAAUGAUAUAACAAUCAAACUCACAAGUUUAUUAAUAUAAAACAUCAUAAAGUACAAGUACAAGAAAGAUAAAGAAAAGCUUAGCCAAUUAAUGGUGAAACCCUCCAAAUUCUGUUAUGUCUUGUACAAGAUGAUUACAAGUGAAGUCUUCAAGUUCUUCCUCCAGAACUUCUAGCUAGAGAAAAAAAAUUGUUUUCCAGAAAGAAAAACUAACUACGUAUGGUGAUGCCUAGCUUCUCCCUGUUUCUCUACAUAAAAGGGUGGAAAGCACCUUUUUCUCCUUCAUGAUUCCAACAACUAAGAUUUUGUUAAAGAAAGUCAAAAGAUAUGUUGUUUUGACUUGUCAAUAACUCAUUUUGCCUUUCUUUUUGUUGCAGAAGCAUGUCACCGAAUUCUCUCACCAAAGAUGGCUGGAAAGUUGUGUGAAAAGUAAGAAAACCGGUUGUGCCACUUGCAGCAGAGAGAGACAGAUCCGAGGGCUUCAGUAAGAUCCGAGCUCGGAUCAUUGCGGAUCUGAGGCCUUUCUCAAAUGGAUCGAGCUCGGAUCAACUGACCUCAGAUCCAUUAUUCCAAAAAUACACACGAGGGCUCAGAUCAAUCUUGUUGCACACGGAUUUGGGCUCGGAUCCGUGUGAUCAUUUUCCAGAUUUUUGGUUCCUUCCUUUUUCUUUAUUUUUUUUGCUCCUAGUUUUUGUAUUUUAUCCUCCAAAUGAUCCUUGCUCUUUCUUUAUCUUGUACAUGAAGUUCACAUGUCAAUAUCCUUCAAAAUAUCACAGAUUAAAGCAUUAAUCCACUCAUUUAGCAAGUUUGAUUAUUCAAACAACUUUUAAGCAAUUUGCACCAAAAAGAGUUCAAAUAUGGCUUUAAUUCUCUUGAAACAUAACAAAAGUUCAUGCCAAACUUGUACAAAAUGUACAUUAAAUAUUCACUUAUCAAAUUCUCCCACACUUGAAUCAUUGCUUUUCUCAAGCAAUUCACUCAUAAUUAGCUUCAUUGAUUCAAAAGAAAUGAAACAAUACAUGUACUUUUGUCAAAUUUAAUUCCUUAUGAUUGGAAAUCAAUCAUUAUGUCAUUGUUCAAAAUUGCACUAAAUACUCAUAAUAUCAAGUAAAGAAAAGAUAAUUAUGCCCUAAUUUUAACAAAUUCAACUUAAUCUCUCAUCCUAACCUAAUUCACAAAUAAGCAACUUACAUAGUCAAUUUAUUGUCUUUCUCCUCCUAUAAUCAUCUUUUCUCAAAAUUUUACAACUAAGAGGGGCUUAUUCUUACUUGAUUUUACUUAAAUAGUGAAAAUGCCUUUUGACGCAAAAAUCGACACUUUUAGGUGAAGAUUCUCGUUACUCAACAUUUCACUUAUUUAAAUUGCUAUGCAUACUCUUAAUUCAAAUACCUUUUUACGCAAAUGUCGAUAUUUGUAGAUGCCAACCCCGGUUAUUCGGUACAAGAAUCAUUGAAGUAGAACAAUUUUUUUAUUUUCUUUUAUAUAUUUUUUAUUAGAAAAAAAUAGAUUUUUCCUCAUAGAAAAUUAUAGUAUAACCUUUUAUAAACUAUAUCAAUCACUUAUUUGGAAAAUUAAGUAAAGAGGAGAAAUAUCGUUAAACAUGCAAAAUUAUAGGCAUAAUUUUCCUUACUUAAUUGGAUAUAUUUUCUAAAAUGCAAAAAUUCUAAUUGCAUAAUAACCAAUUCCAAGUUAACUGAGGAUUAAAUCUUCCCAAAAUACAUAUAACAUUUCAACAAAUGGAAGAAUUAGACAUUCAGGUUGGAACAAUUUGGCCCACAAAAGUGCAAAUAUUUGAGAUAUUUUGGCUAUAAUGAAAUAUUGGAAAUUUUUUGGAAAAAUUUUGACAGAGUUUCCCCUUAUAAAUGGACAAAACUCCCUGUCAACAUUCCCAAUUUCAAGAAAAUUAUCCACAUAUCAAUAUUUCCAAAUAUAAUUCCAAUAUUUCUAAACAACAAUGAACUGAAAACAUGCACUUCAAGACCACAAUCAAGGCAUAAGGUAAAAAACCCUCCCCCACACUUAAAAUUCAUAGUGUCCUCAUUGUGAAAGAAAGGAAAAGAAACUAGUACUCCCCUAUAAAGAAGUGGUGAUGCAAUUUGAAGCCACGCAUCACGAACAACCAAAUUCUAUUCAAACCGAAACAAGGGAUAAGGUGAACAUAAGGAGCACAAGAUUAACAAAAGAAAUGAAGACUUCGAGGUUUAAACAUAAGAAAAGCAAGAAAAACAAAAGACUUGAAAGCUAUUAUGUUCACAACAAAAGAAACAUCAUGAGAGGGAUCUUCACGGCUGUGUAGAAUGAGGAUCAACGCGCUCAGUAGCACCUUGUGGCCCAUGGGAUGUGCCAAUGUGACCUUCCUCAGUGGUAGGCAUCAGAGAAGGCAAACGACGUAUAUGAAAAUGAUCCUCAAUGCUCGAAGACGUCGAUCAUGCCUCUCCAAUCUCUCUGUGAGUAUACGCUCGUGUUGGUCAAUACGCUCCAUGACUCUGGUCUCCAUGUAGCAGAUGGCAUUGAGAAUCUCUUGCCACCGAGACCUCGAGGGAGGGGGUGGAGGUGAAAUGGGAGUAAGUGGAGUUAGCUGUGCCUCCAUUUCUUGAGCUUCCGAUCGUGGUAUAGGAUGAGGUGGAGGCUGAGCAGAGUAGAAGCUUCACCAGUGUUGCGAACCAAAGAAGCGCCAAAGUCUGUUGGAAUACCCAAGGACUUGAGUAAUGAAACAUUGACUUCAUCGGCAGCCUUAGUGGCAAUGGCUCGCUCGACUCCUAGAGGAACCUUGAGCUUCUCAAAAAGAAGGGAUAGAAGACAAGGAAAUCCAAAACAGGUUUCGCGGCCCUCGUGCGAGCUGUGGUACGCAUAUAGCUAAUAAUGAUGCUGCCGAGAGAAAUUCCUGUCAACUGCCAACUUAUUCCAUUCAUCAUCUUAUCCAAAAAGUAUAAGCCGCUAUUUCGGACCUCCCUUUUACCACUUCUCUUAGGUAUCACAUUAAAGGCAAAGAGAUAGAAAAUAAGGUGGUACCUAGGCUCAAAUGAAUCGGCAUAAAUGAGGAGCUUCUUUGAACUUUCUCAUUCAUGGUAUUAACCCUUAAGAUGUGAUACGACUUCCCCGACUUGCCAUGGAUCAUGUGUAUUAAAUUCCUUGGUCAAUUUAACAUCCACUCCCUCGUCCUUGAGUUUGACAAAUCAAGCGAUUGUCUCCCAGGUGAUGGCCACUCUCUUGUCUCGAACCCAAGAGACAAUGAGAUUCCCACUAUGGCUCUGCUUGUCGUCCACAUUAGCAUAAAAUUCUCGGACCAAGUUGGGGUAGUAAUGCCGAGACAACUUCAGAAUAUUGGCCUAUCCGAGUUGACCAAAGGUGGUGGACACCUUGUAAUGAUUGUCCACCUCAGGUGCCAACUGCUUCUCAAUUAUGAUCUCCUUGUCCAAUCCGGUUUCAUACCACUGUUGGUUUUCGAGCCAAGUGAAUCGCGUGGUAUCAUAGUUCGGAGAUGGCUCCUCAUGGCUAGUAGAUGUUUUUUUCGUCGUGAGCGAGGCAGUGACUCAAGUGAGGAAGAUUCUUCCACGGGAGAAAGGGACUCCUCAAGUACCGAGGAGUAUGCUCUUCACUUGAAGAAGGUCUUCUUGAGACAUGUUUUCCAGUCUAGAAAGAUGAUCAGCGACUAAGUUCUCGGAUCCUUUUUUAUCUUUGAUCUCAAUUCAAAUUCCUACAAUAAUAAAAUCCAUCGAAAUAGUCGAGAUUUUGCAUCUUUCUUAUUUAAGAGAUAUUUGAGCUGCUGCAUGGUCGGUAUAAAUGAUGACUUUAGAUUCUACUAAGUACGAUCUAAACUUAUCCAAUGCAAAUAUCAUUGCUAACAACUCCUUCUCUGUUGUUGCAUAAUUGACUUGAGUUUCAUUUAUCAUUUUACUUGCUUAAUAAAUGACAUGAAGUUGCCUAUCAUGCUUUUGCCCAAGAACAGCUCCAACUAUAAAAUCACUCGCAUCACACAUCAAUUCGAAUGGCAAGCUCCAAUCCGGUGAUGCUAUUAUUGGUGCGGAGACAAGUUCCUUCUUCAACCUAUUAAAAGCAAAUAAAUACUCAUCAUUAAAGUGAAAAGGAACAUUUUUUUGCAAGUAAUUCACAUAAAAGUUUAGCAAUCUUGGAGAAAUCCUUAAUAAAUCAUCGAUAAAAUCCCACGUGUCCAAGAAAGUUUCGAAUGCCUUUCAUAUUGGUAGGUGGAGGCAUUCUCUCAAUAACCUCUAUCUUGGCUUGAUUUAUCUCAGUAUCUUGUGAAGAAAUUUUGUGCCCUAGAAUAAUACCCUCAUAAACCAUAAAGUGACAUUUUUUCCAAUUGAGUACAAGAUUUGUUUUUUCACAUCUCUGCAAAAUUAAAUCUAAAUUGUUAAGACAAUGAUCAUAAGUAGAUCCAAAUACAGAAAGGUCAUCCAUGAAAAUUUUCAUGAUUUUCUCAUUAAAGUCGGAGAAAAUUGCCAUCAUGCAACAUUGGAAAGUGGCCGGCGCAUUGUACAGUCCAAAAGGCAUUUUUCGAAAUACAAAAGUGCCGUAGGGACAGGUGAAUGUGAUUUUCUCUUGAUCUUCCGGUGCAAUGACUAUUUGAUUGUAUUAUGAAAAACCAUUCAAGAAACAAUAAAAUUCAUAACCAGCCAACAUUUCUACCAUUUGAUCAAGAAAAGAAAAAGGAAAAUGAUCCUUUUUAAUAUCUGCAUUUAGUUUUUUAUAAUUAAUACAAACUCGCCCCCAACUAUAACUCUAGAAGGAAUCAUUUCAUCAUUUUUACCACAUACUAUGAUUAUUCCCCCUUCUUUGGCACUACAUAAAUAGGAGAAAUUCAAACACUAUCAAAGAUUGAAAACAUUAUACCUGCAUCCAGCCAUUUAAGGAUUUCUACCCUUAUCACUUCUUUCAUGUUUGGAUUUAACCUUCUUUGAGUUUCAACAACCGGUUUAGAAUUUUCUUCUAACAAAAUCCGGUGCAUACAAAUAGUUAGACUAAUUCCCUUGAUAUCAGAAAUCAUCCAUCCUAUGGCCUUUAAAUGCUUCCUCAAAACACGUAAGAGCUUUCCUAGUUGUUCCUCAUCUAGUGCAGCAUUGACAAUCACUAGCAAUGUCUCAUUUUCUCAAAGAAAUGCAUAUGUGAGGUGUUUAGGAAAUGGCUUAAGCUCAAGCCAUGGAGUUUGCUCAUACGAUGGCGGAGGUAGCCCUUUGCUCAACCCUAACUCCUCAUACGCAUUGCUCCUUUUGUAAGGAACCUGUGCCUGCAAAAAUUCAAUCAUUUCUUCAAUUUGUUCCUCUUGUAAACCUACACCAUAAAAACAAAAUUCAAGAGAAUCAUCAUCAAGAUUAAUUUAACUCAUUUCUAAUACCAGUUCAUCAUAUAUGUCAACAGAAUAAACAUAGUCGGUAAAAGAGGGGUACUUCUCCACUUUACUCAAAUCAAACUCCACUUCCUCUUUACCAAUUUGGAACUUGAACUUACCACGUUUAACAUCUAUUAUAGUACCUGCAAUAGCCAGAAAUGGUCAGCUAAGAAUAAUAGGUACAUUAACAUCUUUCUCCAUAUCUAAAACAACAAAAUCAACAGGAAUAAUGAAUUUCUACAAUUUAAUAAGCACAUUCUCCAAUAUGCUCAUUGGAUUUUUAAUAGGCCUGUCAGCCAAUUGCAAGGAAAUGUUAGUACAUUUUAACUCUUUCAACCCCAAUAGCCUAGCCACAGUUAAAGGGAUAAAUGAAAUACUCGCACCAAGGUCAUAUAGUGCUUUAGAGAAUUCUACAUUACCAAUAGUGCAAGAAAUUGUGAAACUCUCUGGAUCUUUCAACUUUGGUGGCAAUUUAUUUUGUAUGAUGGCGCUAUAUUUUUCCGUUAAUGUAAUUGUUUCACUAUCUACUAACCUCCUUUUCUUAGUCAUUAUCUCCUUGUGAAACUUUGCGUAUGAAGGAAUCUGCAAAAUAGCAUCAACAAAAGGAAUGUUAAUAUGUAAUUGUUUGAAAAUGUUGACAAACUUCUCAAAUUCUUUGUCAGUUUUCGAAGGCUUCAAUUUUUAUGGAAAUGGCACCGGUGGAGGAAUUGGUGUUGUCUCUUCAAUUUGUGACUCACACUCUUCCACCUUUUCUUUCCCAUUAAUUUUCUUGCUAUCCUCUCCUAACUCACUCAACUACUUGUUUUCUCUUCUUUCAUAUUCUCUCUUACAUUCAACUACAGGCGGCUCACCUACUUCCUUACCACUACGGAUGGUUAUGGCCUUCACAUGCUCCCUUGGAUUUACCUCAGUCUUAUUAAGUAAAUCCCCUUGGUUGCGAUUCUUAACUGCAUUUGCUAUUUGCCCUAAUUGGAGCUCAACAUUCCUGUACAUAUUGGUGAGUUGGCCUAUCCUUCCCUUAAUUCUUUCAAACCGUUGAGUAGUGGCACUGGUUAACUUUUCAAUUUUAUCAUUUGAUACAUUUGCCAGCUUCUCAAUUGCCAAUUCCUAAGCUAGUUUGGACUCCGGAAGUGGUUGCUUUGGUUGAAAACCGGUGGAUUAACUGGUCUUUGUUGGUUCCCUUGAUCAUUCCAUCCAAAAUUCGGGUGAUUACGCCAUCCUGGAUUGUAGGUAUUGGAGUAUGGAUUAUUUUGGGGUGGACAGUUGUAAUUGUUGAGAUAUUGAACUUGUUCGCUGCUAGAACACAUAGAAUCAUCAUGAUUUCGGUCGCAAGUAGUAUAACAUGCAACUACUACUCCUUGAUUAGAGUUAGAACUAACAUGCCUAUUAAGCAUAUUAAUUACAUUAUUCAUCUUUAUAUUCAAGGUAUCUACUUCAAGCAUACUUGUGGCUCUCCUUGUAUUACCUCGUUCAUUGGUCCAUUGGUAGUUAUUAGCAGCCAUUUUUUCAAUCAAUUAUUGAACUUCCUCGACUGACUUUCCUAUCAAUGCUCCUCCCGCUACCGCAUCUACAUGCAUGUUUGUUGGAUAGGUGAGACUAUUGUAAAAUGUUUGGACUAUUAGCCAAUCUGGUAAACUAUGAUGAGGACAUCUUCGUUGCAAUUCCCGAUAGCGCUCCCAAAGUUCAUACAAUGUGUCUCCUUCCUGUUGAGAGAAACUAGUUAUAUCUAUUCUAAGCUUAGUAGUUUUUCCAAGUGAAAAAAAUUUAUUAAGAAAAGCCUUAGCUAAUUCAGCCCAAGUAGUAAAAGUAUUUUGAGGAUGAGAUUGUAACCAAACCUUGACCUUGUCCCUUAGCAAAAUGGAAACAAUCGAAGUUUAAUUCCAUCAUCACUAACACCAUUAAACUUAAUUGUAUCACAGAUUUCAAGAAAUGUUGACAAAUGAAAAUCUGGAUCUUUUGUAGCAUUACCUCCAUAUUUAGAUUGUUGAACCAUUUGAAUCAGUGAUGGUUUAAUUUCAAAAUUAUUAGCAUUUACCGUUGGCCUUGCGAUGCUAGUUUGAGAUCCUUGUGUCCCCAGUAAAGCAAAAUCUCGUAGAGCUCGCCUAUUUGGUUCGUUUUCCACCAUUUCUUCCUCAAACGGCGGCUCUAUCAAAAUUUCCUCUAUCGGCUGCCAAACCUCUGGUUCCUUUUGAUGCAGUAUAUGCCUCCUUUGUCUCCUUAUUGUCCUCUCAAUUUCUAGAUCGAAAGGUGCAACUUCUCGAUAUGUUUGGUGCAUACACUACAAAUAGAAAUAAAAGAAAUUAUGCAGCUUUAAUUGUCAAAAGCUAAAUUAAUGCAAAAUCAACUAUAAACAAUUUAAAUAAAAACAAUGGAAAUAUCUAAAUUAAUAGAGAUGAUUAGGCCCUAAUAUUGCCGCUCCCCGACAACGGUGCCAAAAACUUGACGAGAUUUUUAUAUCAAUGCAAGUUUAUUUCCGAACUUUACCCGUUGGACUAGUCCGAGUAUUCACUGAUUACCGGCACGUCCUCCAACUUAAUCUUUUCCCCUGGAGUGUUAAUUAGAAAAGCUAGAUAGCCGCGUGCCCCACGACUAAGCAAUUUCCUAGCCCUUAUUCCCGAAAUGAGCGCAGAUGAGGCUAACAUACCCCUCACGUCUAACUUCAAAGUUGCCUCACCUGGUAUACAAAACUCUACUACCUUCAUCCUACAAUCUAUCCGAGCACAGUAAUGGGCUAGCCAAUCCAUACAUAGAAUGACAUCGUACCCCUUAAUGGCUAGACUAAUGAGGUCUAUCACCAAUUUCCGCUCACCAAUCCAAAUAUUACAGUUUCUAUACACCUUAUUGACAAGUAAGGUUUGAUUAUCCGCAGGUGUUCUUACUUCUAAGUCAUAAGGUAGCCUUUCAACUUUCGUGUCAAUUCCAAGCAUAAACGUAGGGUUAAUAAAAGAAUGAGUAGCACCGGGAUCUAUCAAAAUUCUGGCUAACCGGUGAAAAACAAGGAUCGUACCUUCCACUACCUCCGUUGGUUCAGGUACGGAUUGUUGGUCCAGCGAAUAUACUCUGGCCGGUACCCUCGACCUGGACCCUCCAACAUUGGUUGGCCUUGGGUUUGACCUGGCAGUCGACUGAGUAUCACUGAUCAACGGGCAGUUGACUAUCUGGUGUUCCACACUUCCACACCUUAGGCAUUUUCGACCCUUUCUCCAGCACUCAUCCUCCGUAUGGUUCGAUUUCCCACAAUAUCCGCAUGUUACUCGAGGAGUAGAGGUCUGGCCUCCCUGUGGAAUUCCUCUACCUUGUCCCUGACCACCUUGGCCUCAUCUUUGGGCACCUCCUCUUGAUGCACUCGAAAACCGUCCACCUCCAGCCCGACGACCAGACUUGGCAGGUGGCAUAUUUCGAUCACUCCGCACUGACCCAUGGGCUCUACUAGAUACCCAUUUCCGUUUGGCGUGAAAAUUUCUCACUUGUGCCCUGGCAGUCUCUAUUCUUAGGGCCUUCUCCAAAACCUCCGUAAAUGUAUUAAUCUGAACUGCCGCCAAGGCUUCCUGUAUCUCCACAUUGAGCCCUUGCACGAAUCUCUGUACUCUUCUUUGCUCCGUAGCAAUCAGUUCAGGAGCAAAUUUUGACAAUUUCGUAAACUGAGUCUCAUACUCAGUUACAUUAGAAGUUCCCUACCGAAACUUAAUGAAAUCAUCCUCUUGCUUCUCCUGGAUGAUAGGCGGAAGGUAUUUUUCGUUAAACUCCCGUACAAAGUUUAACCAGGUCCAUGCAGUUCCCCCUCUCUCCCACUUGGCCCUAAUUACAUUCCACCAAGCUCUGGCUGGCCCUUCAAACUGGAAAACAGCGAACUGCACUUGUCUUUCCUCUGUAUAGUUUAAAACGGCAAAGAUAUUGAUCAUGGCCUUUAGCCAUUUCUCGGCUCUAUCCGGGUCGGGUCCUCCUAAGAACUUGGGUGGAGAGAAUUUCUGGAAUCUCUCUAAGGCCCUAUCUUGUCCAUUAUCAGGGUCCUAAGGUUGAUUUACAGGAAUUUGACUCUGUUGUUCCAUUAAACGGGCCAAAGUAUUGGUCAUUUGCUGGAUGGCAGUUGCUACUUGAUCUCCCCCUGCAGCCUGGGGUUCAAGUUGUGGCUCAAUCGUUGCCUCUCUCUCCUCUCUCGAUUCUGGCAUUGGUUCCUGUGCUUGUCUACCCCCACGACCCCGACUAGGACCGCGUCCUCAGUUAGUUUCCUUGGUUUGACUUCUUCUACCCUCCAUGUUUUGGAUUUAACCAACUAUAAACAUAUAAACAAGGUAAGGUAUAACUCGUACAACACAUUACAAAAGGAGAAAUAGAGGCAAUAGAACGCGUAAUAAACAAGUACUUUAUAUACAUAGCAAACAAGUCACAUAUACAUGCCAACUUAGGCAAGUUAAAGGUUAUACUAGUCAAGGAACAUAGAACAAAAGAAACCCUAUUUACAUCCACCGUGACACGUCAAAGUCAAAAACAAAAGAAAACGUGUCGUCCUACUAUGUUCCUAACUAUCCCACAAAAAUUUUCUCAGUCCUCAAUCCUAACAAAAAGUCGCUUGGCUAGACGCCGACCCAACCGACUCCGAGGAUGCACUCGGCUCCUCCUCUGGGUCCUCCUCAGGAUUCUUCUCCGGAUUCUCCUCAGGAGCACCAGGAACCUCAGGGGCUACAGGUGCUUGACCCUCAUCGGCCAAGUCCUGUAUCACAUCCUCCACCAGUGCCUCGCACUCGAUCAGGAUAUGGCCGGUCCGGUCUCUGAUAUCCUCAACUACUCGCAUGAGGUGUCCAGUCGUCGCCUGAGCCUGCUCGCGAAAAGCAUCAGUCCGCUGCUGCUCCUCCAACACUGAGACCUCCAAUUCUCGGAUCCUAGCUUCCUGGACUCGGAGAGUAGCCUGGAGACGCUCAAUCUCCGUUUGGCACCUACGAUUGGUGCUACCCAAUCGUCUCCGCUCAUCGUCCACGGCAAGCACUACUCGAUCAGAGUAGGAGUAGGUCUUCCAACAGUCGCAGCGUCGGAUCUUGCGCGCUGGGGACCACCGUUGCACCAGCCCACUGGGGCUCUCCUGGUAUGUGAUCACGCAACAAACGGGCCCCUCCAGAUGUGGCUCGUCAGUAGGUACGUCAGUAGGCACAGGCUAAGACGGCCCAGCACUCCCAGAGGCGUCAGUACCCGCCAUCACCUAAGUUUGCAAGUAACAUUGCAAAAGUAAGUACACGAGACAUAGAAAACAAAGCUAAAGGCUAAACUCAAGAACAAAACCCUAGCCUAUCGUAUCAAAUACUCAAUCUAUCCAGAUCAAUUCACAACCUAGACUCUGAUAUCACCUGUGACGACCCCACCUCUCCCUAAGGCGUACCAAAGGGUUUGGCGGACCGCCUGCCCAACUCUCGCCAGGACUCACUCACUCGAAUCACGUGUAUACAUCCAUGGACCAUAAAUAACAUCGCGAUUCAAUCUUAUAAUUUACAUUGAUAUAAGAUCAAGGUACAAAGCCUCAAUAUACCCCAAACGGGUUCAAAGUAUAUACAAUCCCAAUACAAAACAUUCUAUUCAAGGAAUAGCGCAAGUACAAGUCAAAAAUCAAAAGUUAAACAACUAGACUACACUAAUCUUUACACGUCUCACGCCUCGCUCGUACCCUGUAAGGAAAACAAAACUAACGGAGUAAGCCAAAGCUCAGUGAAAUUUCAAAUAUCAAAUUGGUCAUCAACAAAGUAAUAACCGUGUAAUAGUGAAAUAGCGAGCAAACAAGUUCAAUCAAAGAGAUAAUACUUCAAGUAGUCAAGAAAUAUAUGGAUCAUAUUCACACGUAAGGAUACAGUGACUCAUGUCUCGGCUCCUUCCCAGCUUGAUCAAUUGGUAGCUGACACUCCGUCAACUUUCAAGUAAUAACUAGUCCAGAAAGAAAACCCCACUUCACGCCAGUUUCCGUCCACCGAUCAACCCCCUUUUUCGGACCCGCAUGCCACACGAAACACGGGUGAUAAUACUCGAGUAUACCGUUUUGCCGAGGAGAUACACUCCACUCGACAUUACUAGUUACCCAGGGUUCAUUAUCUAAUCGACUAGGCUCUUGCCGGCUCGACUCGAUUAACUAACCACAGGGUUUCUGGAAUUCCAGGCAAGAUAUAAUUCAUAUGCAUGUAAAGCAAGUCAAGUGAAAUAGGUAAAUAAGAAUAAUUCUUAUCAAGGCAAGUGCGAUAAAGUACACUCAUACCCUAUCAAAUCACUUAUAUAUCACGUAAUCACGUUGGUCAAAGAUAAAUUACAAAUAUCAGGUUCAAUCAAAUAUUUGGAAGCACUCACUAACAGUAGUGCCUCUAGUGCUCGUGUCUGGGUGGUACUCCGGGUUUGGAGUUCAAAUCUGCGAUAAAAAUUGACUUAAGAACUUUGAAAAUCAACUAAGGUUCGGAACUUAGACGUUUCGUUCAAUAAGAAUCAAGAAAUUGAAAUUCACUUGAAAAAUAGUCGUGAAACAGUUGCUCGCUUUUCAAACUAAAGAAUUUGGUAACAUGUUUGCUUGGAAAUAACUUUUGAGUCGAAAGUGCAAGGAAAACGGAUUUAUAGUGAUUAUUACCACUUUUCCUAAGGGUACAAGUUUGGCUAGAUUCUAACGUGUAACCCUCGAUAACCAAAGUUAUAAAAGUCCUAGAGGGUUCAAGUGAUAUUCAUUUACCGACUUUACCCAAAUCGCAAAUGUAUUUCUCUAGUUUUCGAGUGUAGAUUUGGGCAGCAUGCCCUUUGUAUUUUCCUAUUUCCAACCAUUUAUGGCUUCAUUCUUUUCCUCAAUCAAACCCAAGUUACACAUGACACAAUUCAUUUCAAUAGGCAUUCAAUAGGCUCAAGACAAAAGAAGGACAAAAAUCAAACCAACAGCAAGUGCGGAAAUGAACUUAACAAAAGAUAGAUUUGACGGGUUUUUGCGGAAAGAACACAUCCAAGGCUACACUUAUCGAAUUGAAGUACAACUUAUACCGUUUCAAAGCUAAGACAAAGGCCUACAACUUUCAUGAAGAUCACUUAGUCCAGUUUCCAGUGUAACCUAGUCAAAUUCCCAAUUUACAGAACCAAAUUCCAACUAAUCGGCUAAUUAACUGUACUACCUUAAAAUGGCCAUAUCUUAGGCUACGAAAGUCCGUUUAAGAUGUUCUUGGUGGCGUUGAAAAUCUAAGACAGAGUACUAAAAAUUUCAUGUUUUGGAAAAUGGCUAAAUCAGCACGGAUCAUAGUGAAUAGACACGGUUAAUUGGAUGAAUCUGUCUAAAAUAGAUCACUGGAAAUAUCCCAGGGCAGCGAGGGUAUUUUGGUCUUUUCAUAGGCUACAUUCUUCCGAUUGGGCUGAAAUUUUGUAGACAUCUAUAAAAUAUCAUUCUCUACAACUUUCAUGUUUUGUGCCAAGCCUAAUUCGGCCAACAUCAUGAACUGGAACCGGACAGAACUGAAGUCCAAUUUUCCAGAAAUCUGGAAUUUUUCGUUUUUAAUGGAAACUUUCUUCAUUUCUUGCUUCAAUCACUACCAAAGCCCCUUAUAUAAUGUCAGAUACAACAUAUAUUAACCAUACAACAAGUUUAGACAGAAAAUCACCAAACCCUAACUUCCAUUCAUCACCUCAAAUUCAUCCCAACAACUUGGAUAACUACUAAUCUAACCAAAAGAUGAGUUAUAUAACAACUUUAAGCAAAAAUAAAAGGACCAAAGCCAUGGUUAGACCUUAUACCUCAACAAAAGAAGCUUGCAAGAGUAAUACUUCACCUCCUCUUGAAAUUUUUGGUUCCUCUAGCUUCCCAAAGUCACAACUCACAAAUUAAUCGGUUUAGAAUUUUGUUUCCUCACUUAGGUGAUCCAAUUUCAAGAUGGAUUGGGUAGUUCUCCCUUGGGUUUUUUUCUCUCUCUCUCUCUCGGCCAAGAUAGCAGAAAAAUGAGGAAGAAAGGCUGCUCCAUGGUGAUAAGAAGGUAAGACAAUUAGUCUUGGUCAAGGCCCUUAGUUGACCAACAAGUGUCCUCACCAAUUCCACUCAUUUUUUUUUAUUUUCCUUGCCAUUUUGGUCCAAAUUUUUGGUCAAAGCCAGCUGGAAUUGAGGGGAUAUUUUGCUCAAAUAUUAAUGAGCUUGUAUGGUAAGAAGGUGGUGGUCAAGUGGUGCGUUUAAUCAUUAGUGCACGGUACCCGUCGGUUCGCAAUGUUUUUCCUUAAAUCACACGUACUAGGGUUUUUACUUCCCAUUCACUAACUUUUUAUCAUUGCUCCUCAUCACAUAUUAUUUCUUACCUAAAAGUCACUCUUAAGCACCAAAUUUGAUUCUCACACCGUACCGGAUAAUUACACUACGGAUACACGUGAAAACCCUAACUUGCUCCAACUUGAAAACGAAAAGUGAAACCCUACUUUCUAAGUUCAUUUGCACUUAUUGUGGAAUGAUUGGGUAGUAGGGUUAUAAUAAAUGAAUACUCUCCAAAUAAAAGGGUAUUUUUGGGAAAAAUAUAAGGAAUUUGCAAGUCCUCACAACAACCAUCAUCCAUAUCAGAUAUGUCCCUUGAAGAUAUAAUAGAAUUAGUAACUGCUAACACAUCAACUUCAGCAGGAGAUAAUGGAUUUUCAACAACAAGAGUGUCAAGAACGAUCAUCCAUGUCAGGUAUGUCUCUUGAAGAAAUGAUGAAAUUAUCAAUUACUAAUACAUAUCGAUUUGAAUAGGAGGUAAAAAUGAGAAGUGGAGAGAUGGAGGAUGGAAUGUGUCAAGAACGAUCAUUUAUAUCAGAUAUGUCUCUUGAAGAAAUGAUAUAUUAUUUUCAACAGGAAACACAAAGAUUAAUUAGAAGAAUGGAAGAUGGAAAGUGUGAAUUGGCAUCUACAAUGAGCAAAUUGAUUUCUCUAAUUUAUGAAGAAUUGCCUUCAUAGACCAUCAUCGACCUUCAGGAAGAUGAGAAUGUGGUUAUCCUGACAAGUGACAUGGAGUUGCAAGAUUCUCAAGAAGAAAGAUCUAAAGAUUUAGUUGAAGAGGGAAUUAAAGUGCAAGAAAAGAGACCCCAAUACCAAAUCACUCAAAUGAAUGAAUCCAGUGAGUAAUCUCCAAAUGCCGUGACAUCUUUUCCAUUCCUUAAUCAAUAUUCUUUUGACUCUUAUUUUUUAAUUUUUGUUAGCGAGAUUGACUUUAUUAUGUCAGAAGAUUUUGAGUUUCAUAACAGGAAUAAGUUAAGAGUGAUGAUGGCAAAAUAUCUUGAACCAGUAAGUGCGCGUGAUGGGGGAGUGAGUGAAGAAUUAAAAUUAUUGUUGACUUGUUUGGCACCAUCUACUAGCCAAUGGAAGACUAUAGUUUGUGUGUGCAAGGAUUACUCUAUUUACGAGAGCUGUCAAGAUUAUAUAAAGGAUGAAACAUUGAAACGAACUACAAGAUUUUAUCCUCCCUGAACAAACAUGACAAUGUUUAACCAAAGACAUUAAAAAAAGGCACUUAUUGAGAGACAACCCAAUUUAGUUUUUAGUUUGUUUUUAUUAUUAGUUUCAUUUUAUUUAUCUUAGAUUUUCGAAUUUGGUGUGUUUAAUUUUCGUUGUUGAUGUUUUCUUUGUUAGAAGAUUUUCUCCCCACAAGACGUGCCCGCGUCUUGAGGGCAUGUGGUAAUGCGCUAAUUCUUCAUUUUUAUCGUCAGAAGCAUUUGGAUCAACAUGACGCGCCCCCGUCUUGAGGACACGUGGUAAUACACUAAUUUUUCAAUACAUCUUCAAAAGUGUUUGGAUCAACAUGACGCGCCCGCGUCUAGAGGCCACGUGGUAACUCAUUAUCAACCAACUCUAUCGUCAGAAGCAUUUCCACUAACAGAACGUGCUCGCAUCUUGUCCUAGGGAAGGUUGCAAAAAAGAAACAAUUUCUUUUUCUUUCUUUCUUUCCUUUUCUUUGUCUUUCUUUCUUUCUUUCUCUCUUUCUUCCCUCUUUCUCCAGCCGAGCCCCACAACCACCGCCAUUCGUUGUCAGCUGCUCGCCACGAGCAACUUGCCAUGCCGUCCAUCAUUUUUCUUCACUGUACCAUCCCCUACAGGCUACGGGUCUCUUGAUUCAUUAUUGCACAAGUCCAUCAAAAGGAUGGUCGGUUGGCCAACGUCGAGUUUCACAUGUCUUUUGCCUCUUACAUAUAGCUAUGCCACAACCCCCCUUGAUGAUCAGGAAAGUUUCGUUGUCCUUUUUGCUUCGUAUUCUAUUCUUUAUUUCUUACAUUGGAGACAAUGCAAGAUUUAGGUGUAGGGGGAGUAGUAUAUUAGAAAAAUGCAAGUAUAGGCAUUUUUUGUUGAAAUUUUUUGUUUGAUUUUUUUUUUCAAAUUUUAUCCAAUUUUUGCCUAUCUUUAUGCGUGUUUGUGGUUAUUCUUGAUAAACGAUAGUUAGAUUCUCAAAAUUUUCUAUUGCUAAGUUUUUAUACUCUAAGAUGUUAAGUAUGACAUGGUUAAAUCUAAGAAUGUUUUUUUUGUGAAUAUUUGAGAUUUAUGCCUUUUACCCUUUUUGGUUAAUUUCUCUAAGUAUUGUAAAUAUUAAUCUAGCAUUUUUUAUGCAAAUUUGUUCAACUAUUAAUCUUAGUUCUCUAUGCUUAAGAAAUAAAACGGAUUUGUGCGAUUUUUAAUUUUAAUUUGAUGCUUAUUUAUGAAUAGUAUUUGGCUAUACUCCACUAGUAUCGUUACCUAGUAACCGGAGGUCUUCAUUGCAAGUGUCGAAUUUUGCAUCAAAAAAAGAUGAUAGCUAUGAGUAUGUGGUUCUUAAGCGAUGAGUAACCGGACUCCUUCAUUUGGUAAAUGUCGAAAUUCACGUCCAAAGGUUUGAAUGGUUAAGAACUAAGCAUUUUUCUUGAAGAAAAAAACAAAAAAUGAGGGUUGUGCUACGAGUGAAAAAAAAUAAAAAAAAAUGUAUGAGUUUGUGGAUGGUUACAUUGGCCUGCUGAUCUGUGAGUUUCAGUGUUGAUAUUUUACUUAAUAAUUGAACAGUUUGCUAAUGGAUGUUGGUGAUAAUUGGCCUGCUGAUCUAUGAGUUUUAGUGUUGAUAUUUUACUUAAUAAUACCCCUUCAAUCUCUGAUAAGUGCCCAGAUUUCUAGAAUGACCACCAAUCCACGACUUAUACAUACAAGAGAUAAGUUGCUGCCUCAAGGAUCCUGUAGCUCCCGCUAGGAUCUUCCCUUUGUAUUUUAUGAUACCCUGGUGAUAACUAUAAUCAGGUAUGGCUUGGCUAUCCAUUGCUAGAGCCUGGAGUAAGUCCUUAGCCUUGAGAUUCCCAUUAUAACUAUCGAUCACCUUUGAGAGCCAUAUUUUACUGUAGACAUAGCAUGUACUUCCUCCUUAUUGUCCACUUGUCUCUCUUCCCACUCUUCCUCUACUCCUUUUCUAGACAAAGCAUCUGCCACCUAGUUUUCUUUUCCACUUUUGUAGUGAAUUUCGUAGUCCAUCCUAUCAACUUAGUGAGCCAUUUUUGUUGGAGUGGAGUGGUGAUCUUCUACUCCAAUAAGAACCUCAAACUAUAGUGAUUCCCAAGGAAAUAGUGCCUCCAUUUAGUCACUGCAAAAAUGAGUGAAAGCAAUUCCUUCUCAUAGAUUGACAACGACUGAUUUUUAGCCCCCAAUGCUUGGCCCAUAAAGGCAAUAAAAUGUCCCUGUUGCAUGAGAACUACUCCAAUGGCCUUACUACUAGCAUCUGUCUCCAACACAAAUAAUUUGUUGAAAUUAGGUAAAGCCAGCAUAGGUGUAGAGCUCAUGGCCCUUUUCAAUUCAUUGAAUGCCUCCAUGGCUUCUAAGGUCCAAUCAAAGCUGUUUUUCUUCAGUUGCUCAGUCAAUGGUUUGGUGAUCAAGCCAUAAUUCCUCACAAAUCUCCUAUAAUAGCCAGUUAACCCAUAAAUCCUCGAAGAGCCUUCACAGAGAUGGGAAUAGGCCAGGUGAGCAUGCUAUCAAUCUUGGCAGGAUUAGCUAUUACACCCUUUUUUGUUACUACAUGACUAAGAUAGUCUACUUGUUCUUGCCCAAAUGAGUAUUUGGAGAGUUUGGCUAGAAGGGAGUGUUGUCGGAGUAUGUCUAGGACUGUUUUCAAGUGUUUGAGAUGAGUUUCAGAAUCAGGACUGUAUAUCAGUACGCCAUCAAAGAAAACAACAACAAAUUUCCUAUUAUAUAGUUCAAAUAUGGAGUUCAUGAGGGCCUGGAAAGUGGUCAGGGACAUUAGUGAAUCCAAAAGGUAUCACCACAAAUUUGUAAUGGCUUUGAUGGGUUCUAAAAGUAGUUUUAGGUAUAUCUUCUAUACAUAUUUUGAUAUGGUGAUAGCUAGAUCUCAAGUCAAUAUUGGAAAAAUUUUUGCUCCACAAAGCUCAUUCAACAAAUCAUUGAUAAUUAGGAUUGGAAAUUUGUCUUUAAUGGUAAGGUUGUUUAAUUGUCUAUAGUCAAUACAAAACCUCCAGCUCCCAUCCUUCUUUUUGACCAAUAGGACAGGUAAGGAAAAUGUGCUGUGAUUUGGGUUUGAUGAUACCACUGUGGAGCAUUUCUUUCACUUGUUUUUCUAUUUCUGUUUUUUAUGUGUGAAGGUAUCUAUUGGGUGAGAUUUUGAAGGGCUUAGCAUUAGGUUUGAGUGGUAUAUGAUAGUCAUAUGCUCUGGAAGGGGGUAGUUGUUUAGGUUCUCCAAACACAUCACUAUAGCUAGCAAGUUUUUGGUCAAUUGAAUUCUGUAAUGUAGUUACUUGAGUGGUGUGGAAGCUGAUUUUGUUAGACUGUUUCAAAAGUCUCUUCCUCUUGUUCCUAUUCCAAUGAGGUUUAGAGAUUCCUUUAUUCAAUGUCACAGCAGCAUCUUGGCUAUUCCCAUGUAACACCACUUGUUCCCCCUCAUAGUCAAAGGAGAGAUUGAGCUCCUUGAAAUCAAAAGUAAGAGGGCUAUACUUCUUCAUCUAAUCCACACCUAGAAUGAGAUCAUACAGUUCCAAAUUUAUGAUAUACACAUCAUGAGUAAAAGACUAGCCUUGUAUUGUCCACUUCCACUUUGGAAUCCAACUAGUACAAGUUAGUUCCUUCCCAUUAGCAAUUUUGACCUUGAAGGGGCUAUGAGCUUGUACUAACUCACUAAACUUCUCUGCAGUGGUUCUUUUGAUAAAGCAAUGUGUACUACCUCCUUAUGGCCCUAACUCUACCCUUGUAGUUUGAUAGUGCUAUUGGACAUCAUGUCACCAUAUAGGCUAUGAAUUGUUAGCUCUACAUCUGAGCCUUGCUUUCUCCCAAAAGUUUGCAUGCUAUGCCCCUACCCUCUUCCAUGAUAGUUAAUGAUCUCCGCUUCUUCACUCCCUCUAGAAUCUUCCUCCAUUUCUUCUGUCAAGAUCAUGUGGAUCCCCUUGUUCUUGCAAGUGUGGCCAGGAACAAAUUUAUUUCCACAUUUGAAGCAAAGAUUAUGAUCUUUCUGUAUUGGAACUCAUUGGGAGAUAUCUUCUUGAAUGUAGAAUUGUUAGAGUCAGCAGCAGUUGGUUUCUUGGCUACAUAUUCUCCAAUAGGUUGAGAAUUCAUGUGCUUCUGUCCUCUUCCUCCUGAAACAAAAGAGGUCAUUGAUGCCCUUGCCUUACUCACAGCUUUAUAUUUCUUGAUCAUAGCUUCAAAUACGAUCUCUUCAUUUAUAGAUACCUCAAAUGCCUCUUGCAAUGUUGUAGGCUUGUGAAGCUUGACCAUUGUUCUGAUUUCCUCUGGUAACCCACUCAAGAAAUUGAGAUGAAGUAAGAUUCACUCAACCCUCUUGGGCAAAACUAAUGCUCGCAAUUCCUCAAAUUUCUCUUGAUAGUCAAGAACUGUAGAGGUCAUCUGCAGCUUGUUGAACUUAGCCACUACAUCCCCCCAACUUCACCAAAUCUCCCACACAACUCUUCACUGAAUUCUUCCCACCACACUUGUCUUCUAUCUAUUUUGAAACUCUGAAACCAAACAUCCGCCUUUCCCCCCUAGUGGAGUUCGACUAUGUUCAUCAUUUGACCAAUAGCUAUUUGAUACACCUAAAAGAACGUCUUUGCUUUUCUCACCCAUUCCUCGGGUUUUUGUCCAUCAAAGUGGAGAAACUCUAAUUUUGGAGUCCCAGGGAGAAAGGGAUUUCUAUCAAUCCUCUUAUUCUGCCUUAUUUCCCCUUCACCUCUCAUUGCUCCUCCAAAAUUCGAACCUCUUUAAGCAGAACUUGUAGAUGUUGAGAGGAUUCCUCUAUCAUUGUGGCUAGAUUUCAUCUGAUUGAGCUGAGCCACAAUGGAUGCCAUACAACCCCUUAUAUUAGUUGAGUUGGACUCCAUUUUUGCAGAAUGCGACUCAAAUUUGUCUUCCAGAUUCUUAAGUGCUUCUUUUGUGGAAUCUGUUAGGUCUGGUCACAGGAAAUUGAUAAACGAGAAUAAUAGGGUUCUUGGCAAUUCAAUAAUGACAAUAACAGAACAAAUAAAUCAAACAGAGAAACACGAAAUUUACGUGGUUCGAUCCAACUGACCUAUGUCCACGAGCGAAGGAAUAGCAGAUUUACUAUAACAGAAAGAGAGUACAAAACCUUAGAAAAUAAUUCUCGGGUCCAAAUGGCAUCUAAAACUGAAAACACAAAAGAGCCUAAAUAGCACUAGAUGCUUAAUGGCUCAAAGGCACAUGACUGGCUCUUUUGGUUUAAUGCGAAACCAAAACUCCUCUCAGAUUGGGACGCGGGCCCCCAAAACUCUCUUGGACUGGUGCACAUGUCACUUGGGUUGGUGCCCUUAGCACACUUAAACCCACUUGAGUCCACCAUAUUUAUAACUGCCAAGAUGAGAUACUUCUUUAUAAAAGUUCCGAUGUGGGAUACAAAGGCAUACUCAACAAAUCUCCACCUUGGCGUGUAUCCAACAUCGAUAAAUAGUAGACAAAUAGCAAACAAACUCCACCUUCUCCAUAAAAGUCUCUACGGAUCUCAACAAACUACAAAAGUCCAAACGAACCACAACGAACUACCAAUGAAUCAAGAUGCAAAAGGUUCAACAGGUCCCAACGGGCCAAGUCUCACAAAAGAUUCAAUAGAUCCCAACGGGUUAAAAACCACGAAUAUAGUAGUCAUGCUCCACCUUCUUCUCAAAACCUUCAAUGAGUUCCAACGGGCCAAAUAACUCUUCUCAAAAAUCCAACUGAACUCCAACAAAAUUUUUUUUCUUUCACUCUCUGUAGCACCCAAAAUCUGUUAUUGUCAUCAAGAACCCAAAAUCUGACCAUGACCCAAAACCUGAAGCUGAAUCUGGAACUGAAGCUCUGAUACCAAUUUGUUAGGUCUGGUCUGAGGAAAUUGAUAAACAAGAAUAAUAGGGUUCUUGGCAACUCAAUAAUGACAAUAACAGAAUAAAUAAAUCAAACAGAGAAACACGAAAUUUACAUGAUUUGGUCAAAUUGACCUACGUCCACGGGCGAAGGGGUAGCAGAUUUACUAUAACAGAAAGAGAGUAGAAAACCUUAGAAAAUAAUUCUCAGGUCCAAAGGACACCUAAAACUGAAAACACAAAAGAGCCUAAAUAGCACUAGAUGCUUAAUGGCUCAAAGGCCCAUGACUUACUCUUUUGGUUUAAUGCCAAACCAAAACUCCUCUCAGAUUGGGACGCGGGCCCCCAAAACUCUCUUGGACUGGUGCACAUGGCACUUGGGCUGGUGCCCUUAGCACACUUAAACCCACUUGAGUCCACUAUAUGUAUAACUAUCAAGAUGAGAUACUUCUUUAUAAAAGUUCCGAUGUGGGAUACAAAGACAUGCCCAACAGAAUCUAUGAAUCCCUGCAACCUGUUUUCUUGUUUGUGUAGCUGUUCUUCAAGAGUUUUCAGUCGAGUUCCUUCAGCCGUGGCAGAUUUAGCAGCUACUGGUCCAAGGAUCAGUAGCUCUAAUACCACUAUUAUGUCUUGAGCAGAAAGAAACAAAAAAGAAGGAAAGAAGUAACAUAGUAAGAAGAGAAAGAGAGAAAAGGGGGUUUAUUCAGAUGCAAGAAAAAAACUCAUUGCCUGCAUUACAGUUCACCCCUUGAACUAAAAAGUUGCAUUACAAUUCAACACUUUUCAUUAGUCUAAAAAGAAUUGAAUUACAAUUCACCCCUUGAACUAAAAAGUUGCAUUACAGUUCAGUCCUUGAGAUUCAUAACAUAAGGCUAACUAAAGGAUGAACUAAAGGAUGCUCCUUAACCCCUUGAAAAGUACGUGACUCUUAGACUUAGCAGGCACAUCCAUUGGGAUGUGAUGUGAGUGGGGUAAAGAGUUUCGCACGUUAGAUCUAAAUUUCUAUACGCAAAAUUCAAGUUAAAUGACUAGAUAAACAUCUAUAUAACAUUCAAACAUAAACAGCUAUAUUUCGUAUCUUAAAUUACCCAUAUGCAUAUAACAGAAUGUAAACUAAAAAGCGGUCUUUUUUUUCUUCUCAAACUCUAUCUAUUGGUAAAUCAAUUUUAACUAUUAUAGUACUGAAACUGCACACUAUAAGAUACCAUCCAUGUAUUGAGUACCUAAACUAAUUUGGGUUUAGGUUUGGGUUAGGUAUAUAUCCUUUUUUUUAUUCAAGCCAAUAGGGUGUGGAUUUAGACUGGGGCCUAAAAAAAUUUAGGAGAUUUGGCUUUGGAUUUACUAUAUCUAACUCAGCAUCGAUUUCUACCCAAUUGACAUGGUAUAAAGAGAUGUACUUUCAAAGGAUAAAAUUUUAUUUGUAUAUUAAGAUUCCGUUUGGGGUUGCAAUAGUUUAAUAAAAAGUAUUUCACCUAAUAGAACUUUUAAUAAAAGUGCUUAUUAAGUGAUUAAGUAUUUUUAAAUAUAUUGUUUGGAUACAUGUUCAAUAAGUAGUUAUUCUAUUCGAUAAUGUGUAAUUUGAAAAUUUUAAAAUAUAUUUAUUUCUUUAUUUAGUUCAUAAUAUAUGAUUAAAUGAUUAAAUUUAAUGUUUUAUUUUUUAAAAAUACCAAAUUUGAGCUUUUGCUAAAAGCACUUUUAAUACCAAAAUCUCCACUCCUAAUUUUACAAAAUGAUAUUCACCAAACGCCUCAAAAGGACCUUUAGUAUCCAAAAGUGCAUUUUAACCAAAACCACAGCAACCCUAAACCGGCCCUAAAGAAGAAUCUUUUAAUCGAGCAGACUUUAUUGUAUCCAUUUGCAUUAUUUGCUUUUGGUCUUGUAAGAACCAUGAAAGCGGAGUUGCAAGGGAAAUAAUACCUAGCAAUUGAUGGAUUCCAAAGGACUUGCUUGUUGGAUUCUCCUCCUUCAUCUGUUAAUUGCGCCGGUAAGUUACUUUGCCAUUAAUUGUUUUUUGUGAUAUAUAUGUCAUGUACUUGAUUCUCACUGUCUUACAAUAAUAUACAACCUUUUACAGGGAGCUUGUGAUAUUAUAGCCAAGGAUAGUACUGAUGCAAUCAAGCUUCUGGGCACAGAUGUUAAUAAUCCUCAUCGAAAUGAUAAGAGACAUGAUAUUGCUCAUGUCCAUGAAAGAAUUCAAUGCAUGAUCCUUCUCAUUCAUCAUCCCACAUGAUGCAUCAGAUGGAUCCAAGAACAAACGUGUUUUUCAUUUUAGAUGAUCUCAAGUUAGGCAAAACAAUGAAUAUCCUUUUCCUUGACGGAGAUCCUAGUCCUUUUGUCCUCUCUAGCCUAGAGAACAGUUGAUGCUAUCCCCUUUUCAUUGGCAAAACUCCCACAAAUUUUUCAAGACUUUUCAUUCCCUCAAGGAUCUCACAAGACCCAAGUGAUGGAGCAUACACUCCGAGCAUGUGAGACUAACCCUAUGAAGGGAGAAUCUAAGGCUUGUGCCAUAUCCAACAAGUCAUUGGUAGAUUUUGCGCGAAAGAUCUUGGGAUUGAAUACCAAUAUCGAAGUUUUAGCGACACAUUGCCUCACAAAAUCUAAUGCUGCUAGACUACAAAACUAUACAAUUACAGAAGCUCCCGAAAGAAUUUCAACUCUCAAGCUGAUUAGGUAUCACACAAUGCCAAUGGAGCGGGUGUAUGUUGCCCUACCCCCCGCUCUGUUUUAAGGCGGGGGGCGCCUCGCCCCAUCCCCCACCCCAUUUCUACCCCCGCGAGCACCCCUUCUCUUGCCACCCUUAAUCUCGACACAUCGACCACAAUAUAGAUGAAACACAUAUUUUAAAGCAUCUACUAUUUUAAAAAUUGUGAAAAAGUAUUAAAAAUAGAAAAAAAUAUGCUAAACAAAAAUAAGAAAAAAUAAGUUAAAAAAAUAAGUUCACGAGCUACAUUUGUGAGAGGGUAAGGUCAAGAUUUUAUCCUCAAAUACUCCUUUACACCCGAUAAAACUGAUGCAAGAUUAACUUUAUUCUUCUAAUUUUAAGGUAAAAAAUUAAUUUAAGCUAAACAUAUAACGUGUGUUUUAAUUAAUUAAAGUAGAGUAAAACACCUAAACAUAGCAUGAUAAAUAGAAAAAACUAAUAAGAAUGAGAUAAUUAGUUCCAAAGCUUAUAUUGGAAAAGCCAUGAAACAAUGCUUUCACAUCCCAUUAUAUCAUAUUCGAUAACAAUCAAAAGUAAUUAAGAGAAAAAUAAACAAUGAAAGGAAAAUAUAAAAAUAAAAAUACAAUAAUUAAAUGCACCUAUGCCCUAUAUGGGUGACAUCAUUUCCAAAAAGGAAAAAUAAAAUUAAUUACAGCUUAACUUGACAAAUGACAAACUAAUUAAACUAGUAGCCAACUAGUUAACUGCUAAGGACCCAAUUGAGAACAUUAAGGUAAAGUUUUGGGGUUGAAUUAGAAAUUACAAAACCGGGGCAGAAAUUAAAAGUGGAAGAAACUAAGGGGGCUAAUGAAGGAAUUUCAAAAACUAAGUCAUCUUUCCCACGGGAAACUCCUGCCCACCGCUGCAUUGGUUCCUUCUUCAAUAACGAAGUUGCUGGAAGCUGUAAAUCAUCAACUCUGGCCAACAUUAGACCGGCUGGAAUUUUCCCUCUCUCUCCCAUGCACAAACACACAACACACACACUGAAAUUCUUACAAAAACGCAGCAAAAUAGGAAAGGGAAAAAAGAAACAAAAGCUGGCAAAAAAUUGGGAAUGACAAGUAGGUCUGCAAACGAAUCGGCUCGUGAGCGGCUCAAGUCAAGUUCGAGUCGAGCUCGAGCCGGCUCGAGUCAAACUCGAACUCGAAUUCGAACUCAGAAUAUUAAGCUUGAGUAUAUAUAUAUAUUUUUUUUAUUUUCAUUUUUAUUUAAUAAUAAAAUUACGUAUAUUAUAUAUUUUUUUUAUUUUUUAUUUUCAUAGUAAAAUUACGUAUAUAUCCUUAAUAUUUUAUUAUUUAUUAAGAAAAAAAAUAUUAUUUUAUUUAUUUUUUUAAAAAUAAAAUAAUUAAUUUUUUAUUUUUUUCGAACUCGGCUCGACUUGAUUCGAGUCGAGCUCGAGCUUGAAAUUGCCGGCUCGUCGAGCUCGAGCUUGGUAAAAUUCAGUCGAGACUCGGUUUGAUUAGCUCAAAACUCGACUCGACUCAGCUCGUUUGCAGCCCUAAUGACAGGUCAAAUCGCCCAUUUCACUUCGUCUUAGAGACAACUCGGUCUGAGUCGAUCGAGUUUUUCUCCAAGUUCUCAAUGAUUCUUUGAUCUCCAAUGUGAUGUGGAACAGUCGCGGAGCGGAGUUCUCCGUUCCGUGACGACUUGGCCAAGUCGUCUGUCUCCGACUCUCCUUACUGCCUAGUAUCGAGAACAAUAUCCAAAAGAUGCAGUGGAAUUUCAGAAUAUCCCUUCCAAAUCUUGUCUGCUUUUCCUUCUCAUAGAUGCUGCAUAUGAUAAAUUCAUUGAGUAAUUUUCUGCUACGUCUCUCCCAUAUACCGAAUAGAUCGAAAGCUUAAGAAGUCAAAAGGGUAUUUUUUUUCCAGUGGAUACUAAUGACAAAAUUUAAUGGCGAAGCCCAACUGCCCAAGACUAUUCCAGAUUUUUUGGGGGAAAAAAAAAGAAACAGGAAAAAAGAGAGAGAAACAAAGAUGCACUAAACACAACUAAAAGUUUCACCGUACUAAAUCAACACAACAUUUAUUUAAUAGAGGAAUUGCAUUACACACGAGACAUUUUCACUCCAACACUAAGAAAAUAAGACCAACUACACUUAUUCUUGACAGAGCAGAAAUCCAGUCUCAAGGGAAUUGAAUUUCUCUUGUUUGGAAGCAACAUCAAGACUAUGUUACAAAAGCAGCGAUACAGACCUUCACUUCACUUUGAUUCUUUCAUGUUUGAUUUAUCCUAAUUUUGCUUAGCAUCAUUGCUGGUUUCCUUAUGGUAAAGGAGCAUGUAAGACUUGCCUCUUUUUGAGACAAUUAUGGCCUACAUGAUUGAUUCUAAAAUGACUGACAUUUUGUCAAUAAUUAAUUAGUAUCUCCCAUUAUAUAAUGAUUGUUAAUUGACAUCCUGAUUAAUUGAUUGAUAUUUUAUCAAUAAUUAAUUAGUAUCUUCCAUUUGUCAAUGAUUGAUUGAUAUCUACGUUCCAGUUAGCUACUGUCCAUUUGUAUUUGCCAGUAAGGGUCCCUAGCCUAGCCUAUAAAUAGCCUGUGGUAUUCCAUCAAUUGCACACUUUUGGGUUAGGCAUAGGCAAGAAAAUCCUUAUUCUAAAUUCUCCUUCUACUUUUUCCUUCUUCUACAUAUUUUGUUUUUGUUAGAAUAAACAAAAAGGAGUGAAAAACACAAGAAGAGAUCAACUUGUGCUUGACAACAAUGGUUAGAGGUAAAUAUAUUUAAAUUUUCGCUGCGUAGUACAUUCACAUGUACAUAGUUAGUUUAACAUGUGGUAUCAAAGCCAACCUCUAACCAUGUUGUUCAGCUUAUAAUUUCAUGGUUUAUUGAUAAUCUGAUAAAAGUUUUAGAGAUUCGUAUCAAUUUGAACAAAUCGAAUUUAAUUUGCCAUGGGAUCUGUAGUUUAUUUUCUCAAUAAUUGAGAUUUAUUGACUAAUCCUAUGUAUAUGUAUUAUUCAUAUGAUAUCUUAUUUGGUUAUGCAAUUCAUCCAAAUUUUCACCAAUAAUUUGGUAUGAUUGAAAGUAAUUUAAAUAUUUCUUGGACUUACAUAUUUGUGAUUGAAAGGGUUAUAUGUAUUGAUUGUUAUUAUCAAUACAAUAUAACAAUUCGAGAAACAUAUGAAAUGUUGUUAUAUUCAACAAUCAAAAGAUUAAUAUCAUAUUAAUCUAUGCAAGAUAAUUGGUUGACUUUAUAUGAAUGGAUCUAGAGGUUUAUUGAAUCUUUGCUACCUUAUUAUGAGAUAAAUAUCUGAAGGUAUGAUUUCAAUAUGAGUUUGCUUCCAUGUUCCUAUUGUUAUUUGGAAUUAUGUAGUAUUUUGUGCACUACGCUUAUGUUCAUUUAUCUCAUAUUAUAAUAUCAACAUUAGUAUGGUUGAUUACAUUUAAAUUUCAAACAAUUUCCUUUAUAAAGUGUGUUUUUCAUCUCAAUUAUUUGAUGCAUGAAGUAUUUUAAUCACAUAAAGGCUGGUGGUUAAAAAAAUGAAUAUAAGCAAAAAAGAAAAUUAUGAAAUUCUUUUGUCAAAAUACAGAUUUUUGACUAUUUUGAUAUCCUUAUAAAGUCUAGUACACUUUAUGUUUGAGAGUAGCCAUAGCAUCUCAAACAUUGAUAUACUACAAUUUUGAUCGCAUAUAGUUUAGGGAUUAAAAUCAAGGAUUUCUAGUCAACGAGUUGACUACUUAUUUUCUAUGAAUUUUCAUUAGAAGUUUUCUUACAUCGUGUAUUUGGGAGUAGCUACAGCAUCUCAAAUAUAUGGUGUAAAUAACUUUAAUCAUAUAAGAUUAAGUGAUUAUAAAAGGAAAGGAAAAUUCAAUGAAAUUCAGUCAAUAUAAAAUUUUUUGACUAUUUACAAAUAACAAGAUGCCAUGCUAAGAAUUUUACUUUUACAUUACUGUUUAGGAGUAGCCACAGCAUCCCAAAUAUUUGAUGAGAAAAAUUUUUCAUCACAUAUAGUUUGGUGAUUGAAAUUAUGAAUUUUUAGUCAACAUAUUGACUAGUUGACAAUUUUUCUUAUAAUGUCGUAUACUUAAGAGUAGCCACAACAUCUUAAGUAUAUUAGUGUUUGGAGAAAUUUUGUAUUUCUUUUUCACAUAUUGCUGAGUGAUUAAAAAAAUUAAAAAAAUGCCAUUUAUAUCAAGUUGCAAUUAAUUCAUUGAGAUAGUUAUCUGGCCCCACAGGGAGGUAAUUAUUUUGAUGAGAUUAAUUGACAUAAGAUGGUAAAUUAGAUAGUGAAUUAAGAGAUAUUUCUAUGCCCACAGGUACGAAUUAUUUCUUUAAUUCAUUGUUCUAAAUUACUAGUCUUAUGAUUAAGUAAAAUAAAUUCUAUGCAUGUUUGCAACCUUUGUCCAUAGAAGGGUUUGAAUUUACUAUUUGAAUUGACAUAAGGUUGAUUCAAAAUCAAGGUACAAAUUUCAUAGCUUUUUUAUGAUAUAGUUCUUGAUUGUUAAUUCGGUGUUUCAUUCCAAUGAUUUUAUGGUUCUUAUUAGCUUGAUUUUUAAAUUCAUUCUCUUUUGUUUUUGGUGCAAUUUUUAAAUUAGCACUUUCAUGAGAAUGAACAAACCAUUCUCAUAAUGUGGAUAUAUUUGCUAAUAUAGAGGUUGAGUAUGAGAAUUGGGAGCAAUUUAAUAGUUUGCUCAUUUUGUCUCAUAUUCAUAUAAAUUAGGGUUCAAACCCUAAAUUUAUAGUUAAAUCUUGCAUGAAAGCCAUAAAAGAAAUUGUUGCAAGUUUUAACUAGCACCAUUAGAAGGCUUUCUUUUGUGACACUUAAAUAUUGAAGUGUAUUUUAGCUAAUUUCUUAGAGUUGAGAAUUUUGCUAUAUCAUCAAUUAAAGUCCCAUCAAAUUGAAAUUGAGUUAUUUCUAUAGCAUUUCAUUCUUGAUUCUUUCAUGCAGAAUUUCUUAACCAUUCAAACCUUUAUAAUACACAUAAAGAUAUAUGGUUAAUUACUUGUUUUAACCACGUGUAUUAAGAAAGGAUAAAGAGGUUAAGAAAUAAGAGAAACUUAACCUUCAUGAAAGAAGAAAUGGAAAGAAAGGUAAUUUUGUUCUCAUUAAAUCAAACAACGAUAAAAACCAACGUUGUUUGUAAGAGAAUGAUAUUUGAUACUCUACUUUAAGGGAAAGUAACUCAAAAGAAAAUUUCAAUUGUUGAGUGUUAUAAAUUGUGAUAUAUUUGGUGAAUUUGCUAGAAAUGUCAAUUUACGCUGCCAGUAUAAUAAGUUUCUGAUUAUACGAAAAGUGAACAAAAGUUUCUUUAUAGAAAUUUUAAAAAAAUGUUCACAUAAAGAUAAGUGAUGUAUUAUUGCUCAUUUUAAGAAAAUUUGUUAUUUUUUUUUCUAAAACAUUAUUUUCUUGCUACUUUAGAAUUUCUAUUUUCAAAUUAAUUACUAUUGGGUAUGAUUAUGAAUCUCAUUAUCCAGUAGUAGAUUUUGAAAAUAGUAAAGUUAUUAAUUCUAAAGUUUCUACACUUGAUCAUAAUAAUUAUAUUGGCAGCAAGAAUGUUUAUCAUUGAGGAAACUUCUUAAAUUUUGGCAUAAGAGAUUGAGAUAUAUCUCUAUAAGGAAAUAAAGAGUUGAUAAAUUAUAAAUCUUUAAAUAUUUUAGAUUUAUUGACUAUAAUAUUUCAGGUAGAUUGCAUAAGUAAAGCCGACUAUUCAACCAUUAUGGAUGCCACAAGAUUUUCAUUAUAACACUAAAUUUUGUGAAUUAUUUUCUAUCCUUUUUGAUUGGUGAGAGAUAUUUAUCUCAUUAUUAGGUAACCAUUCAUCAAAUAUAAAGUUCCUUUCUUAUUUGAUAAAGGAUCAAUAUUUGAUACCUUUGUAAGUGUUCAAACGAGAAAGGAAAUUUGAAAUUUGAGGGAUAGAAAAUAAAAUGAAGGCACACAAAAUUAGGGGACUAUCCUAUAUGUGCUUAUUUUAUAAAUUCCUUAAUUAUGAAGUAUUGCUAAUGAGUAAAAGCAAUGCUUGAUUAGUUACAUUCCAAUGAUGUACCGUAAAGAAAUAAUGAGAUAGUUGUGGAUAUAGCAUUUUGACAAUCUUUAUAUCUUGUGAGUAAUGCCUUGAAAUUGAAGUAUAUACUUAAACAAUUUCCUUCAAUAUUGUUUAGACACCACUUUGGUUAUGGUAUGUAUGGAAAUCAAGUUUAAAAUAUUAUGUUCAGUUUUGUAAGGGUAAUUAACCUACACAUAAAGAAGCUGUACAAAGAAAACAACGCUAUCUUAGUUCAAGAAAUUUAGAUUCGUUUUACACUUUAAAAAUUAUUAUAACUAGAGAUUUAAAUUUCUUAAGAACAUGAAGUAAGUGAGUGUUUUGACUCUCGAAUGGAGUUUUGAAAUGGUAAGGAUUCAUAUUGACUCCUUUGCAUAUGAAAAAUUGAUAGCUUUUCUCAAAAUAAUUUAUUUAAUUAUUUUAGAUAAGCAAUCAAUUGAAAAACUCCUUAUCAAACAAACACAUAAAGAUAAAUCCACUUUGAACCUACUGAUUGACUUAUCUUUGAGACAGUGGGAGGCAAAAUGUUCUCUAUAGAGAAUUGAAACUCUUUGGUUACUAUGUUGUAUAUCUACAGGAGUUUAAGGAUGAAUUGGGUAAUGUUUUCAUAAGGUAAAAUUGGAGAAAUCUCCAUAUUCAGGAAUAAUGUCAUAAAUUACCACAAAAUCUCUACCAAAUUUGAGAGAUUUUAUUUAGGGUAAUUACGACACUAGUAACUCACUAUUUGAGUUACAUUAAAUAUGAAAAUAAAUAUCCUUAACGUGACUCUUGAUAAUUAGGUGUACACAUAUGUCACCAUAAUACAUUUGUAGAGAAUGCAAUUUAAAUUAUUUCUUCCCAAUAGUAUAUUAAUUUAUUCUUCAUUUGAUCUUAGAAGAAUUUUUUCUAGUAAAUUAAUAUAUAUUAAGGUCAGUGGGAGUAAUACUAUGAGAGUUUUUCUCAAUCAUGAUAUUUGUGAAAUCCUUCUAUCAUUGAUAUUCACAAAAUAGAAUGUAAAAGAUAGUUAAUCUAUCUUAAGACCUUCAUGCAAGAGUUCUUUGAUUACUUUUAACUAAUAAUAGUGCACAAUUGCAUAAUGUUCACAUCAUGCAUUGGAAUGAAUAUAAAUUCACCAAGGAUGCUAUGAAGUUAUACAACAGGCAUCUACUAUUUGUCAUAAACUUUGUCGAUAUUGAAUUGUAACCAUUAUAGAUAUUUGAUUUGACUAUACCCUUUCAUUAUGUAUACAUGAAAGAGCGGGAGUCAAAAUAGGCAAGUCGACAUAAGGUAUUCAAUAAUUAUUUGAAAAGCAAAAGUAGCUAUUGAGUAUACAGUAGCGAGUUAUUAUUAUUGAUCAAACAACUAAAGAUUGCCGGCUAAGUUGUUAAUGAUCAAAUAACUCACAUGGAACUCAAUAGUUCAUUUCGUAUUUUCCUAUUAUUCUCAAACUAUUGUUAUUAUCUAGACACUCGAGAUAUUUAUAUUUACAUGAUUUUGUGCACAUUGUUGUUCAUGUAUAAAGUAAGGAUCAUGCGAUCCAUAAAGUUUGACCCUGAAUAACUUAUACGAAGUUAUUCAUAAAGUUCUUUUAAAGCACUUAAUUAGGAAGUAUAAUACAUUGUAAUACAUGGAAAGAAGUGUUUGCCAUGAGAGCAUAACUGCCAUGAUUCGUGUAUUAUUAUUUUCUAAUUAAGCAACUAUUACAUAACUGCUGAAUUUGAUGAGUGACAAACAAGGUUUAUGGCAAUUUUUAAGUAGUUAGUCACUCACAAGUUAUCUGACUAUUUCAUGUGGGUCAAGUGGGAGAAUGUAAGACUUGCCUCUUUUUGAGUUAAUUAUGACCCACAUGAUUGAUUCUAAAGUGAUUGAUAUUUUGUCAAUAAUUAAUUAGUAUCUCCCAUUAUAUAAUGAUUGUUGAUUGACAUCCUGAUUAAUUGAUUGACAUUUUAUCAAUAAUUAAUUAGUAUCUUCCAUUUGUCAAUGAUUGAUUGAUAUGUAUUGUUAAUUGAUGUCUUAUUCAAUCAGUUAAUCAAUCAAAUGAAUCAAUUAGUCAAAAAAUAUUAUUUCAGUUAUGAAUUUUGGCAAGAUUUCCUUGAUGGAAGGAAACCCUAGGGAUUUUUGUAUUUGCCAGUAAGGGUCCCUAACCUAGUCUAUAAAUAGCCUGUGGUAUUCCAUCAAUUGCACACUUUUGGGUUAGGCAUAGACUAGAAAAUCCUUAUUCUAAAUUCUCCUUCUACUUUUUCCUUCUUCUACAUAUUUUAUUUUUGUUAGAAUAAACAAGAAGGAGUGAAAGACACAAGAAGAGAUCAACUUGUGCUUGACAACAAUGGUUAGAGGUAAGUAUAUUUAAAUUUCCGCUGCGUAGUACAAUCACAUGUACAUAGUUAGUUUAAUAGAGCAUUGAUCCAAGCUUUGAUUCGAAAUCUUAGAUAUGUAGCUUUCCCUCCUGCAAAUUAGCUUUGUCACCAUUGUAAAGGACGAAAAUGGAUUCAGGCUUUGACUCGAAAUCUUUCAUAUGCGUUUUUUCCUCCUGCAAGUUAGCUUUGUCACCACGGUAAAGAACCAAAAUGGAUUCAAGUUUUGACUCUAAUUCUUUCAAUGUAUUAGACCCAAGGUGCUCAUUUUGUUUAGUAAAAGCACCAGAACUGGCAGCAGGUCGCAAAAUGUCCCUGGGGUCCUUUCUUGCCUCCAUGAAGCAUGCAAGCUGCAUAUUCCAGGCAAAUGACAUAAUUGAAGAAACCAGCAUCAAUAUAUAUUAGGUAAGUAAAUAUAGUGGGGAAGGUAGGCUGCACACCAAAUUAUGAGCCUUGUGGGUCUUGCUGAAGUGUUAUUCUAUACAGGUGAACCUUGAAUAACUUAAAAGAUUAUUUACAUAAAUUUAGGACCUUUAAUUUCUUGCUUCUGAACCUUACCCAUUUAUUACUUCUCAGUCUAUCUCUACCUGUAUAAUGGAAAAAUUGGAGAUGAAUUUCUCUAACUAAUAAAAGUAAAGUGUCAAAAGUCAAGUUACAAUGACAUUUAAGUUUCGUACAGCCCACAUUGGAAUGUUUGAAAGGUGUUGGGAAAGGGAUAUCGGUACAGGCACAUAAUAUCAGAGUUAGUCCAAGACAAAUUUCUCUUUUCUCAAAUACCAGUUAAAAUAGGAAUAAACCAAAUCACCAAAUAAUAAUACCAGCAGUGAUAAUAAAAUACGAGAAAAAUAAAAGGCACAAGACACCAAGAUUUUUUACAUGAAAAAUCCAAUUGGAAAAAAUCACAGGACCUAGUCCAAUAAAAAAUCUCUACUAUCACAAUAAUGGGAAUACACAAGUCUACCCGAAAUAUUUGAGUGACAACAAUAUCACAAAUACCAAUCAAGCCAAUCUGCUACAAAAUCACUCCAAAAAAUUACAACUAUCAAAGAAGUGGGUUUAGAAAAGUGUUAUCAAACGAAAAGGAAAUUCGAAAUCUGAACCGGUAGAUGAGUAGAGCUCAAUGAGAGGAUUGCGUGGGUAAAAUUUUGUCUCAAUCGGGUUCCGAAUCACCCUCUAAUCAAGAUCUUGAAGUUUCUCUCUCACUUGCUCUUUCUCUCUCUUCAUUUUUUCUCUCAACCAGCAAAUGAUGGCGGUUGACUUUUUUUCUCUCGCACUAGGAUUGAAGAAUAAUUGCUUUAUGUGGCUGCUCAAUGUUCCGUCACAUGAAGCCCUCAAGUCUUAGUGACCUGUGUUUUGAGUUGGCCCACAAAUGGGCUGGCCCACACAAGUCCAACAAUCUCCCCCUCAAGCUCAUUUGGGGGGUUCCACCAAACUCGAUUCUUAUUUGCAAAACAAAAGUUUUUCCUUUGGCAAUGCCUUGGUAAAUAUUUCAGCACCAUUAUUAUUUGUAUGCACCUUCUCAAGUGUCAAUAACUUGGAAUUCAGUACUUCCCGAAUCCAAUGAUACCUCACAUCAAUGUGUUUGGAUCGAAAGUGGAAUGUGGAGUUCUUACACAAAUAAAUAGCACUUUGAUUGUCACAAUAAAGACUACUUCUCGUGUUUCAUACCCAACUCUUGAAAGAAUUUCUGCAACUAAAGAGUCUCCUUGUAUGCUUCAAUGGUUGCGAUGUACUCCACCUUCGUACUGGAAAGAGUGAUACACUUUUGUAGUUUAUUUUGCCAUAACACUGCUCCCUCUGCAAAAAUCAUCAAGUACCCAGAUGUGGACUUUCUAUUGUCAAGAUCACAUGCCAUAUCUGCAUCAGUGUAUCUAUCUAGUAUAGUUUUACCAUUGUCGAAACAUAGACACAAUCUAGAAGUUCCCUUGAGAUACUUGAGAAUCCAUUUGACAGCAUUCCAAUGCUCUUUACCAGGAUUAGAAAGAUACCAACUGACUACUCUAAUAGUAUGAGCAAUAUCUGGUCUGGUGCAAACAAUGCAUACAUUAAACUACCAACAGUCGAGGCAUAAGGAAUCUUUUUCAUAUCUUCUUUAUCUUUCUCACUUUUAGGACACUGCUUGAUGUUCUUUAAAGUGACCUGCAAAUGGAGUUGAGACUUCCUUAACCUUGCUCAUGUUAAAUCUGUUGAAUACUUUCUCAAUGUAUUUUUUUGAGACAAUCAGAGCUUCCCAUUUUGCCUGUCACCUGAAAUUUUCAUCCCCAAUAUCCGCCUAGUCGGACCCAAGUCUUUCAUUACAAAGGAUUUACUUAACUCCAUUUUCAACUUGUCGAUUUUUAUAAUAUCACGGCUGACAGAUGUCGAGUCUGUGCAAUAAUAUUACUAAAAAGUCUUAAUUACUACCACAAUUAAUUAUAGAACAAAUCCAAGUACUGGAGUAGGGACCCUAGGUGUGCAAUGGGUUACUUAAUUCACCCUGUUCCCGAAAAGUUUGCUUGAUCCGAUAUACUAGAUUUGUCUAAAAAAAUAUUAAAUUUGCGUAUAAUGGUAAGUAGGGUCGAUUUCACAGGGAACGGAUAGGAAAUUGUUUCUUCCCAAGUCAAUAGAACAAACUGAGGGAUAUUUAAUGGAGUGAAAAUAAAAAAAAAUAAAUAAAAUUCAAAAGCUAACUCACCAAGUACAAUUUACUAAAAAUAGCAAUUAAUAAAAUUCUACCCAAAGAAUCAACUUUUCAGGCACGAUCCAAUAAAAUGAUCAUCGAUGCAAAGAUAUUUCAUUCAUCUGUCACUAGAUUGGUUAUAGCUAUCAACAAGCUCCGACAACCAAUUCUUCCUUACUUUUUCGACAGUCAAGGAACGACCAUUCACUGCUUCUCUAACCACAAAAUAAUCCUAAAUACGACCGUAGGAAUUUAAUUAUCCACUUGCAUUACAGUUAGAAGAACUCAACCCUAACCAAUAAACACGCUAAGAGGGUUUAUUUAAACUAGAUCUUACGUUUUCCCAACAUAAAGUCAAUUAUGGUGGUUGCCAUUAGUUGUCAACUAAAUGAACAAUUACGGAUUCAAUUUAAUUAAUGUGGUGAUACUCAAUUAUGGUGAUACUCAAUUAAUAAAAUACCCAUGAACAAUUAAUCCAAGAAACGCACGAAUAGUAACGAAUCGGAAGAAAUAAUGAAAAUUCGAUUAGAUCUCACAGAUGUUAUGGACCGCGCCCUCGUGUCGACCUUUGGGUAGAGGAGAAAACUAACCGCUCCUCAUCACAUCAAUCUCGCAUGAUUUGAUUAAUUUCAUCCUCACAAUUGCCAAAGAAUUGGAAACGAUGAAUUAACGAAGAGACAACAGAGAGAGUCCUCACUUCGUCCCUCGUUUCGUUUUUGAUUUGAAAGAGUGAAAAGCAAAAGUCUCCAAGAGAGAGUUGUCCAAACCAAAAGCAGGAAAAAUGAAGUAAAAAACGGAAGCUAUCUCAAUCGUGUAGACCUCCCAAGAGCCAGAGAAAAGUCUACCACGUCUGACCGAAAGAGAAAAACUAAGAACUAAUCUAAUUGAUAUCGCGUGAAUCUAGUCUUUUCUUCUAUUUGCUGCCGAAAAGAAAAAGAACGUCUGACUCUCUAAUGAAAACUAAAGUUAAGGUAUUAAUUGCACGUGAAUCUGGCCCUUCUUAUAUCUUCAGUAGCCGUCGCCAGUAGAAAAUCACGUCAGGGGCAAGGCUUUGCUUGAGGGUUUUAAUCCCACAUCUCUCGCAGUUCACUUGGACGUAUCUCCCUAAUUGCCCACUUUUGCUGCUACCAAUCUCGCGGGUCCGACUUUAGGUAUAUCUCCUCAGUUUCUGGCGUGGGCACGCCAUAAAACAAAGAGUCUUCUGUAAAUUUACCUCACACGAUCACUUUUAAUACCAACCACCUACAAUUUACACAAAUAUCAAAUAUGAGCAAAUUUUCAAUUCUUAGUACCAUGAAUAGCCAAAAUUAGGACAGAAUAAUAGUGCAAAACGUACUCAAUAACUGCUCUAUCAGCGGCCAACAAUGAACAUGCCAUCUACAUACAGCAAGAGAAUAACAAAAUUACCAUCUAAAAAUUUUUUUACAUAAACGCAGUGAUCAGAUGUAAUCUUGUGGUACUUGUGGUUUGUCAUGAAGGAGUCAAACUUCUUAUACCACUAUCUUGGUGCCCGUUUCAACUCAUAUAAGCUCUUCUUGAGACGGCAGACAAGAUUUUCCUUGCCACUUUCUUUGAACUCCUCCGAUUGCUCCAUGUAGAUCUUCUCUUCCAAAUCACCAUGUAGGAAGGCUGUCUUCACAUUAAGUUGCUCGAUCUCCAAAUUUACAUUGGUUGCAAUACGCAGAACAACUCGAAUUGAUGACAUCUUUACCACAGAAGAGAAAAUUUCUUUAAAGUUUACACCCUUCUUUUGACUAAAUCCUUUCACAACCAAUCUUGCUUUAUACUUUGGUUGUGAGCCUCCUGAGUUUUCAACUUGUAAAACCAUUUGUUCUUCGGAACUCUCUUACCAUUAGACAGUUUCACUAAGUCAUAAGUAUGAUUUUUAUGUAGGGACACCAUUUCCUCUUAUAUGGCUCGCAACCAAUUUUCUUUGUUCUCAUACUCUAAAACCUCACAGUAGGACUCUGGCUCUCCUCCAUCUAUUAACAGCAAAUAUUCAUGAGAAUUAUAUCUUCUAGAAGGUCCCCUCUCUCUGGUAGAUCUCCGAAACUCAUCUUGUGAUGGCGAUAGUGGAGUAGGUGGUGCCUCAUGCUCAGGUUCAUCAGGAGUAGUAUUAUUACCAUCAUUAACAUCCUCUCUCUGCUCCGUCUCAACUCCCUCUUGAUUAAAAUCAACAGAUACUGGAAUUGGAUCUGGAUCUAAAUUUGAUCUAGUAGGAAUGUACCUUUAUCAAUGUCUUCAAUGGUUUGAUCUUCAAAGAAGACAACAUCUCUGUUCUUGAUUACCUUCUUUUCAACAUGAUCAUAUAGCUUAUAACCAAAAUCUUCAUGUCCAUAACCCAAGAAAAUUCAUUCUUCUUAAAUUUGAUCCCACGGGACUUGCAGUAAAUUUCAAAUGAUCCUUCGUACUCACCACGAUUAUCAGCACAAAUACAUUUUAACUGCUUGCUAGUUUCUCUUUCAAUUUUGCUAUGAAAAUCUUUAAAUACAUGCAAAACUUGAUCUUUGGAUUUCAAAGCAAAACACCAAACCUUUCUAACAAAAUCAUCAAUAAAAGUUACAAAAUAAACAGCACUACCAAGAGACUUAUCUUAUAUAUAGCAAACAUCAGUGUGCACUGUGAGACCCCGGUCAGUUCUUAAGUUUGAUAUUAGGUUAUAUUCAUUAUUGGUAUGGUAACAUUAGGUUUUGGGACUAAUUCGAAAAUCCUAAGUUGGGGUUAGUAUUGAAACCCUAGUUUUUGUAUUAAUUAUAAGUUCGAGUGGCGAUUAAAGCUAGUUAUACUAGUGUGUGUUUUAGUACAGGUACGUAUAAGAUUUGAUCCAUUUUAGAUACGUUAAGUGAGUUUAAAAGUUAGGAAAACCCUAAACUAGAAAAGUUCUAGUGAUAUGAUUUGUUCGAAUUCUAAAUUGGGUUUAAAACCCUAAUUUUGCCCUUGACAAAAAGGUUGUUAUUUAAUUGCUUUUAUGUGAGAUAAAGUAUGCUUAAGUAUAGGUGAUUAAGAUAGAAAAGUGAUUAGUGAAGCAAUUAAGUACGAUUAUAUGUUUUGGACUAGAUUAAGUUAUCAUUUAUGGAGUAAAUUGAAAGCUUUUCAAAUGUUUAAGGGCAAGAGUUGAUCAAAUGCAAAGUUGAUGGUGUAAGGGAUUGAGAGCAAAAAUGAAGUUUUUGUGUGAUUGGUGGAAAUAGAAAUAUCUUCCAAGGCUUUGACCAUCUUGUAUAUAUCAUAGGAUUUCCAUAAAAAACAAAACAAAACAAGAGAGAGCAAGAGAGAGGUGGAGCCGUGGAGAAGGAAGAGAAAAAACCAAGGAAAGUUUGCAAAGUUCAACCAAAUUUCUGUUAUAGAUUUUCAUCUUGAAGCAUAAAGAAUCCAUCUUGGAGUUGGGUUGAGUUCAUUAGUCAUCAUAUAACCUUCAUCUUGAGGUAAGAAAGUUCCUAUGCAAAGCUAAGUGUGGUUUAUGAUGCUUGGGAUAGUGGAAAUGAUGAUAAUAGUUGUUAGUUGUGAUUGAUUAUGGUGUCUCUUAUGUUUAUCACUUGAUUUUAUGGAUUAAUUUAGUGAAGAAUGAGGCCUUGAGGUUCGGCCAUAUGAACCCUAAUUAGGGUUUCACGCUAAACAUGUUGGUUAGCUUUAAUCUUGUGUUAUUGAACUUGUAGCGGUUGUGUUUGAUGAUUGAUUUCAUUGGGUUGGUGAGUGAAUGGUAAAAACUGAUUUGGGUUAAGAAACCCAAAGCUUCCUUAGGUUAGUUCAGCUUAACUAAUGUUUAGUGAGUUAGGGUUUGGUUAGAAGGUUGAUAGAUUAAGUUUAGUGAUGCAUAUAAAGUUAGGUUAGGGAUUAUGGUUAGUUUUAGGUAAUUUUGUAGUGACUUAGAGGGAAAGUUUCAGACCAUUUGUAGGUCAUUUAGAAGUUAGUAUAUGUGUGUUUAUUUGGUAUGAAUUUGGUUGAAAAUCAUGUAUAAGAACCAUAGAAAUGAAUCAUGCGUUUGCGACAUUUGAAACCGGCAAAACGGGUAAAUAGGGCAGCCCAGCACCUGAACUUGAGCUCCAUUUUUCUUGAUACUACGUAUUGAUUCAGAAGUUUCUCAAAACAUAAAAGUUGUAACCUCUUAAGUCUUGAAUAUGCCUACAAAAUUUCAGGUCAAACGGAUCAUUGUAGCCUGAGUUAUAGCUAGAAUACUUGCACCUGUUUUGUACACUGGAUUGUGUUACGUUUUUGAAUUCUGCUUCUGACCAUGCUCUGUCCAUUUUGAUAACAUGCGAACUGGGUAUUGACCUCUUCAUAGGAAAUGUAGAUCUUGGUCUUAGCUUCGAAACGGUAUAAAGUGCAUCCAAAUCCGAGUUCCGUAACUUCAGUUAUGACCAGAACAAUAUCGGUUGUCAGAACUGCCUUCGAAUUUGGACAGUUCUGACAGGGACGUUUGAACCCCUUUUUUCCCAUGCUCCGUAUUGAUUCAGCUUUUGGUCCAAACAUGAAAGUUAUAGCGUUAUGAAUGAGCUUUCUAAUGCCUUUGGAAUUUAUUAAUUUCAAUUUCUGAGUCAUGAGUUACGAUCUUUCAAACAGGGCCUAUUUGGUAAUCCGAAAUGAAAUGGCUGGAACUAUUUUAUGUAGUUUUGACCAAUAUCUAUUGGGAUCUGGGUUGAAAUGUCUAAAUAAAAGUUGUAGCUCUUCCUCGUAGCUUCAAAACGGUGUCUCACCCACCUUGAUCCGACAUUCCUAGCCUAACUUUUGAUCAAAACGGUUUGGAAUGGCAAAUCUGGCCGUUUCCGUUUCCGUUUCCGUGUCCGUCUCUAUUUCCGUGUGUCGUUUUCGCACUUGCAUGUGCUAAUUUUGCCGUUUUACUUGAGUUAUGCAUGUUAGUGGCCGUUUGUGAUAUAUUGUGAUGCAAUCUUCUAUUUCAGACGGUGACGGGUUAAACGGUACUGGUGGGACCUACUAGCUGUAUACGUGACGUGAUCUUUGCAUUUUUUUGCUAUACGUACCUUUGGAGUAAGUAUUCAGGCCGUUUAUGUGUAUAAACUGCUUAUGUGUUUCGAUAUGAACAAAAGGGGGACUUACGCGAGAGUGUACUUUAUCACACUCGACCUAAACCCUAGUUUGUACCUAUGUUUCCUCAUGAGAUGUGUAUACAUCAAUUAUUUUGGUGCUGAACCCCUUGAGCUUGAAGCUCGGGGUGACUUUCAUGAAUUUGUGAAAUACGGUGAAGUUGUGGGCCGAUCUCAAGACCUAGACGGACUAUUCGAGCCGGCCGGGAUUUGGUCGAAAUUAGUCCAACCUAGUCUUGAGGUCACCAAGUUCGUAGGUUCCAGUGGUGAACCAAGUUUGUGACCCCGAGCUUGUGACUCAAGCUCAAGUUUGUGAUUUCAUUCGCUCGAACAAGUUUGUGAGGUGAUUGGCCAGUGAGGGUGAUAAAGUGUUAAGUGAGAGUAAAAGUGGAGUUCUACGAACCUUAUAUGUGGUCGACGGAGUGUCGGCAGGAGGUCACGCAUGGCCAAUGACUUGGCUUUGGAGCCAACCUGUAUCCUUAAUUUGUGAUUGUUACUUGGUACCUUUGAUUUGACAUCUUUGUGAUAUAAUUGUUCAUCAAUGUGUAAUUUACGCUUUUACCCCUGUUUACUUACUAAGCUUCUAACUUACCUCGUUUCCUUUACUUUCCUUAACAGGGGACGAUGUGGGGAACUCCUUGGCACAUUCACUAGUAUAGUUAGGUCGCUUGUAAUAGUUGGACAAUUAAGAUGGUUGUUUUUGUUUUGGUGGUUUGUAUAAGGACCCUCCUUAGGGUCUACUUUUUGCUGGUUGUUAUCAUAAUAUAAUGUAGUGGUCUGAAUAGCUACUUUUGAAGAUGUAAAUGGAACUUUUUUUUUGGGAUUGAAUAUAUUGGGAAUAGUACUAUUUGGUUUAUCUAGUUUUGUUAUUUGAAAUUUUGAGUCAUGGCGCGAGCUAGGUAGGCGUCCUGUCGAUACCCUUGGGUUUGUCCUUGGGAGAAGUGGGGGCGUCAUAAGUGGUAUCAGAGCGUCUAGGUUAGAGGACUUGAGCAAGUGGGACACACGUGAUAGGCACUAGGCAUAUUUGAUUCUUUUAAGAUGAAUGAUCGAUUUUAAACUGAAAUGCCGGUGAGCUAAUGAAUUAAUGUUUGUAGGUAUGGAUCUGGACAGUUCUAGUGGUGCGAGACCCAGCGGCGUGGGACUGGGACCAAGACCUCCGAGUGCGAGGGGUCCGGAGGAUCGGGUGUUGCGUAAGCGGGUGAUCCAAUAUCGAAAGAGGCUUGGAGAGUCCUACAUUUUGUAUUUCCCCUUUGGUCAGGUGUUGCACCGACCCUGCCAGUGUUACUAUACGUACGGCUACCCUGAUGAGGUCGCCUUGGCAGUGGACGAUGAGCGAUGCCGCCUUAGAAAGGCUUGCGAUCGCUUGGCUCGACAGUUAGAGGAGGCUCGAGAGAUUGCCCACGGGCAAGCUAUGCGUGUUAGGGAUUUGGAGCGGGGCCUCCGAAACGCACACCAGCACCUCUUCGCUAUGAAGAGGCAGUUUAGGGAGAGGGCCCGGAGUAUUACGUUGGACUGCGAAAUCCUACUCGAUAUGGCCGCGGAGGCACCCCCACGAGCUACCGGCCCAGAGCUGAUAGGCGAGGUUGAUACUCUAGGUUCCGUUGGGGAUUGGGGCCUUAGGGGAGGCGCGUAGGGCCGUUAUUUGAAUUCUCUUUUGCCCAUCUGACAUGUUUUGUUCUAACCAGUAUAGCUGGUUCUUUGGUUAUCUGUUGGCUAACUAGAUUUUUGGAGCUCGAAUGCUCAUGUAUGUAAAGGGGUUUUGUACCGGCUGGAUGUCGGCUAAAUUGUAUAGCUUUUGGUAUGGCUUUGUAAAUAAAUGUGUAUAUUUGAGUAUUAUCUUUUGCACUUAUCCCUUGGAUGCCUUUUGUGCAUUUGCUUUGUGUUUUAUUUUGUUUUUAGUUUGAAUACUAAGCACACGUUAUGUUUGAAUUUAUAGACUUUCGCACUUAAAUGGCAUCCAGUACUCGAGGUAGAGGUAGAGGGCGAGGACGAAACCUUGAAAGGGAACAUGAACAUGAGCCAGAUCAAGUAGCUGGAUGGCUGACCUGUUAGAACGUAUGGUUGACCAACAGGAUUAGAGCCAUGGGAAUACUAUAGGAAACCCUGAAAAUAAUCCAGGCAAUCACGAAGGAGAGGACCGUGCUUUAGAACGGUUACAAAAAUUUGCACCUUCAAAAUUUAUAGGUGGACCUAAUCCUGACCUAGCAGAGGGUUAGAUGGACCGUAUGUUAGAUAUAUUUGCCGUGCUUAGGUAUUUGGAAGAGCGGAAGAUAACUUUUGCUGUUUUUCAGUUUGAAGGGGCCGUCCGAGCCUGGUGGAAUGUGAUUAGGGCCAAGUGGGAGCGGGAACAGACCCCCUGGACAUGGGUUAAUUUUACGCGAGAAUUUAAUGAAAAAUAUCUGCCGCCCAUUGUGCAAGAGAAAUGGGAAGAUGAUUUUAUUCGCCUGUGUCAAGGGGCAUCUAGUGUAGCGGAGUACGAAACCCAAUUUACAAAACUCUCCCGCUUUACUCCGGAGUUAGUGCUAACGGAGCAAAAGCGAAUUCGCCACUUUAUCCAAACCUUGAAUACGGAGAUCCAGAAGGCACUAGCAGCUGCUCAGUUGGACACGUUUAGUCAAGCGCCAGAAAAAACACAGCGGAUUGAGACAGUUAGGGGACAGGUAAAAGCCUUUCAUGAUCGGAAAAUGAGGCAACCCGAUUCGACCAAUUUUCCGACCGGACAGAGUUCGAGAACUGAACCACCUUUUAAGAGGGGUCAAGGAACAGAUGGUCCCCAACCCGCAGGAGCCCUAAACCAGGGUAAUUUUGGGAGAGAUCAAGUAGGGCAAGGGCCCCAAAAAAGUGUCAAACGUGGAGGGGCAAGUGUGGGCAUUAAACCGACCUGUGGUUUCUGUGGGGGCAAUCACACUAAUGAUAAUUGUUGGAAGAAUAGUUCAGUACGGAAGUACUUUAAAUGUAGUAGUACAAAGCAUCUGAUUGCCCAAUGCCCUAAGAUGCGAAAAGAUAGACUUAAACCGCCGAUUGAAGGGACCACAGCUAAGCCAUCAAAUACCAGGGAAAAGGUGUUAGAGUAUAUGCAAUGGGUCAACAAGAGGUGUUAGACCCCUCGGCGGGCAUCGAAGGUACGCCCUUUCUUAUCGGCGCGCCGCAAGUGUUUAGUAGACCCUGACGACACGUAUUCUUGUAAACCCUGCAAUUAUGAUUCAUGAAUAAAGGUAUCAAUUUCGAGGAUGAAAUUAAUCUAAGUGGGGGAGGUUGUGAGACCCCGAUCAGUUUUUAAGUUUGAUAUUAGGUUAUAUUCAUUAUUGGUAUGGUAACAUUCGGUUUUUGGGACUAAUUCGUAAACCCUAAGUUGGGGUUAGUAUUGAAACCCUAGUUUUUGUAUUAAUUAUAAGUUCGAGCGGUGAUUAAAGCUAGUUAUGCUAGUGUGUGUUUUAGUACAGGGACGUAUAAGAUUUGAUUCAUUUUAGAUAGGUUAAGUGAAUUUAAAAGUUAGGAAAAUCCUAAACUAGAAAAGUUCUAUAUGAUUUGUUAGAAUUAUAAAUUGGGUUUAAAACCCUAAUUUUGCCCUUGACAAAAAAGUUGUUAUUUAAUUGCUUUUAUGUGAGAUAAAGUAUGCUUAAGUAUAGGUGAUUAAGAUAGGAAAGUGAUUAGUGAAGCAAUUAAGUAUGAUUAUAUGUUUUGGACUAGAUUAAGUUAUCAUUUAUGGAGUAAAUUGAAAGCUUUUCGAAUGUUUAAGGGUAAGAGUUGAUCAAAUGUAAAGUUGAAGGUGUAAGGGUUUGAGAGCAAAAAUGAAACUUUUGUGUGAUUGGUGGAAAUAGAAAUAUCUUCCAAGGCUUUGACCAUCUUGUCUAUAUCAUAGGAUUUCCAUAAAAAACAAAACAAAACAAGAGAGAGCAAGAGAGAGAUGGAGCCGUGGAGAAGGAAGAGAAAAAACCAAAGGAAGUUUGCAAAGUUCAACCAAAUUUCUGUUAUAGAUCUUUAUCUUGAAGCAUAAAGAAUCCAUCUUGGAGUUGGGUUGAGUUCAUUAGUCAUCUUGAUGUAAGAAAGUUCCUAUGCAAAGCUAAGUGUGGUUUAUGAUGCUUGGGAUAGUGGAAAUGAUGAUAAUGGUUGUUAGUUGUGAUUGAUUAUGGUGUCUCUUAUGUUUAUCACUUGAUUUUAUGGAUUAAUUUAGUGAAGAAUGAGGCCUUGAGGUUCGGCCAUAUGAAUCCUAAUUAGGGUUUCAUGCUAAACAUGUUGGUUAGCUUUAAUCAUGUGUUAUUGAACUUGUAGUGGUUGUGUUUGAUGAUUGGUUUCAUUGGGUUUGUGAGUGAAUGGUAAAAACUGAUUUGGGUUAAGAAACCCUAGGCUUCCUUAGGUUAGUUCAGCUUGGCUAAUGUUUAGUGAGUUAGGGUUUGGUUAGAAGGUUGAUAGAUUAAGUUUAAUGAUGCAUAUAAAGUUAGGUUAGGGAUUAUGGUUAGUUUUAGGUAAUUUUGUAGUGACUUAGAGGGGAAGUUUCAGACCAUUUGUAGGUCAUUUAGAAGUUAGUAUAUGUGUGUUUAUUUGGUAUGAAUUUGGUUGAAAAUCAUGUAUAAGAACCAUAGAAAUGAACCAUGCAUUUGCGACAUUUGAAAUCGGCAAAACGGGUAAACAGGGCAGCCCAGCACCUGAACUUGAGCUCCAUUUUUCUUGGUACUACGUAUUGAUUUAAAAGUUUCUUAAAACAUUAAAGUUGUAGCCUCUUAAGUUCUAAAUAUGCUUGCAAAAUUGCAGGUAAAACGGAUCAGUGUAGCCUGAGUUAUAGCCAAAAUACUUGCACCUAUUUUGUACACUGGAUUGUGUUACGUUUUUGAAUUCUGCUUCUGACCAUGCUCUGUCCAUUUUGAUAACGUGUGAACGGGGUGUUGACCUCUUCAUAAGAGUUUUAGAUCUUGGUUUUAGCUUCUAAAUGGUAUAAAGUGCAUCCAAAACCGAGUUCCGUAGCUUCAGUUAUAACCAAAACAAGAUCGGUUGUCAGAACUGCCUUCGAAUUUGGACAGUUCUGACAGGGACGUUUGAACCCCUUUUUUCCCAUGCUCCGUAUUGAUUCAGCUUUUGGUCCAAACAUGAAAGUUAUAGCGUUAUGAAUGAGCUUUCUAAUGCCUUUGGAAUUUAUUAAUUUCGAUUUCUGAGUCGUGAGUUACGAUCUUUCAAAUAGGGCCUGUUUGGUAACCCGAAAUGAAAUGACUGGAACUAUUUUAUGCAGUUUUGACCAAUAUCUAUUGGGAUCUGGGUUGAGAUGUCUAAAUAAAAGUUGUAGCCCUUCCUCUUAGCUUCAAAACGGUGUCUUACUCACUUAGAUCCGACAUUCCUAGCCUAACGUUUGAUCAAAACGGUUUGGGAUGGCAAAUCUGGCCGUUUUCGUUUCCGUUUCCAUGUCCGUCUCCAUUUCCGUGUGUCGUUUCCGCACUUGCAUGUGUCAAUUUUGCCGUUUUACUUGAGUUAUGCAUGUUAGUGGCCGUUUGUGAUAUAUUGUGAUGCAAUCUUCUAUUUCAGACGGUGACGGGUUAGACGGUGCUGGUGGGACCUACUAGCUGUAAACGUGACGUGAUCCUUGCAUUUUUUUGCUAUACGUACCAUUGGAGUAAGUAUUCAAGCCGUUUAUGUGUUUAAAUUGCUUAUGUGUUUUGAUGUGAACAAAAGGGGGAAUUAGGCGAGAGUGUACUUUAUCACACUCAACCUCUAUGUUUAUUCAUGAGAUGUGUAUACAUGAAUUAUUUUUGUGCUGAACCCCUUUAGCUUAAAGCUCGGGGUGACUUUCGUAAAUUUGUGAAAUACGGUGAAGUUGUGGGCCGAUCUCAAGACCUAGACGGACUAUUCGAGCCGGCCGGGGCUUGGUCGAAUCUAGUCCAACUUAGUCUUGAGGUCACCAAGUUUGUAUGUUGCAUUGGUGAACCAAGUUUGUGACCCAAGCUUGUGACUCAAGCUCAAGUUUGUGAUUUCGUUCGCUCGAGCAAGUUUGUGAGGUGACUUGCCAGUGAGUGUGAUAAGGUAUUAGGUGGGAGUACAAGUGGAGUUCUAUGGACCUUAUAUGUGGUCGACGGAGUGUCGGCAGGAGGUCACGCAUGACCAAUGACUUGGCUUUGGAGCCAACCUGUAUCCUUAAUUUGUGAUUGUUACUUGGUACCUUUGAUUUGACAUCUUUGUGAUAUAAUUGUUCAUCAAUAUGCAAUUUAUGCUUUUACCCCUAUUUACUUACUAAGUUUCUAACUUACCCCGUUUCCUUUGCUUUCCUUGACAGGGGACGAUGUGGGGAACUCCUUGUCGCAUUCACUAGUAUAGUUAGGUCGCUUGUAAUAGUUGGACAAUUAAGAUGGUUGUUUUUGUUUUGGUGAUUUGUAUAAGGACCCUUCUUAGGGUCUACUUUCUGCUAGUUGUUAUCAUAAUGUAAUAUAGUAGUCUGAGUAGCUACUUUUGAGGAUGUAAAUAGAAUUUUUUUUUUUGGGAUUGAAUAUAUUGGGAGUAGUACUCUUUGGUUUAUUUAGUUUUGUUAUUUGAAAUUUUGAGUCCUGGCGUGAGUUAGGCAGGCGUCCCGCCGAUACCCUCGGGUUCGUCCUUGGAAGUAGUGAGGACGUCACAGGUGGUAUCAGAUCGCCUAGAUUAGAGGAUUUGGACAUGUGGGACACACGUGAUAGGCAAUAGGCAUAUUUGAUUCUUUUAAACUGAAUGAUCUAUUUUAAACUGAAAUGCCGGUGAACUAAUGAAUUAAUGUUUCUAGGUAUGGAUCCGGGCAAUUCUAGUGGUGCGGAACCCAGCGGCGUGGGACCGGGACCGAGGUCUCCAAGUGCGAGGGGUCCGGAGGAUCGGGUGUUACGUAAGCGGGUGAUCCGAUAUCGGAAGAGGUCUGUAGAGCCCUACAUUUUGUAUUCUCUCUUUGGUAAGGUGUUGCACCGACCCUGCCAGUGUUACUAUACGUACGGCUACCCUGAUGAGGUCGUCUUGGCAGUGGACGACGAGCGAUGCCGCCUAAGGAAGGCUUGCGAUCACUUGGCUCGACAGUUAGAGGAGACUCGAAAGAUUGCCCACGGGCAAGCUAUGCGUGUUAGGGACUUGGAGCGGGGCCUCCGAAACGCACACCAGCACCUCUUCGCUAUGAAGAGGCAGCUUAGGGAGUGGGUUCGCAGUAUUACGUUGGACUGUGAAGUCCUACUCGAUAUGGCCGCGGAGGCACCCCCACGAGCUAUCGGCCCAGAGCUGAUAGGCGAGGUUGAUACUCUAGGUUCCGUUGGGGAUUGGGGCCUUAGGGGAGGCGCGUAGGGCCGUUAUUUGAAUUCUCUUUUGCCCAUCUGACAUGUUUUGUUCUAACCAGUAUAGCUGGUUCUUUGGUUAUCUGUUGGCUAACUAGAUUUUUGGAGCCCGAAUGCUCAUGUAUAUAAAGGGGUUUUGUACCGGCUGGAUGUCGGCUAAAUUGUAUAGCUUUUGGUGUGGCUUUGUAAAUAAAUAUGUAUAUUUGAAUAUUAUCUUUUGCACUUAUCCCUUGCGUGCCUUUUGUGCAUUUGCUUUAUGUUUUAUUUUGUUUCUAGUUUGAAUACUAAGCACACGUUAUGUUUGGAUUUAUAGACUUUCGCACUUAAAUGGCCUCCAGUACUCGAGGUAGGGAUAGAGGGCGAGGACGAAACCUUGAAAGGGAACAUGAACAUGAGCCAGAUCAAGUAGUUGGAUGGCUGACCUGUUAGAACGUAUGGUUGACCAACAAGAUUAGGGCCAUGGGAAUACUAUAGGAAACCCUGAAAAUAAUCCAGGCAAUCACGAAGGAGAGGACCGUGCUUUAGAACGGUUACAAAAAUUUGCACUUUCAAAGUUUAUAGGUGGACCUAAUCCUGACCUUGCAGAGGGUUAGAUGGACCGUAUGUUAGAUAUAUUUGCCGUGCUUAGGUAUUUGGAAGAGCGGCAGAUAUCUUUUGCUGUUUUUCAGUUUGAAGGGGCCGUCCGAGCCUGGUGGAAUGUGAUUAGAGCCAAGUGGGAGCGGGAACAGACCCCCUGGACAUGGGUUAAUUUUACGCGAGAAUUUAAUGAAAAAUAUCUGCCGCCCAUUGUGCAAGAGAAACGGGAAGAUGAUUUUAUUCGCCUGCGUCAAGGGUGCAUCUAGUGUAGCGGAGUACGAGACCCAGUUUACAAAACUUUCCCGCUUUGCUCCGGAGUUGGUGCUAACGGAGCAAAAGCGAAUUCGUCGCUUUAUCCAAGACUUGAAUAUGGAGAUCCAGGAGGCACUAGCAACUGCUCAGUUGGACACGUUUAGCCAGGCGUUAGAAAAAGCACAGCGGAUUGAGACAGUUAGGGGACAGGUAAAAGCCUUUUAUGAUCGAAAAAGGAGGCAACCCGAUUCGAGCAAUUUUGCGACCGGACAGAGUUCGAGAACUGAUCCACCUUUUAAGAGGGGUCAAGGAACAGAUGGUCUCCGACCCGCAGGAACCCUAAACCAGGGUAAUUUUGGAAGAGAUCAAGUAAGGCAAGGGCCCCAAAAGAGUGUCCAACGUGGAGGGGCAAGUGUGGGCUUUAAACCGACCUGUGGUUUCUGUAGGUGCAAUCACACUAACGAUAAUUGUUGGAAGAAUAGUUCAGUACGAAAGUGCUUUAAAUGUGGUAGUACAGAGCAUCUGAUUGCCCAAUGCCCUAAGAUGCAAAAAGAGAGACUUAAACCGCCGACUGAAGGGACCACAGCUAAGCCGUCAAAUACCGGGGAAAAUCGACCCAAAGGACCAGUUAGAGUAUAUGCAAUGGGUCAACAAGAGGUGUUAGACCCUUCGGCAGCAUCGAAGGUACGCCCUUUCUUAUCGGCGCGCCGUAAGUGUUUAGUAGACCCUGACGACACGUAUUCUUGUAAACCCUGCAAUAAUGAUUUACGAAUAAAGGCAUCAAUUUCGAGGACGAAAUUAUUCUAAGUGAGGGAGGUUAUGAGACCCCGGUCAGUUCUUAACUUUGAUAUUCGGUUAUAUUCAUUAUUGGUAUGGUAACAUUAGGUUUUGGAACUAAUUCGAAAACCCUAAAUUGGGGUUAGUAUUGAAACCCUAAUUUUUGUAUUAAUUAUAAGUUCGAGUGGUGAUUAAAGCUAGUUAUGCUAGUGUGUGUUUUAGUACAGGUACGUAUAAGAUUUGAUCCAUUUUAGAUAGGUUAAGUGAGUUUAAAAGUUAGGAAAACCCUAAACUAGAAAAGUUCUAGUGAUAUGAUUUGUUAGAAUUCUAAAUUGGGUUUAAAACCCUAAUUUUGCCCUUGACAAAAAAGUUGUUAUUUAAUUACUUUUAUGUGAGAUAAAAUAUGCUUAAGUAUAGGUGAUUAAGAUAGGAAAGUGAUUAGUGAAGCAAUUAAGUAUAAUUAUAUGUUUUGGACUAGAUUAAGUUAUCAUUUAUGGAGUAAAUUGAAAGCUUUGCAAAUGUUUAAGGGCAAGAGUUGAUCAAAUGCAAAGUUGAAGGUGUAAGGGGUUGAGAGCAAAAAUGAAGCUUUUGUGUGAUUGGUGGAAAUAGAAAUAUCUUCCAAGGCUUUGGCCAUCUUGUAUAUAUCAUAGGAUUUCCAUAAAAAACAAAACAAAACAAGAGAGAGCAAGAGAGAGGUGGAGCCGUGGAGAAGGAAGAGAAAAAACCAAGGGAAGUUUGCAAAGUUCAACCAAAUUUCUGUUAUUGAUCUUUAUCUUGAAGCAUAAAGAAUCCAUCUUGGAGUUGGGUUGAGUUCAUUAGUCAUCAUAUAACCUUCAUCUUGAGGUAAGAAAGUUCCUAUGCAAAGCUAAGUGUGGUUUAUGAUGCUUGGGAUAGUGGAAAUGAUGAUAAUGGUUGUUAGUUGUGAUUGAUUAUGGUGUCUCUUAUGUUUAUCACUUGAUUUUAUGGAUUAAUUUAGUGAAGAAUGAGACCUUGAGGUUCGGCCAUAUGAAUCCUAAUUAGGGUUUCACGCUAAACAUGUUGGUUAGCCUUAAUCUUGUGUUAUUGAACUUGUAGUGGUUGUGUUUGAUGAUUGAUUUCAUUGGGUUGGUGAGUGAAUGGUAAAAACUGAUUUGGGUUAAGAAACCCUAAGCUUCCUUAGGUUAGUUUAACUUGGCUAAUGUUUAGUGAGUUAGGGUUUGGUUAGAAGGUUGAUAGAUUAAGUUUAGUGAUGCAUAUAAAGUUAGGUUAGGGAUUAUGGUUAGUUUUAGAUAAUUUUGUAGUGACUUAGAGGGGAAGUUUCGGACCAUUUGUAGGUCAUUUAGAAGUUAGUAUAUGUGUGUUUAUUUGGUAUGAAUUUGGUUGAAAAUUAUGUAUAAGAACCAUAGAAAUGAACCAUGCAUUUGCGACAUUUGAAACCGGCAAAACGGGUAAAUAGGGCAGCCCAGCACCUGAACUUGAGCUCCGUUUUUCUUGAUACUACGUAUUGAUUCAGAAAUUUAUCAAAGCAUGAAAGUUGUAUCCUCUUAAGUUCUGAAUAUGUCCGCAAAAUUUCAGGUCAAACGGAUCAGUGUAACCUGAGUUAUAGCCAAAAUACUUGCACCUGUUUUGUACACUGGAUUGUGUUACGUUUUUGAAUUCUGCUUCUGACCAUGCUCUGUCCAUUUUGAUAACAUGCGAACUGGGUGUUGACCUCUUCAUAAGAAAUUUAGAUCUUGAUCUUAACUUCAAAACGGUAUAAAGUGCAUCCAAAUCCGAAUCCCGUAGCUUCAGUUAUGACCAAAACAAGAUCAGUUGUCAGAACUGCCUUCGAAUUUGGACAGUUCUGAUAGGGACGUUUGAACCCCUUUUUUCCCUUGCUCCGUAUUGAUUCACCUUUUGGUCCAAACAUGAAAGUUGUAGCCUUAUGAAUGAGCUUUCUAAUGCCUUUGGAAUUUUUUGAUUUUGAUUUCUGAGUCGUGAGUUACUAUCUUUCAAACAGGGCCUGUUUGGUAACCCGAAAUGAAAUGGCUGGAACUAUUUUAUGCAGUUUUGACCAAUAUCUAUUGGGAUCUGGGUUGAGAUGUCUAAAUAAAAGUUGUAGCCCUUCCUCGUAGCUUCAAAACGGUGUCUCACCCAUCUUGAUCCGACAUUUCUAACCUAACUUUUGAUCAAAACAGUUUGGGAUGGUAAAUCUAGCCGUUUCCGUUUCUGUUUCCGUGUCCGUCUCCAUUUCCGUGUGUCGUUUCCACACUUGCAUGUGCCAAUUUUGUCAUUUUACUUGAGUUAUGCAUGUUAGUGGCUAUUUGUGAUAUAUUGUGAUGCAAUCUUCUAUUUCAGACGGUGACGGGCUAGACGGUGCUGAUGGGGCCUACUAGCUGUAUACGUGACAUGAUCCUUGCAUUUUUUUUUACGUACCUUUGGAGUAAGUAUUCAGGCUGUUUAUGUGUAUAAACUGCUUAUGUGUUUUGAUGUGAACAAAAGGGGGACUUAGGCGAGAGUGUACUUUAUCACACUCGACCUAAACCCUAGUUUGUACCUAUGUUUCCUCAUGAAAUGUGUAUACAUGAAUUAUUUUGGUACUGAACCCCUUGAGCUUGAAAUUCCGGGUGACUUUCGUGAAUUUGUGAAAUACGAUGAAGUUGUGGGCCCGAUCUCAAGACCUAGACGGACCAUUCGAGCCGGCUGGGGUUUGGUCGAAACUAGUCCAACCUAGUCUUGAGGUCACCAAGUUCGUAGGUUCCAGUGGUGAACUAAGUUUGUGACCCGAGCUUGUGACUCAAGCUCAAGUUUGUGAUUUCGUUCGCUCGAGCAAGUUUGCGAGGUGAUUGGCCAGUGAGAGUGAUAAGGUGUUAGGUGGGAGUACAAGUGGAGUUCUACGGACCUUAUAUGUGGUCGACGGAGUGUCGGCAGGAGGUCAUGCAUGACCAAUGACUUGGCUUUGGAGCCAACCUGUAUCCUUAAUUUGUGAUUGUUACUUGGUACCUUUGAUUUGACAUUUUUGUGAUAUAAUUGUUCAUCAAUGUGCAAUUUACGCUUUUACCCCUGUUUACUUGCUACGCUUCUAACUACCCCGUUUCCUUUGCUUUCCUUAACAGGGGACGACGUGGGAAACUUUUUGGCACAUUCACUAGUAUAAUUAGGUCGCUUGUAAUAGUUGGGCAAUUAAGAUGAUUCUUUGUGUUUUGGUGGUUUGUAUAAGGACCCUCCUUAGGGUUUACUUUCUGCUGGUUGUUAUCAUAAUGUAAUGUAGUGGUCUGAGUAGCUACUUUUGAGGAUGUAAAUGAAACUUUUUUUUUGGGAUUGAAUAUUUUGGGAAUAGUACUCUUUGGUUUAUCUUGUUUUGUUGUUUGAAAUUUUGAGUCCUGGCACAAGGUAGGCAGGAGUCCCGACGAUACUCUCGGAUUCGUCCUUGGGAGAAGUGGGGCGUCACAUGCACCAAUUCUAACGAAUUUAAUUUUUCAGAUGGAGAAAAAUUUUGAAAUGCAACUCUGUGUUAUUUCCCAUAAAUGUAGUCAAUACAGGGUUUAAGUGCAUUAUCUCUAAUUUUAGGUAGGAGUUGUUUGCGAACAAGUGUCUGAAUCCCUUUUUCACUCAUGUGCCCAAGUCUCCUAUGCCAGAGGUCAAUUGAUGAAUCAUGAACUGCAUUCACUUCUCCCUUCCCCAACUUGGCUUGUAUCAAGUAGAGGAUACUCUGCUUCUUUCCUCUAGCAACAACGAGAUUUUCUUUGCUAAGUUUCCAUUUGCCUCCACCUUGCAAGUUAUGGUAACCCUCAUCGUCAAGUUUUCUUGUAGAGAUAAGAUUAAGUCAAAUAUCAGGGACAUGUCGAGCAUUUCUUAAUAUUAGCUAGCACCCGGUAUCUGUAUCCAAAUAUAUGUCUCCCAUGCAACAACUUUGCAUGAGACCUCAUUUUCCAUCCUGACAUAUCCAAAAUCUCCUUCGGUGUAGGUUGAGAAGAAAUGCCUGUGAGGAGUAAUAUGGUAGGAUGCACCCAAAUUAACUACCCAAUCACUGUGAUAAUGAAUAAUAUUCACUUGACCAUCAUCACAGAACACAAACACAUUAACAUGAGCUGCCACAACAGCUGUAGUUUUUUCAUCACCUUUUUCCUUCGCCUUACCCCUUUUUUUCAGCUUGUUCCCAUUUUAGAAUUCUGCAUUUUUUCAUAUAAUGCCCAUUCUUCUUACAAUAAUAGCAUGCAAUAUUUUUUCUUGACUCCGACUUGCCUCUGGAUUUGUCAUUUCUAUUGUGGGGUUCUCUACUUUUGCUUUUCCCUCUUCUUUCUUUCUUUUCUGUCACCGGGCCUAAAACUUAUAGACAAUUUCUUGUUUUUUCCUCCUGAACUUUUCAUUCAUCACGGCCUCUUUUGCAAUAGCCAUGGUCAACAUACUAUUCGGACCUGAAUUACUAACGGAGACCACCAUGGUUUCCCAACUAUGCGGUAGUGAACUGAAUAAUAAUAAAGCCUGUACUUUGUCAUCCAAAUUCAAAUUUAAUGUAGUUACCUAGUUUAUCAAUCCCCAAAAAUUACUCAGGUGUUCAGUCGUAUCUUCCCCAUCUUUAUAUCUCAUUCGAGUAAUCUGUUUCAGACAACUAGCCUUAUUCAAACCGAUCUUCCGUUCAUACAUACUUUCAAGUUUUUUCUAUAAUACAUUAGCUCUGGUGUCAUUAGCAAAAUAUUAAAAAAUAUUUUGAUCAAUCCAUUUUCUAAUAUUACCAACGAUUUUCCUGUGCAUAACAGCCCAUUUUUUAUCAAUCAUAUCACUUGGUUUACCUUUAUCUCCUAGAACAGGUUCAAAUAAAUCUCUACAAUACAGGUAGUCUUCCAUUCUAGGCUUACAAAUCGAAUAAUUAGUAGCAUUCAAUUUUAUCAUGCAACCAUUGUCCGAAUCAUCCAUUAUUAACUAGUACAACUGAACAGCCCAACCUGACUGUUUUGAUACCAUUUGUUGGGAAAGGGGUACUGGUACAGGCACACAAUAUCAGAGUUAGCCUAGGAUAAAUUUCUCUUUUCUCAAGUACCAGUUAAAAUAGGAAUAAAUCAAAUCACCAAAUAAUAAUACCAACAGUGAUAAUAAAAUGCAAGAAAAAGAAAAAUAAAAGACACAUGACACCAAGAUUUUUUACGUGAAAAAUCCAACUGGAAAAAAUCACAGAAUCUAGUCCAAUCAGAAAUCUCCACUAUCACAAUAACGAAAAUACACAGGUCUACCCGAAAUAUUCGAGUGACAACAAUAUCACCAAUAGCAACCAAGCCAAUCUACUACAAAAUCACUCCCCAAAAUUACAACUGUCAAAGAAGUAGGUUUCAAAAGUGUUACCAAACGAAGAGAAAAUCCAAAAUCUGAACCGGUAGAUGAGUAGAGCCUGACGAGAGGAUCACAUGGGUAAAAUUUCGUCUCAAUCGGUUCCAAAUUACCCUCCAAUCAAGAUCUUGAAGUUUCUCUCUCUAGCUCUUUCUCUCUCUUCAUUUUUUCUCUCAACCAACAAAAGAUGGUGGCUGACUUUUUUCUCUUGCACCAGGACCGAAGAAUAAUUGCCUUAUGCGGCUACUUAAUGUUCCGUCACAUGAAGCCCUCAAAUCUUAGUGACUUGUGUUUUGGGUUGGCCCACAAAUGGGUUGGUCCACACAGGUCCAACAAAAGGGAAGUUUUAUGACCAUAGAACUAGAGAGCCACCAAGUCAGCUUUGCUCUCCUUAAUCAGAAGAUUUUCCAAUCCCUCCGGCGCGGGAGGGAGGGAUGGUAGGAGUUGAGGAUAAUGUGUGACAGCGAAGAAGAAGGUAUUUUUUCAAGUACAUAGCUUUAAUUGUGAGGAUCAUAAUAAUGCUGAGCAAUUAACGGAUUUAAGUGUGUCUAACAAUCAAAGAAUUAUCUCUUAUGAACUCAAAUAGAGUACUGAUGUUUGAGAAAUCUUACAAGGGCAAUUGAAAAGAACACAACGAGAGCAACAGAUGAACGCAUCCUAUCUUUGAAGUUUGAACAGCUCAAAAUGAAACUUUGAUGGUUUAAGAGCUCUUGGGGCUACGGCUAUUUAUACAAGAGCAUAGCCAAGUGAAGCUAGCAAGACUAUAGCAUGGAUCACGUGGCUGGUUGGUUCGAUUUGAGAAGUUGCUGCCUUCAUACACCAAUCCACAAAUUACCAAAAAUUUUGGAUUUUUACUAAAGGGCCAAAAUUUCUUAAAAUCAUCCGUCGAUUUCAAAUAAUAGUACAUUGUUAGUGUUUUCAAGACUCAAUCUAUUUCAUAGAGAUAUUCACAUUGUAAUAAUUGAUGAAUAAAAUCUGUCACUAUUUUGAAAAUUUACAAGUCAUUAUUUUGGUAUAAAUGCAUAGCCCCAUUUCAUUCAAUCACAUUAACAGAAGAAGUGGUGAUAAAGAACCCUAAUAAAGAUGGUUUUAUCAUGACCAACGUUCAAUUUUCGUACAAGUUAUCUAAUGUGUUUGCAAAUCAUUUUCUUUUUUGCUUGUUGGGUCAUGAAAUUUUUACUGGAGGCACAGUUCUCUCUAACGCUACUACUCAUCAAAACACAAAUUUAGGUAUCAAAACACUACCUGUUAAGGGAGAAUGUGUUCAUUGCCAAAAAAUUCUAGCUUCAGGAUAAAAAUUGGCUUUAGGUGUUUUUAAUAGCAUCUCUUUGGAAUUUAGCACCAUUAGAUACCCAUAAUUGACAAUCUAGACAAUUGAAAUGUCAUCUGGGAGUUUAUGUUCAUCUCAUUGAUUUGAAGCAUAUAAUUGGUUGCCUCACAUUACGUGAUUGAUUAAUAUGGUUUUAACGAGUAUUUUGAAAUUUGAACCAAACUGGUUGGUUCAAUUGCUUGAACCAGGAAAAAAAAACAAUUUUUUACUUCUUUUUUGUUGCAUUUUCUCUUUCGAUUUUAUGAUCUUUUAAGUUUUCAUAAAUUUUUUUGCCUUGACUCUGAUACUAAAAUCUUUCACCAUAAUAAUUCUUUUUGAGCUGUGGAUAAUUUUUACAAUAAUAAAUGCUUUCAUAAAUUUCUUUCGAAUUUGAUCAUUACAAUCUUAAUUUUUAUAUUUUGUCAAAUAAAACUUAUGGAUUCAAUUCUAAACCAUCAUUUUUUAUUUUAAAUUUUAAAUGUUAUAAUACUAUUUUAUGUGACAUAUAAUUCAUCCAUAUUUAUUGUGAGAACUUGAGAAUUUAGAAGUAUUCUAGAAUGGUGUAAAAAAAAUUAAAAUUAAAAGAAUGAAAAUAACAUAUUGUACGUAUAUUGUAAUUUGUGUGAUUUGAAUAUAUUAUAGUUGAAUAAAUUACAUGUUUAGUUAAUUUCUUAUAGAAUCAAAUGUGUGAGAAUCUACAAGAUUAAGGAAAUACAAAUAAGGUUGGGAGUUAACGAGUGAAUUAAUAAAAAAUGCAGCCUUAGUAAACAAAUGAACUAAUGUUAAAUGACCUAGCUAAUCUUUCAUCUUAACUAAUUUACCAUUCAACCAGCUAACUAUCAGAAUAUUAGAAGCAAGAGUUAAGUGGAGGAACUUGGGAAUUAUCGUCCACCGAAUGAAGAGGAUUUGGGUGAUCAGCCGAGAGAAAGUGAGGAAGGCUUCAUUCUCUUGCUCCACUUCAGACCAACCGAGAGAGUAGAGAGAGAGCUCUGCAUUUUCCUAGGCAACUAACUGCUAAAUUCCAAGCGGUGGCUGAGGAAUCAAAUAGAAGGUUGCUUGCAAAGUCCAAGCAGUGACCGACCGAAAACAAGGAGAAGCUAUCUGCCAAUAUCUUUGGGCGGUGGCCGAGAGGAAAACAAAAACUUCAAUUCCUUUCCUUUUCAACCCAACACCGAGAGUAAAACUAAGAGAGUGGGAGAGAAAGGUUAGCUAGCUUCAUCACCAACUAACCAAAAACAAGAAGGAGUACAGCGAGGAAAGCAGGAGAAGCUCGAGCUAGGACCUUGAGGAACCGAAUCAGGGAGAGCUAGAGCAGUCAGCAAUUUCAGAUUCUAAGGAAAGAAAAAAAAAGGUAAAAUUUUAUGAACCUCCUGCUUAUUUAGUGUAAUUGAAUGUUUAAGCUGUGUAUAAACUUUAGCUAGGAAAAAAUGAGUUCUUGGUUGGAAAAAGAAACUUUGUGCAGAACCGAAUGGCAGCUGGAAUUACUUCCGGGCAUCCCACCAUGAAGUACUCCUUCAACCUUCUUCGUAAGUGCUGCUAUACUGAUCUUCUACUGAAUUUUAUCAAGUAACAAAAGCACUUAGAAUUCCUUUCAUACAUUUUCUUAUUUUCAACCUUUGAUUAUUGGCAAAAAAUUUUGGGCUUUAUAUUCGGCCAAAUUUCAAGAAACAUGUGAGCUAAAAUCAUGCCUUCCACAUGUUUGAGAAAAUGUCUUAGUUAAAUUUGUUUUUUAAAAAAAAAGAUUUCUUAUAGUUUUAAAAAAUAGGAACAGCUUCGUUUGCGUCUUGUGCGUCGCUGGUAGGUUGUCUUCCACGACCAUGUCUGCCCUCUAGCUGCCUGCUGGGAGGCGUCCCUCUCCUUCUCAAACCUUUGAAUGCAAAUCCUUUGCUGCUUUAUUCUCAGCCGGUUCUUCACAACCGACUCUGACCAUUCAUAUAUCGCCUGCGACCCAUAAGAGGGAACCAGCUCUCAUGUUUUCACAGAAGGAUCUUAAUCGGCUAGCCACUCCUUACAAGUAUGCCCUAGUGGGGAAAUUCUCUAGGGAAAGACCAAAAAUGGAGAAGAUACGCAGGUUCUUCCUCCCAUUAGAUUUACGAGAAGUUGCUUCGGUGGGUUUGCUUGACUUACGACAUGUCUUCAUAAAGCUGGGGAAUGAAGUUGAUUUUCAUAGACUCUGGGCCAGAAGCACCUGAUAUGUCCAUGGCUCUCCGAUGAGAGUCUUCAAGUGGUCGUCGGCGUUCCAUGUGGAUAAGGAACCGUCUAUCGCCCCCAUUUGGUUCCAGUUCCAAAAACUGCACCGCAGUGCACUAGUUCAAUAAGGAGGUUCUCUUUCAGAUCAUCUCAACACUGGGUAAUCCGCUAUUGAUGGAUGCGGCAACGUCAGAGACGACUUGUCCAAGUUGUACGAGAGUCUGUGUGGAGGUUGACCUGCUCAAGCCUCGGCCAUCACAUAUAUGGAUUGGAAACGGCGAAAACGAUGGGUUUUGGCAGUGCUUCAUUCUUGAAAAUCUCCCUCUAUACUGCUCCCAUUGUUUUCGUUGGGACAUGGAGUGGAGGGGUGCUAUGUCUUGCACGCAGACCUCCGGGUAUCUAAAACGGAGGGUGAGAAAGCUGGGAAGUUUCGCCUGCAGCCAAAGGAGGUGCGCCAACGCAAGGAGACUACCCAGGAUGAAGUGGGUGGGCAUUUGGCCAUAGUGGUCGCACCGCUGCCCGUGACAGUAGCUCCAGUGGAGGAGUCUUUCGCUACGGUAGUGGAUACCCAGUUUGUGGCUGGUGCGCAGGCGGAGGGGAAAAUGGUGCCACGGGCAUCACAGGUGGGAGAAGUAGACCUAGUAGAGGGAAAGGCAGGCGGGGGUAGCGAGAGUUUGGGUAGGGAGAGGGAGGAACAUGAGUGUGUGACUACGCAGGCAGAAGAGAGGGCAUUUGAAGGACAGCUUCGUGAGACAAUGAAUGGUACAACGGCGGCAGCAUUUGCGUAGGAGGACCAACCACAGCAAUGUCUGGUAGAGGGGCAACCUGAUAGCUUGCGUGGGUGUGCAGAGAAAUCGUAACCCAGCAGCGAAUUGCAACUGGAGGAAAUGGAAGAUGAGCUGACCAUAGAGUUGCGGGGAGCGAGAGCAGCGGUAGUGAACAUAGAGGAGAGCGAUGCGAGUGAGGAAGGGAGAGAGGUAGAACUCCCUCUGGUGGCAAGCACUUUGUCACCAAGGAUAGUGGUCACAAGCAUUUCUUCAUCUGAUGUUAGAAGGGAACCAGCAGAUCAAUGUGCAGCGGGGGAAAUGAAUAGGCUUGCUGCCGUGGCAUCAGAGGACGAAGAGCUUAAUGAGUUGUAGGGGCGGGUGGGCAAUUUGUCUCCAAGGGGAGAAUCUAAUAAAGUAAGGAUGAUUGGUGAUAGUUUAUCCUUUACUGCGUUCAAUCUAGACCCUGUUAUCAUAUCAAACUCAACAUUGCGACAAGCUGGGUCGCUUGCAUUAUCUCAACCAAAGAAAAGAGGUUCUCAGCUGCCGUUUUAGUCAGACCGCACGUUACGCUCUAAGGUGAUUUCUUCACAAAAUUCUUUUGCAAUGUUAUCUAAUCAUUAACUUUAUCUUUUGGAACAUUCGGGGUGUCUCACGUGCCUCUAAUCUUAAGAGACUCCGUAAAUUAGUUAAAAUGCACUCUAUCUCUUUGAUAGCAAUUUGUGAACCUAAGACCUCGAUUGCAAACAUGGAUAUGAUUCGAAUGAAGGUGGGGAUGAAUUUUUCUGUUGCAAACCUGUGGGGUAGCAUUUGGGUGCUUUAUAAAUCUGUUUUUGAUUGCCAAACGAUAUGUGAGUCAGAUCAACAUCUCACUUUAAGCCUCCGAUCCCAAUUAUUGGCUGAGGAGAUCUACUUUUCAUUUAUUCAUUCGAAGUGUACCAUCCAGGAGAGGGAAGGUUUAUGGAUCGAGUUGUUGAAUGACAAGCCGGAGGUAAAACCAUGGUUUCUUGUGGGGGAUUUUAAUGUUAUCUUAAAUACAGAGGAAAAAAGGAGUGGCUUACCUUUUAGACAUGCUCAGGGGAUAGAAUUAUCAUAGUUUAUGUCAUUGGCGGAAGGGUUCUUUAGGUCUAGGUACACAUGGUGUAACAAUCGAUAGGCUAUUUUAAGAGUUUGGAAGCGGCUAGACAGGCUUUUGCUCAACUCAGCUACUAUGCAUAUGGAGAGUAAUAUUUUAGUGCAGCACUUGGGGAGAGACCCUUCUGAUCAUGCUCCUCUUUUGAUAUCGACAUCAAUGAGAUUAGAUGACAAGCCACGGCCAUUCAGAUACCUAAAUAUUUAGACCACAAAACCAGGUUUUAUGGAUAUGAUUGAGGAGAGUUGGUCUAUUUCCUCCCCUGGUUCCCCCUUUCAGUUUUUGUCGGCUAAACUGCGACGGGUUAAACAGGCACUUAGACUAUGGUUAAAGGAAUCUAUUGGUGACAUCUUCUUAGCGAUUCAGACAGCAGAACAGAUGGUGCUAGAAGCUAAAAUAGAUCAUGAUAACCAUCCAUCAGAAACGUCGUUGGUGGCUUUACAAGAGGCACGUGCAAGAUUGAAGCAUACUUUGGUGAUUGAGGAAGAAUUCUAGAGACAGAAAACUCGUGUCAAAUGGCUAUCAGAUGGGGGCAAGAAUAUGAAACUUUUUCACGCUGUGGUGACAGAGAAGAGAAACAAAUCAGUGAUUCAUAGAAUUAGGAAGACAAAUGGUGACUGGGUGACUGACGAGUCGAGUAUUUGUAAUGAAGCUGUCUCGUUCUUCCAAAAAUUGUUUACAAACGAGGGGGGAAGUCCUUGAAUAACAUACUAAACAUUAUUCCAAAGUUGAUCACUGAACAGGAUAAUGAGAUGUUGACUGAGGUUCCAUCUAUGCAGGAAGUAAAGGAAGUAAUUUUUUCAAUGGACGAGGAGAGUGUUGCGGGUCUGGAUGGUUUCACGAGAAAGUUUUUCACGUCUGCUUGGGAGGUGGUCACUAAGGAUGUUCAAAGGGCUAUUGUCAGUUUCUUUUAUGACACAACGUUGCCAAGAAGUGUCUCAGCUACUUCAAUUGUUUUACUAUCCGAGAUACAAUGUCCUCAUGAUUUCACUCAAUAUCGCCUGAUAAGUUUAUGCAAUUUUAUCAAUAAGGUUAUCUCCAAAAUUUUAUCUUCCCACUUGGCAAAGGUUCUUCCUCACAUUAUCUCACUACAACAGAGUAGUUUGGUGUAAGGGAGACAGAUGGCGGAUAAUUUUCUAUUAGCGCAAGAAUUAUUGAAUGAUAUUAAUAAACCUAAUAGGGGAGGAAAUGUGAUGCUCAAGCUGGAUAUGAUGAAGGCAUAUGAUAGGGUGUCUUGGUUGUUUUUUAUACGAGUGCUUCGUCGGUUUGGGUUUAGUGAAGUUUGGAUCGAUAUGAUAUGGAGACUGAUAUCGAAUGUUUGGUUUUCUGUCUUUGUCAAUGGCUCGCCCCAGGAUUUCUUUAAGUCCUCACGGGAUUUGAGACAAGGUGACCUAAUUUCGACAGCCUUGUUCGUUAUUGGUGCAGAGGUCUUGUCCCGUUCACUCAAUAUGCUUGCGGAGUAUAAAAGAUUCAGACCAUUCAAAGUCCCUAGAGGCUGUUCUAUGGUCACACAUUUGGCCUAUGCAGAUGACGUAGUCAUUUUCACUAGCGGCCUUAAGGCUUCAAUAACAUUGGUCAAAGGAGUAGUCGAUGAAUACUGUGCAUUUUCCGACCAGCGUGUUAAUUGUCAGAAGAGUUGUUAUUUGGUGCAUCCCACCUUGUCUUUGCAAUGACGUGCGAUGAUUGGAAUGGUAAUCGGCUUCUCGUACAAAUAUUUUCCAAUCAAAUAUCUUGACUGCCCCCUUUAUAUUGGAAGAAGGCGGACGCAUUAUUUUGCCGAACUCUGCGACAUGGUAAUAGUCAGAAUCCUAUCAUGGAAGAAUCGGGUCCUCUUAUUUGGGGGCAAGAUUGUGCUAUUAAAGAGUGUUCUGUCUUCAAUGCCAAUCCACCUGUUAGCAGUGGUAUCUCAUUCGAAGGGAGUCAUUGCUUCCUUAGAAAGGGUGAUGGCAAAUUUUUUGUGGAGUUCGAUGAAUAUGGGCCAGAAAUUUCAUUGGUUAAGUUGGGAGGAGUUAUGCCGUCCACAUCAGGAGGGCGGGAUUGGAGUUCAUAGCUUGGCAAAGGUAUAUGAUGCUUUUUCCAUUAAACUUUGAUGGAACUUUCGGCAAAGGAGAUCCCUAUGGGCUGAAUUUUUAACAACAAAAUAUACUUGAGGGGUGCACUCUUGUUUGGUAGAAGAAGGCUAUUCGCUUUCUUACAUUUGGAAGAGGUUAUGUUCGAUUCAACAGUUGGUAGAAGAGCAUAUUUGGUAGGUCAUCGGUGAGGAAUCAAUGGAUUUCUGACAUGACAAUUGGAUGGGAACUGGAGCUAUAUGCCAUCAGGUGGAAAUUUUUCAUGAUCAUAUUGUGUCAGAUUUUUUCUUCCAAGCGCAAUGAAAUAUGCGACUCCUUAAUCAAGUUCUAGACCCUGAGUUGGUUAGGCAAGUUGUGAAGAUUCUCCCUUCAUUCGUUCAUAGUUCUGAUAGGAUGGUGUGGGUUUUAACGCAGAAUGGUUCAUUCUCGGUUUCUUCGACUUACACGCUUGUUUCGUAGGCUUCUAAUUAUUCAUGGGUGGUUUCGCAUGUGUGGCUGAAGCGAUUUUCUAUCAAAAUCUCCUUCUUUAUGUUACAGUUGCUACGUUUGCGUCUUCCCCAAAUGGACCUGCUACGUAGAUUUGGGGUACAGGGUCCAUCUAAGUGUCAUUGUUGUUCUGAGCCAGCAGAUGACGAGGUUAAUCACAUAUGUUUAACAGGGGAUUUAGCUAAGGCUGUCUGGAAUAGAUUUGAGAGUGUCCUAGGAGAUUUGGAUAUGGUGUCCACGUUGAGACACGUGCUGUUAUGGUGGUGGCUGCGUAAGGGGCACAAUGUGUAUCUCAGGUUCGUUUAUCGUACAUUACCUAUGCUCAUCUGCUGGAAAUUAUGGAAAGCGAGAAACAGGGGACUGUUUGAUGGAAGGAAGGUGGCGUGGACGGAGGUGGCAAAUCAGGUAUUUCAAUAGCUAUGUAAUUUACUACAUUGUAAUUUUCCGGAAAUAGCAUGUUCUUUCGUCUCUUGGGAUGUUCUUCACUUUUCAUUGAUAGCUCAGAAAAGAAGGGUUUAUAUUUUACCGAUUACAUGGUCGGCUCCUAGGGCAGGGUAUAAGUUGAAUUCGGAUGGCUGAACAAAGGGGAACCUAGGAGUUAGUAGGGGUGGGGGAGUUGUGCGAGAUGGGGAAGGGAGAUUUAUUGUCGGUUAUUCCUGUUUUUUUGGGUCAUUGACCAGUUUACACGCGGAGCUCGAGACCAUACUCUUUGGGGUGCAGCUCUGUGUUGCUUGAGGCUUACAAGACUUCCAUGUUGAAUCUGACUCACUUGUCUUGAUGCAAAUACUCCAAGGGACACAUGGUUGCUCUUGGAGACUCCAACGGGAGGUGGCUGAAUUAUUCAGUUUCAAGCAUCAUUUUCGUGAGAUAACCCAUUGCUAUAGAAAGGCGAACAAACCUGCUGAUUAUCUAGCUAACCUUGGCACAAAUUCAGAGUAAGAGGAUGUUUUUGACGACUUUCGUUCUUUGCCAGCUACUGUCUGUGGAGAGAUUAUCAUGGACACUUUAGGUUUCCCUAAUUUUCGUAGAAAAUUUCUAUAGCUUAGCUAAAAAUUUGUAUUAAAUAACUGUCAUAUGGAUAUUUUCAUGAGAUUGGGUUUGUUGGCAGGGAGUUUCGUCCAUUUAUAAGGGGAAACUCUGCCAAAAUUUUUUAAUUAAAAAAAAACUCUUAGUUAAAAAAAAACAAAAAAAAGAAUGGCAGCUGGAAAGAAAAUUGCAGAAAUGGGGAAUGGAAACUAGAAAUUGUAGCUUGUUAUCAAUGUUUCUUUGGAGAAUAAUGAUAGGAAAUGCAUGUUCUACAUUACCUUAAGUUUUAUAAGAGGUUUAAUCAGCUAAACAUGGGCUUUAUACAUUGGGUUUAGCUACGAAAUCAGUUCUGGUUCAAGGAAAACAUUAUACAUCAGAAAUGGUAACUAAGAGCAGAAACGAGCUAUGGUUCUGUUUAGCUCUUGAAAUCAGUCUCACGUUUUGUUUAGUCUUGAGUUAUACCUUACAUGCUAGCUGUAACCUAAGACUGAAGGGAAUCCUAAAGAACUUACAAAUGAUAUCUUGUUGAUAUACGCAUGCGAAAGCAUGCAAAUCUGAUGCAUGCAUGGCACCAGAUUUGCAGCUAGCUGCAGAAAUGAAACCAAACUCAGUUUUUUUUUCUCAUUUGAAUCCUGGUCAUGAACGACCUUGUUUAGCUUAGGAUAACCUGCAACAAACAAGGUUAAAGCAAAUAGAAAACUGAAGUGAACAAUGGACGACUGUCGACUGCACAAAAAGACCUCAUUGCUCCUGACCUGUUUUCAUGUGGUUCUGGUCGUCCACUUUUGACCUUGAAAACAUGAGAACUGGAUGUCAAUGUCUCAUAAGAAAUAUAGGUCUAUGUUUUAGGUUCGAAACGCUAUAAAAUUCGCCUCAAUCCGAUAAGCGUAGCUCCAAUUAUGAUCAAAACACCCAAGGAUGGUAAAGCUGCUUUUCCUUUUGUUCCUGAAUGCACUUUGCUAAAAUGCUCACCGUGAGGAACCAACUUUUAACUAGCAUUUUCUCUAAUUUCCAACUUUGUAAGAUUUCAUAAAUGAUAGCUACGGUUACUCUGAGAUUUAAUGGCUAUAUAUAGCUCCACAAGUAGAGUUAAAUUUGAUAAGAGUUUAUUUUACGUAUUUUUAGUGUGUUUUAUUAGUUAAUUUUGGUUUGAUUAUUUAGUUUUAUAACUAAAAUAAUUAAGGUUUUGGUAAAAAACUACAUUUUAUGUUAAAGUGGCUAAACAUUGCAUUUUAUGGAUUUUUAUGGUAAAAUCUUCAUAUUUUGUAGGUUUAAUAAUUCAAUCAUCAAAUGAAGUGCAUUGAGAAGAUAUUUGGAUGAUUGAAGAUGGAUUAAAGUGGUGAAAAUAAAAUAUGAAGUGUAAAAAGGAAAAAUGCAAUUUGAAUCAAGAAAAGUCAGGUUUUGACAACUCAGACACAUUUUCGUAUUUUGACUAUAUCUGGAGCUACACAGAUCGGAUCAAGAUGAUCUUGGUACCAUUUUGAAGCUAAGAGAUAUAUCUACAUUUGGUAUGAAGACAUUAAAGUCCAAUUCAGCCGUUUUCAUAGUCCAAAAGUUGAAAUACCGAAAUUCAACUCAGCUGUCCAAAGUGGAAAACAGAGCUCUGACCAGUGUUUAGUAUUUCGAUCAUAUCUCAGGCUACAAAGCUCAGAUUUGGAUGAUUCUUGAAGCAUUGGAAAGAUAACUCAAAGGGAUACAACUUUUGUGUUUUACACAAAAACCAGUUCGGCCUUUAUGAUAGAGAAAAUUGCAGUGGAAGUAAGGACAAAGUGAAUACGCGAGUACACAAAACGUGACUUGUAACCGCGUUUUGUGUAGGCGCGUUUUCUGGCCGAAAUUCUGCAAUUUGUUCAGUCAACUCUCUUGUGUUCAGACUACUUUCCAGCUGUAAGUUGCAAGUGAAUUUGGUGCACAUGCUUCAGAAGACAAAAAGAGCAUACAAUAUGGCUUAUUCCAAGUCAAAAGUCAUUAUUUUUUUGACUCCUUUAACAAAUUCAGAUUUGGAGAAUCAUAGCAGAAAUUUUGGACCAGUGGAAAGGCACCUGAUAUCAGUUUUAUAUAGAACAAUCAGAGGGAGAAAAAAAGGAGAAACGUACGGGAGAGAGCUUGAAGUGCAGAAAUGUAGUUCUUCCAUUUCCUUUGUGUAGGAUAGUUUAGCUAGUGUAGUUCAUCCAUUCUUGUAUAUUGCUAGACUAGGAUUAAGAUGGAGAUGAAGAAGGCAAGGUGAUGAGCUCAAGUGACAUGGGUUGUAUUCCUUCCAAACUCUUUAUCUUUGUAUUUGAUUCCAAGUUUAGUUAAUAUACAAGUUCUGGAUUUUGUGUUUAAUAUGUGUAUCUAAAGUUUAAGCCUUGGGUUUGGUUGAACUUUCUAUGAUUGUUAGUGUUUAUUAUUUGGUUAUUUGAUUGCUAUGAUUUGAGCAAGUUAUUUAGCACUUUGGCUUCUUAAAUCAUGAUUAAUCUGGUACCAUUAAUUGUGAUUAUCUAAGGUGUUGUUUCUGCAAUGAAAAUUGAGAUUUAACACUAGUUCAAGAAGUGCUAAACAUAGGGAGUACACUCACGAAAGUAGAGGUGCACUUAUGUGGUUUUUAGUGAUUCAUUUCAUGUAAUUUCAUUGAAGAAAUGAACUUGUAGCUAAUUUCAUAACCAUGAGAAUAGGUAUGGAUUAGUUAUAAGUAUAAUUGAUUCACUACGAAAGUAGGAUUCAAAUGCAUAAGGAAAUUACACCAUAAUUAGCCUAGAUGUAGUAUUCAAUGAUCCAAAUAUAACACUUGCAUGAGUAGUUAGGGAUACCACAACCUAAGGAGCUUUUAUUUGUUAUUUUGUAUAAUUUCAGUAGGUUAAAUUUGUUAUAAUUCAUUGAUAGUCUAAAUAAUAAAGAAACUUUAGUAAUACCGGUAAUUGUUCACUCUUCCCUGUGGGAUCGACCCGAUAUAUACCCUAAACUACUAGUUGACCUGUAUACUUGCAGUGAACGGGUGUAAUUCGGUUUUUUAACUUGUACGUAUGUAAAAUACCCGUCAAGUUUUUGGCGCCGUUGCCGGGGAAGAUUUGGCAAUAUCGGUGUGAAGAGCAACUUUAUUAAUUUAGACAAUUUUUCUUAUUUUUGUUGUUUUUGCUGUAUCUUAUGUGUUUUAUGUCAUUUUUUUUUUGAGUCAACUUUUAUUUUUUUUUAUUUUUUUUUCUGUUUUAGUUUGUGUCUUGGAAUCUAUCCUUCUUAACUAAUCUUACUUUUGAGAUUGUUUAAAAGUAAUUUUAGGUAAUGAGGAAGGUAGGUCAAUUUGGAGGACAAUGCUUGAGAAGUGGAAGAUUGGAAAUAAAUGGUUACCAAGUGCAAAACUCCUUCAACAGAGGUAACCAAGAAUUUACUGAAUGUAUGUCUUUUGAAGAUGGUUUAAGGUGCUUAAAGGCUAAAUUUGAUGUUAUGAUGUUACAAGUUCAAAUGGACACAAUUAUGCAUAAAAUUGAGCAAGGGAGGAAUGUUAAUGCUUUUAAUUCUUAUCAUGUGAUUUGUGACUUGUGUGGAGGUUAUCAUGCUACUAAUACAUGUAUGCAAGCACAAAAUGUGGAUUAUUAUGAUGAAUUAGAGCAUUACAAUCCUUGUUUUGAUCAAUAUAGUGCUAAUUGGAGCAAUUCUCCUGCUUAUGGUUGGAAUAAUCAAUGUACUUAUAGUGAUAAUUCAUGUUUUUAUGAUUACCAACCUGAAAGUGUCCAAUAUGAAUCAAAACCAUCUUGGGAGUUGGCAAUAGAAAGGCUAGCUAAUGCAUCUUUGCCUUGGGAGUUAGAAAGUGAACCAUUAGCUAAUGAUUCUAAUGCAUCUUGGGAGCUAGCUGUAGAAAAUUUUUCUAAUCAAUUUGAUUUAGCAUUAGAAAAGCUAGCAAAUGCAACUUUCGACCGUUUUGAUAGGAUUGAGGAAAGAAUAGAUGAAUUAGCUUCUCACUUUGGUCGAAUACAUGAGCAAUUGAGUGCAUUGUGUGAAGUUAUUUCCUCUAAUAAUUUGCAAAAUGAUCCUAGCAUGAAUGAUGGGAAUGUUGUAUGUGAAAAUGGGUUGCAUUUUGAUGAAAAUGAUGAAUCUCAAGAGUGUUUCAAUGAGCAAAUGUCCAUUUCACAUGAUAAUAUCUUUGGAACUAACUUUGAAUCUCAAGAGGUGAGUUUUAAUGACUCAUUUUUCACCCCUCUUGAGGAGUGUAUAAAAAGUACAGGUUUUAAAGAUAUUCCUGCCCAAGAUACUUUCAUGACAUUUCCUUUGGUAAGUUCUCAAGUGGUGCAUAUUCAUGGUAAUAUCUAUGAAACACUUGGAAUAUGUAAGUCACUUUCAUUUCUCACAUCAUUAGAUCUUGUGGCUUUUGCUAUAAAGUCACCUUUUAAUGAUCCACCACGGCCUAAAAUGGUGGAUUAUUCGUUAACUAAACCUCCUUGAAAAAUGAGGUGAAAUAGUCAAGCUAUUGACUUUAAAGAAGCGCUUAUUGGGAGGCAACCCAAUGCUUGUUUAAGUUGGUGUUACUUUGGAGUGAUUUUAUGUUUACAGUAUAAGUUUGAGUUAUUUUGAUGUUUUUCAUUUGUAGGUAUUGGAAAUGAAAGCAAAAGUGACCAAAUGAGGUGAAAAAAGCGAAAUUUGAUCAAGGAACUCAACCCCUCAAUUUGAGUAUUUGUUGUUUUUGAUUUGUUAGAAGGGGUUAAAAUGCAUAUUUUGAUCAUUUUACAUGUGCAUGCAUUGAGUAUUUUAGCAAACAAAUGAUUUAUGAUGCAUUUUGAGUGAUUGGGAUAUUAGUUGUAAAUUUUUAAAAGUUGAAUUUCUGCUAAAAAACGCAGCAGAAAAACGCGUUUCUCAAGAAAACGCGCCUCUGAGUCGCGUGUUUACAGAAUCGCGUUUUCAAUUCUGCACCUGCAGAACAGAAAACGCGCCAUUAAAACGCGACAUUAAGUCGCGUUUUGAAGGAAGUCGCGUUUUGUUGCCUGGAUCAAAGAUGAAAACGCGCCAUUGAAAACUCGACUUCAAGUCGCGUUUUCUCAUAGAACCGCGUUUUCAGUACUGCAACUUUUGGGAAGAAACGCGCCUUCAAAACCGCGAGUUAAAGGCAUGUUUCUACUCACGUUUUCUGAGCAUUUUUUUUAAAGAAAAAAAUGCAGGUUCCUUGAUUCUCUUUUUCUUCUUUUCCUCAUAUAUUUUCUUGUACCUUGAGUUGCUUAUUGUGUAUUUUUUAUAGGUACAUCACUAAAACAAGGGCUUGAAGUUACGGAUAGCCGUUUUGAUGUCUUAAGCCUUUGUUAUCACUUUGGUUUCUCAUUUUCCAUUUUUAGGUUUAUAUUACUAAUGGUUACCAAAUGGAACUCAUGAAGUGAUGAAGACAGGCGAACAACAUACCAUGAAACUUCAUGUUCAAACACAACAAUAAGGAAGUAUUACUUUUCUUUAUCUUGAUUUUCCUUUUUACACAUUGAGGACAAUGUGCAUGUUAAGUGUGGGGGGAUAAAUUGAGAUUAUAUACAUUGUAUGUGAUUGACUUAUUAGUUGCAAAUAUUGGACUUGUGUUAAAAUUCAAAUUUUUCUACAAUCUUGUCUAAAAUUGCAAACUUGCCCCAAAAAGUUUCAAUUUUUUCGAUUUUAUCCAAAGGGGUAACAAGUUUCAUACCAUUAGUAGUUCAAAUUUCUUCUACAUUUGAGAUAAAUAUAUGUAAUUUGGAAACUUCUUUUCUCAUUUAACUUGGAAAUGACUAUUAUGUGAUUAUAAUUUUUGCAUUUGUAGGAAAGUAUAUCUUUUAAAGUGGAGAAAAUUAUGCCUAUAUUUUUUUGCAUAUUUGAUGAAAUUUCUUCUCUUUAUUGGAUUUUAUAAGUUAAGUGAUAAAUAUGGUCAACAAGUGCAAUACUCUUCUCAUGAUUAUUCUUUUGAGGAAUUUAUUAUUAUCUUUGCUGUAAAAAGAAAAAAAAAAGAAAAAAAUAAGAUUUAUUCUACUCCAAUGAUUCUCGUACUUAGUAACCGGGAGUCUUCAUCUAAAAAUGUCGACUUUCGCGUAAAACGGUACUUGAAUUAAGAGUAUGCAAAGUAACUUGAGUAUGUGAAGUGUUGAGUAACCGGUGAUCUUCAUCUAAAAAUGUUGAUCCUCGCGUAAAAAGAUACUUUCACAACUUAAGUAAUAUUUAGCUAUAUUAUAUAAAUAAAUCCCUCUUUAAGUUAAAUAAGAAGAUGAUCAUGGGUUUAGGAAGCAUAUUAUUGACCAUAUGAGUUACUUACUUGUAAGAUUGGGUAAGGAUGAAAAAUUGAUUUGAAUUUGUUAUAAUGACGGUAUAAUUGGCUCUCCUUUACUUGAUAUUAUGAGUACUUGAACUUAAUUGAAUAAUUGCAUAAUGGUUAUUUACUUUGUUUUUAGGAAAUGAAGUUGAAAUGCUACAUAUGUUUAUUUUCAAAUUUUGGAUCAUUGUUGGUUUGUAUUUCUUAUUGCUUGAGGACAAGCAAUGAUUCAAGUGUGGGGGUAUUUGAUAAGAGUUUAUUUUACGUAUUUUUAGUGUGUUUUAUUAGUUAAUUUUGGUUUGAUUAUUUAGUUUUAUAACUAAAAUAACUAAGGUUUUGGUAAAAAACUACAUUUUGUGUUAAAGUGGCUAAACAUUGCAUUUUAUGGAUUUUUAUGGUAAAAUCUUCAUAUUUUGUAGGUUUAAUAAUUCAAUCAUCAAAUGAAGUGCAUUGAGAAGAUAUUUGGAUGAUUGAAGAUGGAUUAAAGUGGUGAAAAUAAAAUAUGAAGUGUAAAAAGGAAAAAUGCAAUUUGAAUCAAGAAAAGUCAGGUUUUGACAACUCAGACAUAUUUUCGUAUUUUGACUAUAUCUGGAGCUACACAGAUCGGAUCAAGGUGAUCUUGGUACCAUUUUGAAGCUAAGAGAUAUAUCUACAUUUGGUAUGAAGACAUUAAAGUCCAAUUCAGCCGUUUUCAUAGUCCAAAAGUUGAAAUACCGAAAUUCAACUCAGCUGUCCAAAGUGGAAAACAGAGCUCUGACCAGUGUUUAGUAUUUCGAUCAUAUCUCAGGCUACAAAGCUCAGAUUUGGAUGAUUCUUGAAGCAUUGGAAAGCUAACUCAAAGGGAUACAACUUUUGUGUUUUACACAAAAACCAGUUCGGCCUUUAUGAUAGAGAAAAUUGCAGUGGAAGUAAGGACAAAGUGAAUACGCGAGUACACAAAACGUGACUUGUAACCGCGUUUUGUGUAGGCGCGUUUUCUGGCCGAAAUUCUGCAAUUUGUUCAGUCAACUCUCUUGUGUUCAGACUACUUUCCAGCUGUAAGUUGCAAGUGAAUUCGGUGCACAUGCUUCAGAAGACAAAAAGAGCAUACAAUAUGGCUUAUUCCAAGUCAAAAGUCAUUAUUUUUUUGACUCCUUUAACAAAUUCAGAUUUGGAGAAUCAUAGCAGAAAUUUUGGACCAGUGGAAAGGCACCUGAUAUCAGUUUUAUAUAGAACAAUCAGAGGGAGAAAAAAAGGAGAAACAUACGGGAGAGAGCUUGAAGUGCAGAAAUGUAGUUCUUCCAUUUCCUUUGUGUAGGAUAGUUUAGCUAGUGUAGUUCAUCCAUUCUUGUAUAUUGCUAGACUAGGAUUAAGAUGGAGAUGAAGAAGGCAAGGUGAUGAGCUCAAGUGACAUGGGUUGUAUUCCUUCCAAACUCUUUAUCUUUGUAUUUGAUUCCAAGUUUAGUUAAUAGACAAGUUCUGGAUUUUGUGUUUAAUAUGUGUAUCUAAAGUUUAAGCCUUGGGUUUGGUUGAACUUUCUAUGAUUGUUAGUGUUUAUUAUUUGGUUAUUUGAUUGCUAUGAUUUGAGCAAGUUAUUUAGCACUUUGGCUUCUUAAAUCAUGAUUAAUCUGGUACCAUUGAUUGUGAUGAUCUAAGGUGUUGUUUCUGCAAUGAAAAUUGAGAUUUAACACUAGUUCAAGAAGUGCUAAACAUAGGGAGUACACUCACGAAAGUAGAGGUGCACUUAUGUGGUUUUUAGUGAUUUAUUUCAUGUAAUUUCACUGAAGAAAUGAACUUGUAGCUAAUUUCAUAACCAUGAGAAUAGGUAUGGAUUAGUUAUAAGUAUAAUUGAUUCACUACGAAAGUAGGAUUCAAAUGCAUAAGGAAAUUACACUAUAACUAGCCUAAAUGUAGUAUUCAAUGAUCCAAAUGUAGCACUUGCAUGAGUAGUUAGGGAUACCAUAACCUAAGGAGCUUUUAUUUGUUAUUUUGUAUAAUUUCAGUAGGUUAAAUUUCUUAUAAUUCAUUGAUAGUCUAAAUAAUAGAGAAGCUUUAGUAAUACCGGUAAUUGUUCACUCUUCCCUGUGGGAUCGACCCGAUAUAUACCCUAAACUACUAGUUGACCUGUAUACUUGCAGUGAACGGGUGUAAUUCGGUUUUUUAACUUGUACGUAUGUAAAAUACCCGUCAAAAUUAAAGCAAAUGAGAGGAAAACUCAUGGUACUUAUGUACCUAAAUUGGCUUCUAAUUACUUAAUAUUGUCUUCACAAAUAUUUUAAAAACUAUAAAAUUUGAGGGACUGGUGUAGUGGAAUAAAAUUUAAUUUACAAAUAACCUAAAGUUUAAUUGUUUAAAAAGGGGACCAAUGGAGUACUCCUAAGCCAUAACCUUAGAAUCUUGAGUGGAAAGUGAUUUAAUACUAAAAUAAAUAUUUUAUAAAUUAUUAACUUGAAGAAUACGUAUGUUCUUGAUUUAAAAUAAUAAAGUUAAUAAGUCUUGAAAUAAAUUGGGGAAUAAAUAUUGAGUAUAUUUUGUAUUUUAAGGUCAAACUUAAUUUUAAUAAUUUAAACGAUAAAGUAGAAUAAAUAUUGAAUAGGUUAUAUUUUAUAUUUUACAGUCAAACCUAAUUUGAAUAAUUUAACUAAUAGGUGAACAUCUACAAAUUGUAAAUUUACCAUGGAAUUAUAUAUUUAUCUCAGAAGUAGCUGCGAGCCAGGAAACGAACCCGAGGUUCGAGAGUAAAUUAUUUGGAUAAUUGGUGAGUGUUUUCCAAAUUUAUAUGUUUAAAUGUCUAUGUGUAUCUAAGUGAAAUAAUGUGACAAAUGUGCUUAUCAUGAAUCAUUACUAAAUGAUUUCUUGUGAAAUGCAUCUCAAUUGUCCCUCGUCUUCUAAGUUGAGGGUGUACUUUAUCGCACUCGACUUAGUUGAAUUUGAAGGUCGAUAAUUGACUGAAUGUUACUGUAAGUGUGCAUGAGUGUAAGCCGUCUGUGUGCCUCGCCGCAUCAGCUGAACUGCACCCCAAAACUCUCUGUUCAACGGACUAUUCGAGCCAGCAAAGGGUUUGGUCAAAUAGGACAGUAGCUUUGGGUAAAUGUUUCGGUAUACUCGAGUAUUACCAUGAGGUUGGGAAAUUAUUGAACUGAUUACUGAAUGUAGGGGAUUGGUUAUUGUUUUAGAAGACAUAAGAAGGCGAAGUGGCGGAAUAUGCAAUGAUAUUGAAAUGAAUGUACAAUGACAGUGAAAUGAGUGUCUCUUGACACUGAAAUGAAUACUCAAUGACAUUGAAGUGGCUCUAAUGCGAGUACCGUAUUCUUUUAAAAGUGAUUGUUUAGUGAAGUGUUUCCUCAAUUGCUUAAUGAAAAUGAUUGUACAGUAAAAUGUGCACUACUUGCUUAAUUAUACUGAUUUAAAUGUUUAUUAAAUGUUACUUGAUCGGCAAACCUUACUGAGUUUUAGCUCAACUUUUAGUUUUGUUUUCCUUACAGGGAUUAGAGGUCGGGGAUCGAACGAGGGAAUUUAGGGAUUUAUCAUGAAGACUUUACCAUUGUGAUUAGUAUCUUAAUAAGGUAGGCAUUUUGUAUCGAUCGAAGUAUUGUAAAAGAAUGUGAACGGUUGGUUUUGGUUUAUCGAAAUGUUAUCUCUGGAGUUAAUGGAAAUUAUCAAAUGGUUAUCUUUGAAAUUAAUGUGAAAUCAAUGAGUCCUGAUGAGAGUCAGACAGACGAUCCGCUAACUUUUAGGGUAUACCCUAUAAAAAGUGGGAUCGUCACAUUUAUAACAUCAUGAUGAUCUAAUUAUGAUAGUUUUUCUAUUUUUCAUAAUGACGAACCUUGCAUUUGGCACCUCUCCAUUUCCCGGUUUUAGAUAUUUGACACUUGUCCUGCAGUGUUUGAAGAGAUAAGAUUUAUUUACUAAACUAGAUUUUAAACCUUAGUUAACUAACUUCAAAAUGCCCAAAUUAGUAGGAGCAAAAUUUUAGGCUUUCUUCCCGUGUUCAUCUAAUCAUCUUCUUGAUUUUAUUGUUCCACCGUAGAAAAACCCUGGACAUUGUCAGCUCUUCGAAAUUCUGAAACUCAAUAGCAAAAUUCAGUUUCACUAUAGUGCUUUUGAAGAUGUUAAAAAUUUUUAUGUGCAGAAUAUGUAUAUAUUGUGCAUCAAGAAACAUGUUAAUCGGCAGCUAUAUAAUUAGAAUACCCAGUCCUUUUGGAGCUUAUUCCAGAGACUCAAGUUCUAAGAUCAUCAACUGAUUAUAUAAGCAAGAAAACCGACAAUGAAAUAAGAUAAAAAGUUGAGAACAACAUGAUUAAUCUGAAUAUUUUCUUUGAGAACUUUUUCAAAAUUUUCAAAACAAAAAAUUCCCUUUCACGUAACAAAAACAUAACCAAUUCACUGCAAUUUGAGAAAAAGAUGCAAGAUCAUGAUUUGGGCAGAAUAUAACUGUAACAAUAUGAACUUAAAUUAUUUUUUCUUUUCCCAUGAAAUUUCAUGAUUUGAUUUUUCCUUCUUUUUUUUUCUCCCAUAUAAAUUUUGAUUGGAAAAGGUUUGGCUUUUUUUCAAAUCCUCCAAAUUACGGUAAAUAUGGUACGUUAAAUUGUGCGUAACCAAGGUUAAGAUGCUGGUUACAAGCAAAAGAAAUCCUGGACAUUGGAUUUAGAUUGAACACACGUCAAAAUCGUAAUGCUAUAUCGAGGAGAACUAGAGAAAAUAAGUAACGAAGAGGAGCCGGAUCCGCUUGACAAUGACCCAUAUCCUAUCCUAGCAUAUCCUUCCUAUCCAAGUUCAAACAAAUUGAUUUAGGAUUUGAUAAGGUCUUGAAAUUUAUUUGGUGGCGUGUAAAUUAGUAUGCUCUGUUUUCUAAGUACAUAAUUUAUGAGACAAGAUUUGGGAGUAGGUAGGCGUGUGUCUUUCAUAAGAGAAGAUUGUCAAAUUACUAUAACUAUAUGGAUAUAUCUUUUAUGCACUAAUAAGAUAUACAUUAGAGGGUCUAGAUGCAUGCCAUGUAUAUAAAGUUUGACAUUCAAAUUCAAAUUCAAAUUAGAUGAUGUGGCUAUAUCCAACCCCAUCAACAUAUAUACUUAGAGUAUAAGAAAGAUUAAGAUUUUGUUUUGCUGAUUCCAAAGGCUUAACUAUAGUAAUACAAUAUUUGAUUUAUUUCUUGUCCCUAUCUGGCAUCUUGCUCACUUAGAUGCAGUCUUAACCGAUCCAAACAAUUGUAUUUGGUUUGAUUCUUUAGCACCCAUAAAUUUUUUCCGAGCUCUGAGUUGGCUUAGUUGGUGGGUACUGCAUAGAAAUACCCAAGAGGAUUGGGGACCUAAUACAAUCCCCAUCAACAUGUAUACUUACAUUAUAAGAAAGAUUAAGGGUCUAUUUGAUAACAUAAAAAUGUGUUGAAUCUGAAUUGUUUCAGACAUUCAGAUGUUUUGAGUGUUUGAUAAAUGAAAAUCUAUUUGCUGAAUUUAUUAAGCAGUGCUGAACUUGUGUAUAUUUUUUUAGCACAAGAAUCCUAACUGAAUGCUUAAUUUUGAUAAGAAUCAAUAGAAUUACUUCAACUACCUUAUCUUAUCUACCAAAUCUACCAUUGUUUGUUAAUUAUGUUCAAAAUUCUUAUCUAAUUAAACAACCUAAUAUUCUCUAUCUAACGAUUUUUAGCUUCUCUUUUCUCCCUUUUUAAUGACUUUCACAUCUUCUCCAUACUCCUCAUAUAAUAUAUUUCAUCUUUUAUAUUAAUUUGAUUUAAAAAUAAAUAUUAUCAUUUUCAUACCUAACAAAUUUAAACUAAUUAAAUUAUAGAUUCUAUUUCUUUUUUGAAUGAAAGGAUAUAAGAGCAAAAUUGUCAAAUUAAACUUAUUAAGCAUUCAGUUAUAAAUAUUUAUCAAACAGUAUAAAUAGGUUUAACAUUAAAAUUCAGACAUUCAUAUAUUUUUUUCAGUGUUUAAAAUUGAACAAAUUAAUUGUUUCAGUAUUCAGAUUUCAAAAUUCAGAUUCAGUUUUAUCAAACGGAACUUAAGAUUUUGUUUUGCUGAUUCCAGAGGCUUAACUAUAGUAAUACAAUAUUUGAUUUAUUUCUUGUCCCUACCUGGCAUCUUGCUCACUUUGAUGCAGUCUUAACUGAUCCAAACAAUUGUAUUUGGUUAACAUGAUGCUUUCUCCACAUCGAUUCUUUAGUACCCAUGAAUUUUUUCCAAGCUCUGAGUUGGCUUGGUGGGUACUGCAUAGAAAUACCCAAGAGGAUUGAGGACCUAACACAAAUUUGUUAUUGGGCAUUUUUAUGUGGUAGUUGCAGUUGUUGAUCACAUUUUUUUUUCCUAAUGUAAGCGUUGUUGGAGGAGGGGGGUUUUGAAUUCGAACCCUUCACUUACACUCCCUUUUCCAAAUCACCCAAUCAAUCCUUCCUCUUAAUCGCAUGGUUCUGAUAGCUUUCACGUCCAUGGAUUUUUAAUCUGGAUAUCUCAGAGUCGGAUUCUGAUCUUUGGUAGUAUUUGAAAAGUUUUCAGAUUGUACCCAAAAAAAAAAAGGUUAAAAUAUACCCAAUUUCUUUUGUUUUAACUCUUCUUUUUCUUUUCCAUUUUUUCCAUUUUUUUUUUCAUACAGUCCUCUAUGUACUUUGAGGUAAGUAACCAGAACGCAGCAAUGGUGCCGUGCCACGAAGCCCUCACCAGCAACUGCUGCCCACCGCCAUUAGGUCCCGAAACUUAAGAAUAUUUUCAGGAUAAACUAUCCUUUUUGCGUACAUUGUGAUUUCGGAGUCCAAUUUGGCCUCCGAAAUUAAUCUAGCCUCUUUUUCUGCAUAAAUCACUGGCAGUUCUCAUAAAAUUAACACAAGGACAAUUCUAGAAUCAAUGACUUCUUUUCCUCUCUACUUCUUUUCUUCUCUAAUUUCUCUCUAUUUUUCUUCUCUUCUCAAAGGUCUUCUCUUGGGUAGGGAGACAACACCUUGAUCUCCCUAUCAGCAAUUUUGUUUUAUUUUAUUUUUCUGAUAAAGUCUCUUCUAAUUUUUUUAGCGAGUGUUUUUUAUUUCUUUUAGGAAUUGCUAGUGAGAAUUUUCUAUUCUUCUAGGGGUUUGUAUGUAGAUUUUUAUCUUUUGUUGUUAGAACCAAAUUUAUUUCAAAUCUGAUUGGCAAAUCUAAUUGUAUAUCUAUAAUUUUCAGUGCAUGCUUGACUUGAUAUUAGGGCAAUUUUAUAAAUCAAAUCAUACUGAAUGAUUUCUGACAAAUUGUUAAUGAAAUAUAUUUUUUUUAUCCAAAAAAAAAAACACAAGGACAAUCCUGAGAAGUCAUAGAACAUUUAUUUAGUACCAAUUUAACACAGUAAAGCAUAGAUAAACAUGAAUUUAAGGCAAAAUUGAAAUUCAUUUGAGAACCUCCAUUACCUCCUUUGACCCUCAAACCCCUCAAAAUUUAGGCAAGGAAAUCAUCUUUUAAGGCGUACAUUGACUAGAUUCGUGUCUAAAUUGGACUAGACUCCUCUAUAUUGAAUUGGAGAAAAGUUGUCUCCAUUACAUCACCAUAAAUUUAAUUCAAACACUAUUUUCAAAAAUUAAUAUCGUUCAUGAUAUAUUUCAUAACUUGUAUUAAUUAUACGUAAAAUUUUGUAUGAAGUUAACAAAGUUUUGUCAUUUGAUUAUUCAUUACUAAUUUUCUUCCAAUUUUAGCCCAUUUUCAAUGUCCAAAUGUUUCAUGUAACUUUAAUGCCAAAAUAUUCUCAAAAGAAUAUCAUUUUUUUCAUAUAUUGAUCUAAAGAUCCAAAGAAAAGUAAUGACAUAAUCAAAUGAUUUUAUAAAAUUACAGUAAUCAAAUGACAUAAUCAAAUUACAGUAACUUAGAUAUAAAUAAAUAAAGAGAUCAAUAUCAAGAGAUUCGACAGAAAGGGUCCUAACCCGUCUAAAUUGGCCAAACAACAAACCAAAAUCACAUCCAAAAUCAAAUUCCUAUCUUUUUUUCACCUGGGUUUUUUCCUUUCUGCUUUGGGAUAUAGUGAUGGCAAACAGAAAUGAAGAUGGUGGUCACGAAAAAAAUAAUGUUUUUAAACUUGGACCGGUCAGUGAACCGGAGAGGGGGCAGGUUUGCGGUCUGACCGGUCCGACCAACUAGUUCAUCGGUUUUCUUUUUUUUUUUUUUUUUUUUUGUUGCAACUUUAGUGUUAAGUAUUUCAUAGGUUUUCAUUCUACACUAGAACUUGACACCUAAUGUACAAUUUAACAUGGUUAUUGAUAACUUAAGUUUUUAAAAUGCAUUUGCCAACAUAACUAAAUUUAAGUUGAGAUAAUAACAACUUUUCUAAAAAUUAUACAUGAAACUUAGAAUGAUAAACAUAAUUAAAAUAUCAUAAUUCACCACAAGUUUUCAUAAAUUCAUUACAAACAUGAAUAGAUACAAUCUAAAUGUUCACCAAUUAUCACAAAUAAAAUCACAAAAAUAAAUAAAAUAAAUAUUGAAAUUCUUUUACAAUCCUUAAAAAAGUCCAACUCAUAUUCAAGACAAACCAUUUGAAUAACAAACUUCCAUUAAUGGAAUGAUAAGCAAUAACACCACCUUUACAAUUGCAUCAACUUAACCUGAAAAAGUUAAAAUUUUAUUAUAUAAAUAUAAAUCUAAUUGCUCAAUGACGGGAUUUUUAUAUCAAUGCAAGUUUAUUUCCGAACUUUACCCGUUGGACUGCAAGUAUACAGGUCACUUAGUAGUUUGGACAAAUAUCAGGUCAAUCCCACAAGGAGAAAGUUAAACAAAUACUAGACCCUUAUUUUCUCUAUUAUUUAGAUUUAAAAUGAAUCUGAACAAGAAGAUUAUAAUGCCACUGUCUACAAAUCCAAUUUAAUAAAUGCUAAAUACAAAUGGAGAAAUUUCACUCAAGAUUGAAUUUAGGGAUUUAGAUUCCACUUAUGGCAUAAACAACACAAAUGAAUAGAUUUACCUCUUGUUAUUAUUUUUGUUUAACCAGGGAUUCAUUUCCAAUAUUACCAAAUCUCAUUCUCAUGAUAAAAUAGCCUAAAGCAGUCCAGUUUUCCCUAUUUUCGUGGUGAAAUACUAGUUUUACUCUGUUUUCCUUCAUGAAAUGCUAGAUAAUCCACUUAAGUGUACCUCUAUUUUCAUGAACAUACAACUCAAGCUCUACUCAUGUUUUUUCAUUGUUACUACUAAUUCUCAUUGACUAAUAAAACUAUAAACAUGCUAUUGGUGAUCAAACAACAACAAGUAAUUACAACUGCACAAAUAGACAAGUUAAUACAAAAUACAACAAGUGUAAAUCACAUUCAAUUCAUACACUUAAUCAUAAGUUUCAUCUACUCCCUAGAUAAAGAAAUUUAGCUACUCAUGAAUGAUAUAACAAUCAAACUCACAAGUUUAUUAAUAUAAAACAUCAUAAAGUACAAGUACAAGAAAGAUAAAGAAAAGCUUAGCCAAUUAAUGGUGAAACCCUCCAAAUUCUGUUAUGUCUUGUACAAGAUGAUUACAAGUGAAGUCUUCAAGUUCUUCCUCCAGAACUUCUAGCUAGAGAAAAAAAAUUGUUUUCCAGAAGAAAAACUAACUACGUAUGGUGAUGCCUAGCUUCUCCCUGUUUCUCUACAUAAAAGGUGGUGGAAAGCACCUUUUUCUCCUUCAUGAUUCCAACAACUAAGAUUUUGUUAAAGAAAGUCAAAAGAUAUGUUGUUUUGACUUGUCAAUAACUCAUUUUGCCUUUCUUUUUGUUGCAGAAGCAUGUGCCACCGAAUUCUCUCACCAAAGAUGGCUGGAAAGUUGUGUGAAAAGUAAGAAAACCGGUUGUGCCACUUGCAGCAGAGAGAGACAGAUCCGAGGGCUUCAGUAAGAUCCGAGCUCGGAUCAUUGCGGAUCUGAGGCCUUUCUCAAAUGGAUCCGAGCUCGGAUCAACUGACCUCAGAUCCAUUAUUCCAAAAAUACACACGAGGGCUCAGAUCAAUCUUGUUGCACACGGAUUUGGGCUCGGAUCCGUGUGAUCAUUUUCCAGAUUUUUGGUUCCUUCCUUUUUCUUUAUUUUUUUUUGCUCCUAGUUUCUUUUGUAUUUUAUCCUCCAAAUGAUCCUUGCUCUUUCUUUAUCUUGUACAUGAAGUUCACAUGUCAAUAUCCUUCAAAAUAUCACAGAUUAAAGCAUUAAUCCACUCAUUUAGCAAGUUUGAUUAUUCAAACAACUUUUAAGCAAUUUGCACCAAAAAGAGUUCAAAUAUGGCUUUAAUUCUCUUGAAACAUAACAAAAGUUCAUGCCAAACUUGUACAAAAUGUACAUUAAAUAUUCACUUAUCAAAUUCUCCCACACUUGAAUCAUUGCUUGUUCUCAAGCAAUUCACUCAUAAUUAGCUUCAUUGAUUCAAAAAGAAAUGAAACAAUACAUGUACUUUUGUCAAAUUUAAUUCCUUAUGACUUGGAAAUCAAUCAUUAUGUCAUUGUUCAAAUUGCACUAAAUACUCAUAAUAUCAAGUAAAGAAAAGAUAAUUAUGCCCUAAUUUUAACAAAUUCAACUUAAUCUCUCAUCCUAACCUAAUUCACAAAUAAGCAACUUACAUAGUCAAUUUAUUGUCUUUCUCCUCCUAUAAUCAUCUUUUCUCAAAAUUUUACAACUAAGAGGGGCUUAUUCUUACUUGAUUUUACUUAAAUAGUGAAAAUGCCUUUUGACGCAAAAAUCGACACUUUUAGGUGAAGAUUCUCGGUUACUCAACAUUUCACUUAUUUAAAUUGCUAUGCAUACUCUUAAUUCAAAUACCUUUUUACGCAAAUGUCGAUAUUUGUAGAUGCCAACCCCCGGUUAUUCGGUACAAGAAUCAUUGAAGUAGAACAAUUUUUAUUUAUUUUCUUUUAUAUAUUUUUUUAUUAGAAAAUAAAUAGAUUUUUCCUCAUAGAAAAUUAUAGUAUAACCUUUUAUAAACUAUAUCAAUCACUUAUUUGGAAAAUUAAGUAAAGAGGAGAAAUAUCGUUAAACAUGCAAAAUUAUAGGCAUAAUUUUCCUUACUUAAUUGGAUAUAUUUUCUAAAAUGCAAAAAUUCUAAUUGCAUAAUAACCAAUUCCAAGUUAACUGAGGAUUAAAUCUUCCCAAAAUACAUAUAACAUUUCAACAAAUGGAAGAAUUAGACAUUCAGGUUGGAACAAUUUGGCCCACAAAAGUGCAAAUAUUUGAGAUAUUUUGGCUAUAAUGAAAUAUUGGAAAUUUUUUGGAAAAAUUUUGACAGAGUUUCCCCUUAUAAAUGGACAAAACUCCCUGUCAACAUUCCCAAUUUCAAGAAAAUUAUCCACAUAUCAAUAUUUCCAAAUAUAAUUCCAAUAUUUCUAAACAACAAUGAACUGAAAACAUGCACUUCAAGACCACAAUCAAGGCAUAAGGUAAUCAAAACACAAAAUACCCCUCCCCCACACUUAAAAUUCAUAGUGUCCUCAUUGUGAAAGAAAGGAAAAGAAACUAGUACUCCCCUAUAAAGAAGUGGUGAUGCAAUUUGAAGCCACGAACAUCACGAACAACCAAAUUCUAUUCAAACCGAAACAAGGGAUAAGGUGAAACAUAAGGAGCACAAGAUUAACAAAAGAAAUGAAGACUUCGAGGUUUAAACAUAAGAAAAGCAAGAAAAACAAAAGACUUGAAAGCUAUUAUGUUCACAACAAAAGAAACAUCAUGAGAGGGAUCUUCACGGCUGUGUAGAAUGAGGAUCAACGCGCUCAGUAGCACCUUGUGGCCCAUGGGAUGUGCCAAUGUGACCUUCCUCAGUGGUAGGCAUCAGAGAAGGCAAACGACGUAUAUGAAAAUGAUCCUCCAAUGCUCGAAGACGUCGAUCAUGCCUCUCCAAUCUCUCUGUGAGUAUACGCUCGUGUUGGUCAAUACGCUCCAUGACUCUGGUCUCCAUGUAGCAGAUGGCAUUGAGAAUCUCUUGCCACCGAGACCUCGAGGGAGGGGGUGGAGGUGAAAUGGGAGUAAGUGGAGUUAGCUGUGCCUCCAUUUCUUGAGCUUCCGAUCGUGGUAUAGGAUGAGGUGGAGGCUGAGCAGAGGUAGAAGCUUCACCAGUGUUGCGAACCAAAGAAGCGCCAAAGUCUGUUGGAAUACCCAAGGACUUGAGUAAUGAAACAUUGACUUCAUCGGCAGCCUUAGUGGCAAUGGCUCGCUCGACUCCUAGAGGAACCUUGAGCUUCUCAAAAAGAAGGGAUAGAAGACAAGGAAAUCCAAAACAGGUUUCGCCGGCCCUCGUGCGAGCUGUGGUACGCAUAUAGCUAAUAAUGAUGCUGCCGAGAGAAAUUCCUGUCAACUGCCAACUUAUUCCAUUCAUCAUCUUAUCCAAAAAGUAUAAGCCGCUAUUUCGGACCUCCCUUUUACCACUUCUCUUAGGUAUCACAUUAAAGGCAAAGAGAUAGAAAAUAAGGUGGUACCUAGGCUCAAAUGAAUCGGCAUAAAUGAGGAGCUUCUUUGAACUUUCUCAUUCAUGGUAUUAACCCUUAAGAUGUGAUACGACUUCCCCGACUUGCCAUGGAUCAUGUGUAUUAAAUUCCUUGGUCAAUUUAACAUCCACUCCCUCGUCCUUGAGUUUGACAAAUCAAGCGAUUGUCUCCCAGGUGAUGGCCACUCUCUUGUCUCGAACCCAAGAGACAAUGAGAUUCCCACUAUGGCUCUGCUUGUCGUCCACAUUAGCAUAAAAUUCUCGGACCAAGUUGGGGUAGUAAUGCCGAGACAACUUCAGAAUAUUGGCCUAUCCGAGUUGACCAAAGGUGGUGGACACCUUGUAAUGAUUGUCCACCUCAGGUGCCAACUGCUUCUCAAUUAUGAUCUCCUUGUCCAAUCCGGUUUCAUACCACUGUUGGUUUUCGAGCCAAGUGAAUCGCGUGGUAUCAUAGUUCGGAGAUGGCUCCUCAUGGCUAGUAGAUGCUUUUUUUCGUCGUGAGCGAGGCAGUGACUCAAGUGAGGAAGAUUCUUCCACGGGAGAAAGGGACUCCUCAAGUACCGAAGGAGUAUGCUCUUCACUUGAAGAAGGUCUUCUUGAGACAUGUUUUCCAGUCUAGAAAGAUGAUCAGCGACUAAGUUCUCGGAUCCUUUUUUAUCUUUGAUCUCCAAUUCAAAUUCCUACAAUAAUAAAAUCCAUCGAAAUAGUCGAGAUUUUGCAUCUUUCUUAUUUAAGAGAUAUUUGAGUGCUGCAUGGUCGGUAUAAAUGAUGACUUUAGAUUCUACUAAGUACGAUCUAAACUUAUCCAAUGCAAAUAUCAUUGCUAACAACUCCUUCUCUGUUGUUGCAUAAUUGACUUGAGUUUCAUUUAUCAUUUUACUUGCUUAAUAAAUGACAUGAAGUUGCCUAUCAUGCUUUUGCCCAAGAACAGCUCCAACUAUAAAAUCACUCGCAUCACACAUCAAUUCGAAUGGCAAGCUCCAAUCCGGUGAUGCUAUUAUUGGUGCGGAGACAAGUUCCUUCUUCAACCUAUUAAAAGCAAAUAAAUACUCAUCAUUAAAGUGAAAAGGAACAUUUUUUUGCAAGUAAUUCACAUAAAAGUUUAGCAAUCUUGGAGAAAUCCUUAAUAAAUCAUCGAUAAAAUCCCACGUGUCCAAGAAAGUUUCGAAUGCCUUUCAUAUUGGUAGGUGGAGGCAUUCUCUCAAUAACCUCUAUCUUGGCUUGAUUUAUCUCAGUAUCUUGUGAAGAAAUUUUGUGCCCUAGAAUAAUACCCUCAUAAACCAUAAAGUGACAUUUUUUCCAAUUGAGUACAAGAUUUGUUUUUUCACAUCUCUGCAAAAUUAAAUCUAAAUUGUUAAGACAAUGAUCAUAAGUAGAUCCAAAUACAGAAAGGUCAUCCAUGAAAAUUUUCAUGAUUUUCUCAUUAAAGUCGGAGAAAAUUGCCAUCAUGCAACAUUGGAAAGUGGCCGGCGCAUUGUACAGUCCAAAAGGCAUUUUUCGAAAUACAAAAGUGCCGUAGGGACAGGUGAAUGUGAUUUUCUCUUGAUCUUCCGGUGCAAUGACUAUUUGAUUGUAUUAUGAAAAACCAUUCAAGAAACAAUAAAAUUCAUAACCAGCCAACAUUUCUACCAUUUGAUCAAGAAAAGAAAAAGGAAAAUGAUCCUUUUUAAUAUCUGCAUUUAGUUUUUUAUAAUUAAUACAAACUCGCCACCCAACUAUAACUCUAGAAGGAAUCAUUUCAUCAUUUUUACCACAUACUAUGAUUAUUCCCCCUUCUUUGGCACUACAUAAAUAGGAGAAAUUCAAACACUAUCAAAGAUUGAAAACAUUAUACCUGCAUCCAGCCAUUUAAGGAUUUCUACCCUUAUCACUUCUUUCAUGUUUGGAUUUAACCUUCUUUGAGUUUCAACAACCGGUUUAGAAUUUUCUUCUAACAAAAUCCGGUGCAUACAAAUAGUUAGACUAAUUCCCUUGAUAUCAGAAAUCAUCCAUCCUAUGGCCUUUAAAUGCUUCCUCAAAACACGUAAGAGCUUUCCUAGUUGUUCCUCAUCUAGUGCAGCAUUGACAAUCACUAGCAAUGUCUCAUUUUCUCAAAGAAAUGCAUAUGUGAGGUGUUUAGGAAAUGGCUUAAGCUCAAGCCAUGGAGUUUGCUCAUACGAUGGCGGAGGUAGCCCUUUGCUCAACCCUAACUCCUCAUACGCAUUGCUCCUUUUGUAAGGAACCUGUGCCUGCAAAAAUUCAAUCAUUUCUUCAAUUUGUUCCUCUUGUAAACCUACACCAUAAAAACAAAAUUCAAGAGAAUCAUCAUCAAGAUUAAUUUAACUCAUUUCUAAUACCAGUUCAUCAUAUAUGUCAACAGAAUAAACAUAGUCGGUAAAAGAGGGGUACUUCUCCACUUUACUCAAAUCAAACUCCACUUCCUCUUUACCAAUUUGGAACUUGAACUUACCACGUUUAACAUCUAUUAUAGUACCUGCAAUAGCCAGAAAUGGUCAGCUAAGAAUAAUAGGUACAUUAACAUCUUUCUCCAUAUCUAAAACAACAAAAUCAACAGGAAUAAUGAAUUUCUACAAUUUAAUAAGCACAUUCUCCAAUAUGCUCAUUGGAUUUUUAAUAGGCCUGUCAGCCAAUUGCAAGGAAAUGUUAGUACAUUUUAACUCUUUCAACCCCAAUAGCCUAGCCACAGUUAAAGGGAUAAAUGAAAUACUCGCACCAAGGUCAUAUAGUGCUUUAGAGAAUUCUACAUUACCAAUAGUGCAAGAAAUUGUGAAACUCUCUGGAUCUUUCAACUUUGGUGGCAAUUUAUUUUGUAUGAUGGCGCUAUAUUUUUCCGUUAAUGUAAUUGUUUCACUAUCUACUAACCUCCUUUUCUUAGUCAUUAUCUCCUUGUGAAACUUUGCGUAUGAAGGAAUCUGCAAAAUAGCAUCAACAAAAGGAAUGUUAAUAUGUAAUUGUUUGAAAAUGUUGACAAACUUCUCAAAUUCUUUGUCAGUUUUCGAAGGCUUCAAUUUUUAUGGAAAUGGCACCGGUGGAGGAAUUGGUGUUGUCUCUUCAAUUUGUGACUCACACUCUUCCACCUUUUCUUUCCCAUUAAUUUUCUUGCUAUCCUCUCCUAACUCACUCAACUACUUGUUUUCUCUUCUUUCAUAUUCUCUCUUACAUUCAACUACAGGCGGCUCACCUACUUCCUUACCACUACGGAUGGUUAUGGCCUUCACAUGCUCCCUUGGAUUUACCUCAGUCUUAUUAAGUAAAUCCCCUUGGUUGCGAUUCUUAACUGCAUUUGCUAUUUGCCCUAAUUGGAGCUCAACAUUCCUGUACAUAUUGGUGAGUUGGCCUAUCCUUCCCUUAAUUCUUUCAAACCGUUGAGUAGUGGCACUGGUUAACUUUUCAAUUUUAUCAUUUGAUACAUUUGCCAGCUUCUCAAUUGCCAAUUCCUAAGCUAGUUUGGACUCCGGAAGUGGUUGCUUUGGUUGAAAACCCGGUGGAUUAACUGGUCUUUGUUGGUUCCCUUGAUCAUUCCAUCCAAAAUUCGGGUGAUUACGCCAUCCUGGAUUGUAGGUAUUGGAGUAUGGAUUAUUUUGGGGUGGACAGUUGUAAUUGUUGAGAUAUUGAACUUGUUCGCUGCUAGAACACAUAGAAUCAUCAUGAUUUCGGUCGCAAGUAGUAUAACAUGCAACUACUACUCCUUGAUUAGAGUUAGAACUAACAUGCCUAUUAAGCAUAUUAAUUACAUUAUUCAUCUUUAUAUUCAAGGUAUCUACUUCAAGCAUACUUGUGGCUCUCCUUGUAUUACCUCGUUCAUUGGUCCAUUGGUAGUUAUUAGCAGCCAUUUUUUCAAUCAAUUAUUGAACUUCCUCGACUGACUUUCCUAUCAAUGCUCCUCCCGCUACCGCAUCUACAUGCAUGUUUGUUGGAUAGGUGAGACUAUUGUAAAAUGUUUGGACUAUUAGCCAAUCUGGUAAACUAUGAUGAGGACAUCUUCGUUGCAAUUCCCGAUAGCGCUCCCAAAGUUCAUACAAUGUGUCUCCUUCCUGUUGAGAGAAACUAGUUAUAUCUAUUCUAAGCUUAGUAGUUUUUCCAAGUGAAAAAAAUUUAUUAAGAAAAGCCUUAGCUAAUUCAGCCCAAGUAGUAAAAGUAUUUUGAGGAUGAGAUUGUAACCAAACCUUGACCUUGUCCCUUAGCAAAAUGGAAACAAUCGAAGUUUAAUUCCAUCAUCACUAACACCAUUAAACUUAAUUGUAUCACAGAUUUCAAGAAAUGUUGACAAAUGAAAAUCUGGAUCUUUUGUAGCAUUACCUCCAUAUUUAGAUUGUUGAACCAUUUGAAUCAGUGAUGGUUUAAUUUCAAAAUUAUUAGCAUUUACCGUUGGCCUUGCGAUGCUAGUUUGAGAUCCUUGUGUCCCCAGUAAAGCAAAAUCUCGUAGAGCUCGCCUAUUUGGUUCGUUUUCCACCAUUUCUUCCUCAAACGGCGGCUCUAUCAAAAUUUCCUCUAUCGGCUGCCAAACCUCUGGUUCCUUUUGAUGCAGUAUAUGCCUCCUUUGUCUCCUUAUUGUCCUCUCAAUUUCUAGAUCGAAAGGUGCAACUUCUCGAUAUGUUUGGUGCAUACACUACAAAUAGAAAUAAAAGAAAUUAUGCAGCUUUAAUUGUCAAAAGCUAAAUUAAUGCAAAAUCAACUAUAAACAAUUUAAAUAAAAACAAUGGAAAUAUCUAAAUUAAUAGAGAUGAUUAGGCCCUAAUAUUGCCGCUCCCCGACAACGGUGCCAAAAACUUGACGAGAUUUUUAUAUCAAUGCAAGUUUAUUUCCGAACUUUACCCGUUGGACUACAAGUAUACAUGCCACUUAGUAGUUUUAGGCAAAUAUCAGGUCGAUCUCACAAGGAGCAAGUUAAACAAGUACUAGGCCCUUAUUUUCUCUAUUAUUUAGACUUAAAAUGAAUCUGAACAAGAAGAUUAUAAUGCUACUGUUUGCAAAUCCAAUUUAAUAAAUGCUAAAUACAAAUGGAAAAAUUUCACUCAAGAUUGAAUCUAGUGAUGUAGAUUCCACUUAUGGCAUAAACAACAUAAAUGAAUAAAUUUACCUCUUGUUAUUAUUCUUGUUUAACCAGGGAUUCAUUUCCAAUAUUACCAAAUCUCAUUCUCAUGAUAAAAUGGCCUAAAGCAGUCCAGUUUUCCCUAUUUUCAUGGUGAAAUACUUGUUCUACUUUGUUUUCUUUCAUGAAAUACUAGAUAAUCUACUUAAGUGUACCUCUAUUUUUAUGAACAUACAACUCAAGCUCUACUCAUAUUUUUUCAUUGUUACUAUCAAUUCUCAUUGACUAAUAACAACUAUAAACAUGCUAUUGGUGAUCAAACAACAAUAAGUAAUUACAACUGCACAAAUAGACAAGUUAAUACAAGAUACAAUAAGUGUAAAUCACAUUCAAUUCAUAUCAUUUAGCCAUAAGUUUCAUCUACUCCCUAGAUAAAAAAAUUUAACUACUCAUGAAUGAUAUAACAAUCAAACUCACAAGUUUACUAAUAUAAAACAUCAUAAAGUACAAGUACAAGAAAGAUAAAGAAAAGCUUAGCCAAUUAAUGAUGAAGCCCUCCAAAUUCUACUAUAUCUUGUACAAGAUGAUUACAAGUGAAGUUUCCAAGUUUUUCCUCUAGAACUUCUAGCUAGAGAGAAAAUUGUUUUCCAGAAGAAAAACUAACUACGUAUGGUGAUGCUUGGCUUCUCCCUGUUUCUCUGCAUAAAAGGUGGUGGAAAGCACCUUUUUCUCCUUCAUGAUUCCAACAACUAAGAUUUUGUUAAAGAAAGUCAAAAGAUAUGUUGUUUUGACUUGUCAAUAACUCAUUUUGUCUUCCCUUUUGUUGCAAAAGCAUGUGCCACCGAAUUCUCUCACCAAAGAUAGCUGGAAAGUUGUGUGAAAAGUAAGAAAACCGGCUAUGCCACUUGCAACAGAGAGAGACAGAUCCGAGCCACGGAUCCGACGGCUUCAGUAAGAUUCGAGCUCGGAUCAUUGUGGAUCUAAGGCCUUUCUCAAAUGGAUCCGAGCUCGGAUCAUUGCGGAUCCGAGCUCGGAUCAUUGCGGAUCCGAGACCUUUCUCAAAUGGAUCCGAGCUCGGAUCAACUGACCUCGGAUCCAUUACUCCAGAAGUACAGACGAGGGCUCGGAUCAAUCUUGUUGCACACGGAUCCGGGCUCGGAUCCAUGUGACCAUUUUCCAGAUUUUCGGUUCCUUCCUUUUUUCUUUAUUUUUUUUUUGCUCCUAGUUUCUUUUGUACUUUAUCCUCCAAAUGAUCCUUGCUCUUUCUUUAUCUUGUACAUGAAGUUCACAUGUUAAUAUCCUUCAAAAUAUCACAGAUUAAAGCAUUAAUCCACGCAUUUAGCAAGUUUGAUUAUUUAAACAACACUUAAGCAAUUAGCCCCAAAAAGAGUUCAAAUAUGGCUUUAAUCCUCUCAAAACAUAACAAAAGUUCAUGCCAAACUUGUACAAGAUGUACGUUAAAUAUUCACUUAUCACUCAAACUCAAAAAAAAAAAAAAUUGAAAAACAAAGAUACAGCUAAACACAUAAAAAUUAAAUUGCUACUAAACAUGUGGUCUUGAGGUUACCAUUUACGGAUUUACCAAGGCAUACAAACAUGUGGUCCGAUUUGGCACUUUUUUUUAAGCUUUUGUUUGACAACUUUCACAAGUCAACUUUAAAAUGUCUUUAAUUUUGUUGCUUCAAUGAAACCUAUAAAAUUCAAGAUGAAUGAGCAUUCGGUAGACUAAUUACUUCAGCAUAGAAAAAGCAAAAAAAAAAAAACACACUAAACAGCAUAGAAAAAAUAGAACAAUCAUUGAUACAAAAUUUAUUAAUUUGAUACUUCAUCCAUGUCUAAUUUUAUUAAUUUGGUACUUCAUCCAAAAAAUAGCUUCUCCAAAUAUGAUUGCAAAAUAAUUAAUGAUUCAUAAUUUCAUCCUUAAUUAAUCGAAUAAAAAUAAAACAAAAAUUAGGGGAAAUGGGUGAAAAUUGGGGGAAAAAAGAAGGAAAUGCAAAAAAUUUGGCUAAAGAUAAUAAUAUAGAAAACAAAAACCUUGAAAAGGGAAAAAAUAAACUUACCAAGAUGAUGGAAAACAGGAAAAGCUUUUGAGUCUCAAAUAUCUUGUGAAAAUUGAAAUUUCCAAUUUGUCUACAAUCUGCUAAAGAUGAUAGUGAUAAAGGUGAAGGCUUGAGAAAAUUUUGUUGUGGAUAUUUGGGUUUGAAAUGGUUAAGAAGAAAAAAUUGAAAAAAAAAUUCAAGAGGUGAACUAGAGCCGGUGGCCGCCUGAAGCCAAGAAAGAGAUGGAUUGAAACUUGAAAGAAAAGUGCAUCGGCUGUUUCUUUUCUUAAUGUUAGGGUUUCAUUUUUUUAAUAUAUUUUUUAGUCAAACUAAGCUUGUCCUUUGACUGUGGUCUAGUGGUAAGAGUGUCUUAUAGGAACAUGAAAACUGAGGUUCGAACUUGCGUAGCUAUAUUCUUGACAUUUUGUUUGAAUUAAAAAUCCGCCCGAUUACGGUUUGUACAAUUUUUUGUGGUUCAUACGGUUCGACCGAUUUCUAGUGAUUUUGCAUUAACUUUCGAAUUUAAUACUGGACCGGACCAGUGGUAUGUCCGGUUCGCGAUUCAACCAAUCGAAUUGGCCGGUCCGGUCCGGUUCUGAAAAACAUUGGAAAAAGAUUGCCAAGGAGGCAGCGGUGUUUAUGGAAAAUUUUUUUAAAAAAAAAAUUAAGUUGCGGUGGGAAUCACAAGUUGUGAGUUACCGUAUUAAGGGGAUCGAUGAAGAUGAUUAGGUUUAAGGAAAGAAAUAUUCAAAAUUGUAAUUCUACCCUUCAACUUACUGUUUUCUUUAAUAAAGAAUAUAAAUUUUUUGAAAUUAUAAUUAAGCCCCUUAAUUAACCUUUUUUACCUAAAAGUAAAAGUAGUACAAGAAUUUCCAACUUUUCUCUAUAUCAAUAUAGAAGGUUUUCAUCCAUCUUACCUAUCAGUUUAAACCAAUAAAUUCUUUUGGAUAUUUUUGAAUGAGAAGGGGGGUUCAAUAACGCGCAAAUCAUAGGCAAGUUUUGUGCAUUUUACUCGAAAAGAAUAAAUUCCAGAUCGACCCACCAUAUUGUCUGUUAAAAAAAAAAAGAUUGAUCCAUACUGGAUGCAGAUCCCUAUUGAGGCUGUGGAAUUGAUGCAAUGACCCAUAGGUGUACCACUUGCAAAAUUAUCUUUCUUGUGGAGGGAGGGGAGGCGAGGGGAGGGAUAAAGAAGGAGAUUCAGGAGGAGGAAGGAGGGAAGGGGGAGGAAUGGUGGUGGUGGUGAAGAAAGGGAAGUGGUGGUGGCAGCGUGUGGUGGUGAUCGGUAGUGAAUGGAAGAAGAAAUGGCUGGUAGUUUUUUUUAAUAUAUUUUUGUUAGGUACAUUUGAGAUGUGUAUUUGUAGUGAUUUUGGGAGUAUUUUUGGAGUUUGUUACUAUAGAUUCCAAGUAUAAAAACUAGUUUUCCAAAACAAACUCAUUUUAAAAACAUAGGCCAAGAUGAGACAUUACAUUAGAAAAUCAAGAUGUAAUUUUCAAGGGGUAAAAUUGUAAUUAUAAUAUGUUAAAGAAGAAUGAGUUCCUCGAGCACGCUUCAUUGUAUCCAUAUAUAUAAAUAUGUUUUAUUGCUUCUUGUCUUGUGAAAACCUUCAAAAGAGGACUUGCAAAGGAAAUAAUAGCUACCAACUGAUGGAUUCCAAAGCAGUUGCUUCUUGUGUUCUCCUCCAUCUGUUGAUUGUCCUGGUAAGUUACUUUGCAAUUAAUUGUUUUUUGUGAUUUAUAUUCUGUGGACUUAAUUCUCGCUGUCUUACAACACUAUACAACCUGUACAGGGAGCCUGUGACAUCAUACCCAAGGCCAAGGAUAGUGGUACUAAUGCAAUCAGGCUCCACGGCAUUGAUGCUAAUAAUCCUCAUCGAAAUGAUAAGACACAUCAUGUUGCUCACGUACAUGAAAAGAAGUCAAUGCAUCAUCCUUCUCUUUCGUCAUCCCACAUGAUGCAUCAGAUAGAUGCAAGAAAAACCAUGUUUUUCGUUUUAGAUGAUCUCAAGUUAGGCAAAACAAUGAGUAUCCUUUUCCCUGACGGAGAUCCUAGUCCUUUGUCCUCUCCUUAUCUCUGGCCUAGAGAACAAGCCGAUGCUAUUCCCUUUUCAUUGGCAAAACUCCCACAAAUUCUUCAACACUUUUCAUUCGCUCAAGGAUCUCGCAAGGCCCAAGUGAUGCAACAUACACUCCGAGCAUGCGAGACUAAGCCUAUCAAGGGAGAAUCCAAGGCUUGUGCCACAUCCUACGAGUCAUUGGUAGAUUCUGCACGAAAGAUCUUUGGAUUGAAUACCGAUAUUGAAGUUUUAUCAACGCAUUACUGACGGGAUAUUUUACAUACGUACAAGUUAAAAAACCGAAUUACACCUGUUCACUGCAAGUAUACAGGUCAACUAGUAGUUUAGGGUAUAUAUCGGGUCGAUCCCACAGGGAAGAGUGAACAAUUACCGGUAUUACUAAAGCUUCUCUAUUAUUUAGACUAUCAAUGAAUUAUAACAAAUUUAACCUACUGAAAUUAUACAAAAUAACAAAUAAAAGCUCCUUAGGUUGUGGUAUCCUCAACUACUCAUGCAAGUGCUAUUUUUGGAUCAUUGAAUACUACAUCUAGGCUAGUUAUGGUGUAAUUUCCUUAAACAUGUGAAACCUACUUUCGUAGUGAAUCAACUAUACUCAUAACUAAUCCAUACCUAUUUUCAUGGUUAUGAAAUUAGCUACAAGUUCAUUUCUUCAAUGAAAUUACAUGAAAUGAAUCACUAAAAACCACAUAAGUGCACCUCUACUUUCGUGAGUGUACUCCCUAUGUUUAGCACUUCUUGAACUAGUGUUAAAUCUCAAUUUUCAUUGCAGAAACAACACCUUAGAUAAUCACAAUCAAUGGUACCAGAUUAAUCAUGAUUUAAGAAGCCAAAGUGCUAAAUAACUUGCUCAAAUCAUAGCAGUCAAAUAACCAAAUAAUAAACACUAACAAUCAUAGAAAGUUCAACCAAACCCAAGGCUUAAACUUUAAACACACAUAUUGAACACAAAAUUCAGAACUUGUAUAUUAACUAAACUUGGAAUCAAAUACAAAAGAUAAAGAGUUUUGAAGGAAUACAACCCUUGUCACAUGAGCUUUCUUCCUUGCCUUCUUCAUCCUCCAUCUUCAUCCUAAUCUAGAUAAUAAACAAGAAUGGAAAAGCUACACUACUCUAUACUAAGCUAAACUAAUACUAGGGAGAUGAAAGAGCUACAUUUCUGCAGCUUCAAGCUUUCUCCCGUAGCUCACUCUCUAUUUUUCUGCUAUCUCCUCUUCUCUUGCUCUCUCUCCUCUCUUUUGCAACGAAUUUGGCUCUUUAAUGAUGAAAGGUGGUCCAGAAAUGAGGAUUACAUCUCCCUUUUACAGCUGGGAAUGUUUCUCACAUGUAUAGCAUCGCAUGUGAGUUGGUGGAGGUGAAAUUGAGUUUUACGCGUACAUAGCAGCCUUUUCUGACCACAAUCCGGCCAGGAAUCCGGCCACAAAUCCGGCCAAAUUCCGGCCGGAUUGCUACAGUAAUCUGGGCUGCUACAGUGAUCCGAGCUGCUACAGUGCCUCGGAUCCGUAUGGAUCCGAGCUCGGAUCCACUAACCCAGAAACAGCCGAGGGUUCGGAUGAAUAGUGGAUCCGAGUGUGGAUCACUUGCUCUGUUUUUGGCCCAACUUCAACUGAUCUUUUCUUGAUGUUAGAGGCUGAACCAGCUCAUGUCUAAAACAUGAAAGUUGUAGCCUUUUGACUUAUCUUUCCAAUGCAUCAAGAAUCGCCUCAUUUGGAUCUGUAUAGGCUGAGAUAUGACUGAAAUACCCUUGCCUGCUCCAUGCCUUGUUCCAGUUUCGACCAAUAGCAAUUGACUCUGUACUUCGGCUUUUUGACCUGGAAAACCUUCAAACUGGAUUCAGAUGUCUUCACCAAAGUUGUAGAUCUAUCUCUUAUCUUCAAAUUAGUUCAAGAAUCAUCCCAAUCCGAUCAUUUUAGCUCAAGUUAUAGCCGAAAUACGAAAAUGUGUCAAAAACUGUCAAAAUACACAAAAUCCACUAAAAAGUGAUAAAAACCUCAUUUAAUCACUUAAAAGCAUUUUUCACCAAUUAUAGCCAAAAUGAUUCAUAUUCUUCCAAUAAUAUAACUAAAGUGACUAAAAAUAAUAUAAAAUAUUAUACAAUUAUUACGUAAAUUAGUCACUUAUCAAUUACCUCGCAAAAUCUAAUGCUGCUAGAUUACAGAACUAUACAAUCACAGAAGCUCCUGAACGAAUUUCAACUCUAAAGGUGGUUGCCUGUCACACCAUGCAAUAUCCUUUCAUAGUUUUCUAUUGCCACUAUCAGCAGGGUGAUAAUCGUUCGUACAGGACUGUUCUAUCUGGAGAGAAUUGUGAUAGGGUUGAAGCUAUUGCAAUAUGUCACAUGGAUACCUCCCAAUGGAACCAUGAUCACGUUUCCUUCCGACUGCUUGGUAUCGAACCAGGCACUGCCCCUGUUUGCCAUUUCUUCCCAGAAGUGAACUUUGUAUUGGUUCCAUCUACUUCUUCAAUCUAGUAAUAUCCAAGAGCUCUUUCAGCAUUUUAGUUGUUUAGCUCAAGUCACCUUGCUCAAUGUGUAAUACUAGAAAUCACUAAAUUCGUGUGCCUCAUGUUUGAUCGUCAGUAUUCGAUUAAAACUCCGUGGUGUAGUAGCGCUACUUUUGACAA